CGCCGGCAUGAAGAUUUCACGGAUCUUGGCCUGGACUUGGAAACGGCUGCUCCGGCGGCAGGAGAUGAGUGCCGGCGUAGUAGGGUUGCGGGCGAGGGUGGGGAUGAAGGAGGUGUUGAGAAGGUGAGCCAUGGACAUGAGAGAGGGGAGUUCACAAUGUGAGUGAGAGAGAGAAUGUCGAUGAGUUUUAAGGGCAAGGUGUUUGUUCCAUUUUAUGCUCGGCUCUGGGUCUCCUCGACUGCAUCGAAAUCCUGGCGGAGGUUCCAACUGCCUUACCGGUGAAUGUGAUGAUGCUGAUGUGUCUCUUUUGCUUCCUUCCCUCUAUAUUUUUUUUUUCCUUGUAAAAAGCUAACAAAACAUUUUAGCUAGCUUUAUUAACGUACCCUUUUGUCUCACGUUAUAAAAAUGUGUGUUAAUAACACUAGCCAAUAUUUAUGGUUCUUGUUCUUGGGGGUUUGUCUAAUAACGUCAUCCACGUUGCUGAUACCUUUGGUCGUCUUCGUUUCUUCAGAAGUCUCACAUUCGUCCGGUAUUAAAAAGUCUUCUAGGUUGUAUAACCCUGAUUAAGGUUACAGUCAUCACUCUAUUUAUGCGGCUCACAUGACAUAUGCGAAUACAGCUCAAUUCUCGCUUGUUUGUAUUUAAUCAUGUUCUUAAUUGUAACAUUUUCAAUCUAGAUGUGUUUGUGCAUCUUGUUUAUAUUGUUCUUAAAAUAAGUUGAAAUGUGUUUGGUGAGUCAUUUUUAACGUUAUCAAUUUUUUAUUUUCUUAGAUUUAAAAAAUAUGAAAAAUACGUUUCACAGUAAAUUACCGAAUAUAUUUUUAAAGCAGAAAAUAGAAUCUCAUUUUCUCAUUUUUAUUUUUUAAAAUUGUUUUUAAAAAUCGUUUUCAAAAAGGUUACCGACAGGGUGUGAAUUUCAAAAAAGUAGAGACGCGAGAGCAAGGCGGCGCUCUCCCUCUUGGUGGGGUGUCGAUCUUGGGUACCAAAGGCGGCGACGCAGAUUAGCUUUCUGUGUCGAUCGUGCUUGGCAGCGGGUAGAGGAAUACUUUGCGGCGGCGAUUCGAUUGCUUUCAUCGUAUUGUUCCCAGUUUGGUUGGGAUCGAGACCGCAAGGGGUUGGUGUGUUUUACCAAAUGCGGCUUGGGUUUCAUUGGAGGUGCACAGUUCGUUCUCAGAUCCUUUAAGUGAGGGUAUCUGAGCACUAGGUCUUGACAUUGUUGAAGGUCAAAUUCGUCAAAGCAUUGUGUCCCCGCUGUGGAGGCUUGCUGGAUGGUUUUCGGUUACGUCUUCUGUGAAGGGAGCGGUAACGAUCGCAGCAGUCUGACCGGGCGUCAGAGAUGAUGCUUGUGGUGAGGUGCGGGCAAAGGCCGGAAUCAGUGGCGGCGGAGUCUGGGGUGCCCUUUUGGGUGACCAUUGUAAGGUCCUCUAUUGGGCCUGUGUCCAUGACCUAGGGUUAUCUUUUAAGGUUGGGCCCAGGUUGAAUAAUUUGCUAGGAUUGGCUCUCUAAUUCUUUCUGUCAUUAGCUAGUUCUUUCAAAUUUUUUGGAUUCUCUAGUUUCGAGUUUAUUAGUCUCAUGGUAGUUUCGGUUGCAUGACAUCAGUAUUAUCGGUGAGUAUUAAUUAAGCCAAUUUGGUUUAUGGAACUGCUUGGAUUAAAUUUUUAUAAUCUCUCAAAUUGUCCCUACAUAUAAAACCUUUAUACCAAACACGAUUUUAUAAACUGAGGGUACAAUAGGGAAACAAUAAAUAAGAAAAUACUCUGAUAGUUGGGAGCAAACUCUCAACCACGUUUUAAGGAGAAAAAAAGGUAAUCCACUCCCACUCAAAUUCAGUUGCUCUCACCCUUAAAACGUGUUGGGAUGGGAAAUAGAAGGUUCAUUGUUUCUUUGAACAAAAAUCAAUAUCUCAGAAAAUCCGCUCAACUGCUAUACAUGAAGAUCGAGAAAUCAAGCACACAGGUUGUAUAUCGAUCAAGAACACUUCUCUAAAUUUCAUUAUUUGCAUUUGCGACCAGAUAUGUAAUCACAUAGUGCUUUCUCUUUAGAUUCGGAUCUUGAAUGCAUCAAGGUAAUAUUUCUCUUCUUUUGUCAGUAUGUACUGUAAGAAAAGAAAAAGAAUUUGAAAUAUUGCGUUUCGGUGUACAUGUACUCCAUCAAGGCGAUUGAUGAACUUCUUCUUGCUCUUUGUUGAAUUGGUUAUGGUUAAGUUUAUAUUUAUUUGACCAAUUACUUGUUUUACUUCUGUACGUGUAUCUCAUGUGUUCAACUUCGAUUACAUAUUACAUGCAAGUUUUUUAUUCACUUUUUCAAUACGUACUUGCAUGGAUUGAUUAUGUAUAUAUACAUGUUUAUAUACUUUUCUUUGCUUCUGUUUCAAAUAAUACAGAUCUAACGAGAGUGAGCAGAGGUGCAUAUACAGGAAAAUAGUAUGCCGAGAGACAGACUUCUAUUUUUGAAGAAUAACCAGUGGGUAAGCAAUUUGAUUUUGUAAAGUAAAAAUCAUUCAUGUUAUAUGCUUUAGCCAAUACAUCAAGUAAUAUGGAGCUUGAAAAAUAGUAGACGCCGAUUUUGAGAGGAAUGAGAUAUGUUAUCAGUUUCUCACUUAUUGUCUUCAGUGCAGUGCAGAAUGAUGUCAAGACGUUUCCAUCCAAUCAUGUAUGUGUAACAUCAAUUGGAAACUGAAGGUUAGAUGAUAUUUGAAUGAUUUGAAGCAUCUAAGGUCUGAUUAAGUAUAAUGCAGUUUUGUGUCUUUAUUUUCCUAGUUUAAUAUUUUGCAGGGAGAACGAACAAACAGAAUGAGGAACCUCGUAUGGAAGUUUUGGUCAUCGAAAUUUUUGUCUUCUUCGCGUUAUAUAAGAUAGUCUUCUUUCAUGCAAAGAAGAAAACAUAUAAAACAUCACUUUGAUAUAGAGAAGGAUGGGGACGUCUGCUGUGUAUGCAGUGCAUGGAGUACUAACCAUGUCUGGGUGUUGUCUGGCUGACGACGUCAACACACAAUGAGGCAGUCAAAUUAGAAAUUUUUACCUCUGAUAUGUGUGUAAUCGUCAUCUCACAUUCCCACCUAAUCCACCUGACCAUGGAGGACAUCAAGCAAACAGAGAGAGUUCGGGUUUGGGUUUAGGGUUGAGAUAAUAUCCUCUCUCUCAGUUCGGGUUCGAUCCGGUCUGUGCGGCGGCGACGUUUUCAUAUCGGCUCUACAUUCGUUUCAGGCGCCUUUCGCAGAUCGGCAAACGAUGUCAAUUUUUUUUUUGUUGGUAUCAGAAACGACGUAUACCGAAACGGGAUCGAGUUCAAUUUACAGGAUCGAAGGCCGAGUUGAGUCGGUGGUGUUGGAAGGAGCAAAGAAAGAAUGCGACUAAAUUGAAUUGAAGUUUCUGAUUCGAUUAUAAUGGAUUUUUAGUGUCUAAUUUGCUUGUUAAGGAUUGAUUGGGUUAAACGUCUAAAGAGAUGAGUCACCCCGACAUCGUCCUAUUAUGUAAAUGUGGUCUGGGUUAGAUUUAACGAAUUCCAUUUCUUUCUGGCAAGAUUUCAAUCAAGAUUUUUCUACUUUUGAUGAAACUCUUAACAUGCUUGAAAUGGAUACUUCCUUAAUCAUAAACUAACCUUUAACCAUGUAUAUUUGAUUCUAGCUAGCACUAUAUCCUAAAUCAUUUUGUUCCUUCAAUGCUCAUGGAUUUGGUUGUUUGUGAAAAUUUAAACACAGGGCUUGGAGUUUGGUUAGCUUCUGUUUACUGGAAGCCAUGUGUAUCAGUUUAUAAACUGAUUUCUCUCUAUCUUCUUGUUUCGGUAUUUUCUCCCAAAUAUGAUAAAGCUUCCGGAAGUCUUUGGUUUCUUGGUCUUGCUAUACACAGGUUGCUGCUGAUUACAAGGUGGUUGCUUAUACCCCAGAUGUUAUGGAACGGAGAAGAAUGCAGGCAGAUGCACUUCCAGCUGUAUUUGAAACAUAUUUUCACAUAUUGAAGCACACAAUGCAGUCAUCAACUGUCAGGUUUAUAGUGCAUCAUUUUUCAUGAACUUCUAAUCUGUCUUGUCCUAUGAGUCUGGUUUAGCUUAAAAUUUUAGUUAGAGAAAGAAAGAGAGGAUUUGCAUAUUGAGGUGUCUUCAAGUCCCAGAAUUGUUUUAGGUUCCAUAUUAGGCAAGUCAAACGUUUGGGGGAACCACUCUAGUCUAUUGGUUAUGUAAAGGCGGUUUAUUUGUUGCCAUUCGGUUACCAUGUAAACCAAGAAGUUGUGGAUACAUCUGUAAACUGCACAACUGUUCAAUGAUUUGUUUUUUAUUUCUUUCUUUUUUGAUGUCCAUUAUGUGUAUUAUAGAUAUAGGAUAUUUGAAGUAAGCUUACAAAGACAAGCAUACAUAAGCUCUGAGACUUAAUAGGCUAUGGAUGACAUGGUUUCUAGAAAAGUUGAUAGGCUAUUCACUAAAUCUAGUAGGCAAUAAAGAAGCUUGGUAUCUAAUUCCGCCCAAAAAUAAUCAUCAUUUACCUUGUCAUCCGACAUUCGAUCUUGUUGAAGAAAUUUAUGUUCAUUUCUAUACUUCCAAUGUAUCAGACCUUUUCAGUCUUGUGACAGUUUAAUUCUUGUAAAUGCAUACACUCGAAUGGUUGUUUACGCUCAAACAGGCUUCUUUAUGGAUACCUCAAAUGUAUAUGUUGUUUGGAUCAACUAGGCAUUCAAAGUUCGGUGGAUUAAGAGUUCUGAAAUCGGAGUCUGUCUGGAGUAAUUUAUAUUUGUUCUUUCUGGUAGUCUACAUCUGCAGAUUUUUUGUAUAUAUCAGAUUUCAAAUACAUUCACAAAUUUCAUGUAUUUUGUUACUCAGAUCUGAAGCAAAUCUUGGUGUAUCAACCGGUGCUAUGGACUGUGGACUAACUGCAGGGUUAGUACGUAAUAGUGCUCACUUGCUGUAAUGGUUGUCAUCUUGUCAUUUGUUUUGUUAUUUGGUCUACCUUUUAUAGGCUCUCUCUCCUGGCUUUGGAUAGAUGUACCUCUCUAUAUAUCAUCCAGUGUAGCUUUUCAGUCUUGCUUAAACAUCUGUCUUUUAGUCUGGUCCAAUACACAAAUGUUAUGCAUGAAGAAUGACAAUCAUGGUCGUUGGUUUGAAACCUUUUAACCCAGAAAAAGUUCUUACCGGUACUUCAUUGAAUCAUGACUUCCCUUGAUGAUUCUUCACGUUCUCAGUUCAUGCAUGUCCUUUGGUUCUGUCUUGUUUGGUCCCUAAAUUUCACAAGAAAAUUGAUUCUUGGCUGAUGGAUCUAUUGGCUCUCUAGUUGAUUUCAUUUAAUUAUUAAACAAGCACUGCUUUUUGUACUACCAGUAAUUCAUUGAUUGGUUGUGUUACAUGGAGACUUUCAUUGGAUAUCCUAUAUAUAGUGAUCAUACCACAUAUUCUAUGCUGUUUGAUAUGUUUGUUAAAGAGUCUCACUGGAUUCAUUACGUGUCUUUAAAUGUGUGCGUCUCAGUUUAUUUUCAUGCUCAGUUUUUGAAUUCCAGGAAUGAUUAAUAGUCAUAAUUCUAAUUUUUGGCGGUAGAAAAUGUUGUAAUAGGUGUAAGACUAUAUCUGCACAAUUACUUAUCUGUUUUUCAUUUCUAUUUUGUGCUGUGUAUUAAGUUGAUCCUUGCAUCAUGAUGUUAGUUCUUAUGUUUAAGACUAAUAUAUGUUUCUCUCCCUAGGUUUGAUUCGCCUAGUGUGGCUUAGGUUGUUCGUUCGUGUGAAAUAUACUGACAAAAAUUUCAGAGAUGGUUUUGGCGGUCGAAGAAGGAAGGGAAAGCGAGCUGGAUCGGAUAUGGUUUUCAGGUUUGGGUUUGGGAAGGGAUUUGAGGCUCGGCAAUAGAUUGGGAAGACGGGCAUUCAAUUUAGGGUUCCUCCCUCCUCCCUCCUCCGCUUCAUGACCCGAGCUCAGCUUCCCCACUCGAUCCACACCUCUGAAUCUGAAAUCAGAGCUCGCCGUCCAUGGCGACGCGGAAUCGGACUCCGCUCUUCAUAAAGUACCGGGAUGUGUUGAAGAGCGCCCGCGCUCCGUUGAGCUCGUCGGCGUCCACCAGCUCUGGCGGGAGAGGUCCGGUGAUUGAAUUGUCGUCGCUUGUGAAUUAGAAUCAAAACUAUGCUCCGCUCAGUACUGAAGAUCCCGGUAAUUCAAGGUCUCUCUUUCUCUAUUGAUCUCUGGAUUUGAAUUAAGCAAAUUGAAAGGUGUGAUAUUUAGUUGGAUUGAAGUUUGGGGAUUUUGAAUUGGAACUGUGGAAUGUGUGGUUUAUUUGAAGUUAGUGAGCUUAAUGCGGAUUAGGUGAUGUUGAAUUAGAACAUUUAGAUAGGAAUUGAAGGCUGGAUUGUUAGAUGAGAGUUUUUAAAGUUUUGAUAUUUGAAUGAUCUUUAGGUUGGGAGUGAUACAUUAUGAUUUUUUUGAACUUGUUAGAUUAGACUUCUUAACAUUUUGGCAUUGGUUGUUUGAAUGUUCAAGUAGCAAUCUUUAGGCAGAAGGUGAAGUUAGAAGUGGAUUGUGAUGAGAGACUUGAAGAUUUGAAGAGUUGAAGUUUAUGGAGAUUAUUGGUUAUAAAUUAUCAUUGUGAUAUGAGUUAGCUUCAACAAGUUACCAAAAUGAGCAAUUCAAAUGGUUUAGGAUCCUGCUAUCAUUGAGUUUGAUGUUUAAGCGUGAACAUUAUUUGGUAAUCGUGGAGAAUGUGGUAAUGCAGAAUCCCACACAUCUAAGUGCUUAUAUUUGAAAAACUUAUUUGAAUUGCUGAGUAUCUCUGUGUUUGUUUCUGUUGUGAGCUCUCUUUGUGAUCCUCAGCCACAUAGGCUAGUCUGGGCACAGGGGAAUAAUGUGAUUGUUCCGAUAAACCCUUUGUGAAUUUAUCUUUCCCUUUUUAGUUGUAAAAAGGGAGAAGCAAAUGUGCUGAUAUUGUGAUAUGAUAUGGCAAGAUUGAUGUGAUACACAAUGUAACAUGUGAUGAUCAUGUCAGCUUGUGUUUUGAACAAGACUGAAAUCAGUUUGUUAAUAAUAUGGGCUGUGUAGCGAGUUAGAAAAUGGUGUUUUGUUGUUUUGUUCUUUAUGUUAGUUGCUUUUUGAACUACUUGCUGUGUUUAUUACCACAUCAUAACUCAUUACCCUUUGUUUGUGUAAUUUCAGGUAUUGAACAAGGCAAUGACAAUGCUUAGUCGUGAUUGAAUGUAAAGUAAGAAGCAGCAUAGGAGUUUUUGACCAUAUCUAACUGUUGAACUUAGUUUUUCAUAUGUUUAUUUUGAUGAGUAGUUCUGCUGCAAUGUUUUGAUUUUGAUUUUGUUGACUUCUCUUCUUUGGGGUUGUGCUUGUUAUGUCAGCCCAUUAUUAAAAGAGAACAAUUAGAUGUCCUUCGACAUAAUAAUAAUAUUGCGUGCAAUCUUAUUAUUAGACUUUUGGACCUUUUCUAUAUUGAUCUUUUGAAACCACCCUGCAUAUGCCUGAUAUGUUGUAUUAAUGCACUUGAAGAAUGUAAAAAGAUUUGGAUUCUCAACAUGGUAACCUCAUGUUUAGGUUAUAGAAAGUCAACUGGGCAGCUGUAUCUUUUGUUAACAAAGUUAUUUCUUUGUUCCAAAAUUCUUUCACUUUCUUGCUAUAGUAGUGAGUUUUUUGCAUAAUAAGUUCAAUUUCGCAGCAAUCUGUGAUUUUGUUGGCAUUGUAUACCUAGUCUGCAUGAGUCCCAAACUGGAAGACGAAUUGCGUAUAAAACCUAGUCUGCAUGAGUCCCAAACUGGAAGACGAAUUGCGUAUAUGUGUUUCUUAGGGGAUUUCUGUUAAUUUUGAGGCUCUAUACUAGGUACUUGUCAGAUUUAUGAUAGUCGUGUUUACUUCCAUAAACAUCUGCGGUAAGUAGUUCAGGAUUAUCGUGUAGGUAAGCUUUGAAUUGGCUUUCUUCAUUCAUGGGUUUUCUGUGUUACCUCAAAAUGUACUGGAAAAAAGAAUUAUGUCGUAUAAGUAGUUCAAGAGUCUACAAACUGGAUUUCACUGGAAAAAAAUGUUGUUGAUAUGACCACAAAUUCUAAUGUUACCAGUUCAAAUGGAACAACAACUUGGUGCAUUGCUUCGAGUAAAGCUUUUGUAGCGGACUUGCAGAAUGCCUUGGACUGGGCUUGUGGUUCUGGGAAUGUGGACUGUACCCCGACUUUAAUGAAGUGAAUUCAGCCAGCCAGCCUUGUUUGAGACCCGGACUUUAUCCGAAAUACGUGAUUUUUUCAACCAUAGCUGUAUUUUACCAUUCUGAUCACAUCUUAUUUUACGUGAUUUUUGAAAAUUUUGUUUCCACUGUAAAGUUGGUUAACAAAGAUGUACACUUGUAUAUAACAGUCAUACCACAUUAGUAGGCACGUUGUGAUUUCGAUGACUAAAAUUCAUAAAAUGAAAAUUCUCCGUCUGAUAUGAUCAUCGUAGUGUACUAUGACUAUGGUAUAAAAUUCAACUGGAUUUGGCAAUGUUUGGGGCUCGAUCGAAGCAGUCAACCCUAAUCUAUGGUCACCUAUACAUGGAAACGCUCACACCUACGUCGACUCUUCCACACAUUAAACUCUUACAUAGAUGAGACGAAACCGCCCAUGUAAAAAUUUAGAGACGUUUACCUCCCGACGAUAGGGCUCCCGAUAGAGAAACAUAAACGUAAAAAGAGUUGACCGUUUAUAUCCGGACCCAUACUGUACCCGAAAUACAUGAUUUUUCAAUCAUAACGGUAUUUCACCAUUUCGAUCACAUCCUAUUUCACGUGAUUUUUGAAAAUUUUGCUUCCACUGUAGAGGUGAUUCACAAAGAUGUACACUAAUAUAUAACAAUCAUACCACAUUAGUAGGCACAUUGUGAUUUUGAUGACUAAAAUUCAUAAAUUGAAAAUUCGACCGUCUGAUAUGAUCAUCAUAGUGAACCAUGGCUAUGGUAUAAAAUUCAACUGGAUUCGGCAAUAUUUGGUGCUUGAUCGCAGCGGUCAACUCUAAUGUAGUGUCACUUAUCACACGAAAACGCUCAUACAUACCUCUCUGUGACCUGGUUUGGUCACGUCUUCCACACAUUAAACCCUCACAUAUAUGAGACGAAGCGACCCAUGUAAAAAUUUAGAGACGUUGCCUCCCGACGAUAGGGCUCCCCAUAGAGAAGAUUAAGCGUAAAAAUGGUUGACCGCUUUUCUCGGGACCCAGACGUUACCCGAUAUAUGUGAUUUUUCAACCAUAGUCGUAUUUCAUUGUUCCGAUCAUAUCCUAUUUCACGAGAUUUUUGAAAAUUUUCUUCCUCAGUGUAGUUGGUUCACAAAGCUGUAAACUUACAUAUAACCCACUAAACUAGUUAUACCACAUUAGUAGGCACGUUGUGAUUCUAAUGACAAAAUUUCACAAAAUGAAAUUUCGACCAUCUGAUGUGAACGGUAUUGUAAAAUACGGCUAUGAUAGAAAAAUCAAAUGUAUUAGGCAACGUUCGGGCCUUUAUCUAAACGGUCAACCCUAAUUCAUCGUCACUUAUCACACAUAAUCGUUCUUAACUACCCCUCCGCGACCUAGUUUGGUUGAUCAUUCCACACAUUAAACUUUCACAUAGAUAAGAUGUAAUCACCCAUGUAAAAGUUAGAGGACAUUUACCUUCUGAUGAUAGGGCUCCCCAUAGGGAACAUUUAGGGUAAAUAAGGUUGAUUGUUUUGAUCGGGGCCCUAACAUUGCUGAAUUAAAAUAUUUUUUCUAUCAUUGCCGUAUUUCACUAUUUCGAUCACAUUUUAUUUCAAGAGAUUCUUGCAAAUAGUUGCACUAAAAAGAAUUUUACACAUUGAUAACACUUCAUUAAUAGCGUUUAUUCACCAGUGCUAUAAUUGGCCAUUCUGACCUGAAAUAAAUAAAUAAAGGAAACGCUAUCUAAAGUCUCGCUCCUAUCAAAAUUCAAAAAUGAUAGCGGGGUCUAAAUUUUCAUUUUCCCUUUCCCACCACUUAUCGUGCCCGCCCAAAUAAAAAGUUAAAACACUCAUCAAAUCCGCCCGCCGCAGAAAGGUAAAGAACUUCUCCUUCUUCAGUACCUCAGACAAUCUCUCUCCUAAAUCCCAAUCCAUCUCUGCCGCUCCCUCAACCGCCGUUACGAUCUCCACUCGUCCUCAACCUUUCGACCCCUCCUCUCAAAGCUCUCUUUCCCCUAUUCCCGAAACCCUAAUGGGCGAAAGCUCGUGGAGGCCAUAGCUGAAGAUCUGAGGUCGGGUUUGGAAAACCUAAUUGGCAAAUGGUCUUCUGGUGUGGGAACUUCGAUUCAAGGUAUGCGGUUACGGAUUUUCAAACUCUAACCGGUGAAGGAACUUCUCUAACCUCUCUCAUCAUCUUUCUUUGCCUCUAUGCAUUCAUGUGGAUGGGUAAUCAGAUUUGAUUAUUAACUGUAGUUGUUCAACUAUUGAGGCUUUAGAGACAAUUGGGGAUCUUUUGUUCAGUUGGGUUUCCAAUUGUUAUUGUUUACUUUUAGUGAAUUCGUUUCAUGUUAUUGUUCGAUUGAACUUUCUCUAAUCAAAACAAUAAACCCUCAAAAUUACUAAAUGAUUAGGGGUUUUCUGUACUUGUUUCUUAUUUCAGAAAAUCCCAAUGAGCUUAGUUUUUGGAUUCUGUCAUACUUAAUGGUAAAUGGCCAAAUAGAAAAUACGGACGAGUUCCUUUGUUUGUUUUUAUGUUUUUGUUUUUCUUCUUUGUUACAGAAUAGCUGAGAGUUGCAAUUCAGAUAUGAAAAAUUGUGUGAGAGUCAAAUUCUAUGUGCUCAUUAUAGUUUAGUUUCAAAGUAUGCUUUGGAGACAUCAGUCAUCCUAUAUAUAUUCUUUAUCUGCGAGGGCAUGGGGUGACAGUAAAAGUAAAGCCAUCUCCCAUGACCAAAUUCUCUGAUUUGGAAUUGGAAUAGAAUGGAUCAUUUGGCUUUGUUUGCAGGGUGUGAGGACAGUAGAGUUGGCUACCACGUGACUUUUUUGUAAAUUCGGUUGGUCACAUAUAUACUAGAAUAACUGGUAUAUAUAUGUUAUCUAUCCCAAGUAGAACUAAUAUAGCUAGUUUUUGAUUUACAUGAGAACAUAUUAAUGUGACUUGUGGAAUUAGGUUUUUGGCACUGCCUACAUUUGGAGAAGGGUGGCACAAUUCAAGUAUGAAAAAUUUAUUUGAGAUUCACAUUCAGUGUGCCCUUUUUAGUUUAAUUUCAAAAUAUCCUUUGGAGACAUUGGUCAUCCUAUAUAAGUAUAUAUAUUGUUUUUUCACUCUUACUCUUAUUUAGAUGGUUGGCCCUUUAACAUUGAGUACCUAUAGAAUCAGUUAUGAAUGUUAUAUUUUCAGGCUCUGAUUUUUCUGACUUUUAACUUCUCAUUGUUUGACCUUUUGUUUUGAUUAAACCUUGGUGAAGAACUAUGGAAGCAGCAUGUGAACUGGGCAAGAAAUAAGGGACAGUGCUUGACAUGAUACAAUGAUUUCUCUAAGGAACCCUGUUGUAAAGGUUUACUACAAGAACCAUGUAAUUGUAAGUGAAAAGCACAUAUUAUUCUAGUCUUAUCAGUUUGGAAAUUAAGCCUAGAGGGUUAUGAUUUAUGGCUUGUUGGGUAUGCAAAAUGUGCUUUCUUACCUUCAUUUUUUUGUUCUUCAGAUGUGUGUUGAUGUGUGUAGAUAAUCGAUUGUGUGUGUGUGUGUAUACACUGACCUUUAUUGUUUGAAGGGUUUUGUUUGAUCAACUACAGCUAGACAAUGGCAACUAGGUAAGAGAAAAACCUACAAUCUAGUUGAUGCUCUAACUCGACAUAUUGUUCAAGUAUUUAGCUUUGGUUUGUCUUUUAUUUGGACCACUUUAGAUUGCUUUGCUCUUUUUGUUGUUCAAUUUAUUGUAAUCUAAUGAUAUAUUCAUUCUAUGAUAUUUUACUGGUUAUUCGGUUUAUGUAGCUCAGUUAUGAGUCUUUUACUAUUAAGUUCAUUCUUCUUUACACAACCUGCAGGAAAGAUACAACUAGAUGAAUGCUAAAAAAAAAGAUUUAAAUUGACAUAUAAGUGGAAGAGCUCAACUUCAAAAUUGAAGAGUUUGUCACCUUCAAGUCACUUGUUGAUAAGUGGCUAAGUGUCUCAGCAUCAAGAGUUUUAUAUAUGCUUUAGAGAGUAAAUAAUUUAUUAGGAUUUGUAUCAAGAGCACACAAGGUAGUGAAACAUGUUGGCUAGCUGAGAGAACGCAGAGGUGUGUAAUUUGAUCAAUGACACUUGUAUUUUGAUUGUUUUGAGAUUAUUAAUGAAAAUAAUGUUGUUGUGAUCACAGAUUUCAGAUAUAUUAUUGUACUUCCGAGUUGUAAUUACAUUGUAUUGUAAACAUUGAUGCGAAAUCUACAAGACAAUACAACAAUUAAAAUGUUAUUAGGUAUAAAAUCAAGCAAAUGCUAUGGAUUGUGUUUUGUGAUUGCUUUCUUCUUUUGUGCUCUUUUGUGAUUGCUUCUUCUUUUGUGCUUCUUGUAUCUACCUUGAUGCGGGUUUGGAGGCAAAGAAAGUACAUCAGUUGAUCCUUUUUUACACCAAUCUCAAUUGAAAGCCACGCUCUAAAUUCAACUGUCAUAAUUCAGCAAGGUAAAACAGAGUAAGAAAACGAUCCUUUAUAUACACAUGCAACUGAUUGCAUUUUAUUUACAAAGCUGUCCAUCACAUGGUAUCAAAAUUUACAUCAGAUGUACCCAGAUCAGAGUGGACUUUCUACUUCAUACCACUAUAUUAACAAAAAGCCACCAUUCCAAACAAAUACGUACUGAGCACAAUCUAAUGCUCAAUAAAGCAAAAGUGAGGCACUCAGUCCACAAAGCAAGCAUAACUGGGUAAUGAACUCUGAUUUAAGUCAACUCUGGAAUAUCAGAAACAUCACCACACUUCUUUCCUGAGAACAUAUGAAACAUAGGGAAGUGAGCUUCACAAGCUCAGUAGGUACAGAAGAUAAUCAAUAAUACUAUGAUUCAAAUUUAGAAUGCAAUUGGAGUAAUGGGAAAGAAUAUCAGUAGUAAACGGAAUGAAAUGGAAUUAAAUUAUGAAGGUUGCUGCUGAGAAUUAUGAGAAUGGAAUCAAUGACUCAAUUGAUAUAAGGUUACUCAGCUUUCAACAAAGACGACAUUCAGCUUGGGACACUUAAAUAAACAACUGAACAUGUAAAAGGAACAACAAACUGAGACCAACACUUUUGAGUCACACUCUGUGACAUUAGAAAAUUAAACCCAACGCAAAUCUGACAAUAGCAAUAAGACCAGAGUCUUCUUUUUCUUUCAAACACUUUGUUCAACGUUCAGAAACCCUUGUUCUUCUUUUCCAACGAAAUCCUUGAAAUCCUUCCUUUUCCGGUUAGAGCCCAUUGCUCGUAUUAAGGCCAACGAGCACACCCCGAACAAGCGGAAAACCCUCGUAUUAAAGCCAACGAGGACACCCCGUACUAAGCGGAAUCCUGAUCAUUACAAAACUGUUGGUCUAUUCACCCUAGGGAGGAACAAUCCCUACUUAACUUAUCCCGGGCCUAAAUAAAUAAUACCGUUCAAAACCAAAAAUGUCCUUUCUGUAAACCUUUUGGCUUCUUUAAGCCAAAACAAUCAUUAAGGGAUUUCAAGAGACUGAAAUACUCUUUCUUAUAGAGAAGUUCUGCCAUGAAGUAAACCUUGAAAGGUAAAUCUCUUUUUGUGUUUGUCAAGAAACACAACUUUAACAACUCAUGCUUUAUGAAAAUCAAAACGAUAGAAACACUCAAGCUUGAGACUUUGAGACUUUAAAGCCGCAGGCAACAUAGCUUUGGCUCAGAUAUACUUUAAUGAGGAAACAUGUAAGCAUGAGAAGUUAAGAACCACCAAACUGAUAGUAAACAGGAAACUUAACAGGAGAACAAACAGGGGUAUACAUAUAGGUCUGGAAAUCUCAAAAGGGGUACAAUACGAAACAAACACAAAAUCAGAAGUAAGGUAUUGCAAAAGAAUGGACCUCUGUUUUGUAUAAAAAAAAACAAUUGAUUAAAUUUAGUUUUGACCCCAGACUUGAUGAGGAAAUCAGAACUUCAUUUAACAACUCAACAAACAAUGCAAAUAUACAUAUGUGAUUUGCUCAUCGCAGCAACCUAAGCUUAGUAAGACAAAACAGGGACCAAUCUGUUUUCUUUUUAGUAUUUGAAACUUUCCCCAGAUAUAGGCAUAUGUGAAGGGACCUGGUGUAUACUUAGUAAACUGAUAAUGGACAUGGAUAUCUGUUCAAACUCGAAGGUAAUUUGCAGCAAGACUAGUUCACAAUAGGAUUUGUUUUUAGGAAUACUACCAGUUGGAGUGUUUUUAACGUUUAAUAAGGCAAUGACCAAUAAUCAUGUGAAUUCAAGGGUAGAUUACCGAAGAUGUAUUCAGCGGUUCCUCCCGAGCUUUGAACAUAGACUUGACGCUGCCCAGAACUGCCUCAUUUAGGGCAGAAACCUACAGACAAUAAAGAGAAUCACAAGACAUUCCAAAGAAAGCAGAAUCAAAUUGAUGAGAUGCUACAAAUGUGAAGUAUUUAUACAGACCAAGUAUAGAACUUCCCGAGACCAAGUAUACACAACAUACACAUCUCUAAAUCACUCCUAUUCAAUAUAGGAUGUAAAAUGCAAUUCCCACGCAUAAAGAACAAGACCGCAACUAAAGCAAUGAAAUAUGCACACACACCUGGCUACCGCAAUGACAACGGCUCCAACAACCUUCCCAAUCUGUACCGCCGCAAGUCCAACACCUCCUGCUGCACCAAGCACCAACAACACCUACAAAUAAAACCGAAAAUGAAGACUGUACAAUGUACACAUGCAAUCACCAACAGUUUGUGUUCAAAUUGCAGACAUGAAAUUGCCUAUGUUUAUGCACAAGCAACUUAUAUUAACCCCAACUGGACAUGAGAGUCUAGAUACUGAUUUUGAGCUGAUAGAGUUACUAACAUAGAUGGGCAUGCUACUGUCUUUCUAAAACUAUACCUAAUUGACAUCUCAGUCCAUUUUAUCCUACAAGAUAACUGUAGAAUUGGAUCCAUACAGCCUUUCAAUAAACAGAAAAUCCAAAUGAACACACAGAUACACAAAGAUAGCUUCUAGUAGACAGAAGCUAACCAUACUCCAAGCCCUUGUGUUUAAAUUUUCACAAACAACCAAACCCAUGAGCCAGAAUCAAAUAUACAUGGUUAAAAGUUAGUUUAUGAUUAAGGAACUAUCCAUUUCAAGCAUGUUAAGAGUUUAAUCAAAAGUAGAAAAAUUUUGAUUGAAAUCUUGCCAGAAAGAAAUGGAAUUCGUUAAAUUUAACCCAGACCAGAUUCUCAUAAUAGGAGGAAGUCUGGGCAACUCAUCUCUUUAAUCAUUCAACCCUAAACAAGCAAAUCAGACACUAAAAAUCCAUUAUACAGUAUCAAUACCUGAAAUCGACUCAGAAACUUCAAUUCAGUAGAUGAUGGUGUGUUUCUGAGUCACAUUCUUUCUUCGAUGUUAGCUACUUUCAAAUAAAAAAGACGACGAUGAGGUGUCUCCUUCCCAUCACUCCUGUUGCUUUGUAAUCUCCUAGCUGAACCUCAAACCUUUGCUGAGGGUGAGGCCGGUGCGGGACAAAUCCCAAGUUGGGGGAAUUUCAUCGAUGGUUUACGGGUUUGGGUGAGACUGUGAGAGAUGAUCGGGUAUUAACCAAUGCGAAGCUUCUUCAACACACCUCUCUAGUUACCCACCUCCAUAUCAUCGAGUUACCGAACGUCAGGCGCAUCACGCGCUAACUGGGAUAACGGAGCCUCACGGGAAAGUGAAAGUACUCGAGGUACUGCGUACAUUCCAGAACUCACCACAGAAGGAUUGGUAUAUGUAGAUGUCUACCUUUUGCUUUGGUUUAAUAAUGUAGAUUGUAGAGUUGCUUCAUUGUACACCAUUCUUAACGUAAAAGUGAAAUGUUAACUUGAGUGUUUUUUUCACUCAAUAUGAAUGUUUUUUUUUUUUGGUAACUGGCAACUCUCUGUUACUAAGAAAGAUUANNNNNNNNNNNNNNNNNNNNNNACACACGCAUCACGCAUGCGUAAACACGGCCAUUUCGCGCGUGUAAAUUUGCCAUUUUUUUUUGCUUUAUUAAAGGCUUAACAUCCAUUUUAUAAAAAUAAAAAAUAAAAAAGACGUGAAUGUCAGUUCCUAAUUUUUCUAAUAUUUUAAUUAAUUUAUUUUUAAAUUUAUUUCGGAUUUUAUGGAUAAUUAAAUAGAUAUUAAACAUGAUGGUGGGGAUAAAUAUCCCGGUUGUUAGUAGAAACAAGAAAAUGAUUCCAAAUGGUACAAGUUUCAGUUCAUAUCAAUCCCUUUCUUCCUGCAACCCCGCAUCUUCCAACCCGUCGAAAUCUAACAUGGAAAAUCAGUGAAGCUAAUUCCUCGUCUUCUCCUGCUUCUAGUAGUUGUGGGUAUAGCUACGAUAAACAAAGGACUGAUGGUCAACUAGUAUUGCCAAAGAAGAAGAGAAGCCGGGUGUUCUUUCUAGAUGUUAAUCCUCUGUGCUAUGCUGGAAGUAAACCCAGCUUACACUCUUUUGCUAACUGGGUCUCCUUAUUUUUCAACCACGUCAGCCUCUCUGACCCUGUCAUCGCUGUAAGCUCUCACAAAGAUCACUGAGCUAGUUAGUUGGUUUGAGUUUUUAUUUAGUGUAGUUUAUGUGUUAUACUGUGGCAGGUUGUUGAUGGUGAAAGAGGAAGCGAGCACCGCCGGCAGUUGCUGCCUUCGUAUAAAACACACAGGUGGAAAUUGUCAAGACAGUUUUCAAAAGGUCAUGUUGGAAGGUCACAUGGACUCAUCACUGAUGUUUUUACAAAAUGCAAUGUGCCUGUGAGUUACCCUUCUUGUCUUGUGUCUCAACAUGAUUCAAGGCUAAUUUCUCGAGCACAUAGCAGAAUUCAUGUGUUGCUAUUCUACAGAAAGCUAUUACAUGUUACCAUUGAACUAUAAUGAUUCUUACUCUUUACACACCAGUUUCUAAACUUCAGUAUUCUCUAAACUUUACAGAUAAUAGUCUUAAUAUUUAUACAGCAAAAAUUAAAUUGCCAGUAACAGGAAGAUAGAUUCUAAUGCCAAUUUGAAUUUUGAAUUCGAUAAACUUUUAAUUAUGGAUUUAAGUUAUCUAAUCAAUUUUCUCUCUCUUUUGACAAAGGAAAAUAAAAAAUUAAAUUAAAUUAAAUUGUGCUCCACACCGGAAGUCUGCUCCGUAAUGUAAUAUUGGGUUCCUUCUAACAUAAAAUGCCAUUCACCUUUUAAUUGUAUCAGAUACUUUUGGACCAAAGGACUAGAUAUUGAAGUGUUUUAUAUGUUUUGGUAUCUUAGCUUCAUAAUCCAAAGAAAAAUUAUGCAGGUCAUAAAAAUAGAUGGCCAUGAAGCUGAUGAUGUUAUAGCUACUCUUGUGGAACAAGUUCUACAAUUAGGAUAUCAAGCUGUGAUUGCGUCUCCUGAUAAAGAUUUUAAGCAAUUGCUUUCAGAGGAUGUCCAAAUCGUUAUGCCCCUGGACGAUUUAGAGCGCUGGUCCUUUUACACCCUUAAGCACUACAUGGCUCAGUAUAAUUGUGAUCCGUGCUGUGAUUUGAGCCUCAGUAAGUCUAAGAUUAAUAUGGUCAUCCUACAUUCCUACUAUGUAUUAAUUUUAUUUCCAUAUACAUAUUAUUUGAUAAAUGUUAUGAUUGUUUGUAGAAUAAUGAGAUGUAGAGACCUUGUGCAUGAACAUUGUCUCCACAGAUGUUAUUUCGGGUGAGUGUGCCUCUGAUAUAUUAGGUUCAUGAUUUGCAUAGCUUUUAUAGAGUGAUUGAAAAAUAAUACCACUAAGUGGCCUGGAAUAUGAUGAGCACUGGUAGUGUGAACACUGGUACUGUCUAUAAUUGUACUAGAAAGGAUGACAAUUUUGGAGAGUAACUGUGCAGCAAUGUUUUGGUUGUUAUUUUAGUCAUAUAUGCACUUAAAGCACAAAAAUGGUAAUAAUAGGAAUAAUCUACAAUACAGUUCACAGUAUUGGGGUAGCAGAAGUAAGUUACUGUUAAUUCAUCACCUUCUUUGAUGUGUUAUUCCACCUCCGGAAGUUUUUUUCUGGGAUGGAUUUUGAUCUGAUGAACUAAGGGAAUAUUCUCUUUUCACUUAAUAUGAAUUCACUGCCAACUUAUGUCUAGGAUGCAUUGUGGGAGAUCAGGCUGAUGGUGUUCCUGGGAUCCAACAUCUGGCUCCUGGGUUUGGUCAGAAGACUGCCCUGAAGCUCUUGAAAAAACAUGGCUCAUUGGAAAAUUUACUGAACAUAGCUUCAGUAAGAACUGUGGGCAGACAGUAUGCGCAAGAUGCUCUUACAAAGUAUGCGGAUUAUCUACGAAGGAACUAUGAGAUUCUUGCCCUUAGAAGGUAAUGCAUGUGAUUUUAGUUUGAUGUUUCUUAUCUUUCCUGCGACAGUGCUGCUACUAGGCAGAGUCUUUAAGUGUGUGUGAGUCUCCAACUAUUUUUGAUAUUUCCAAGGUCAUAUAAUUCUCCAGGGAUGUCAAUGUUCAACUUAAAGAGGAGUGGCUUGUUCCAAGAGACACAAGCAACGAUUCAAAUACUUUGUCCAACUUCUUUAAAUUCUUGGAAGAAACUAAGGAGUUCAUUCAUCAAAAUGGAUCUAUUUCAAAUGGCUAAGUUAAUAGGUAAUUUCUUAUAGCUUGAUAAGAUGCGGUUUCUCAUUUCAUGUGUUUUGAGGCUAUAUUCGUUGCUGGCGUUGGACAUAUUUUUUAUUUACCAGUAAGUUAAUUUAUACAUUUCUGAUUACACACUUUUUUUUCUCCCCUAUAACCUAGUUUGCUAGGGCUAUACAACUCUUUUAAGAGGGACGGUACAAUUGAUGUUUAUUGUUUUGAAACUGUCACUGAUGUCCUUAUAAUUUUUUUUGGUUAAAUUAUAAUUUAGAGUUUUAAACUAGUAACUAUUGCACACUCUCAAAGUGUUCGAUAAAGAAAAAUACAUACUCACGAAAGACUCCCUCUCAAAAGCUUUUGAAUAGUAUAUGAUUCAUUCUAACACCGCCACUUGUUUCACAUUGUGAAGUUUUGAACUAUGAUAUACAACUUUCAAAUUAUUUCCACAAAGGUAAACCAAGUUCACAAAAAAGCUGUUUUUCAUCCAUGCUGGUGCAAGACGACCAUUUAUAUUGCAUUAUUGAUCAAUCGAGAUGGAUAGCCAGACACAGGAAUGGUAAACCCAACCUUUUAUUUUAUUGAAAACCGUCUUAACGAAAUCAUCUUUUUGUUUUUUGUUUUUUGUUUUGUUCUGGUCUGAGUCUUAACAUGAUCUUACAUAACUUGUAAUGGAAUAAGAUGGUAACUCUGGCAGUUCAGUUAUUUCAUUGUUAUUUACUUUACUUUUCCUACAUCAUUGUGAUGCUGUCUUACAUAUAGCAUUCCUUGUUUAGUUUUUCUUGCAUAUGUCUGUAUUCAACAUGGUCUUGUUGACACUCGAUGGAUAUGAAUGAAAGAAUCUAAUGGAAUUGGAAACUAACGGAAAACUGCAGUAGCUUAUUGAUUAGAAGUGUAAGAGAAUGAAAAUCUUGUACAGUUUCCUUUUUUCCAUCAACCUUAGAUUUCAGCAAAUCUGGAAAAAAUAAACAAACUUAAGUUCAGCAAAAGACGAAUUUCAUACUGUUAUGUUUCACUCUGUUGAUCUCUUGAUAUGAAAGAAUAUACAGUAAGAGCGAUGCUCCUGUAAAUAUGAUUGAUUAUAGUAUAAGGUGCAUAGUUAUUUACAUCCUCUUUUUUACUCCCUCACCCAUUCGGCUUUCUGAUAGUUCUUUCUCCCCUUGCUUUUGGGAUCUCAGGUUUUCUUUUGCCAGUGACACGAAUAGAAGUGUCCAAGUGCCCAAGAUGCCAACAGGGCUUUGCUUUCAUUCUUUUCAAAAACUAGGUACUACAGUCAGUAAUAUGAUAAAUGUACGGAUUAUACUGAUGAAGUUUUGACCGUUUUGAAUUUAUAAAAUUUACGUAGUACCCCAACAGACGAGCACAAGGCAUUCAAAGAUGGAUUGUCGAGUGGACUACACCUGUGAUUUACCUCUUGUUUCAUUUUCUUUUCCAUGCCUGUUCAACUAACUGUCCAUUGCUUUUAUUUGUUUUCGACAAAGAGAAAUUGCAAUUAGACUGUUAAAAUCACCAAUAUUAACAGGAUGCUUGUAACGUGAACGAGGAAAAGCAUAAAAUCAUAGGCAAACCAAAGGAAUAUCUCUGGACGUGGAUUCAGGAAAGCAGACUAGUAACAAGCAACCAAGAUGAAAAAACUUAAUGGCAACCAUACUUGUAACAAUGGAAUGGACUGCUAGGAACGAAACGACUGAUGGAUGCUUGUAGUUGGUUGAGUUGGGCUGCCUGUGUGUUUUUGCUGCUUCACUGAUUAUAAUCAUUAUAUGGAUACUCGAUGUCUCAAAAACAGCAUUCCUAACAGUCUUCAUGUAACCGAACCCUUACCUGCCAUCGAUGAACCAAAAAGAGGUGAUAAACAAUCACAGACCACUAUUCAGACCAGGUUGUCGUCCACCUGAAGUAUACCCUCAACAAAACCAGCUUGAUUGAAUUUUUGUUCACGAGGGUGAUGGCCUAGUAACACCGAAAUGACACCGCCUCACAUCUUAGCCACUAAAAACCUUGUUCACAUCCACAAAUUCAUCCUCCUUGUCUACUAAGGAUGGUUCUUGCAGUAAGCUGUAAGAACCUAUGCAUGGAAGGAGUGAAGGGGAGGAGCAAAAAAAGAACUGAAAAGGUCAGCAUAACGAGGAUAUCACAUCCAAAACAGCAGAACUGGAAAGUACAUAUUUUUAAGAAAAAAAAAUGGAGGUAAGAAAAAUUUAACUGAUGGCAAUGAAUAUAUUUACUUACGAGGAUACUAUUUAAGCAUAUAUAUAGAGUUGCAAUAUGUGAUAGCAAAGUAACAAUUAAUUAAAUACUUCACUGACUAGUAAUCAAGUACUACAAUGGAAGAUAUUGUUAGACCUAUACACGUAGUUGAGUGAGCCAACUUUGCAAAAUAAUCUCCCAAAUUUUGGUAUACUUCUAGGCUAGACUUCCCCUCUGCAAAAGAUUGAGGACAAUGAUGAGGGUCUUGAAAUUGUAUUGCAAUUACUCCCAUGACCUCUUGCAAUUGAAAUGCUUGAUUCUUGCAAUAGUACUAUAUAGAAUACUAGUUUUCCAAGCCCCUGGCGAUUCAACAUCUUUUGAAUAAGAAAACAAGUAUUGGAGACAUUGAUCGAUUUGAUGACUGAUACUCACAGCAGAUCCAUUUCUCAACAGAUAGUCUAGAAACAAAGUGUCGUACAAUCUGCAGCUCUUCCCUGAAUUAAACAGAAGAUAAAUCUAUAGUAUAUAACUAGUUUUUGCCCCAAAUAUGAAGUAACAUGGAUUGAAGUGGAAUACUUAUGUAUCAUAUAUAUGUCAUGGAAUAUUGUAUUAUAGUAUGUCUAUAAUAUAUUAUAACAAACAAACAGAGGCAUAAGAAAGGAUUCACUGUACAAACUCUAAAACUUAACAGUUCACGCCAACAUAAACCAUUCCGACAGUUCCAUCAUGAAGCAAGUACAGCUAUUAUUUCAAGACCAAUCAAACCAUUCCCAGCUCGCAAGAGAAUAAAAGUUUCGACUUGUGAAGCAGGGGUGCUCAUAAACUUUUUAGCGUUGGUAUAAUAUUCGCCUCCUAUAAGCUUCGAUACACGAUCAAAGUUCAAUACUCUAAAUGAAUAUUGUCAGUCAUAGGGACUGCAAAAGUUUUAUACAAGAACAAGUAUGGAAUGAUUUAUUUAUUUGGUUUUGCACAAGAAAAGUGGAUCACAAUUUAGCUGGUAUACCACAGAAGGGUGAAAGAGAAGAAAAGCAAUACAUGUAUUAUAUUUCUAAGUUUAUAACAUAUGGUAAGCUUGGAAUGUGAAAGAGUGUAUUUAGGUUAUGAAACCUUCCUCAACUUCCGGACAUAUAAUUUGAAAUUUGAUAAAACGCAUAUUGGGAUGCACUUCCAAUUGCAGACCAGGAUGCAUGGAGAAAGUGUCAAGUAUGAUUCUUGAAUUAAUUUCUAGAUCACAUUGUUUUCUGAAUUAGACCCAGUAUCAAUACAGAUAGAAAAACAUAAAAUCAACAAUUUGACAAGGAUUUAGUUGGAUCCAAAUCCACUUCAAAAUUGUUUCACGCAACUAUGCAAAAAUCAGCAUGCAUGAUUAUGUGCACACUUGUGGACAUUGUUUUUAGAAUUAAAUUCAGUUUACCCCCUUGUGGUUUGGGGGUAACUUCAUGUUAGUCCCUACACUUUUAUUUUCAUCAGUUUACCCCUUGAACUCUUCAAUUUCUGUCUGCCGUGCCCAAAUUCUCAUAUUCCGUUUGAAUUGACCUUUAAUUAUCAGCAGUUAAGGUUUGAUUUGGACAUAUAAGGUCCGAUUUGCCCAAAUUCUAGAUACUGGCCUCACAAUUAAGGUUAAAAUUAUCAGCAGUUAACGUCCGAUUUGGACAGAAUAUAGGACAUUUGGUCACGCUUGAGGAAAAUUCAAAAGUUUGAGGGGUAAACUGAUGAAAUUGAAAGUAUAGGGAUUAACAUGAAGUUACUCCCAAACUUCAUGGGGGUAAACUGAAUUUAAUUCUUGUUUUUAUAUUUUUUUUUUUUUUAAAAUAGUAGUAACCUUGUUAAGAGUCAAUGGUUUCUCUCCAAAAACAACCAAAAGCAAUUGGCGUUCCCAUUUUCUGGUAACAGAGACAUGGUACUGUUCAAGAUAUAGCAGUACAACAGAAUUUUAGAAGUGUUCCAGCCCAAGAUAUAGCAGUACAACAGAAAUUCCUUGAUAGCAGGAUAAUUUGACAAAAUUGACAUUCUAUAUGUGAAAUAUAGAAAAGCAAAUUGGUGUAGUAAGUUGGAUUCUUUGACCCAACAAAAAGCAUGUGAUACCCAAAUCAUUCAUUUCAUAGUACUUUCAAGUUUCAACCUUUCUCAGUUUCGUAUUUUUAAGACUUUAAGUAGGAAAAACCAAUCAGAACUCUUUUUAUAGUAACUCAUGAAUAUUUUCAAGCUCAAUAAUAUAACAAUGUUAAUCCGAUUCCAUGAAGCCAAGCUCAACAUUGGAUGGAAUAUGUGCAGUAAUUUGGUACAGCUGUCCUGGGAUUCAGUCUAGGUUCACUCUUUUAUGUUUUACUUUUUCAACAUACACAACCCCGGAGACACUUCCUAUUUACUACUCUCAUGAGACUAACUAUGUCAUUCUCACUUUCUCUUCCCUCUCACUUUCACUUCUCUCUCUUCUAGGAGUGAAAUUAGAAAGUAAAACCUAAACAAACCUACCUCACUCUAAGCAGGUAAUUUUGAAGACAUAUCUGAAAAGGAUGUAGUACAACUAAGGUUUUGCCUGCAAGAUCAAGUACAAAAGAAUAUAUGUACAUAAACUCAACUGCAACUGGAAAGUUUGAAAAGAAGGUUUAAAAGGAUGUGUGUGUGCGCGCGCGUAUAAACAUAUAUAUAGACACACAUAUAUCAUGCUCCCACAAUCCCACCUAACUUAUUUCUUUUUGGAAGGAAAAACACAAAACUAAGCCAUAAAUAUCAAACUAAAAGUAACGCUAGGGCCUAGGGACAUACUGUUUGUUCAUAAAAAGCAAGCCAAGUCUUGCAAUUUCAGGAAUUUAAGUGUCUUAUAUUGUCCCAUUUCCUAAAAAUUGCUUUUAAAAUGUUUAUUCCAGUAUUCCAGAGGAAAUUACUUAACCAUAUGCAUUGAAAGCUUCUCAGAAGCUUACAAACAGUGAGCCAAAUACAAAAAAGUGAAAACAAAAUAACCAAGGGGAAAGAAUUCAGAGCAAAAAUGUUACCAUCCACCAGGAUGCCCCACAUAAACCACUAAGCUGAUAAGCCCUCCCGGCAGCAGGAUAUCUUUUGCAACUUCCAAUGCUUUCAGUGUUGUUCCUGAUUCAGUGAUUAUUGUUUUGUCACCACCAGGAAGAUAGCCUAGGUUGAAAGCAACAAGCCUAAUGACAACCACGAAAUCAAGUUCUGCUUCAGUUGGAAGUCGGUUGAUCUCCAACGAAAAAAUGGAGUAAUAUGUUCUACAAUAUUGUCAUGAUACAUUGCAAUUUAAAAGAAUAAAAAACCUCAAAUGCGUAUUAUAUAGAUGUGAGAGAAAGAGAGUGGGAGGUCACUCAAGGUUGUUCUCCAGAUGUAAGAAUUUAAAUGCCUGUGAAUAUUACGUUCUAAUUUUUGCUCUGAAUACAGCUAGAUAUCCACAGAUGAUCAUAGAAACUACAUGCAUAAUGAUCUACCACCAAAAACAUACAUGUUAAACAGAAGUUUGAUUCAUAAUUUUAGGCUCUUUACCCCGUCAAGACAUUGAACUGAAUGAACUGUUUUUUCAGUGCACUCUUAACUUUGAAAAUAACGUUUAAAUCUCCUCCCAAGUAAGCAAAUAGAUCUGAAAUAUAUAAAGGGCACUUAAUCCUGCCGCAUAAUAAGCUAUUAUUGCAAAAAUUGGUGAACCAGUUAUGAGACAAAAAAAUAUUAAAUUACAAAGUACGCCUCCAACAUAUAUGGUUUAUGGAGCUAACUUUGGGCUUUCUCAAUGUACUUCUUUUCUGUUGUUUUCAUUCACAUUCUUUUGCAGAACAGUUUAUACUAAAAAGAACUUAAGGUAAGAGUUGCAAUAAAUUGAAACUGAUAUAUUUUCCUAUGAAAAUUGAGGUACAGAUUCUAAAGCCAAAACAAUAGAAUAGAAAAUUCACAAACUAUAGUGACCAGUAAGCACCUAACACAGGUAUCCGGCGGAAGAAUUUCACGCAUUUUACUGUGACAUUUGGAGAAGAGCUUAACAAGUUCUUUCUGCACAAUAUUGAAGGUAAUAAACAAUUGCAGAUUAUAAAAAAAAAUAAAAACAUGCUACAAAUGAGUGAUGUUAGGUGCAGGUAUGUAAAAAGAGAAAUUUUGAUAAAUAACCAACUUUUAGUCUUCAAAAUGAUUUUCAACCUACAUUUAAAAAACAGUUGAAAAAUAACCUUUAGGUAUGGUAAAAUGACAUAUAACCCCACCUCAAUUCAUUCAAUCCUUCCUCCUCUCCCGUACGGCCUCAUCGAUCAUCAACUCCUCAACUUGACCACUAUCCUCGGCGCCACCCCAUUUUUUCAAUUUCACAACCCCCCAAUUUCAUUUUCAAUCUCAACCCCAAUUUCAUUCGUAUUGAGUAGUUCGACCACACAUUCUCCAACUCAUACCCCAAUUCUAAGUCCAGCGAGUCAAUUUGAAACUCACCGAGGCCUUGAAGACACAACAUGUCUUCUUCUUCUUCCUCCUCUAAUGACUAGUGCACUCGGUUCAAACAUGCCCAACACUCCUAUACAGGCGUUUCCGAUCCCAAUGUCGUUUACAGUUUCUCUGAUUCCAUUACUUUCAUGAUUGAGGUCACGGCAUGGAGGGAUUGCCGAUUUCAUUCAAUGUAAUUGCGUACCAUGCAGUAGCAGCCUUCCAUGGGUGCUACAUUGAAUAUAGUACAGUAUUGUUGUAUAAAUCAUUGGACUGGAGGGUGCUCUAAAAGCUUUGGACAAUAUAAUAAUUAAAUAAAUAAUCCAAGGCCUCAGAAGAGAAUGUUAGCUUCAACAUUCACUUUUUUUUUUUGAAUGGUUCAACAUUCACUCUUGAUGCCCUUUAAUUAUGCUCAACUAUUGUCACUAGUAUGAUGAUUUGAUGGGACGAACCUAAAAGCAGAAGUAUUUAAAGGUUACAGCAUCCAUGUUUUGAAUAAGUUGAUAGAAAUAGUUGUUUAUCAAAAAAGUUUCUUCUUAUCUGCUUGAUCAAACUGUAUAGGCACAAAAAGCUAUUAUGUAUCUAUACAUCCACAAGAGACAAAAGAUUUGCAAAGGCAGGAAUUAGAAACAUCAGUGGUUAUAGGAAUACCUGAACAUAAUUCACAGCUAAUCAUGCAACUGUUUUUGUAUCUAGAUAUUGCAACUUCGGAACUGGAGUUAAGAUUGGAUGUUGUGAAAUUGAAAAAUCGGGAUUGAAAUGAAAUUGGGGGUUUGUGAAAUUGAAAAAAUGGGGCUGCGUUGAGGAUGGUGAUCAAGUUGAGAAGUUGAUGAUCGAUGAGGCCGUGCUGGAGAAGGAAGAACUGAAGGAGAGGUAGGGUUAUAUGUCAUUUCACCACACCAAAUGGUUAUUUUUCAACUGUUUUUAAAUGAAGGUCAAAAAUCAUUUUGAAGACAAAAGGUUGGUCAUUUGUCAAAUUUCUCAGGUAAAAAAAAAACCUACAACCAGUAAAGAUUAAAAACAAAAAAAAGUAAACAAAUCACUGAAGUAAAUAAUAUGCAGUUUUAUAGGCUUAUGAACAUACAAAUUACAUAUAAGACCAUAUAUACGUAUGAUACAGAAAAAAAAAAUCCCCCAAAUAUAUGAAAGCAAAAAAAAUAAAAAAUAAAAUAAUCAUCACAAAUUGACAUUUAGAACCUUUUCUGAACCUGCAAUAGCAAUUCCACUCACAUUUUAACUAUUUCACAGUUAAAAAGUAGCCCUUCGCAUACUUAAAUGCCACACUAACAUUUUAACUAUUUCACAAUUAAAAGUUAAAUGCCACAACAGUAUUGAGUGGAAUUGCCUUAGCCUAGUUGAAUGCCACAACAGUAUCUAACGACUUUCAGACAAUACUAUGGCCUCAUAACAAAUAUGGGCUAGUCCUUUUACUGGCUCAAUGAUAUUUGCAGGAUAUAUUGGAGUGAGAUUAGUAAUUUUAUUUACUAUUUAAUUUGGAAAUGCAAUAGACACUGAAUGCACAACUUUAGCAAAGUCGUGAAUUACUACUCUGACUCCAAUAGACUCUGCAGAUAAUAUUAAGAGCGUGAAGCCAAUAUUUCUUGCCACAGCAUUUUCUGAAUGGCUACAGGAUGGGCAACAGAAAUUCAUCCUCCAUUUUUGCAACUAAGGUUAAAAAAUGUAAUUAAAAGUUAAUAAAUUGCUCAUGGAAAGCGCACUAACUUUCAAUCCGGCGGCAUUACUGAAUCAAGAGAAAUCCUUUUUUCACUGAUGGGUCCUAAGCCAACCCAUCCUCCCUUUUAACUCAUUGCUAAAUUUGAUCAGGAAACUAAGUUCUCAAGUCUCAUGAUACAACUUCUCAAUGCUCAAACUUUCACUUUCCCUAAAUUUAAGAAAAAACUAUAAGAUAAUGAAGUACAAGUGCCGAAACUCUGUAUUUAAUGUGAAGAAAGAUAAGGGUACCUCUUUUAGGCUGACUGAUUCUUCCAGCAAAGAAGAAGUUUUCUGUAAAGCAACUUCCUGAAUAUCCAUUCCAUAAAUUGAACCCUUACCCGAUGCAUCAGCAACCAUCUUGAGCAUUGCUAAGGUAUCAUGACCAUUGCCACAAGUGGUGUCAAUUACCGUAUCUCCUUCUUGAACCACACGUCUCCAAACCCUGUUAGUCGAUUGGAAGUGAAUAUUGAAUCUCUAAACAAUGAUAUCAUGAAGUAAGUGGCAAAAGAACAAAUGAAAAUCUAUAGAGUAAGAGAUUCCACUUCUGUUGAAGCUGAACCGAACACAGACUAGUUCAGAGCUUUGUCAAGCACAUAUUUCUAAGCAAAACUAAUUCGAGGGAAAUUUACAAGCGUUCCGACAUUGAAACCAAGUAUAUGCAGCAUGUCAUCAAGCAUAGUGUAAAACCUAAUUCAACUCUUUUUCUAUAUUUUUUUUUUUUCUGUUUUUUCUUCAUGUUUUUAGAAAGUAAAACCAGAAGUGAGUUACAUGGUAGGCUCAAACUAAUUAGACCAACAAAGCUGUAAACUGAAAUAUGUUCAAAAAUUAUGUGAAAUUAGUCAACAAUUUCUUACGAGUGAGCAACUUCUGUGGCCCUCUUCUUGCCCAAGAUAAAGCUCAACAAUACAUCCUCCAAUCCUGAAUCACGAUUGACCAAAAAUCAGGGUCUACUUUCUCAUGAAAAUAGCAAAAAUCAUAACGAUUUGAUUUGUUUAUCUUUGGAACAAGUAAUUCAUUUCAUUUAAAAGAAAGCGCUCAUAAUCAAAAAUAAAUAAAUGUCAUCUCUGUUGCAUAGUUUAGUUUGAAGAGUACCAGAGAGAGGAGAGUUUUGGGGCAAAGAAAGCGAAACCAAGUCGUCGCUGGAAGUUGAAGCUUUGAGGUUAAAUUUUCCGGGAAAGUGUUGGAAAAUUGUGGGGAGGGAUUUGUGACCCCAAGCCCAUGAUAACCUCAGUGGCACUGCCAUUGCCAACAUAUCUCUUUCUUACAAAUAAGCUUCUUUAUCCUGCCGUUCCAACCAAACCUGCUACAUUGGAAUGCCAAACGCAUCAAAAAACAGCCUAAAUAUGCAGCCAAACCAUAAGUGCAUGUUUGUUACACAGGACUGUCUUAGACAGGCUUAUUUUUAAUAACAGUCCUGGACUGUCUAAGCUUGGCUUAUGCUGUGAUAAUACUAGACCCAUGCUUGGUACUGCUUAGGACUAAAUAGCAGAAUAAUCAAAAUAGUCCUAUCCCAUGUUUGAUGAUGUAUUAGACUAAAUUAAUUUUGAAUACCACAAUAUUUUUUCUAAUUUAACAAACUAUUAUCCAAUGAUGAAUGCAAUUGUUAAACUAGAGUUUCUCAUCGAGCAUCACAAAUUCAAAGUAUAAAUAUGCCUAACCAGCAGCUAUUCCAUUUCAUUCCAGAAUUUGAUAUUAUUUCAAAAUCGGAUGAGAAAAGUGCAGCAGCCUCAUCAGUCAAGUACCAGUACCUGCAGAGGGAGAAAAUGAGAAACGCUAAAUGAAAGUUGUACUUUCAGUUUGCGUACACUAGAUAUUGAGCACCAUAGCUGUGCAGAUUGUAUUCUGGAAACAAUAUACAUAAAGGCAUGUGAAUAUUCAUUCCUUUGGUGUCGUACAUGAGCUAAAUGGCAGCAUAACAUCCAACAAAAGAAUCCAUCAUCAGGUAAGAUACUACCAAUACAAAUAUCCAUGCCAAUUUAAUCUUUCUAAAAACACAUCUUGAGAUUUUCUGUAAACUAUCAUUCUUUUUCUAGUCCAUUUAAAUAGGUUGUAUGCUUAUAUUUGUUAUAUAUCUAUAAUGGAAUUGGAAGAAAACCACAUGCUAGGCAUCACCAUUGCCAAAACAACUUGCAGACCUAUGGCUAUCGUACUGAGAUUUUGGGGCUACCAUUACCAAAACAACUUCAGACCUGUAAUCCACAACUCAACUACAAUUUACAGUAUGAUCAAAUCCAUAAUCUGAGAUAUAGCAUUUGUUACGCAUCAAAACACCCCAUCAAAAGAACUUGUGGUGACAAAUGCAACUUAAUCAAGACAAAUUGACAACUGAUUAAAUCAUACACAAACUAUAGCUAUCAUGAUAUCAGCACAAACCUAUUUUCCUGGAAUGAUAUUGAUCACUGUUGUGCUAUCAUGAUAUGAUUGCCCCUUUUUUUUUUCUUUUUUUUCUUUUUUUNNNNNNNNNNNNNNNNNNNNNNNNNNNNNNNNNNNNNNNNNNNNNNNNNNNNNNNNNNNNNNNNNNNNNNNNNNNNNNNNNNNNNNNNNNNNNNNNNNNNNNNNNNNNNNNNNNNNNNNNNNNNNNNNNNNNNNNNNNNNNNNNNNNNNNNNNNNNNNNNNNNNNNNNNNNNNNNNNNNNNNNNNNNNNNNNNNNNNNNNNNNNNNNNNNNNNNNNNNNNNNNNNNNNNNNNNNNNNNNNNNNNNNNNNNNNNNNNNNNNNNNNNNNNNNNNNNNNNNNNNNNNNNNNNNNNNNNNNNNNNNNNNNNNNNNNNNNNNNNNNNNNNNNNNNNNNNNNNNNNNNNNNNNNNNNNNNNNNNNNNNNNNNNNNNNNNNNNNNNNNNNNNNNNNNNNNNNNNNNNNNNNNNNNNNNNNNNNNNNNNNNNNNNNNNNNNNNNNNNNNNNNNNNNNNNNNNNNNNNNNNNNNNNNNNNNNNNNNNNNNNNNNNNNNNNNNNNNNNNNNNNNNNNNNNNNNNNNNNNNNNNNNNNNNNNNNNNNNNNNNNNNNNNNNNNNNNNNNNNNNNNNNNNNNNNNNNNNNNNNNNNNNNNNNNNNNNNNNNNNNNNNNNNNNNNNNNNNNNNNNNNNNNNNNNNNNNNNNNNNNNNNNNNNNNNNNNNNNNNNNNNNNNNNNNNNNNNNNNNNNNNNNNNNNNNNNNNNNNNNNNNNNNNNNNNNNNNNNNNNNNNNNNNNNNNNNNNNNNNNNNNNNNNNNNNNNNNNNNNNNNNNNNNNNNNNNNNNNNNNNNNNNNNNNNNNNNNNNNNNNNNNNNNNNNNNNNNNNNNNNNNNNNNNNNNNNNNNNNNNNNNNNNNNNNNNNNNNNNNNNNNNNNNNNNNNNNNNNNNNNNNNNNNNNNNNNNNNNNNNNNNNNNNNNNNNNNNNNNNNNNNNNNNNNNNNNNNNNNNNNNNNNNNNNNNNNNNNNNNNNNNNNNNNNNNNNNNNNNNNNNNNNNNNNNNNNNNNNNNNNNNNNNNNNNNNNNNNNNNNNNNNNNNNNNNNNNNNNNNNNNNNNNNNNNNNNNNNNNNNNNNNNNNNNNNNNNNNNNNNNNNNNNNNNNNNNNNNNNNNNNNNNNNNNNNNNNNNNNNNNNNNNNNNNNNNNNNNNNNNNNNNNNNNNNNNNNNNNNNNNNNNNNNNNNNNNNNNNNNNNNNNNNNNNNNNNNNNNNNNNNNNNNNNNNNNNNNNNNNNNNNNNNNNNNNNNNNNNNNNNNNNNNNNNNNNNNNNNNNNNNNNNNNNNNNNNNNNNNNNNNNNNNNNNNNNNNNNNNNNNNNNNNNNNNNNNNNNNNNNNNNNNNNNNNACAUGUCUAGCAUCAUGUUUCCAUCUCUUUAGGUAAUAUCUAGAUGGUAAUGAAGGCACAGCUAACUCACGAAGUAGUUUCAGUGCAUGUGAACAAAGAAUCCCUUCAAAUUCAAAUCUGUUGCAACUACAAACAAUCGACUGAUUUGAAGGGCAAUAUGUUACUGACCUUCUCAAAAAUGGAUUGCCCGGUCUUUCAACUAUAUAUCUUUGUAUUAUGCCAUCAUCACUUUCUAACUCCAAUUUCAGAUCUAAACAUUUUUUAUACUCACCCUGAAAGUGAUAAAAAAUGUUUUUUGUGUACUUCUUUGCUGCUUCGACCUCCAUUUUCCAAUUUGAUAAAAAGAUGCGCUUUGUUUGUGACGUUGCAACCUCUGCAAGCCUCUCUUUUUCUCUUCGAUCAUCUAGUGCUAGUUCAUAUUGUUUGACCCACUGACGAAGAUAAAGGUUUCUAGAAAAGAACCUUUUCAGAAACUUAUUUAUGCUUUCACUUCUCUGUGUUGUUGUCAUGCCUGCAAAAAAAUUGAAGAAGGAAAAAACUUAUAAGCAAACAUAAAGCAUGAUGAAUACCAUGAGCAUAAUAACAACUAAUAAGUAGAAGUGUCAAAAACAAUUUAUACCUGCACAAAAGUUGGAUCGGCCAUAUACUUGUGCCCAUUUUUCACGUAUUUCAUACAAGCUUUUUAGCCAAACAUUCUCACUCAAGCCAAAUUUUUCGAGUAACAACUUCCAACAUGACUUAAAUUCUUCAAUGGUCUCUGGAUCAUACANNNNNNNNNNNNNNNNNNNNGAUUCAACCUCACAGUCCACUGCUAUGCAUAAGACGAUGGGUUCUGAUCAAUAGACUUUAUCAGAAUCACAAUUACCAGAAGGAGAAGAACAAAAACAUGAAAAAUUAACAGAGCUUCAUACUUACAAGAGAAACCAAAAGGGAAGAGAUAUGAGAAGGAGGAAGAACCCAGACGUGAAUGGAUCCGACGUGAAUAUGACUUUGAGUUGAUAACAACGACAAUAGAGAUGCUCCUCAGAAUACGAGGAGUCCUAAAUUUGUUAGGUUUGAGUAUUUUGUUUAGAAAAAGAGGGAAAGGAAAAAGAAAAGAAUUAGAGUUAGAAGAUAAUAUAAUUUAUAAACCCAUGUAGUUAACCAUGGUUAAGGUGAUUAGAGGAUAAGACACUUGGCAUCCAUAUAGAAGGGUAGGUAUGAGGGUGGGUAAGUUUGGGUGGGUAUGAGGGUGGGUAAGUUUGGGUGGGGAGCAAAUUUGCUCCCCAAUCCCUACUAACCAGCCUUCUUAACACACGCGUAGCUUUGUUUUUAUAGUAAACUACAUAUUAGUUACUGAUCAAAUUUUAGUUUACAAAUACAUUAUUUACACAUUUAAGGAUAAAUAUUAAUAAAUUAGAACAAAUUAAUGUCCACAUGCCAUCUGUAACUAUAUAUUUUACCAGAAUACCUUUCACUACAUAUUCUACUGUUACUGUCGACCAGAUAUGUGCCAGAUAUGUGCCAGUACCUGAAUUAAUAUGCUUUUACCGAGUACGAAUAUGCUAUUGCCAGUACUAUUGCAAUUUUUUUCCAGCAAUUCUCCGAAACCAAACAGAGAUGCUACUGUCGCGAUUGGAAACCUUCUGCUACUGACGAUUAAAUAGUUACUGCUACUACCGAAUGUACAGUAGCAUGACUCAUACUCUUCUAGAGCUAAGGUUUUGAAUAACGACGUAACAGUAGCAAACACAUAAUAGUAGCAACAAAGCCUUAAGGUUUCGACAAAUGACGAGAUAGUAGCAGGAAGCGGCCAACGUAAAUCUUGAACGGAUCAUGCCGCAAACCUCUUGGUAGUCGUCGAUGACAGAACCCCACCGAUCAUAUCUACCAAAAGCCUCUGCAGCCACGGUUUCUUACUCUCGAUCUUCAGCAAGACGCUAUCGAGGACCUCCAACUACUUGUGCGGCAGAUCAAGCUUGGGUCAUCAUCAAUCUGAGGGCACAAGGUCCCUCCCUAGGUGAGCAGAGAGAUUAAGAUGGCUUGAUUGGGUCCUGAUUGGAGAUUCCGACUAUUAAAGAUGUUCGGGUCGACCCGAAUUUGAUUGUGGACGACGGGGAUGUGAUGUCGUUGACUACGUGGGUGGCUAACAAGGCUCCGGCGCGGCUCAGAUCUGGAAUUACGGGUCAAAGCAUAUCGGCCUUUUGUGUUUGUACCUGAGUCUGCACAGAGAGAGAGAGAGAGAGAGAGAGAGAAGAAGAAGAGAAAAACCCGAUCUGAGUGCGUGGGGAGAGAGAGAAUAAAAAUUUGAUGGUAUUUGUGUAAUUCUGUGGGAAAAUUGAUCAUUUUGGUCAUUUCAUAAUUAAAAUUCGGGUCAGGCCCGUGACCAUUGGUUUUAGGCCUCAGCUUGUGUCCUAAUUUGUUUACAAAUUAUUGAAAGUGGGUUUUUUGUGUUUUGAAAUUUGGUUAUGUAGUACUUUGUAAUUUUCUCUUGUUUUUAAGAUAUUAGUCUAUUAACACAUGCUAACGCACGUGUUAAUUUGUUUUUAUCUUUUUUUUAUAAAAAAAAUUUUAAUUAAUUACAAAUAACUGCUAAUGCAGUUGGCAUUCAGCAAAAACUGUUCCACGUUUUUCUUCUUUAUUUUGAUUGUUUUUUUUUGUUUUUUGUUUUUUAUAUUUUUGAUAUUACUUUAUUUUGUUAUCAUUUUACAGUAUUAAUCAUCCUUAAUUUUUUUUUCUAUGUCAAAACUUUUCUAUCAUGGGUAAUAUGGGUAGUUUAUAAAAAAGACUUCACCAUUUCACCAUGACACCAAAAAAGGUAUCUGGUGAUCUUGGAUCCGGAUUCUCUGCUUGGAUUUAUGUUGCUUAGAUUUGCUUGGAUGUUUAUAACCAUUAGAUGAAGUAAGGAUGACAUGACGGUCUUAGAUUGUACUCAAUCUAAUGGUUAUAAGUCAUCCAAGAAAAUUCAAGCAACAUAAAUCUUAAAGAAGCCAAAUUCGGCUUUCUAAUAGUAGAGAUAUGGGUAAUUAUAUCGGUUUAUUACCAAUUUUAUAAUUAUUUUAUACCGAGUUUUUUUAUUUAUUUUUUAUCAGAUACAACUCAAAUAUUACAACUUCGUGAGUCAAAUUCAUAAUCUCCCACUUAUUAAAAUGAGACUAUGUCGCUAGACCAAAUAGUGUUUGACACCGAGUUUUUGAGUAUGAUUGUAGUUAUCAAUUUAUACAUCUCACUACCCACUUCUCUCUCCACAUAUCUCUUUAUUUUAUUUAUUUUGUCUUUUACCAUAAUAUCUCUUGUAUUUUAAUAGUCUGAAUUAACUCAAUAAUGGUAAGAUUGGCAAAAUACAUUUUGAUGAAGCUUUUGAACACCUGGUUAUUAUAGUCGUAGUAAUUGGUUUCCCAUUGUUUAAAAAGAAAAGAAAAAGUUAUUUUUCUCCCUAUGAGUUCCCUCUUGGGCUUCAGAAACUUUGGGCCAACUUCUCAGUCGGGGAAAGAUGGUUGAUGAGGUUUUCUUGACUUGCGGUAGAGAGCCUUGUUAAUUUCGAAAAAAGGUCGGGUUUCCUUUGGUGCGGUUGGUGCAACCGAUUUCUUAAAACACGGCAGAUUCAAAUUUGUCGACCAAGUAAGAAGCUGUCAUGUGUGAAACACCAACCAUGGACUGACUGGGGUUAAUUUAGUAUCUCAUUUCAAGAUUAAAUACUAAUGAUAAUGAUUUAAUUAUUUACUUAACUAAACCAUUUUUCGUCUUCAACCCAGAAUAAAAAUAAAACCCAGAUGAAGAAAUGAGUAGCCUCAGCACCUCAGUUCUGGAUUUUCACACUGGCAAAUUUGAGUAGUAUAAAGCUUGAUCCGAUCCUUUCCCUCUCUCGGAGACCUAUACGAAACCAAAGAAAUUUUGCAAGCAUUCAAUUUAUAGUUGAUGUUCUCAUCACAGUUGCAGACCCAAUAAGAAAUUCAAAGUUGAUAAGCCAAAAUCAAUCAUACUAUCAAAAUUGAAGAUAUGAGAUUUAAAAAUUCACAAAAACCAGAUUUUGAAACAACUAAGAGAAAGUGGGAUCGUACCUAACAGAGAAAUGGAAGGGCAGGCUGGGCAGCUGCUGGGUCUUGUUUAACUUAGGAAGGUUUUGGUGGUUGUGCCAGCAAAGGUUGUCGAUCCUCCUCGAACAAGUUCAGAGAUAAUGCCCAGACUCACACUCAAUGAGAGAGUAUGUAGUUUUUUUGUUUAUUUAUUUAUUUAGAAACACAAGAUUGUUAUACAGAAGAAAUUGAGGAUUAUUUCAGUUUUUGUACUGUCAUUGUUCACCGGUCACACUGAGAUUUUGUGGAAAUAAGAACUUUGUGAAGUCUAAUGUGGGGAGAACAAAAUCUCUUGCCUGACCAAUUAAUAGCACUACAUUCUUCCUACAUAUUAGAACCUCAUCUCACUAUGAUUACAUUCAUGUUCGGCCUCCAACAAUUCCAUCAGGAAAAACUAAAAGGGAUUCGAAUCGUUCGUUUAAAGAGGAUUGACUAUUAGCAGCAAAGGCUUUAGCAGAUCCAACUACUGAAGUUCUAGUAAUCCAUGCCUCCCAUUCCUCCCAUGCUAGCUCCCACUGACGGGGCAUCCUUCUCCGGCAGCGAGACAGCAACGAACGAGAGAGUCUGGAGUUUUGAUACACGUGGCAGCUUCUUACUUGGUGGUCCCAUGACCAACACAAUGACCUCGUUUUUUUUAUGGCUACGAUGGAUUUUCUACGUGGGCAAGCUUCUAUCACUCUAUCAGAGCACGAGUGAGGUGGAGCACAAAAAGCUUUUAGAGGAAGGUCCAUAUGGUUUUACGGUAAGACCUUGUUUUCCCUAGCUGUAGUUUACUAUUAAAAUAAAGGAGGAUCAUUACUAGAAAAUAAAAAAUAAGUAUGAAGGUGAAUACCAAAAUGCAAAAAAAGAGGAUGCCUAAGAUUUUGUUUAGGAUAACCCCAAGAAUAAACAAAUGACUAAUCACGCCUGAGCUUGACCUGUAGAGCAACACAAGAAGAAUGCAGUAUCUUUCUUCGAUCCUUUACUUGAUGUGUGUAUCAGUUAAGAAAUACCGCUGAGAAAUCCCACUAUCCACCUAAAAUUCAUCUAGUCCAUGCUUCAAGCUGGCACUAUAAAGCUCCUCAAUCUGGCUAGCCACUUCAGCCAUUGAAGGCCGCUUAUCAGGGUACUGAACGGUACAUUCAAGUGCUAUCUGUAAAAGCUGAACCAUUUCGUCCUCAACAUUCUGGUACCUGAGAAGCUCAAGGUCAAACACCUCCACAGUCCACUCCUCUCGAACAACAGAGUGAACCCAUCUUGGAAGGUCUACUCCUUCCUCAGUCAUGAGGGCUUGGGUUGGAGGCUUCCCAGUAAGCAGCUCCAAUAGCAAUACACCAAAGCUGUAAACAUCAGCCUUUUGGGUUAUUUUAUUAGUAUCUGUGACUUCUGGGGCACGAUAACCGGAUACACGAUUCGGAGUAGAGGCUGGGCUUGCAAAAUGAGCAAGGCAAAAGUCAGAGACGCAAGCUUCAUAGGACGAUGUGAGAAGAAUAUUUGAAGAUUUGAUGUUUCCAUGGGAGAUUGUUGGACCAUGAGAGUGCAAGUAUGUAAUUGCACGAGCAGCUCCAACAGCAAUGCCAGACCUUGUUUCCCAAUUCAACGGAGUCCUUCCUGAGCCUCUGUUCCCUGUGGUGAAAAAAUAAAACUAUCAAAUUAUAGAAAGUAAUCUUCAGCAUCAUUGCUGUCAUGGGACAUGAGGUCUUUCAUCAUAUAGCAAAGAACCCUGAACUUCAAUCCAAUAUGUGCUUGGAAGCUUUAUUAAUAGCUGAACAAUUAAACUAGUGCUAACCAUGUUGCAAUCAUAUGCCUUUAUUAAAAUACAACAAGUCAUAAUUUGUUAAUAAGAUGCAAAAGUUAUAUAUUUACGAACACUUAAGAAAAUAAAGUAUCACAGAACAGGGAGAGUACUUAUGUGUGGUCAAAAUAAAAUCAAGAAAAUCAACUUAACUGAUCUGUUUUUUCCCAUCAGCAAUUUCAUACCAGAAAAAUCAGCAUCCAAGGAAAACACUCCACCACAACUUAAUUAGAAGUAUGAUACGAUAGUCUUCAUGUAGAUUAAAAGACAAAAGCAUACAGCAUGGUUUGCAUUUAUUUUAUGUAAGUGUUGCUGGGAUGUGGGACUAACUGCAACUAUAUUUGGCUACUAUGAGACGGAACUCAUGCCAACUCUAAACACAUGCUUCUGUACAAAUAUGCAGCUAAGCCUUACUAAGAGACUCAAUGUUUUUAUGCUUCUACAAUCUAAAAGAAUGCCUAAGAUGGCUUCCCACACUAGUGUUUGACACAUGCAAAUUCAUCUUAAAUAUCAGUAUGUAGCCACUACAGAUCGAACUAUCCAAUGUCCCUCAUUCUUUUUAAAAACUAACUUAGUCUUGUUAUUAAAUCCAAUUCUUUAAUCCCUUUUGUUUAAUCCAGAAACAGAGCUGUCAAUGCUGAUGAUAAUCAGUUUGUUUUAAAUUUGCAGAACACAAACUUUAGGUACUGAAAAAUGGCAAUUUUGACUAUAAUCUACAUACAUUGCAUUAAGUAAAGCUGCAACAAAUAACAGAACAGCAAAAUCUAGAUGAUGCAAAUGGAAACCAUGAAAGAAAUGCUCACCAUGUAAAAGAGCAGACAAGCUUCCCAUAGGCAUGUAAUCAUAAACCAGAAGCUUCUCGUCUCUGCUAUAAUAGUAAGCCCUGAGUGGCACCAAGUUCACAUGCUCCAUAUGCCCAAUCUCAUCCAUCUUGUCCUUAAAUUCCUUCUCCGACACAAUUACUUCCUUCAACCUCUUCACUGCCAUGGACACCCCCAUUUCCAGAGCUGCCUUAUAAGCCGUCCCGAAAGUCCCCUUCCCAAGUACCUCAGCGGAUGCCCUCAACAAAUCCUCCAAAUCAAACACCUUCACCGCGUUCCCAAAAAACACCAAGUGCUUGCUAUUCACAUUCCCCUUUUGGGCGAUAGAGUACUCCGCACUAGAACUCUCCAAUGAUCCCUUUGCGACUUCAACCGCCUGACUACUCCGCGAAGUAGAAGCAACAUAAUUAGCACCCUGUUCCCCUUUUUUCUUUCUUCCACACAAGAAGUAGAAAAUGGCAACAAUGAUCAAGAAUCCAACUAAGCAACCUAUGACAAUCCCUGCAAUUGCUCCACCCGAAAGCUGAUUCUUAGAACUCUGAGUCCCAGUCCCAUUACAGGCCGUCGUCAACGGCUUCCCACACAGCUGCAAGUUCCCUGCAAAGGCCUCCACCGGCCAGCCCGAAAGCUUUCCGGGUACGGACCCAUUAAGCCGGUUAUAAGACACAUUGAACUGUCCAAGAAGCGGCAAAUCCAACUCCGGAAUCGACCCAUUAAGCUGGUUGCCCUCCAAAUGCAGGGACACCAACUUGCUCAACUUACUAAACCCCGGAGAAAUCUGACCGGAAAAAUUAUUGUGAGAGAGAUCCAACCUCUCCAUGCUCUGCAGACCGAAGAUAAACUCAGGAAUAGGGCCCGAGAAUCUGUUACCUUGCAAGUAGAGGCUGUCAAGUUUGAGGAGGUUGGCAAGGUCAUUAGGGAUUUGGCCGUAAAGCGCGUUUCUGCGGAGAGACAGGGCUCGGAGUUGGGUGAGGUUGCCGAGACCCAGAGGCAGAGGGCCAUUGAGUCCCCAACCGGGAGCGCGUAACUCGGUGACUCGGUCCGACACGCACGUCACACCAGACCAAGAACAGGGGUUGGUCUCCGUCACAUUCCACAGCGUUGAGCGACCUCCCACGGCAGCUCUGAAGCUCAACAGAGCCUCUCUGUCGGAAGCCAGAUCAUCGUUGGUGCUGGCCGUCAAGCCAAGACAACUGGUCAACAACAACACCAAAACAAAGGCCAGUUUCGGAGGAGGAGGCUUCAUUGAAACGAUCAGAAACAAAACAGGGUGGUAGCUAGGUUUGAGAGAAAGAGAAGUCGAAGUCGAAGUUGAAGUUGAAAGAGGACGACCGUGGCAGUUGCGUUUGUAUUAAUGCACACAUGGAAAAGCGUCCCUUGCUGAGCUGUUCACCAGAACCAAAGGAAAUGACCUCCGUCUCCCCCAGAUAUGUGGGUGCACUAUCUUUUUUGGUCCUUUUCGGAUAAUUCGAAACGGUUGACAUUUUAGAUCAACAGCCAAUCAAGGAACCUUCACAGUGGGCCCCGCACCCAAAGAUUUGAAACCUUUCCCGACGGCUUCGGUUGGUUAUUAUUUCAUUUGGGGAAUUUAUGGGGAUUUUGCCCUUGUUAAUUAAUUAAUUUUAAUUAAAAGGGAAAUUAGGGGAUUCAUUUAAGAUUUUGGUAUUUUUGGGCAAUCUUUGGCAAGAAAAGAGUUGAUUUUAGACGCGUCUUUCUUGAUUUGAUUUGAUAUUUUCCUACAUAAACAUCCUGGUUUCUUUUUUAAUCAUGUAUAAUAAUAAUACAUUAAGUAGGAGUCUCCAAAAUUUUUCAUUUCUUUAAUUCAAACAUGAUAGUAUGUUAAUUGCCAUAAUUGGUUUUUUAAGGGACAAGGUCGGCACAAGAUCUGGGCAAAUGCCGCCCACUAUGGUAAGAAAUCACAAUGUCUAUUGUAGACCAUCUUUUGCUCUUGUAAUGGUCUAUUGUUGUUUAUUUAAUUCAUUAAUGAUAUAAUUGAUUUUUUGUAGUUGGUUUUUGGGAAUUUAUUUAAUUAAUCCAUAUUCGAUCAAUGUAACCUAAAAAUAUUAAUUCAUAUUUAUUUUUAAGUAAAAGGGUGUUUCAUUCCAUUGUUGAUAGAUGUUAUAUUAUGAAUCGAUUCAUUGUCUUACGUAUAAAAGACAAAUAAGAUUGAGUGAUUCACGUAGGGUAGUACCCUCAUUACACAAUUUUGCUCACUCAAAAAACACAAGUGAGCUUAUAAUCACAUGGCAAAUUGACUAUAGGCAUAUUAAUCGCAAACCAGAAAUAGGAAACAGCAAACAAAACAAAACUCUAUGAUCUCAAACAAAGAUCAUAGCAAAAGUUUUUUAAAGUAAAAACAUAAAUUAAAACACCUCUUUGCCUAAUGAGAUUAAUUCUUGUUUAUUUGCUCUCAAAAGACUUGGAAAAUAAUUGAAGACGGAAGACUAAUGAUCAUCAACCAAUAAAACUCAAAUUUUUAUUGUUUAUAUUUAUAAAUAUCACACAAAUAUCAAUUUUACCCUCAUAUUUAACUAAAAAGUUAACGGAAGUACCAAACGUUAAAUGAAGCAUAACUUGAGGCGGAGAUUCUUCUAUGCACAGUUGUGGCGAUAUCAGAGCCUUCUAUUUAAUGGUGAGAAUGAAGUCAUAUAAGCCAUAGAUUAAUGCUUACUUAUAUAACGGUCAACGUGAAACUGAGUGAGUGAGUUAAAAAAAAUGGGUAAAAAACUCUCCGGGUAAAAAUUCAAUAAAGCUCUUCCUUUCCCCGACUCUGGCUAGCAGAGUGUACAGAGCGACUCUUCUCCGUAUGGACGGGCCAUAAUUGGCGGCAAAUGUGUAAAGUUCAAACUACUCGGUCGGGUCCGAAUGUUUUUUGAGGGGCUCGGGGUUUAGAUUUCAAGGUGCGAAACGCGAUUUCGGGCUUGGUUGACUACACGCACAAGGCAUCACCUCGUCUCAAGAUGUAAGCAUCAAUCGAGCAAGGCUGCUUGGUAAUUUGAUUCUGGUUAGUUUGUAUCUAUUUCAUUUUCAAUAUCUUUGAUUUUGAUGAUUUUUGAGAUCAAUUUUGUUCGUGCUAUACUGGGUGAUUCAGAUGUACUACAAAAAUAUUAAUUGGGGGCAUUGAUUUCCUUCUCUCACCGGUUAUAGGUUAGUGUUUGCCGGGUCUGUGUGCUUGAAUUGAAGUUUAAGAUUUGGGAAUAACUUGCUCCGGUUGAAUUGCUUUGAAUUUUAUUGUAGAUUUAACAUUUAACUAUUAGGUAUAUGUUUUAGAGAUAUAUGUUACCACAAACUCUCCAACACUACACCAAAGAUGCAAAGUUUAUUUCUUACCAUAUGUGCAGUGUAACCUUGUAAUGCAUGUUUCCUUUGAUUCCUUACUCUGUGACAAACAGAUAAUGUAUUCCUUACUCUAUGACAAACAGAUAAUGUAUCCCUUCAUGAUACUGUAAAUUUGUGUGAGAAGAAAUUGCAAAUGAUUCUUACAAGUUACAAAACAACUUUGUUAGUCCUUUGAAAAUCUGCAAUCUUAUGUUGAGUACAAGGAAAGGUACAAAUGAGAGGUGAGAUAUACAUGAGAGUAUUCCAGAAGUUUUCCUAUUGUUUUCAGAAGAUCGUAUGGUUCCUUUAUAUGGAGUUUGAGUGUUUGAUUGAUUGAUUCGUAGUGUGAUAGUUUAGGGUUUAAGAUUUCAAGUACACCUCUAUGUUCUAUGUAUGAAUUGGGGUUGCUACUUGCUAGUAAAUAGAGGUAUCACAGCCUUUAGUUUCCUGGCUACUGUUGGGAUCAUGCAUGAAAAUAGACAUUCCAUACCAAAUCUCUUGGUUAUUUUCCUUCAUUAUUUUUUUUUUUAAUUCAGGUUUUUUAAUUCAGGUUUUUUAAUUCAGGUAUCUCUAGGGGAUUCUUAAUGACAUGUGGUUUUGGGGUCUCCUUGAUUUGUUAGGUGUGUGUGUUAAGAUAUAACGGUUAUUAUUUGGAUGAUUUGCGCUAAAAUAAGCUGGGUCAAUGGAGAAGAGAAAUAUAAACACCUCUUUAAGUCUUAAAUGAGUCUAAUAUUGCAUGUAAUUCUUACAUUUUGGUUAUUACUUAGGUAAAGGUUUUAUUGUUAUUCAUUUCUUAAUGUUUCUUUUGCUACGUUGAAGUUCAAAUGCAUGACUUAGGCAUACUGUGAUGAUUCUUGCUAGUUGCUAUGGAUGAUAGUCUAUGAGAGAUACAACACCAUUCUGUUCAGUUUCUUAGUUUGAUGCGCAGGCUGUUAAUUUUUUUUCUUUUGUGUAAAAGUCCUUGCUCAUUUACACUUCCUUUUUUCUUUCAUUUAGUUGUUCUUAUUGUAGUUUGUUGGUACAGUGAACUUAAUUUAUGAAUCUAUCUCUAUUCUAAACUGAGAAUCUAACAUGAUUCAUGAUUGUUUUUGAUCUAAUUUCAAUCUGGUUCUUUCUUGCUAUCGCAGAUCAUUGUAUUUUCUGCAAUGAGCCAAAACAGCCAACCUCAGUAGCAGACAAGCUGACUGGACAGCUCUAAAGUGCUAUUGAAGAACUUUUGAAUUAGAUUGGAAAUGUAAUAUGUCUUGUUAAGACUAUUUUUGUAACCAUACUCAACGUCAGAUAGUAUGUUAGUGAUUACUAUUUGUUCUUUAUGGGAUCUUCUGCUAAAUCUCUUGCUUAUCUUUCAUACCCCCUUCUUGUGCAGUUGCAUACUUGCAUUGUUUGCAUAUUUAGACUCUGAGGGCAGUGACGACAUUGUGGGACGGCACGACAGCACUGCGGGGCUACACGUUGACACGAUGGCAUUACGGGAAUGUAUGAUGGCGCUGCUGGAAUUGUAAUUUUUCAUGAACACCAAUUGAUAUAGUUUUCAUGCAAUCUUGACCAGACGAAGUAGCGCACCAUAAACAUUUAUAGUGUGAAGCAAAGAUGACAUGCAAGGCAAUACUGUUCUUUUGGGCGAAAGGACUAGUGUCAAAUUUCAGUAUGUCUUUCUAAAAUUUGUCAUUUGGCUAAAGAUACCUGAACCUUCAUUUACUGUAAAAUUCUGUAAAAUAUGGGUGGUUGAUAUAAUUUUCAUGUAGCACGGGGCAGCUGUGUUGUAUUGAAUUUCAGCAAGACUUGGUAACUCCUAUUGAUCUGAAAUUUGUGGCGUUGUACUUCCAGGUGUGUAUUGUGCUGUGUUUGAACUGCUUUUGUGAGUGUUGGUUUCGAUCUCGAUCGGAGUCGGAUACGGAGUUGGUCAAGCGAGCUCUUAUCAUGUAGUCGAAGCUUGAGGGCUGAGCGUUGGACUCCUCUGCCGGCGACGACAGGAGUCGAGUAUUUUUGGGAUUUGGGUGAACGCUGAGCUUUUGCGUUCGAAGAUGGAGGAAGGCAUGGGCCUCUAUUGUUUGUAAUCUUGUGAUUCUGUAAGAUAGGCUCUGAAACGGUGUUUCGAAUGUCAUCGUUCAUAGAACAGAUGCCGACUAGAAACUUGUGCUUCAAUUUAUUGUUGUUCGUGAUUGAAUGGAUGAUUGAGUAUUGGGCUCUUGGGCUCUGAACUCCGAUCGGAAAGGAGGAGCAAAACAGGUGAGAGUUGGACUCCGAACGGUAAUCUGUGAAGAAAAUUGGAGCGCUGGGUUCGAGUGCUGAUCGAAGGCAUGGGUGCCCCUAGAAAAUUGUUGGGCGCUUCAACGUGAAGUUCCUUCAAUCGAAGUUUCCGGUCGAAGUUGACCGCUGUUCGAAGGUUCAAUUUAGCUGUUCGGAGCUUGAUGCAUGGCUGCCCUGGCGACUUUGUUGUUUGGGUGCCAAGAGUAGCUUGCUGUCUCUAAUGUAUAAUAGUUAUAACUGUUUUUUUUUUUUAUAAGAAAACAAGAACAUACAAACUACAGGGUGCUGUCUCUAAGACAUCCCGUUCCUAAGAAAUCAAAUCUAAUACAAUGAACAACUCUUUUAAGAAAGUUGUUCUCCCAAACUCUACCGGAGGAGUUUUGAUGUCCAUAGCUAGCAACUGCAUCCGUCGCAAAGUUUGUUUCUCUGUAGAUAUGAUGAAAUGAGAUUGAGCUGAAACUCUUUGCAAUUUUCCUAAUAUCAUCCAUAAUUUGAUGGAUUCUCCAAGGGGGGUUGAUUUUCUGAGUCAUAGCAUCGAUCACUAGUUUAGAGUCCCCUUCCACAACGACAACAGUAAACCCUUUCUCUCUCGCACUGAGGAGACUAUCCCUUAAAGCAGUGGCUUCCGCAACAGGGGCCGAUGUGUAUAAUAGUUAUAAUUGUUGAUGAAGAGCAUUUGCUUUGUGUUUCGAUCGGUAGAUUUGUCUUUAUGCAUGAGAAGAACUGAACGUCCUUGACUGGACUCCUUCCAUGCAUGUCUAAGACCAUGAUGAUGAUGAUGAUGCUCUUGUAUGUAUGUGGGCAAACUGAAGUACUAAACAUGAAUUGUGUACUUUAUUACUUUCCCAUCUUGUGAGUCUCUAGAUGGACUCUGCAUAAUAUGGACUUUCCAUUUGGGUUAAUUAGAUGGCAGCUUGAUAUCGUGCAUGACCCUUCGUGGGUCAAAUUGGCCGCUCGAUCGUGUAGAUAUGGUUGAAGAGCUGAGCGUUCAUGGGAAUGGGGCCGAUGGUGGGCGAGAUUAUUUUGUUUGUAACUGCAAAUUCAGAAUAAAAUAAAUUAAAUUUGUGUUCGUAACUGCAAUAUAAUUAUGAGAUUGGUAAGGAGAAUAGAAGUAUGAGCGUCGGGCUCUUAGUUUAUUGUUCCGGUCGAGUUUGUUGAUCAAGCAUGGUGUUCGCCCGUUGUAAAGAGCUGGGCGAACAAGCUGCUAUAUUCAAAGCUGAUAGCUAAUUUUGUGUUCGUCGAUCGAGCAAUUUUAGAAUCUUUAGUGAGCUAGGCGGUUCCGCAUGGGUGCCCAAAGAAAUUGCUGGGUGUAGAGAGUAGAAUUUCUCAUCCCGUAGGUUGCUUUAACUUGUCAGACUUGAAGGUGGAGUUGCUCUGAAAUUCAUAAUCAUCAUUGUAUGAAUGUAUUCGAUAGCUUGUUUUGUCUUCUUGUGCAUUUUUCCAUUCGCCAUAUAGCAAAUUUGCAUGGAAUUUGGUCUCCUUGCCUUGUCUUUUGUGGCUUUAAUUAAGCAAUGGUGAUUGCCUUGUUGCCUCGAUGUGAACACAGCUGUGCGUUCUCACGCAUGAAUUGUAAUUGAACCGUUCCCAUGCAAAUGUUGUGCGCUUGCCCUAGUAUUUGUAUCUUUGGAGGAGUGAGAUCGCUGGGGCCGAGUGCACUCAUUUGUGAAUAGUGCGCAGUGCCCGCAAGGGGUUGGACCCAUUGUAGAUGCAUAAUCACGAGCGGAUUGAUCGAGAGUAGAUCCAUUUUGUGCAUGGCCGAGCGUAAGUGAACUUUACCCGAACGAUCAUAGCUUUUCCAUGCGAUCCAUGCAAUGUGAGGUCCAUGCGUACUUUGGUAACUAAGGGGUUGGACCCCGUGCACAUGCAAUCAUCCUCCAAGCCUCAAUUUGCAAACAAUAUAUAUGGAGGAGGAAUAAUUAAGUUAGGCCAAUCGAGAGACUGAUCAUUGUGACCCGAGCGAAAACUUGUCCGACAAAAUUUGUUCUUUGAGGAGGUUUGUCCACGGUCAACUCUUUGGUAGAGAACAUGGCUUUUGGUGUGGGAUUAUGUGGUCAAACGUGGGAUGAAAUUUGUCCGGAGAGAGGGUGUGUGCGACGUGUCAUUUGUCCGUACGCGAUGACAUUUGUCCGUGCACAAUGGAUGUGAGACCAAUUUGUCCGCGCACAAUGGUCAUGCAAAACCAAUUUGCCCGUGCGAACUGAAUUAUCCGGAAAUGCUCAUGCGAAAUGAUACAUGUUUGAAGGAAAAAUAUAUGAUUUCACAUAUAGCGAGUUGUGCAUAUACAAUGUAUAAUUGAUUCACAAUAGUAAAUGCACGAUAUAUUUCUUAAUUGAUAUUAGAGCUUACUAUUUCUUAAACCAAUGUGUUUUCUUAUGGUUAUUAGAUUUGAUUCACCAUGUGCUUCCUUAAUGGUUAUUUUCUAACUAUAGACUAUUGCCAUUGUUCAUCACCAACACCUUUGAAAGAUGAUGCCUGCAAAGAAAAGGGACACACUAUUAGAAACCAAUAACAGAUGACCAAAUUGAUGCUUGCAAGCUGCAACACACUAUACUUUAAAAUGACUUUCACCAUCUGCUAAGGAAAAUGUCAUUAAUCUGUAAUAUCAGAACAUACAGAUACAGUUUAUGCAUCCAAAAAAGAGAAAUCCAGAUAAGGCUUUUACUUUUUCUGGUCUGAUAGAGAAGGGUGGGAUGGUCAGGAAAACCACCAUUUGGCACUUGAUUUGAUUAUGGGGUUCUAUCAUCCAAUAUCAAAAGGCCAACACUAUCUUGUUAUGCCUAAUUGCUAUAUCAGUGAAGCUUGUAUUUUUAGUUCAAAGUUCAAACCAACCUAAUAUAACAAGCCACUACUAAUUAGCAUAACAAAAUUUGCCAAGAAGCAAACACACCAAACCUAGCACUUAUGCUGCCCUUUUUCUGGCUCUCUUCGCUGCAAAUGCCAACAAGCAUGCUCAUAAAAAAUUCCCUCUGAUCCAUUUCAAGUGUUUAUCCAAGCCUCGAGCCGUCAUCUCCAUCUCAGGCUGCACAGUAAAAACCAAUUAUCAAGAAACUAAUCCCAAACACAACAACAAAGUUAGGAAGGAAAGUCAAUUUCUCAUGAUGCAUGUGUGCAUUGAUUAGAGGCCAGCCAGGUCAUUAAAAAAUAUUAUGUCUUCAUAUAUAUAUAUAUAUAUAUAUAUAUAUAUAUANNNNNNNNNNNNNNNNNNNNAUUCAACAAAGACUCACAAUGUCGGUUUGAAGUAUUUACUGGGAUUGAGCAUAAGAUAAUUUUCUUAACUAGAAAAUGUAAAACAAAAACCAUUAAACAAAGAGAAUAUAUUCUUAAUAACACCGUAACAAAGGUAAAAAAAUAUACAAGCGAAGACUAUACUGAAAAACUAUAAAGCAAAUGCCCUAAGAAAAAUAGCUCUCAGACAAUAUAGGAACAGGAAUAGAGGCUAUUAGUGCUAUGAGUCAAAAAUUGUUGCUUUGUUGUGGUAAAGUUGUUUGAUGAAUUAUAGAGCACAUACCGAAGACUCCUCGGGAGGGAAAAUCCGUCAAACAAGGCAUAUCUUUGACAGUUUUGCUACUGCUUCUGCAUGUUUACCUCGCAUCACUAAAGCCUGCAAUCAACAAGAAUAAAACAUAAAGUGCCAAAAAUUCACAGUUAUGUUUCCGACUGUACUUCAUGGUUUUUGGAGUACAUAAUUAAUAUAAUUUUCUAAAUUGAUUUUAGAAAAAUUAGGAAGUUCUAGACCACUGACAUUGACUAACCCAACUCAGCCGUAUGACUACAAUUAGUGAUAGCUAACAUGAAAGGAACAAUCAAAUCUGAAAAACUAAAAACUCCAAAUACAAUAAACUUACCGUCUACGAAUCUGUCUACGAAUCUGAUCCAGCCCUUCAGCCACAAAAUUUCUAGGGAAGUUUUUCACAAAAAGUUCAACAUUCUCAAAAGGAUAGUGGAUUUAAGCACAAGGCAUGUAACCACUCAUGAACCAUUGUUCAAACGCAUGAAAAGAUAAUUAAACAGGUCAAACAUCUAUAUCAUUAGGCAGACAUCAGUGGUUGAGAAAAUUGGUUCACUACAGAAUACUUUAUAAAACAUGAAAAACCAUGAAUUCAUAAUUGGUGAUAUACUGAAACAACUCCCCCAACUUUAUAAAACAGAAAAAGCCAUGAAUGGAUGAUAAGCCAAUAAGUAUGGUAACACAAUAAAACACACCAUUCAAACCAUAAAGCUGAGCCACAAACAAUAACAUUGUAGGCAAAGUUGAAAGAAAAGACGAUACAUUUUAGAAUAGCUGCAAGGAGAAUAAGCAAGUCUGAAUCUAAAACUACAUAAAAACCAAAAUGUGCAAUUAAUCAAAAACAUAAUUAUCGAGGAAUCUGAAGUAAAAAGACAACAACAUUGUAGAGAUAAGCCGGCUACCUGAAUCUGUUCCAGAUGAAAAAGGUGAGCUUCUUGGAUGGCGUAAGCUCCUUCAUCCAAGUAGUCUGGCUUUUGAACGAGUAAAAUAACAAUAGGGCAGGUAAUUAGAUCAUAAACAGUUCGGAUAUCAAAAUUCGAGCAAAGAAGAUCAAAAUUCAGAUUCACAAUUUAAAAAAUGAAAUAACAAACUUAGGAGAAGCAAGCACACCUGAAAAAAUAUAACCCCCUUACAGCCUCACACACACAGAGCACCACCUUCAAUCUAAAAUCCAAUUCCAAAACACAUGCAGAAAAAGGAAGCGAAAUACUUAUCAAAGUUAUGGAAACAUUCGAGUGACUACAAUACUCAAACUCGUACUCCAUCACUCAAACUUGUACUCAUUCUUCAGUCCAUCUAUUUACCUCAGGAUAAUAGCUGGUUUUACUGUUGAAGAUAAGUUAUACAACUGUUCAUGAUAAGUUUCAGAGAAAACCACUAUCGAAAAAAACUCGGCUUUCUUAAGGCAAGAAUUGAAGAACUCAAGUCAGUACUCACUUGUUUCAAGUCAUCUUCAUAGUCUUCAAUGUCAUCAUUUAUGUCAGCCUCUACUCCCCUGAACUUGAUUGCAGCUCUAUCAUACACUCAUACACUACAGAAAAUAAUUUAUAAUAAGCAACUAACUAAUCAUUAAAAUUUCUACAUGUUCUUGGAGAAAUUUUUUUUGUUUCCCCAGAAAAUUUAAGAUUUUUUAUGGCAAGCAAAAUAGUACUCACCAAGCAGCUGCAUGUGCUGUGUCGAAUCAACCUAUAGUGUGUCCAAAACAAAAUAAAAAAUAAAAAACCCAUCAGAAAGACCAACAUGGAUUUAAUUGCAAUGAUAAAACAGGUAUCCUUUUGUCAAUUCAUACAAAGAGGUACGGAAACUUCAAAGUGGCAUAUUUCAAUUCAUAGUUGGUGAUAUACUGAUAUACAUACUACUCCCUCACCUUAUAAAACAGGAAAAACCAUGAAUGAUGAUAAGCCAAUUGAGUAUGGUACAAAGAAAAACACACCAUUCAAACCAUAAAGUUGAGCCACAAAGAAACAUUAACAUUGUAGGCAAAGUUGAAAGUGACCUACAUUUUAGAAUAGCUGCAAAGAGAAUAAGCAAGCCUGAAUCUAGAACUACAUAAAAACCAAAAUGUGCAAUUAAUCAAAAACAUAAUUAUUGAGGAAUCUGAAGCAAAUAGACAACAACAUUGUAACAAAAAUUGAAAAAGAAAAAAAAAAAACGGACAGACACCCAUAUGGAGAAAUUGAUGUCAUCCAUCUUGAGGAAAAAAAUCAAUAUCAACGGAACCUUUAUUCUGACUCAGCAAGGAAAACAUUUUUUUUUUCUGAGGUGCAUCAGUUAUACACAGAUUAGUAACUCUUUAGAAACAUAGCUCAGUAAUAGAUUCAUAUACAGAUGGUGACAUGGUGCAUCCCAUCAGUUAUACACAGAUUAGGACACACAAUAUCUGAUCAAAGACCUAGUGUUAAUAAUACUCUAUUUACUGUGCUAUUGGAAUCAACCUUUGAAAUUGGGAAAGCCAUCUCAAAGUUCCCAUUGGAAACCCAACAUAACCAUGCAAGCAAUAGAUGUCGAAACUUCAAAUAUAAUAAGUUUGUCCAUCAAUAUCACAACAUUAAUAAAUCAAACUAUAGAAGCCUGUGCGCAAAGCUAUCUAAUGAACUAACUCUUCAAUCAAUAUAUACUAGCUUUUUUGCCCGCGUGUUGCUGCAGGAAACAAUCAAGUGUUGAACAGGAUUAGACAUUCUUAAUGAAGGAUUGGGAAGAAAAAUGAGUAUUGUAGAAAUGACAACUUAAUAUCCUCAAUUCCUCCUCAUUCUUAACCACAAAGAACAAAACUUCAAGGUAAUGCAGCUGAUGUCUUACAUCAAUUGUAAAAUUACUCUCCAUAGAAAUGUAUAUAUAGCAUCAACAUUUACAAUUUUCAAAAAAGAUCUGGUGCAUACAUCUUGGUCAACUGAGACAAUACUAAUUCACAUAGUUGAAUUAGACUCUUCCUUGCAUAGACACCUUUCAUACAUUUUUACAUUUUUACAUUUUUGAAGGCACAUGCAUGAUACUUACUACUACAUCAUAUAAUCCCUUUCAUAAAAUAUUUAAGAUUUACAGGUAAAAGGCAACUGGUCUGCCUAAUUUAUAACACUGGUUUCUUUCCAUAUUUCCCUUCACUUUUUAGAAGAUAACAGUUAUGCGCUGCCUAAACUAUUUCCUUGUCCAAAGACUUCUUUUGCAUCUGACAUCCAUAUACUUGACAAUUUCAAGCUAUCCCACAUUGAAAAAUAUGAACAUAUCAUUAUCUCAUUUCCCACAUGCAAAGACGACUCAACAUUAUAUCUAGUAAACUUCUGUCAACUACAGAUGUUACCCUGUUCAGAUAAACUUCUUGCAAUCAUUUAUAUAAUCCAGGGCUACAGCUAUAGAUAGAAUGAACCCAGUAACACAUAACAAUUUGAUUUUCAGGUAUAUGGUGUCCCUAAAGUUGCCUUCCUUAUUUUCAGGUAUAUGAACACCUAGAAUACUCGAUGCUAACAGGGUAACCUCCUUCCAUGUUGGUAAACUUAAACUACAUGACAGAUGCCAAAUUGAAUAUAAAAAAAAAACAAAAAAAACCCAAAAACUGACAGAACAAAACCAACUAAUUUUGUCAGCAGGGAAAGUACUUUACUUACCUGAACAAUUUGCACAUUUGUUUUUGGAUGAGUAUUAAAAGAGCUACACACUUAAAUUCAACCAAUCAAUCAAAUCAAAACCUUACUUUUUAAGUAUCUGAUCAGAUAACUCCAAUAAUGAUAAAGACAAAUCAAAUCCACGAUCAACUUCCUGCGUUCCUAAAAAGAAAAAAAAGAAAUAAAAGUUAGUGAUUAGAUCGGCUAAUAGAUUGAGAUAUCAAUAUGAAAUAGUAAAGAGAGGACAUUGGUACUGCACAUUCAAUUUUUCCUACAGAAGAAUCGGUUUAGCAAAUAAGACCUCAGACCAUGUAAAAAAAAAAAAAAAAAACACAAAAACCUACACAUGGAAAGAGUUCGAAACCUGAAAAAUCCUGUUGCAAGACUGAACUGUCACUUUACUAUUAAAAAACAUGUGCAAGUAAAACAGGCACAUACGUAAAGAUGAUACAUUCUCACAAACCAAUGCCUCGUCAACUUUUACUGGAUUAGCAUGUUCAUUCCCAAAACUAUGUUCUUCAAAAAAUUUCAUUCUAGAAGAUCUAAGUAAUGAAACAAAUUAAACCUAAAGAAAAAAAGGAAAAAAAAAUCAGCGCCAGAAAACAUAAAACAAAUAUUCAGUUGGAACAAACAUUGAAACGUAAAUUACCUAAAUAAGAAGACAAAAGUAAUAGAAUGAAGAACACUAAAGCAACUUACUAUUUUACCUAAAUAAGAAGGAAAAAGUAAUAGAAUGAAGAACACUAAACCCUGAUAUGCCGGCCCGCGCGAUGCCGCAGGGUUUUAUAUUUUUCUCUGCUGUGCAGGGUUGUUUUUUUUUCUUCAUAUGGCAAGGAUGAUAAUCUGUAUAGAAACUACAUCAGCAAAAUAGGAUAUAUAAAUGACACUGAUUUGAAAAUUCUACUUCCUAGUGUUGCAUUGAUUUCUCAUGGUUUUAAUAGUAGUUCAUCACUAAGUUCCUCGAAGACAUCCGAGCACUUUGGACACCUUCUGGUCCCUCCAGGCUUCUGUUAACUCUGCUUCAAAGUUGCUGAACUUCUCUUCAUCUCCUGCUCCUGCAAAGCUUUUUUGUGCUUGUUAGUCAUAUCAUUAAUUCAAAGUUUUCUAAACAUAACUUACUCAAGCAUCUAUUAAACAAACAUCAACAAAAGCCUGGGACAUACUUUCUAAAGAUAACUUCAUACCAUCAACACAUUCAACACCAACUGCUACCAACAGAAAAACAAAAUACAAAAAACAAUGCAAUAUACAAAUCUGUAGUGCACUUUUGUCCGGGGACAUACUUGUAUCAGUCACUAUUCUGCUUUCAUUAACUUCCUCAUCCUCACAGUAAGUCAUCCUCAAACUCAGUUGUACCAAUCCUCAUAUGUUAUGUUCAACCUGCACCCAUGUUCACACAUUAUUACACAUCAUACAGGAUUAAGACUCAAUUAGCUAAGUAAACAAAUAUGAAUCAGAACUACCAAUUGGAUAUAGAGAUAAAAAAAAAUUAAAAAACUUUAUCCAUUUUGUUGCAGCUAAGAAGACGUCCUCCCUAUGACUUUUAUUUGCCAACAAAGAUGUAAUAAUUGUAAUAAUAAACACAACCAAGGCUAACGAAUUUAUACCGAUGAAGAGAUUAUGGAAACCACCGAUUGAAAUACCUUAAUUUGUAAUGACUCUCUUUAAAUUUCUCCUUAGUUUGUCACUGAAAACUGCAAUCUUAUUGGCUCUGCACCCAAAAUGAGAAUAGAAAAAAACAGGAGUAGGGGUAGAACUAAAAGGAAAACAUGAGAAAUAUUGAGAAUUUGGAGCAGAUAAGUGAAAAAUAAAAAUAAAAAUAAAAAAGCAGCAGACAAAAGAUAAAUUAGUAAACAAUGAUAUUACCUUGUAGUCACCAGUCUGGCCUCCAAAAUCAUAUCAAACAUAGAAACGAAAGUGGGAACAGAGCUCUCUCUCUCUCUCCUUCCCAGACUUUGGACUUCGACCAAAAGAAAUCUGCAAUUAUAAAGGAGCAGAGGAAAAAUAAAAAAACCUGAUCGUAAAAUUGCAGCAAUUUGCUAGUUUACUCUAAAGAGGGUAAGAUAUGGUUGCUGCAUAUUUGAUUUCAAACCUUGUUGCAAAUAUAAACAUGCUUCAUUCUUAAGUAAUAAAGAUGCUUGUUACCAUGAGUAUACAUCACCUUUCAGGCAAUCUCGCGAAUAGGAGAAUGCUAAUUUUUUUCGAAGUAUAUCAAAUAGCCAAAUCUAACGGAAGUGAUGAAGUACUAUCAGAAGGGUAAAUAAACACAACAGGAAGGAAAUUAAUUACUACUCAACCAAACUGCAAGUAACCAAGUUACAUCCUAAAUCCUACACCACUGGACACAGUAAACUAACAUACAGGAGUACUCAAACAAUAAAUGGAAAUCAGUAACAAUUAUUCAUCCAAGUGACAAUGUAAUUCAGCACAAAAAGAAUAAAAACAUAUGGAAUAUUGAACACAACUGAGAAUGAUACUAUUUAACAUAAAUGGACUUCACGUUUUCUUUUCUAGCACUUCAAUACCUAAACAAAUGAAGUAAAUGUCAAUUAAGGUCAUUAUCAACUAUCUUAUAUAGAAUACUGGAAACUCCAAAUAGUAUGAAACAGAUAUUUACUAAUUACAAAACCUGGAUUGAAACAGAACUUGUUAAUGCUAAAAUUUCAAUAGAUAUCAAAUCAUAGCAUGUAGGACUAAAAGAAAGAGUAAAUUAACCACCAUAACAUAUUAAUGAUACAUUUGUCCAGUGGAUGCCCUCACCAAAAUUACUGCCUUAACAAAAAGCAAAUGAAGUUUUCUGAUCUUACCUUGCACCCCUUAAAUACUGCACAACUUCCUAACUUAAUGAGAUUUAAGCUGAUUGACAUUACAAACCUAAAGAGGAAGACUUUAUCACAGUAAAAGGGAGAAUAGUAUUACUACCUUGCGAACUGAUCAUCCUCAAGAAGCUUUGACCAAAUCUGCAAUCAAUGAAGAAGAAUAGUCAUUAAGACAUACAUCAAAAUUGUAAACUUGAUCUCUAACUACACCCAACAAAAUGCUUCCACCAAUACUGAACAAUAUUACACAGUACUCUACUGACCAAAACAUUCUAAUAAGACAACCCAGCACCUGGUAGUACUGUCCCACAAAGGACGACCCUACCAGCUCAAAUACGCACACGAAUACAAAAAAAAAAACAAAAAUACAUACAGAAAAUUACACACUGAAUAAGAGUACACAGAGACUGAAUCUGACCUGAACAACAUUAGCAGGUACAGGAUACGAACUCGCCAUUGCUUCCUCCAACUCUCAAAGCAUGCAAUCGCACUACACGAAUUUGAAAACUCUUUGCUAAAACCCUAACUCACUGAUUGGCCACAGAUCCGGCUAUAUCUCCGAAACACUAAACCCUGGCUUCACGGCACCUCGGGAUUCCCUAACCUCACUGACCUCAAACCUAAUCAAAAAUUCAAUGAAUGAAUCAUGAAAGAAAGUGACGACAGAACUGGAGCAGAGAGAGUCGAGCGGGAUCGAGAGCGAGAAAGAAAAAGAUAUGCAAAGCAGUGAGAGGGAUCGAGAGAGAAGAAUCUAGAGGGAUAAAGAAGAAGCCCAAGAGACCAAGAGACCAAGAGACCAAGAAAAAGCCCAAGCCCAAGUUAUACUGUUCACAGGAACAGUAAGGCGCGUGAGGCCGCAUAAUAUCUAGUUAAAUAUAUAUACACACACACGGAGCCAUUCAGAAGCAGAAGUCCGCACGUCCCUCUAUUCUCCACUGUCCGGCGCCGGCGCGCCUCCACCCGAGCAGACACCAGCGGCAUACCCGAUCACUUUCUCUCCCCGGCGAGAUUCAUUUGAAGGUCUGGGCAGCUACCUCCACCCAAAACUUCAGACAAGAUCGAUCUCGCCGGAAAACUGGAAUUCGGCGGACUCGCCGAGGAGAGAAAGUGAUCGGCGACGCCUCUAGUGUCCACUCAGGCGGAGGCGCGUGGUCAUUGGCACCGGACGGUGGAGAACGGAGGGACGUCCGCACUUUAAGCCCAGUGCGGACGUCCGCUCUCGAACGGGCCUAUAUAUAUAUAGAGGCCGGAUAUGAAGCGCACGUGCGUAAGUGCGCAUGGAGCUCCGUUCGCCACCGACGACGGCGCACCUCCACCCCAGCGGACUCCAGCAGCGUCCCUGAUCACUUUCCCUCCCGGCGAGUCCGCCGAAUUCCAGUUUUCCGGNNNNNNNNNNNNNNNNNNNNAGACAUAUUGAUAUCCACCUUGUCACUAAACCUAAGCACAAAUGACAUCCCAUAAUCAAUAUCAUUAUUAAUCCACUAAUCACUACAUCUUAGACAUCAUGCAACACAAACAGAUGUGACCAUUUUGCCAGUAGUGAAAGUGAUUAUAUUAGCCAAUCACCAAAAACACAUUCAGUUGCUGAGAAGGAAACAACAACUGCACGGAAUAUAUUAUACUACGUGGCAUGUAUCAUCAUAAGUAUUGCCACAGGACAACUUUGUGAGCACCCAACAGAAAAUCUGAAUUUGCUUAGCAUUUAGUAAGCAAAACAAAGCAUUCCAUAGUAUUGACUUAUAAAACUACUACCAAAACAUUGGUUUGAUCACUAAUCUAUAUGUACAUAUGUACUUCUCAGUAUUAUUUGUUACUUGAUUUCCUCACCAAAUCAUGAAUCACAUGGCUUUCCAAAAAGAACAUAUCCUCUUAUCCCAGCACCACCAAUAAGCCGAAAACCCAGAAAACCAAAACACCAAAUUCACAUCAAAAUCGAUCACAUUAUUAACCACAAAUUGGAUUGAAUAGCUCUUUAUGACAAAAUAAAAUUGAAGUUGAAAAGAUUACCUUAAGAACACCUUGGGGUGCUUCAGCAAGCUAUCGGAAAUCAAAUUCAAUGCAAAGAAUAUCCACCAUCAGAAUCAUCAUGAAAUAAACAAAAUCUCAAAAUCAGGAUUCAAUUUUGAAGAACCCACACAAUCGAUCAGCUAGAAAUCGAAUUACUUUACCUUAGUAUUACGGGUAUCGUCGUCGCCGGAGCCCAGCCCUAGAUUCGCCGGCUUCUUUCGUCAAUAGUCCGUCUUCUCCUACUUAAAUCCAAUAGCAACAAAAGCAAAAGAAACUAUAACUAUAUUAGUUUUCAGCAUAUAUAUAUAACACUAAAUGUAGAUAUAUAAUAUAUAAGCAACUUUAUAAAUAGGUAUAUAUAUAUAUAUUAAUAUUCCGGGUUGUCACACUCCACUGUCCUCAGAGAAAUUUCGUCCUUGAAAUCUAUAAAACCUUAAAUCUAAAAAUUAUGACUUGAACUUGAAUUCAGCCAGCCACUCCGAUAUUCGGACAACACCAUUCACUUGUCUAUUUCCACUAACCGAUAAUACUGAGACUAGAAACCCAUAAUCAAAACCUUAUAAACCCAGACAAAAAAGUGCAGGUCUAACAUGAAGAAUCAUGAAGACAUGAUUCUUCAAUGGUAACUCGACUAACAACCAGCCUUUCAUAUUAAAAAUUGAUACAACGGACAUAAUUCUCCUUUAUAAAUCAAUGCUAAUAUAGCGGCAGAUUAAAAGCAACUAUUAUGUAGCUAUCAUUGUAACUAUUGAAAGCUAUGUAACUGGCAAUGUAACUACUAUUUAUGUGACUUGGACAUGUUUCUGGCAAUGUAACUGGAAUGUAAGUAUGGAGCAACUAACAAUAUAACUACUCAUGUCACUGUUGAAAGCCAUGUAGCUGGUCAUGUGACUGAUUCAUGUAACUAACGUUUAACAGACAUCUCCAACUGGACAUAUAACUAUUAAAAGGCAUAUGUAACUACCUAGGUAACUAUCCAUCUAUAGUUACAUAGGUAGCAUAAUGUAGUUACAUAAGUCAUUUACAUAAUAAUUGCAGCGUGAUGCAGUUGCGGUUCCUGCUGCGUAUUAGAACAAAAAUUUAUAUUAAAAGCAACUGUUAAAAAUGCAUAUGUAGCUAUCCCUAUAACUAUUGAAAGCUAUGUAACUGGCAAUGUAACUACCAAUGUAACUAUCAAUGUAACUACCUUUAACAUGACAUGGACCUGUUGCUGCAACUGUUAAAAUGCAUAUAUAGUUGUCCCUGUAACUAUUGAGAUCCAUUUAACUGGCAAUGCAACUAGCAAUGUAACUAGCAAGGCAAGAUUUAUCACCAAACAUCAAUCUCAUUUAUCUUAUAGAAAAGCAUGUAAAGAGAAGGGUAUUUGACUAUCUUGAUCUCUUAAAUGUAUUUGAAGACACAUAAUAAUGAAACAUAUUAUACUUCCAACUACGCAAAAUUUAUCUUUUUUAGGGAAAAAGUUUUAACAUCCUCAUAAUUCAAACUAAGCAACUAACACGACUUUCUCCAUCUCAAGUCUGGAAGUAUCUGAACUCAUAACAAGAAAUCAAGGACGUACUGCACUAUAAAAUUGACGCAUAAACCACACUGAUGGAAUACUAUCAAGCUAACUUGAAAUCCAAACGAAAAUGUAGGAAAAAUACGAACAACACGAAUUGAAUCUCAUCAAAUUCAUCAUCAAAUCUAUGAAAAUCAAACAAAAAAACAAGGGGAAUAGAAAUAGUAAAUUGCAACUGAAAGGAAGAGAAGCAAGUAAAGUACAACAAAACAAUGAGCAGAUCUAACUUAAAAACACAGAAAAACCUGAUGUAGGAGCGCGGUCCAUGUCACCGGUUUGCUGCUUCAAAUGGUUCUCGGCUUCCUGGUUGGGCAUGACAAUGCUGGUGGAGACGAAGCUGACGGGCUUUGUGAAGUCGGCCUUUCUCUCUUUGCGGCGUUUCCUGGAGCCGUCGUCUUCGUCGGAGUCGGAAUCGGCGAAAAAGAGGAAGGACUUGAAAAAAAGAAAAAAAUAAUAUCAGUGAGAAAUAUCAAGUGCGAAAAAGAGGAAGGACUUUAACAGAAAAAGCUUACCUGAUAUGUUUCUACUCUUAUGUCCAGACUUCAGAUAUGGGGCAGUAUAAAACUGAUAGGUAUGACAGAUAUGGGGCGGUAUAAAACUGAUAGGUAUGAAACUAAGGUGGAGCGAAUUCCUUGGAACAAAUUCCUAAUAUUCAGAAUCAGUAAAAAAAAAAACAACACGGAUAAACUUGGAGCGAAUUCCUAAUAUUCAAUAGUAUCAUGAAAUUAAGGUGAGAAAAAGCCGAGAUGAAUAACAAAAUUAAAUUAGUUGAUGUGAUGAGUAUCAGUCCCAAGUAAUUACUCUAUACUACUCUCCUUUUGAAUAAUUCAAUGUAUUAUACAUAUACAGUCAUCUCUUUGUUUACAGUUUAUGAAAAGAAAGCACAUAGAACACGUAUCACAUAUUCAGAUGCAAAGAAAUAAUGAAGACUUGAUAUAAAUUAAUGUUGUCUUAUACCAUUGACCUAGACUAUAAUUUAAUGAUAUGUGUGGUAUCUAAUUUAGCAUUUUGACCAAAUCCAGCUAAAUCUUCUUCUGAGUUUACAUAAGGAAGCAAAAGAAUUAAAUGAGGUAUGGGGUUUCAUAAAUCCCAUUUGGUCACAGUCAAAUAAGAACCUUUGGGCCGAAAUACUCUGAUUGUUUCUGCAACUGGAGUCGAAUUGCAUAGAGGCAGACUGGUGUUGCUGUUCCAUUGCAGCAAUUCGAUGUGUGUGAUUUUGAAUAGUCCCAAAUGCAGGGUUGUUCUUUCUUCCGGUUUGAAUUUAUAGCUCAAAUUCAGACAAUGAUAUCCUCCUGCAUUAUUACCGGAAGGCUCUGCACAAAUACAAUAUCUAAAUGAAUUUGCAAAAAUUAAGAUGAAUUACUACAAUUUAAAUUAAUUAAUUAUCAGUUGAGUUCAGCUCACUCUCAUAGUUGCUAGGAUCAAUGUUAGCACAGAUUAUUUGCCAUUAUACGUGAUUGCAGCUUUGUCAUAAGCCCUACAAAAAAAAUGUACAUCAAUUCUCACUCCAAUCUUCAACUAAUUGUUUUUCUUCUUCCCAGAAACCAAUAAAUACAAUAUCUGUAUCGGUAUCUGUAUCUGCAGCUUUGCAAACACGGACCUUCUGCGUCGUUCUCACAGCAUCAAAUCAGUGACCUGCAAACCCGGAAGAACAAUCAAAGUCAAGCCUCAGAUGCUGAUGCCCUUGCCACAAACAGUGUUAAUCAUGAACUUGGUUUCAUUGCUUUUGACCAUCCUCCCAACCACGCCGCACAAGCCUUUUUGGAUGACAUUGCUGUUGUUUCUAGAGCUAGGAUGAGCCUCUUCCUCUAAUUUUAAGUGUGUUUGUUUUUCUGCUUUUGUUCUUUUUGACCUGUUUGUAACCAAAAAAAAAAAGGUCAAGCCUCAAAUGCCUCACUCAAUCUCAGACGUAAAACACUUGAGUAUCCAUUCUUUCUCUCUUUCUAUUCAAUUGCAAAUCCAGAGACAUUGAAAUGUGAAUGAAUUUGGCUAGAAAACAUAUCUUGUUUGCAUAUACCGGAUGUAAAUUGUUAUUGGCCAUACACAGCAAUCAAAUCUGCAACUAAAUAUUUUUGCUCAGUAACAUUCAACGGGUAGAUUUUUGGAUUUUCAAUCAAUUUUAGAUGCAUUGCAUUGCAUGCAUUUUGUCUGUGUAUAUAUUUCUGAUGAACAAUUAAAUCCUAAUGUGAGUUAUCAAAAGGUCUGCAAUCACACCCAAUGUGAAAAGUAAAAUAUACAGAACACAGACCUUCAAUACGGAAUUGAGUCCCAGCAACCUUCACCCAACCUGCAAAAAAAAUAAAAGUAUUCGCAAGACCCAAUCCAAAAUCCAACUGGUCAUGUGAAUAAAUAAUAAUACACUCAAACUCACAUAUCAAAAAAGGACUUCAUCCAUACGGUACUCAUUUAAUCACAUCGCAUACAACAUUGCAAUCCUAAAUUCUUAACCUCAUAAAAGCUGCAAGUCCUCCUAUCGUAUCUAAAGAUGGAAAAAUCUGUCUGCAUUAUAAUAUAGCAGCAAUCCUUCUUAACAAUGCAAUGGAGCUUCUCCAUUUUUGCAGCUCAUCAUCAGAAUUUUAUUUUAUUUUUACAUGUACAAAGUCUUUGAAGCCCAAUUAUUCUUCUCCGUUUAUUUCUGUUUUAAUUCACACAAAAAAUGCAAGCAGAUGAUGGAAUUAUGAUAUAUUCAAAGAUGGACAAUAUGAAAUGCAUAAUUAGAUGUAAAUAUGGAUGUGAUUCUCAGUAUGCAAAUGUCAUCCAUUAACAUUCUACUACAUGAUCAUCACCAAACCUAUCAAAUUUUACUGAAGCUAAAACACAUAUGCAUACUCAUAAUCUGUAAAACUAUCCACAUAUGUUACAAUAUCUUUCCACUCCUUUUACUUCCUUUUUAUUCAAAUCAAAAAACACUAAAUCAACAAAAGAAAAAGUAACCUGAAUUACAGAGACCAUCCACAAAUAGGCACAGCAACAGCAACCAACAUCUACCAGCAAAAUCAAAAAAUAAAUAGUUAGCCUUAAAGUUUAUACAGUGAACAUAAGGAGACAAAAUUCUUAUCUAAUUUCUGAUAUACGUAGCCAAUUGAGUAUGGUAACACUGUAAAACACAUCAUUCAAACCAUAAAGCUGAGCCACAAAAACACAAUACCAUUGUAGACAAAUUUGAAAGAAAAGACGAUACAUUUUAGAAUAGCUGCAGAAUAACCAAGCCUGAAUCUAGAACUACAUAAAAACCAAAAUGUGCAAUUAAUCAAAAACAUAAUUAUCAAGGAAUCUGAAGUAAAUAGACAACAACAUUGUAGAGAUAAGCCGGCUACCCGAAUUUGUUCCAGAUGAAAAAGUUGAGCUUCUUGGAUGGUGUAAGCUCCUUCAUCCAAGUAGUCCGGCAUUUGAACGAGGAAAAUAACAAUAGGGCAGGUAAUUAGAACAGAAACAGUUCGGAUAUCAAAAGAAGAUCAAAAUUCAGAUUCAUAAUAUAAAAAACGAAAUAACAAACUUAGGAGAAGUAAGCACACCUGAAAAAAUAUAACCCCCAUACAGCCUCACACACUCAGAGCACCACCUUCAAUCUAAAAUCCAAUUCCAAAACACAUGCAGAACAACAAACCAAACAGUUAAAGUAAAAAGGAAGCAAAAUACUUAUCAAAGUCAAGGAAACAUUUGAGUGACUACAAUACUCAAACUCGUACUCCAUCAGUCAAACUUGUACUCAUCCUUCAGUUCAUCUCUUUACCUCAGGAUAAUCCACAAAACAGAUGCUUGAAUUAAUUUUGGUUUAAAGAAAUGAUUGCUGAUCUAAAAGUGAAGAUAAAAUUCAGUAUGAAAGACGAAUUCCUUACCAGAUUUAUAGGAUCCAAACGCGAUUGUCUUUCCACUAAGCUCCAGAGCGGCACAUUAAUCACCAAAAAGAAAUUUAAGCACAUUUAACAGCAAACUCUAAUAGGUUUUUUAACCUUUACAAUACUAAAAACAAAAGUAAAGAAGCAAUCAUCACCUUCCCCGCAGCAUUGCCCUGUACAAAUGAAAGGAAAAAAUUGCAAAACGGAUACAGCAAUAAUGAACUUGAAGAGCAUGACCAAGUUGAAAAAUCCAUGUUGAUAAUAAGUAUCAGUUCAGUAGGCAGCUAUUCAUAUAGUCAAGUGCAUCAAUCAUAUUGCAUCAAAUAAAGUAUUCCAAGCAACCGAUUUUGAUUAAAAUCCUUAUCAGACUGCGGUAAACAUAUAAUGAAAUCAGAAAUUACUCACAGCAUUGCAAGACUGAGGCAAUAGAGAUCAGUGACACCAAUUCCCCUGAUAUAUUCUCCUAAUAUAUUUUUCAUCAGUGACAACAAUAUCAGAACGUAAACGAUAUCAAAACGAAAACGUCAAAGCUCAGUACCUAAAUAUCCUAAACUUUGGACCACAAUUGACAUGGGCACUUACAGUGAGAACAAAUUCUGCAGCUGAUAAGUUCUUGAGGAAUAAAAAAUUUCACAGUUGGGAUAAAAUCAAGCUAUCCAUAGCAUCUAUAUCAAACCUAAAACUCACUUUCCAAGCUUCACUUUUCGUAUCUAGCCUGUCUGAAUCCAAUUUAAGACCAGCUCUUUAUAACUUUCCAAAACAAACACCCAAUUUAUAACCAAUGCACAUUGCACUAUCAAAUCCAUAUAUAACUUGAAACUCAGAUUAAGCUAAUUACUACACAAAUACUGAUGGCCUCUAUUUUCUUUUUACAUCAAAACUCUGGCCACAUAUGGCUUGUGAUUUAGAGUGUGGAAACAACCAUUGUUAUCUUAGGUAAGUCUUAGUGCAGAUCACUUCAUUCCGAACAUAACAUAAGCUGUUGAAAGUGAUCAGAUAUAGAAGAAUUAUGAAUUCAUGAAAACAAGAACAGUCAAAAAGUGAAAACAUUGUAAAAUAAACUCCGAAAAUGAUCACAUGAUCUUUGUUCUAUUUAUCAAGAUUCAAAGUAAAAUCAAACAGCGUUUGAAACAUAUCCCAAAAGUGCAUGCUGGAAACUGUAGUGGUUUUAUAAACAGUAAAAUUUUCAAAGGCAGAGGAAAAAGUAGGAUGAAAGUAGAUCAACCUGCUAAACUUGGUUUUCCAUUUCCUUGAACAAGGCUGUUUCUUUUCUCGCCUUAACAUGCCCUUUCUCGAGCUCAAUCUUGCCUCUCAAAUGGUAGUUGUUGGCCUAUUUGUGACGGAGCCUCCUUCUGCAGAUGUCACCAAUAUCUAAGUCAACAACGAUCAACCAAGUGGUACAACAAUUAUCAAUUGCUUUACUGAACUAACAACUAACUAAAAUUAGAUCAGAUCAAUCUCACAAAAAAGAUUGUAAUUCAUUCACACAAGCAAAUCAAUGAAACAAUAAUUAAGUGCAGAUUACUAAAGAGAAAUGCUCUUUAACAGUUCAACAUAGACACUGCUGUUAUGGUUUUUUUUUUUCUUUUAUCGUCAGCUUCACAAAAACAAUGUUUCACCUGAGUUUAUUUGUGCCCCCGCGUUGCUGCGGGUUUCAAAAGAUCAUUUCAGGUUUCAAGUCUUUGAUGUAUUCAUGCUAGUUUGAGAAGUAAGCUUUGAGGGCUAGACAAUGAAGUACAAUACUCCGAUUGCAUAUGAUUCGCAAUAUAUGUAGUAGAACAUGUCGUAUUAAUAUGGCCACCAAAAAGUGUUAAAAAAUAUACGUGUUACAGAUUAAGGGUAACUUUUAUCAUCCUUAUUAGCAAGGGAAAGGAGGUCGUCCUUUGAAAUCUUGGCAUUCUCCAAGCCAACUCUUCCGUCUCCACGAGAUUUCUCUUGCACAACAAACCAAAAGAAAAUGAAUUGAAUAAUCCAGUAAACAAAUGAUCCAAUUUAUUAAUUGUAGAUAAGCAAUUCAUAAGUUCUCAAAUCCACACGUCCCAUUAGAACUCUAAAUCCCUUUUAGAGUAACUAUUUAAUACAACAAUAUCAAGCAGAUGAAAGCAUGAAAAUUAAAAAUCAAGCAAGCAUGAAAAUUAAAAAUCAAGCAGAUGAAAGCAAAGUUUUCUUUCUUUGAAGCCACUAUAUAAUCGAUACAGUUUUCGUUAUUUGAGUACAUUGCAUGUAAAGUUUGUAACUUUACCUGAAAAACUGCUUAAAAAUGAAACUCAAAUCAGCAAGCUAUAUACUGGAAUUCGGUGCAAUCGAUCAUUGAGGUGCUAAACUGCAAAACAGACAAACGCCGAAUCAGCUCAAAUCAGGUAAUGGGAACGGUUAUCCUUCUGGAAAUGAUAAGCUCAAUCUCAAACAAUAUAAAAACCACACAAAAACAGAAUGAAAAAAUUUGAAAAUUCAAAAGCACUCAACUUAUCUAUUCGAUCCGAGCAGAGGAAGAUUGGGAACUUCCCAAAUCUAUAGUCCCACGAAUCCAUCUUGGGGAAAAUUUAUAUUGCACUCUUUGCAUUCAAACACCAAAUUUCAUGCCACCAAAAAAAAUUCAAAUGAAAACACAAUAAAAAUUCAAAUGCAAACGCAAAAGCCAAUAAAGUCGAGCAGAACAACAUCAAGAAUAUACCUGAGAAACUAAUAAAUUGGAUCCCGCCCAAAAUCAACCAAACUCGACCAGGCACAUGUUAACAAAUUCUCCAUAGAUUUUCACUCAAAGAUAUCUCAUCGGCUCUACACCGAAANNNNNNNNNNNNNNNNNNNNAUAAUCAAUCUUCCCCAUAUCCACAAAAUAAACCAAAAAAAAAAAUAAAUAAUAAUAAUAAAUAAUUUAAUAGCUGGUUUUACUGUUGAAGAUAAGUUAUACAACUAUUCAUCAUAAGUUUAGAGAAAACCACUAUCGAAAAAAACUCAGCUUUCUUAAGGCAAGAAUUGAAGAACUCAAGUAAGUACUCACUUGUUUCAAGUCAUCUUCAUAGUCUUUAAUGUCAUCAUUUAUGUCAGCCUCUACUCCCCUGAACUUGAUCGCACUUAAUCGCAGCUCUAUCAUACACUGCAUAGAAUAAUUUAUAAUAAGUUACUAACUAAUCAUUAAAAUUUCUACAUGUUCUUGGAGAAAUUUUUUGUUGAUUUCCCCAGAAAAUAUAAGAUUUUUUAUGGCAAGCAAAAUAGUACUCACCAAGCAGCUGCAUGUGCUGUGUCGAAUCAACCUAUAGGGUGUCCAAAACAAAAUAUAUAAAAAACAACAAAAAAAAAGAACCCAUCAGCAAGACCAACACAGAUUUAUUUGCAAUGAUAAAACAGGUGGCCUUUUGUCAAUUCAUACUUGCAUUCAAAGAAAAAGCGGUACUGAAACUUCAAAGUGGCAUAUUGCAAUUCAUAGUUGGUGAUAUUCUGAUAUACAUACUACUCCCUCACCUUAUAAAACUGAUGAUAAGCCAAUUGAGUAUGGUAACACUGUAAAACACACCAUUCAAACCAUAAAGCUGAGCCACAAAGAAACAUUAACAUUGUAGGCAAAGUUGAAAGAAAAGACCUACAUUUUAGAAUAACUGCAAAGAGAAUAAGAAAGCCUGCAUCUAGACCUACAUAAAAACCAAAAUGUGCAAUUAAUCAAAAACAUAAUUAUUGAGGAAUCUGAAGCAAAUAGACAACAACAUUGUAACAAAAAUUGAAAAAGAAAAAAAAGGAACAGACACCCAUAUGGAGAAAUUGAUGUCAUCCAUCUUGAGGAAAAAAUCAAUAUCAACGGAACCUUUAUUCUGACUCAGCAAGGAAAACAUUUUUUUUCUGAGGUGCAUCAGUUAUACACAGAUUAGUAACUCUUUAGAAACAUAGCUCAGUAAUNNNNNNNNNNNNNNNNNNNNAAAAAAAAAAAAAAAAAAAAGGAAGGACAGACACCCAUAAUCCUUGAUCGAACUAGAAAAAUAUAAAAAACCAAGCAAAUACCAAAUACCAAAUACAGAUGUGACAAAAUAUGAUUUUUUCACUCACCUUGAUCCAGCAUAAAGGAUUGAAACCUUUGGAGCUAAUACCGGCAUUCAUCACCGUUGCUAGUUUCCAGCCAGCUCCAAUUAUCUUUUCAAUUUUGUAAUUGCUUUUGGUAAAUCGAAAAUCAGUGACCUGCGCGCAACUUCAAUGAUAAAAAAACUGUGAUUUAAAUCGUUGUGUUUGGCCCUUAUACACAAAGUCUGAUAGUUAUAGUUGAUCAAUUUCAAAUUGCAUGCAACUUUAUAAAACAAAUCAUCAAAAUUUUGCAGAACCCCAAAUGUAAAGACAUUAGUUUUAUAUCAAAUAACAUUGUAGGCAAAGUUGAAAGAAAAGACAUACAUAAAAGCUGCAACUGCAAAACAUAUUAACAGGGUAAGGAGUAACCUCUAUGGAUUUUUUUUAAGCUUCGAUUUGAAUAGCUGCUUGCUAUCCAACUCUAUGUUCUUUCACUCUCCAAUAGGCGUAAUGUGAAUCAUUUCUAGAAUCCUUGUGUCAUUGUAAUUCCAGAAAGAAAAUCUUGGUUUUAUGAGCUUCUUGAACACAAGAUUGAAGACCAGACUGCAUUUUUCAAAUGUCAAUGAGACUUUCAGAAGAAAAAAAGAAAGGGCCUCAGUAUUGUGUUUGAUAUGACAUAUUUUAAAAAGUUACCUAUCAAUGACAAAGAGACCAAUAACUUACAGCCGAACAACAAUUACUGUAAAUAAGUAUGAAAUUCCAGGGAAAUCCUCAUCCAAGUAGACUGAAUUACUUAUUGAUUCUAAAUAAGCUCCCUGAGACGGCUUAAAUAUCCAUCAAAACCCCACGACAGCUUAAAUAUCCAUCAAAACCCCACCCUGACUCUAAAAUAACUUCUAGGUACAAAAAAUUUCCGGCACCAUUAUAUAGCCUUGUUUCAUUGCUUUCAAAACUAUCAAGGAUGCAGAUAGAAGGAAACAUACAGAUAGAUGCAACCGCAGCAUGUAUAUCAAACCUAAAACUCACUUUGCUUCAGUUUUCAGAUCUAGACGGUCCCAAUCCAAUUAAUAACCUUUCCAAAGCACCCCUAGUCAGUCCCAAUCCAAUUAAUAAGCUUUCCAAAGCACCCAAUUGCACUAUCAAUCAAAUCCAUAUAUAACCUGACAGCACCAAAAUACACACCUUAUAAACCCCAACAUAAUAAAUUAUAAGUAAACAAUGACCAUGAAAGAAAACAUUAAAUCAAUAAUUAAUAAAUUAUAAUUAAACAAUGAGCAUGAAAGAAAACAUUAAAUCAAUAAUUAUACCCAGAAUUGGCUUUGCCAUUCAAAAUCCGCAGCCUCAAAACAAGAUCAAAUUCUGAUUACUAGAUAAAAACCCUAAAUCCAACCACAGCCGAAAUCUCAACCCCCAAUUAUCCUUAACAAUUACCCAAUUUCCCAAUUCCCAAACCCAAACCCUAUUUGACAGAGACCACCCACAAAUAGGCACAGCAACAGCAACCAAAAUCUGCCAGCAAAAUCAAAAAAUAAAUAGUUAGCCUUAAAGUUUAUACAGUGAACAUAAGGAGACAAAACUUUCUUAUCUAAUGAAACAUAAAAUCAUAAAAAAUUGAAACAAUCUAAUAAACUUUUCAUAAAACUCAAACCACAUGCAGUUUUAACUAACUGAAUAUUACAAUAAAUUUAUUUGCGAGCAUGUUGGACCAAUAAAAAAGAAUCCAAAACAAACCCGCCACCUGAACAUAACAGAAUACCAUAAAAUUCAUAAUUGAAUAGAAACAAUGAAAAGGAGUUCUGGUGUUGAAGAGGCAUAAUAAAGUCUCCCAAAAUAAAUAAAAAAUAAGAGCAAUUACUACAAUAAAGCAUAUCUUCAUCAACCCCAGUACACCAUCAUUAACUCAACUAUAAAGCAAUAUUGAGAAAACUGUUUUCUGAGCAAGAUACUUGAAACAUGAUUGAAUUGAAGUUUUAGCCGUCAAUUUUAUCCACAAUACCACAUGGGAAACAGAUUAUUCGCAUGUAAAGGCUGCAACUGCAAAACAUAUUAACAGACACAGGUAAGAAGUUACCUCUAUGGAUCAAAACAAAAAGAUAUAACAGGUUUUAAUGACGUUAUCUUUGAAUUUAUGGAGUGACAUUACGAAAUUCCAGGGACUCCUCAUCGAAGCAAGACUGAAUUACUGAUUGAUUCUAAAUAAGCUCCCUGAGACAGCUUAAAUAUCCAUCAAAACCCCACCCUGACUCUAAAAUAACUUCUAGUAGGUUCCGGCACCAGUUAUAUAGCCUUGUUUCAUUGCUUCCAAAACUAUUAAGAAUGCAGAUAAAAGGAAACAUACACAUUCGUUAAUAACAAAACAUUGCAUCACUCAGCCUUUGUAUUAGCAAAAUGCAUAUACAUUAGGAAUGCAUAUACAUUAGGAAGUCAGAUGUUCUGCACUACAACUGAAGCUACCCAUAUGUUCUGCACCAUAACUCAUGUUUUGCAUUAGAAUGUAAGAGUAAUUUUUUUUUUUUGUCGAAAUACCCUUUUAAUGAAGCUACCCUUUUAAGAAUUUUUUUUUUCUUGUCAUACCCAACAAUAUGAAGCUACCAUUGAUCCAAGGUUCUGCUAAAUACAGAUUCUCGUUAAAAAGUUAAAGAUUAAAAGAUAAUAAAUGUUUCUGAACAAUGGGUAAUACUGGAUUUUAACAGGUAAUUCCACAACUAAGAUUCCAAAAGCACACAAAUCAAUGAAUAACACCAAUCAAAAUUCAAGCUAAAAACUCCAUAAAAUCCCAGAACAAAACUGAGCCUGGUCAUUGCGUAACAUACUUUGGUGAAAACUGGAAGCGAUAAAGGGCAAGUCUGCAAUUCAAUAACCACCUAAAAAUCACUAACAUUAAAAAUUAAAAAAUAUAACAAAUCAACCAAAGCACAAAAUUGAAAUCGCAAACAGAUAAGAAAAACCAAUACCCACAAUUUUCGAUUCAUGGACUUUGGAUAAGCUAACAGUUCGCAUUCUUAUUUUGCUGAUCGAUCUCAAUGGCCCCAACACCUUCCUCUUCGUGUAGAGACUCGUGUCGAUAUAAAAUCCCAAACCAAGCCUGAAUCUAAAACCACAUAUAAACCAAAAUGGCCAACUAAUCAAAAACAAAAUGAUUGAGGAAUCUAGGCUAUUUAAUGAGAAUAACAAAAAGUUAAGCACACCAAAAUUUAAUUACUGAUGGCGUGGAAUUUAGAAAGAAAUUACUGAGCCGAAAUACUGAUUGUUCUUGCAAAUGGAGUUGAAUUACAUAGAGGCAGACUGUUGUUGCUGUUGUUGUUCCAUUGCAGCAAUUCGAUGUGUGAUUUUGAGUAGUCCCAACUGCUGGAUUGUUCUUUCUUCCGGUUUGAAUUUACAGCUCAAAUCAAGACAAUGAUAUCCCCCUGCAUUAUUACCGGGAAGAUACAAUAUCUAAAUGAAUAUUUGAAAAAUUUAAGAAGAAUUACUACAAUUUAAAUUAAUUAAUUAUCAAUUGAGUUCAGCUCACUCUCAUAGUUGCUAGGAUCAAAGUCAGCGCAGAUUAUUUCCCAUUAUACUUGAUUGCAGCUUUGUCAUAGGCCCUACAAAAAAAUGUACAUCAAUUCUCAGUCCAAUCUUCAACUAAUUGUUUUUCUUCUUCCCAGAAAUGAAUAAAUUCAAUAUCUGUAUCUGCAGCUUUGCAAACACGUACCUUCUGCGUCGUUCUCAGCAUCAAAUAAUCCCAAAUAAACGUACCUGUAAAAUCAAUCAUUAAGCUGUGUAAGAGAUUACAAAUGGGGCACAGAACCUUUCUCAUUGGCAUUUCAUGUGACCGUCGGUCUAGACGGUCAAAAAAUUGAGGUCUAAAUAGGGUUGACAACAAAACAUACCGGACAAUAAAAUGAGUGAUAAUUAAGAAAAGGGUUUACUUAACUUUUGCCUAAAAAUUGGCAGAUCCGAGCCUCCCAUCUCCCACACUUAUGCACUGGCACUCCUCUAUAUUUUGAGCCGCCUCUAGGGAACCAGGUACUUUGUUGGAAAAGUACAUGCACACAUUCCUCCUUUGUUAAAUUGCUCAUUUGUUCAGCAACAUAUUACAAAAGAAUAUAAUCAAUCUUCCCCGUAUCCACAAAAUCACAACCCAAAAAAAAAAAAAAAUAGAAUAGCUGGUUUUACGGUUGAAGAUAAGCUAUAAAACUGUUCAUAAUAAGUUUAGAGAAAACCACAAUCCCAAAAAACCCAUCUUUCUGGAGGCAAGAAUUGAAGAACUCACCUCAGUACUCCAUGUCAUAGUCUUUAUAGUCUUCCAUGUCAAAAUUCAUCUCAGCCUCUACUCCCUUGAACUUCACCGCCACUGCAAGACCAACAUGGAUAUUUUCUUUGCAAUGAUGAAACAGGUGUCCUUUGUCAAUUCAUAGAAAAAGAGGUACUGACUUCAAAGUGGCAUUUCAAUUCAUAAUUGGUGAUAUACUGAAACUACUCCCCCACUAUUUUACUCCCUAGUUCAAUCGAGUGACUAAAAAAUACCAAAAGUUGAUAGGGACGCAAGUUACCAACAACAAAAAAACACUCAGAGCAGCAUAGCUUUUUGCACAUUAAAUGCAGUAAUCCUUAAAAUCUUAUGAUGGUAUAUCAUCACAACAGAAAAUUUUGAAAUAUGCAUGAAAUGAAAUGAAACGUUCAAAACCUUGUAGAUAUCUUCUGGAGGUUUGGCCUCCAUGACCUCAAUAUCACUAGCAAGGGUAAGAUUACCUUCACUGAGUUUAGCGUUAUUGAUAAUGUCCUGCAUUGCUUCUCUUUCUUCAUCUUCUGACACCAUCUCAUCAUUAAGCUCAAAAUUGCUACCCUGUAAAGGCCAACGGGAAAACAAGCAUCAGAAACACACUAUAAGAUACUAAUGUCAAAUUCACACCUUUCAGCCAGUGUAUAAUUUUCUAGAGCACCUACUGCAUUCAUAUGCGCAGAGAGAGAGAGAGAGAGAGAGAGAGAGAGUAAUUUGAAGAACCGCUUUACAAAUAUAAAUUCCAUGACUUACAUGUCGGGCAAGGAUGUGACAGAAUUGCUUUUUACGCAGCAGAUCAUCACAAGAUGUAAAGACUUGCUUUACAAACUGCAAACAUACUCAAAAUUGUUAGCACCAAAUCAUAUAACUUGUAUAAUCUUCUGUCAACUUCCCUAGUCAAUUAACAAAACACAUGCCAUUUUUUUUUAAAAGCACAAACCUCCUUAUUGUCAAGGAAAAGGGCAAUCAGAAGUGCAUUUGGAUAUUCUUCAAAUUUCAGAUUUAUCAUGAAUGCGAUAUCCAAAACUAACAUAUCAUCUGGUNNNNNNNNNNNNNNNNNNNNUUGGGCAAAUUCUCUGAAUCAAGGUACAGUCCGCUUACCUUGCCAAACUGAUGAGGUCAAGACAAGUCCUCUUAAAAUUUGUCUUAUCAACAUGCUCGACUAAAGAUCAAGGUCUUCAACCUGGCAUUGGACAUUUGGACAAGCUAUCAGUACCAGUCCCAAAAAGAAAGGGCUUGUCUGGCAAAGAAUGUUGACAAAUUAAUAUUUGGUUUUACCACCAUUAAAAGGUCAACAGCUUCCGGUUCGGCAUUGUGCUGCAUUGCAUUUAAGAAUUGAUUAGAGCCAAUAUAUAUACAUUUUGAAUACAUUUUCCUAGGAAACACUAAUAGAGAUGUGCUACUAAAUUAUAUUAAUUUCCAACUCUAUAGAUUGUCUAAAAAUGCAUGAUACAGAGCAAGAGUUUGAUUUAACUUUAUUGUGUAAACUAUUAUUCUGGGAUUCACUGAAGCUGUGUGACUAACUGUGCUCCAAUUAACUAUUUUUGGCACAUCAUCCUGAGUCAAAUUUUUUUAUUUUUUUUUGGUUACAAGAGGGGCCUAAAAGACCCAAACACAAAAACAGAAAAGACUGAGAACUGGAACAGACUCCAGUCCUUCUAGCUCUAACUACACCAUCAAGAUCAUCAAGGUAGGCCUGGACAGCAUGCACAGGAGGGCUGUUGAAAGUGACAAGACCAAGAUCAUGAGUGAUGCUGCAUUUAGCAAGGGAGUCGGCCACCAUAUUGCAUUCUCUGAAAAUAUGAGAGAGCUUAACAUUCGGUAUUUUGGACAUGAAAGAAGAACAAGAAGAGAGAAGAGACCCAAGAGGGUGCAACUCAAAGCUCCUCUUCUGCAUAAGCUGCACUAAAACUGCAGAGUCAGACUCAACCUCCAUAUCAGAACAAUAAAAUUUAGCAACCAGCUUCAGGCCAAAAAGUAAACCCCAAGCUUCAGCAUAUAAAACCUCACCAACCCCCAAAUUAAUCUGAUAACCAAAGAUCCAAUUACCAGCAUGAUCUCUCAGCACCCCACCAGCCCCAAUUUUUCCAGAAGAGGAACUUCUAGUACCAUCAAUGUUCAACUUCAAACAAUUUGCAGGAGGUCUUAACCAAGAAAGAUAAGUGACAUUGAACAUAUUGCUACUGCUUGGAUUAGACUGAGCACUAGUCCAUUCCUCAACAUAGUUCCAAAUGACUAAAGCAGGAUCUCCAGGCAUAACAAAACCAGAAUUAAAGACAAUUUUAUUGCUCCAUUUCCAUAAGAACCAGCACACAAAGACAAAGAGGUUGCACCAUUUGAUACCAUUCUUGACCUUGGAUUGACAAAACAAUUGAGCAGAAAUCCAAUUAUCCCAGCCCAAGAUAAACGAGUUAGAAAUGUGAGAAGAGGGGCAAAUAGAUUUCCAAACCUCUUUAGACCUGUAACAGUCUCUGAAUAAAUGAAGUAAGCUCUCAUCAGCAGAGUUGCAAAUGGGACAAACUGCAGAGGUAGUAAAUCUUCUUCUAACUCUCUGAACAUUAGUAAGGAUUUUUUUGUGAAGCACAGUCCAGAAAAAGGUCAUUAACUUAGGAGGGCAGUUGAGCUUCCAAACAACUUUCCAAUAAUGAUGUUGAGGCUCAGCCAUAUCAAACAAAGAGAUAUAAGCAGACUUGACAGAAAAGACUCCAUUAGAAGUAGCCUUCCAAAUUAGUUGAUCAUUACCACUAUCUUCAAAACCAGUAGAGAAGCUGAUAAUUUGAUUAACAACUUCAGGAGGAACUACAUCAGAAAGCAUUUCAAUAUUCCACCCAGUAUCACACCAAAAAUCACAAACAGUAGAGCUCAAGUUAAUGACAGCAUGAGGUAAAGCAAACUGAAGAAGAGGCACAGACAAAACCCAAGUAUCAGACCAGAAUUUGACCAUCUUGCCAUCACCAAUGCGCCAAGAUAAAUUACUUCUCAUCAAUUUAGUACCAUAAGCUAUACUCCUCCAAGUAGAAGAACAAUCAGCAGGAGCAAUGUAAUUUUGAUCAAUAAUAGAGCAAUCAUUAAGAUAUUUUUCAGAAUAAAUGGAAGCCCAUAAACCUGAAUCUUGCUUAAAAAUUCUCCAACUGGCUUUAGCUAACAUGGCCUGAUUCAUAUCCUCAGUUUUCUUAACCCCCAAGCCACCAAGACACUUAGGCUGACAAACAGUUUCCCAAUUGACUAAAUGAACUCUUUUCUUCUCAUUGUUAUCUCCCCAGAUAAAGUCCCUAUUGAGCUUAUCAAUUCUUUCACACAGACUCACAGGGAAUUUAACAGUUUGCAUAGAAUAAAUGGGAAUAGAGGAGGUCACAGAUUGCACAAGAGUGAGCCUACCAGCCAUACUGAGAGUUUUACAUUUCCAGCUAGCAAGCCGGCUUUGAAUUCUAACAAAAAUACCCUCAUAAGUAUGUUUGUUAAUUCUUGUAUGAAUAAGAGGGACACCAAGGUAUCUACCAAGAUCAGAAGUGAGAGGAGAUCCACAUUUUCUACUGAUUUCACUAGCAAGAGAUUUACUAGUAUUAGGAGAGCAAAAAAUAAGAGAUUUUUCAAAACUUACAGCCUGACCAGAGAGAGCACAGAAGGCAUCCAAGCAGCCUUUGAGCACAUGAGCUUGAGUAGAAGAUGCCUCAGCAAACAACAUCAGAUCAUCAAAAAAGAGGUGGGACACCUUAGGGCCAGAUUGGGAGGCUCUGACUGGUUUCCACUUACCAGCAUCAACAGCAGAACUGAUAAUGUGAGAGUCUUUCCAUGCAAAGAACAAAAAUGUACGGAGAUAAGAGGAUCCCCUUGGCGAAUCCCUCUCUGAGCCUUAAAAGAGCUGGUCAAUUCACCAUUAAAACAGAUUUGAAAACUAGUGGUAGUGAUGCAACUCAUAAUCAGAUUGACAAGAUGAGGAGGAAAUCUGUCAUAAGCUUUUGAUAAGUCAACUUUCCAAGCAAAGAAGCCCAGCAUACCUUUAGACUUUUUAAAUUUGAACAUCUCUUGAGCAAUCAUAAUAUUGUCUGAAAUUUGUCUACCAGGAACAUAGCUGACUUGGUUUGGACUAAUGAGAUGUUGCAUCAGAGGCCUAACCUUAGCAACAAUAAUCUUAGAGAUAAUCUUGUAAACAGUAGUGCACAGGCUGAUAGGUCUAAAAUUGACCAUAUGUUGAGGUCCAUCAAUUUUAAGAAUAAGGGAGAUAAUAGUAUGAUUCAGGCCAGAAGGAAUUGAACCAGAACUAAAAGCCUCGUUAACAAUUUAAAAAAUCUCACCAGAAUAGACAGACCAAUGGUGCUGAAAGAAAACGGCAGGGAAGCCAUCAAAUCCAGGAGCCUUAAGACCUCCAAUGGAGAAAAGAGAAUUCUUAACAUCCAUCAAGGAAAUAGGCUGAGAGAUAUCAUCAAGGAAGCAUUGCUCAAUUUCAGGGAAGGAUCUGGAAAUAGAGAAUCUGCAAUUCACAAGAUCCCGUGCAGAAAACAGAUUAGCAAAAAAAUCAACAGCAAUAUUUUUCAUAGACUGAGCAUCAGAAAACCAGUUGCCAUUGCUAUCAAACAAUCCUUCAAUCUUAUUUCUUCUCCUUCUGACCAGAGUAGUCAAAUGGAAAAAUUUAGUAUUUCUAUCCCCCUCUUGAAUCCAUUUAUCUCUAGACUUUUGCCUCCAGAAUAAAUUCUCCUGGUUAAGAAGCUGCUCAUAUUCUUGAAUUAACUCAGCUUCCAAAUUGAUGAGAAAAGGAUUGCUAAAUCUGUCACAAGUUUUUUGAAGACCCCCAAUUCUGGCCAAAAUUUUCUUUUUUCUCCAAAAUAACUGACCAAAAACCUCCUUAUUCCAAACUGUCAAAGUAGAAGAUAAAGUUUUCAAUUUAGAAGCAAAAUCACCAGAGAGGCCAUUCCAUGCAGAAACAACAAAAUCAGAGUAGUUGCAAUGAGAAAACCACAUUGCCUGAAAUCUGAAAGGCCUAGAAAUAGGAUUAGAACAAAAAUUUGACUCAGAUUGCAUGAUGAUAGGGCGGUGGUCAGAUCUUGUUUUAGGAAGAUGUUGAAUAAAAGCCUCACUAAAAAUAGUUCUCCAAGAACUGCUGCAGAAGGCCCUAUCAAGUCUUUCUUUAACUCUACCAUUGGACCAAGUAAAACAUGAGCCUAUAAAACCCAUGUCAAUCAAAGCAUGACUAUUAAUCCAGUCUCUCAACCCUCCAAAACGACCAGAGAGAUGACCAACACUCUUAUCAGCAGCAGAAAUUAAUUCAUUAAAAUCACCAAUCAGAAACCAAGGGAUAGCAUGAGUAGCAAUGAGAUUAUCAAAAUAAGGCCAUAGAAAAGCCCUAGAAGAAUGAUUAGGACUUGCAUAAACAACAGAGAGCGUCCAAUCAGGUUUACCAGUCAUAGAGACCUUAACUGAGAUGGACUGAAAAUUCUCAGCAAUAAAAUCCACAUGGAUAUUGUUUUUAUUCCAAAGAAUCCAUAAACCACCAGAAAAACCUCUAGCCUCAACCACUCUAUAAUCAGAAAAACCAAUGGCCUUUAAAGCAUUCCAGGCCUUAUUGAACUGAACUUUAGGUUCACAAAUAGCCAAAAUAUCAACAGCAUGCAUUUUAACAAGAUCAGAAAUAGCAGACCUAAAAUUUUCAUUCCCUGCACCUCGAGCAUUCCAAAACAAAACUUUUAACAUUGGAAAAGAGGAUAGGAAAGAGGGAGUAACCCAAUUAAGUAGAAUGCAUUGCCUCUCCAUCAAGAGAGGAUAAGCUUUCAUCAGCAGAAAUUCUACCAUUAUCUUCAAAAAUAGAUUCAACGAAGGAAUCAGUAUCCAUGGAACGAGAAUCAGUCAUAUCAAACUUAGGUGGAGGCUUCUCAGGGGGAUUAAUACCUAAAGAGGCCUCAACGCCACUAUCUAAGACAUUCAAACUCACAUUAUCAAAUGAGAGCUUUUUUGAAAUAUGAGGUUGCUGCUUAGAAGUAGAGCUGAGCCCUUUGGACUUUCUUUGGUACUGAAAAUCAGCCUUAGAACCACUGCUACUACCCACAGUGGAAACAUCUUUCAUGGGAAUUCUAGGUUUCAAAGAAGCAGAGCUGGUCCUAGCCUUAGUGCUGAGAGGAGGCUUACCAGAAGAAAGGUUAGGCUCCUUUAGAACCACAGAACUGGAGUUAAUAGGGCUAGAAGAGGCCUGCUUCUUCUUCUCAAAACUUUGCCAUAAUUUUACAACUGGAGGAGUGGAUUCAGGUAAAACAGGAGAGUUGCUCAGAUCAGAAGCAUUAGGGACAGAAUCAUGUUCUUUAAGCUCUUGAAGAACUGAAAAUCUAGAGCCUCCACCUGAAGACUUCUUGGAUCCACUUCCAUCAUUAGAUUUCUUCUUAUUCCUGUAGCUCAUAAGCAUCCAUGGCCCCAUAUCAUCCUUGAUCACUUCACAUUGAAGAUUAGAUUUAUCAAGCUGCAUAGAAACAUCAGAAGCAACAGAUUCUUCUACAUUCUCAGGGGCAGACACAUUAUCACAUGAAACAUCAUUGGAAGUAGCAGGAUUGUCAGUGGACCUAAUAGAAGGGCACUUCUCCUUAGCAUGACCAAAACAACCACAUUCAAAACAAAUAAGAGAAAUCCCCUCAUACACCACAUUAUAGGCUACAGAUUCAACUUCAACAAAAGGACGCAGAGGUUUGCUUAAAUCAACUUCCACACAUACUCUAGCAAACUUACCCCUAGUUUAUCCAACAGUAAGCUUAUCGACCUUAACUACAUCACCAAUGAUUUUUCCAAUUUUGGCAACAGUAAAUUCCUUGAAAAACUUCACAGGCAAGCCAAAAAUCCUAACCCAGAGAGCCAUUUUUCCCAUAGAUUCAGUAAGGGGAUCAAACUCAGGCCUAUACUGCCUAACAAUCCAGGGACCCUCGCACAGAGCAUAAUUCAUAUCCUCUUCAAGAUUAAAUUUCACAAUAUAAUAGUCAUUAGGCAAAUCAAUAAGUUUCCAACCUCCCUUAACUUGCCACUUACGUCUUAAACCACGAAGAAUGAAAUCAAAGGUGUUUGUAGAAUUAGGUUUUCCCAUAAGCUUAACCACAACGGCACAUCUCCAAUCAAAAUCAAGCUUACUAUGAACUUUCCCAGAGAAAGAAACAUUCAAGCCAUGCUUACCCUGCGUGUAGGAACAGUCAUCAUCAGUGAACUCAAAGUCUUCAGUCAUAGUUUGAUGGUAGCGCUCCGUGGAGUUUGUGAGAGUACUAGCAUAGGACUGAGUCAGCUUCGCAGGAGCUGAAAUCUGAAAGCCAGGAACCGGAUCCUCCAUUCUUAGAGCUUCUAGGUCAGAGCUGAUAUCACCACCAGCUUUCAAGCGUUUUCGUUGCGCCAUAACAAGAUCCGAGGAUCCGCCGCUUCCCAGAGGAGCGGCAGAGAAGAUGAAGGGUGGAUUCGCCACCAGAAAUCACAAAAAACCCAGGAAAAUCGACAAGAAACGAAGAGAAAAUUGGCCAAUACGAGCAGGAGUACAGAAACGGCUAAUUUGGGGAAGGCGCGUUCUCUAACUUUUAGCUUUUAGUUACUUGUGUAUCCUGAGUCAAAUUUUUGAUUGCAAUGAAUCGGCUAAUACAAGAUAAAACACUAAAACACAAUUGAACAGACAAGCACAACCUGAUUUCAUAUUCACAACCCAAUUUCAGAAGCAUUUCAUUAAAAAAAAUGUUUAGACAGGAAAAAUACAAACUUGUUUCUGAUCUUACCCUCGUGUGAAAAGCAACUAUUUGUUGUACUAGCUCCAUUAGAUCAUCAAACGGGGUCUCAUCACUCUGCAACUGAAACAGCAAGUUAGCACCAAUGCUCAAGAGUUAACAUACAUAUAGCAUGAAAUUAAGAGUUUCUUAUCUUGAUUAACUAACACAUGUUACAACAACAAUUGCAACAUUAAGUGAUACAUGAUACAAGCAUUGAAAGAAACUGCAAAAUAAUAUUUUCUAACGGUGUACUAAUUUCAAUGUACAGAAAUGAAGAAUGAUCGAGAUUAACUUGUCAUGCUACCUCAAUUAAAUUUUCCAACAAAUGAAGCUAAUACAUGUCCAAAGGAUAAAAAUUCACACCUGUCGCUUGGCAUAUUCUUGAGCAAUUUCAGCAAUUUCUCCAGCUAAGUUCCUGAUUACAAGAUAGUCACAAUAGUGAGGAUAUAUAUAGUCCAUAUACCUAAGGGAGCUUAACAAAUAUGCAAGGACUAAAAUGAUGAAACUCACAUACCACAAAUUGCGUAUCAUUCUGUUAGAAAUUAAAAGAUUCUAACCUUCAUGUCCUCAUGAACCAAUAUCACCGUCUAAACUUUAAGCUUUCCUGCACAAUAAAGCAAAUGAAAAUAUCAAACACACCAAAACCACAGUUUGAUCUAAUUGAACUAACCCAAAAGAUUGAAAUCCUUGAUCUAACAAAAAAUAUUAAAAUCCAACCAAAUACCAAAUACAGAUUUGACUAAAUAUAAUUUUUUCACUCACCUUGAUCCAACACAAAGGAUGAAACCUGUGGAGCUAAUACUUGCAUUCAUCACCGAAGCUAGUUUCCAGCCAGCUCCAAUUAUCUCUUCAAUUGUGAUUGCUUUUGGUAAAUCGAAAAUCAGUGACCUGCAAACCCGGAAGAACAAUCAAAGUCAAGCCUCAGAUGCUAAUGCCCUUGCCACAAACAGUGUUAAUCAUGAACUUGGUUUCAUUGCUUUUGACCAUCCUCCCAACCAUGCCGCACAAGCCUUUCUAAUUGACAUUGCUGCUGUUUAUAGAGCUAGGAUGAGCUCUUCCUCUAAUUUUUCGUAGUUUGUUUUUUCUGCUUUGGGUCUUUUUGACCCGUUUGUAACCAAAAAAAAAAAAACCAAGCCUCAGAUACCUCACUCAAUCUCAGACGUAAAAUACUUGACUAUCCAUUCUUUCUCUCUUUCUAUUCUAUUGCAAAUCCACAUAGACAUUGAAAUGUGAAUGGAUUUGGCUAGAAAACAUAUCUUGUUUGCAUAUACCGGAUGUAAAUUGUUUUUGGCCAUACACAGCAAUCAAAUCUGCAACUAAAUAUUUUUGCUCAGAAUUGUCAUCAUUAACAUUCAACGGGUAGAUUUUUGGAUUUUCAAUCAAUUUUAGAUGCAUUGCAUUGCAUUGCAUGCAUUUUAUCUAUGUGUAUAUAUUUCUGAUGAACAGCUAAAUCCUAAUGUGAGUUAUCAAAAGGUCUGCAAUCACACCCACUGUUAAAAGUAAAAUAAACAGAACACAGACCUUCAACACGGAAUUGAGAACAUGCAACCUUCACCGAACCUGCAAAAAAAAUAAAAGUAUUCGCAAGACCCAAUCCAAAAUCCAACUGGUCAUGUGAAUAAAAAAUAAUAACACACUCAACGAUUCUGCAUCCAGGAACCCAGAAAGAGAGGUAGAGUGCCUAGAAUCUUGUACAAAAAUAAAAAAGAGAUUACCUUUCUCAUGAAAGCCAAAGAAGAACGAUAUCUAUAAUUCAUUGACCACUAUACAAAAAUUUGUGAGCCAGAAGCAUAAUUCUAAAUGAAAGCUAAACAAACUAAUGUAAGUAUAAAUUUGGCGAAAGAAAAUUCAGCUACCUUUAUGACAAGUAUAGGGUGGAGGUGAGAGAGAGGAUUAAUCUCCGUGUUAAAUUGUUUCUCCAAUCGAGCUGCCAAGAGGUAUGAAGUACAAAAAGGGGUUUAAUACCAAUUAGCUGAAUUCAAAAUCAUAUAUUACAUGGCGGGCUCUCACCUUGACAACACUGUGUAAAAGCAGGACUUGAAGUCACAGGAGGUUGAUCCUCUACAUCAGUCCUAUUAGCAAUCGAAAUUAUGCAAGUAAAGCCUAGGGGUCUCGAAGGCGCUCCACAAUCUGAAGAUGAAGCAAUCAAAAAAAAAAAACAGAAAGAGGAUAGAUCUAAGUGGGCUACCUGAAUUUGUUCCAGAUGAAAAAGUUGAGCAUCUUGGAUGGCGUAAGCUCCUUCAUCCAAGUAGUCCGGCAUUUGAACGAGGAAAAUAACAAUAGGGCAGGUAAUUAGAUCAGAAACAGUUAGGAUAUCAAAAUGAGUGCAAAGAAGAUCAAAAUUCAGAUUCAUAAUAUUAAAAACAAAAUAACAAACUUAGGAGAAGUAAGCACACCUGAAAAAAUAUAACCCGCUUACAGCCUCACACACACAGAGCACCACCUUUAAUCUAAAAUCCAAUUCCAAAACACAUGCAGAACAACAAACCAAACAGUUCAAGUAUAAAGGAAGUGAAAUACUUAUCAAGGUUAAUGAAACAUUCGAGUGACUACAAUACUCAAACUCGUACUUCAUCGGUCAAACUUGUCCUCAUUCUUCAGUUCAUCUCUUUACCUCAUGAUAAUCCACAUAAUCCACAAAACAGACGCUUGAAUUAAUUUUGGUUUAAAGAAUGGAUUGCUGAUCUAAAAGUGAAAAUAAAAUUCAGUGUGAAAGACGAAUUCCUUACCAGAUUUAUAGGAUCCAACUGCGAUUUUCAUUCCACUAAGCUCCACAGCUGCACAUUAAUCACCAAAAAGAAUUUUAAGCAUAUUUAACAAAAAAACUCUAAUAGUUUUUUAACCUUUACAAUACUAAAAACAAAAGUAAAGAAGCAAUCAUCACCUUCCCAGCAAAUGAAAGGAAUAAAUUGCAAAACUGAUACAGCAAUAAUGAACUUGAAGAGCACGACCAAGUUGAAAAAUCCAUGUUGAUAAUAAUUAUCAUUUCCGUAGGCAAUUAUUCAUAUGUUCAAGUGCAUCAAUCAUAUUGCAUCAAAUAAAGUAUUCCAAGCAACCAAUUUUGAUUAAAAUCCUUAUCAGACUGCGCUAAACAUAUAAUGAUAUCAAAAAUUACUCACAACAUUGCAAGACUGAGGCAAUAGAUCAGUGACACCAAUUCCCCUAAUAUAUUGUUGUGCUCUAACCUCCUGCAAUAAUUUUCAUCACUGGCAACAAUAUCAAAACAAAAACGUCAAGUCUCAAUACCUAAAUAUCCUAAACUUUGGACCACGAUUGACAUGGGCACUUACAAUGAGAACACAGUGAGAACAAAUUCUGCAGCUGAUAAGUUCUUGAGGAAUCAAAAAUUUCACAGUUGGGAUAAAAUCAAGCUAUCCAUAUAGAUGCAACAGCAUCUAUUGCAUCUAUAUCAAACCUAAAGCUCACUUUCCAAGCUUCACUUUUCAUAUCUAGUCGGUCCCAAUCCAAUUUAAGACCAGCUCAUUAUAUUCACAAACUUUCCAAACAAACACCCAAUUUAUACCCAAUAAAGAGUCCAGAUCAAGACCCCCAUGGUAAAAUACCAGCAUGGUUGAGCACAGGAUGAUAUCUAGCUACUAUAUAUUACUACGAGUAGCCGUGACCAGAAAUGUAAAAAAAUUCAUCUACUAUGUAGGUCCAAUUCCACAGAUACAUAUAUCCAAACAUAAAAGACACAGUGACCAAGUUUACAAGGGUCAGUGACACCAGAAACACAGGUCCGAAGUGAGAGAUCAAACAACCCCUUUCUGGAUAGCUUUGAACUAGAGAAAAAGGCGGGCAUCUGCUUAACCCUACUUCACUAAAGAACUGAGAUCAAAGAAGAGAAGCAAAAUAUCUAUCCUGAUGCUUAAUAGGAAUUUGGUGGGUGGGAUCUUAAGUAUACCAAAGUGGUCCCCGUUCCAAUCAAACCAAUGCAAGUGAAAGAUACACAAUUAUAUCUAGAAAAUAUCCAAGCUAUCAUGAUGUUUCAUUAAAAAAUAAAUCUAAAUUGGGAUAUUUCUGAUGUGAAGUCAAUCUUUUAACAAUAUGUUAUGUCGAAUAAUGAAUUUAAGAGAGAUGAAGAAAAAGGAGCCGCAGUUGUAGGUUAUGUUGUUUGAGACCUGAAUAUUCCAAAAUGAGCACUCAAUCAACCCAUUCUCUCUACUUUUCCAUUUGUAGUCUUUCUCUAGUAACUAAUCUCUUGUUUCUUUCGACACAGAAAAAUUAUUGGUAGCAGUCGAGAAAAUAAAUACUUCAUAAGACAGUAAAAAAAAAAUUCUAAUAAUAGCAACCAAAAUUGAAAAUGAAUAUAAAAGUUGGGAUUAUAAUGAAACAGCUAUAAGCAUCCGGUAUGUCACAAUAAAGAGACAAUACCUUCUCAAAUGCUACAAUCAAGUUAUCCCUUGCAGGUGAAAAGGGAUUAUCCACCGUCAUGCUACGAAAAUAUUGAUAAACAGUGACCACCUCAUCGCCUGAAUAAGAGGCCAGUAUAGCAAGCUGAAGUAUAAUGAGGAUAACAGUGAAAGAUCAGAAAUCAUAUGCAAGCACAUCAAUGGAAAUAAUGGCAGCUACUGUGUUUACAAAAGUAAUAAGAAAAAUAACAAGACAACACCUGAUGAUGAGGAUUCCCACUUGAUGGCGAACAAGAUGCAGCUUGCAAGUAGUAACUUGAGGCAGCAGCAUACUCACGAGUUUUGGAGUCCCCCUCUCCAUACAGUCCUUUGUAGCGUGCAAGGUCACCCAAGUAAAUCAAACAGCGGUGACAUGAUAUCAAACCUUUCUGUCCAUCUUUAUCCAUAACAAUUCGAUUUUCAGAAUCCUCAGACAAAUAGCCAAGAGGAAGCCCAUACUUUGCUCUGAUCUUCACUAUUAAAUCAUGAUAAAAUCCAGUCGCUUCUGAAAGGAAUGUUUUAAACUGCAAUCUUAUUUUUGUAAUAUGAUCAGGUCGAGUAGGACCCUUCAAACUUUGUGAUGAGUUUGAACCUGUAGAAGCCAUAGCAGCACUAAAGUGUGCACGCAAUUCGUCGAUCCACUUGUAAUGUAACUACCACAAAGCAUACUCAACAUUGUGUUGCUCUGAAAAUGCAUGGUCCUCUAGAAUUAUAGCUUCAUAAUUCUCACGUAUCUGUUGCCAGGCAUUGGGAUCUGAUGGAACUCGCGCUUGGGCAGACCUUCGACGCCUGCUCUCCAACUCAGUAAUCUGUAGAAGAAAAGUAUGUGUAAAAGAAUGCAGAUAACAAGGCAUAAACCUGAAGAAAAGGCUUGCCCACACAAAGAUUCCUAUUGUAAGUCUUCCAAAUCGAUACUAUAAACAGUAAAAUUUUAAGACACAUUAGCCCAGACAUGUUAGAACAAAGUAUGGAGUGCAUGCAGCACACAUGCAGUUUCAAAACUGUUAUCCAGAAUAGAUAUACCUUGUCAUACAAACGCUGAGCACGCUCCCAUGGUGGAGGAGCAGACAUUUUAUCAGUCUGAAUGAUCAUCAUCCAUCAAAUAUGUUUGAUCAACUGCAAGCAGCAUCAAAUCUGCACAAAUGAAAAUAAAGAAAAACAAACUCACAUCAGAUAACGAAGGAACAAUCUACCAAAUAUAGCUUCAACCAUAAAAAUCAUCCCAUAGAUUCCAGUGAAAGCUUUAUAUACUACGACUAGCCCCUCCCCGUAAAUUUCAAAAUCCUAGAACCAAAUAAGUCCUUAAGGUCACAAUGCUUCGGACCGUGUUGGGUUUCCAAGCAAACCCUAAUUUAACCGGGUCGAGAAACCAUAGCUGGGUUUAUAAGGAAAAAAAAUAAAAAUUGGAAAAACUGUGACGAAAAAGAGCAUGAAAGCACAUAGAAAUAAAGAAAAAUUUGAGAUCCGCAGAAGCGAAAAACAAGAAACAAAGAUCAAUCGGCUCCAAUUACAAGAAUUAGAAAAGGAAGAAAAGGUACAUGUGUAAACCGGAUCUACGAAACGAUUGAUGAGACUAGAGCAUCGGAUGGAGAAAGCGAAAGGGAAGGAAAAAAGAAAGUUUGGUGAGAGAAAAGGGAGAGGAGGACGAAAGGAGAGAGAGAGAGAGUGAGGGUGUGGUUUGGUUUCUUUUGGUUUUUUGGGUUCAAAACGGGGAUGAGGUUAGAGAGGCAAUUUCUUUAUGUUUUCUUUUUUCUAUUUAUUUCAUUACCACUACCUAAAAUACGAGGACUUCUUUUAUUUUCCAGCCCAGGCGAACAAAAUAUAGAACACAAUAAGAAUCAGGCUUCUAAUUACCAUGACAUCAUCAAUGGCCAACAAAAUAUUGAAAUCCACACUUUGUUCUAAAUCCAUCUUUAUGUCAUAAUAAAACAGUAAUUCAAUCCUAGAAGAUAAAAAUUCAUCAAAUCUUCAAAACUAUUUCUAGUCGUGAAGAGCAUGAAACCCACAAAUAUGUGAUUACAGAAAAAAGAACAAAUUGAAACUUAUUAUUAUUAACUUGACAGAAUCAUAUGGAAAGUGGGUAGUAAUGAGCAUUAAAAUUGAACAUAGAUACCUCAUCGAUAGAUUUCGAGUGACCUAAAUUAGAUGAGUGAAAGAACACUAUUUUACUCCCUAGUUCAAUCGAGUGACUAAAAAAUACCAAAAGUUGAUAGGGACGCAAGUUACCAAAAACAAAAAAACACUCAGAGUAGCAUGGUUUUUUGCACAUUAAAUGCAGUAAUCCUUAAAAUCUUAUGAUGGUAUAUCAUCACAACAGAAAAUUUUGAAAUAUGCAUCAAGUGUCAGAUCUAUGACAUGAAAUGAAACAUUCAAAACCUUGUAGAUAUCUUCUAGAGUUUUGGCCUCCAUGACCUCAAUAUCACGAGCAAGGGUAAGAUUACCUUCAUUGAGUUUAGUGUUAUUGAUAGUGUCCUGCAUUGCUUCUCUUUCUUCAUCUUCUGACACCAUCUCAUCAUUAAGCUCAAAAUUGCUACCCUGUAAAGGCCAACGGGAGAACAAGCAUCAGAAACACACUAUAAGAUACUAAUGUCAAAUUCACACCUUUCAGCCGGUGUAUAAUUUUCUAGAGCACCUAAUGCAUUCAUAUGCAGAGAGAGAGAGAGAGAGAGAGAGAGGAAUUUGAAGAACCGCUUUACAAAUAUAAAUUCCAUGACUUACAUGUCGAGGAAGGAUGUCACAGAUUUUCUUUUUACGCAGCAGAUCAUCACAAGAUGUAAAGACUUGCUUUACAAACUGCGAACAUACUCAAAAUUGUUAGCACCAAAUCAUAUAACUUGUAUAAUCUUCUGUCAACUUCCCUAGUCAAUUAACAAAACACAUGCCAUUUUUUUUUUAAAAGCACAAACCUCCUUAUUGUCAAGGAAAAGGGCAAUCAGAAGUGCAUUUGGAUAUUCUUCAAAUUUCAGAUUUAUCAUGAAUGCGAUAUCCAAAACAAACAUAUCAUCUGGUCCAGGAACCAAUCUGCAGUACGACGAGAUACAAAUUAAAAGUCAACAAAGCGACUCAUUAACAAAUCACAAUGACACCUUUCAGAACGUCAUAUCAAACAAUUACUUCAAUAAGNNNNNNNNNNNNNNNNNNNNNNNNNNNNNNNNNNNNNNNNNNNNNNNNNNNNNNNNNNNNNNNNNNNNNNNNNNNNNNNNNNNNNNNNNNNNNNNNNNNNNNNNNNNNNNNNNNNNNNNNNNNNNNNNNNNNNNNNNNNNNNNNNNNUGUUUCUGAUCUUACUCUCGUGUGAAAAGCAACUAUUUGUUGUACUAGCUCCAUUAGAUCAUCAAACGGGUCUCAUCACUCUGAAACUGAAACAGCAAGUUAGCACCAAUGCUCAAGAGUUAACAUACAUAUAGCAUGAAACGUAAGAGUUUCUUAUCUUGAUUAACUAACACAUGUUACAACAACAAUUGCAACAUUAAGUGAUACAUGAUACAAGCAUUGAAAGAAACUGCAAAAUAAUAUUUUCUAACGGUGUACUAAUUUCAAUGUACAGAAAUGAAGAAUGAUCGAGAUUAACUUGUCUUGCUACCUCAAGUAAAUUUUCCAACAAAUGAAGCUAAUACAACAUGUCCAAAGGAUAAAAAUUCACACCUGUCGCUUGGCAUAUUCUUGAGCAAUUUCUCCAGCUAAGUUCCUGAUUACAAGAUAGUCACAGUAGUGAGGAUAUAUAUAGUCAUAUACCUAAGGGACCUUAACAAACAUGCAAGGACUAAAAUGAUGAAACUCACAUACCACAAAUUGCGUAUCAUUCUGUUAGAAAUUAAAAGAUUCUAACCUGACAUAUUCAUGUCCCCAUGAACCAAUAUCACCGUCUAAACUUUAAGCUUUCCUGAAAGAAGUGGACAUAUAAAGACAUCAUUACACAGCUGUUAUAUACGACAAGUUCAAAUAGUUAUGCAAUCGACAAAAGUAUAACGCAGACACACCAAACUUCAAAUAAUAGACAUACCCGUUCUCCUUCAGCAGACAUGGUCAGUGCCAAAACCGACAAUAUAUCCGCAAGGUAUAUCUGCAUGCAAUACACAGUAUAUUAUUUAAACAAGAAAAAAAUCUUAUUAUUAUGGAAGUGGACAAGGCACCGAUAGUUAAAGCAUACCUUCAAAUCUGAAUCGGUCAUUGUUUCAUAGUAUGCUUUUAGAGUUCCGUAACGGCUUUGGUACUGAGGUCAUGGAACUAGUUGAGGUACGAAUUUCCUGCCUACAAGAUGAAAUUUGAUGUCAUGUCAAGCCACACAGUAGUAUCUGAUCCAUAUAAGCAAAUAUUUUUGCUGACGAGUUAAUAAAGUGAAUACUGGCCAAAACUUAAAGCUUCCGUAUCAAAUAAAGUGAGGUCAAGUAAAUUGCAACCCAAGAGAAAAUAUAGCACAUACAAAUCGUGGGCUGUAAAUUACUAAAAAACACAGGCAGAAGAAGGAAGAAAAGAGAGGUCAUAGAACAUACCUCUAGCGCAACUUUCUGUAGUCCAGGAUCAGAAUCUUGAACCCUCUCCGCGUACAAUUCUAAUUGCUGCUUGAGGGCCAAAUCUUCAUCGGACUGCACAUAACACAGAUACAAAUUCAGCGAAACCGACUAUCCUUUGUAACCAAUUCAAAAGCCGAACCCAUUGCAUUUACUUAACCAAUACAGCUUGAAUCCUCAGAUUUUUCGAUUUUAGAUAAUACAAACUUGGAUAAACCGAAAAACAAGAAAGAUGGUCUAGGGCAAAACAAAAUUGUCAAAACCGUAAGAGAUGGAAUUGCAUACCAAAUCCUCGUCUUUCUUGUCAUCUUUCUUUUUCGAAUCCUUUGGGGGCGGAGGUUUGGUGGGCUCAUCGUGCUUGCCGCUGCCGCUUGCGGUGUUGGUCGGUUCUUGCCCGCUUGCGGUGUUGGUCGGUUCUUGCCCGCUUGCGGUGUUGGUCGACGACGAUGCUCUCUUUCUCUACGUUCAUAGUUUCUUUCCUCUUGAACAAGAAAGUGUGACUCCUUCGAUGCCGCUACCCACACCUUAUCUCCGUUUUAUUGGGCCUCCAGACCAGCCGGCCCAUACAAUCUGAUCAUUGUUUUUUCUUUUUCUUCUUUCUUUUCUUUCCAUUAAGCAGUUUAAAAAAAAAAACAGAUUUUAUAUUAGUUAAAACUGUUUUAAUAUUCCCGGAGUUUUAAUAUCUACUAGUUAAAACUGUUUAUAUCACAAAGACAUAUUCCCAAUACAGAGCCUCCCUCUCACCCAUCUGCACUCAUCUGCAGAUUAAAUAUUUGUAUUUAUGAUCUAUAUAAAAAAAGUUAAUUAAUAUAUAUUAUUUAUUUACAUUAAAUAUAUGUAUAUUUAUUGAGUGUGUUUGCUAAGUUAUUCAUGCCAAACCGGUACGUUUACUAAGUUAUUCAUGUCAAACCAGUGCCCAGAAUAUUAUCUCAUCUCAUCUAUGAAUCAUAAAAUGUGAUUACACACUCUCACGUAAAUGAGAUAUAACAGCCCAUCUAAAAAUUUGGUCAACCCGAAUCAACGUCACUUAUCACACUCUAAAUAUUACCUAAACUCUUUUCUGACUUAUUUAUCUUGAUUGUUUCGCACACACUCUUACGUAGAUGAGAUGUGACUUAUUCACCAAUUAUCGAUAACGUUUUGAGUCCGGAUCCACUCGAUCAACCUUAAACCAACGUCACUUAUUACACGAAAACGCUAUUACCCACCUUUUCUUAACUUAUUUUUGUCGAUUCUUUUGCACACACACUCUCACGUAGAUGAGAUGUAGUAGCCUAUCUAAAAAUUUGUCUAAUUUAACCUCCCGACGAUAUGGCUCCUUAUAGGGAAGAAUAAGCACAAAUAGGGUUGACCACCUUGAUCAGAGUCAAAACGUUAUCGAAAAUAUGUGAUAUUUCUACCACAGCCGUAUUUCACUAUACCUAUCACAUCCUACGGACGAUUUUUCAAAUUCUGUUUGCAAGAUAUAGUUGUUUCAUAAAGGUGUACACCUGCAUAAAACCUACUAUACAAGUUAUACCACUGUAACAGACACGUUGUGGUUUCAAUGACUAAAAUUAAAAAAAUUAAAUCUUGACCGUUUGAUGUUAUCAGUGUAUUUAAAUACGGCUAUAGACAAAAAUUUACUAAUUUUCGAUAAUGUUUGAAUCUCGAUCCACUCGGUCAACUAGUUGGCUUACUAGGAUUUUAUUGAAUAAAACGUACUAAAUUAAAAAAACGUUAAAUUUGACAUCAUCAAUGUGAUUACGGAGGAGUAAUAAGCAUUUAAGCAGUCGUAAUAGGCUCUUGGUAAAGAUAUAGAUCCCGUCCGCCGUCGUUUCGAUGUCGGUCAAACCAGUCAACACCAUGCACCCUUCUUCCUCCCUAAAGGUAGCCCUGUCACGCAUAUAUCAUUUUCUCAAAAUUUUUACAUGGGUAGAAAGAGCGCAUCACCCUAAGUGCGCGCUAAUUUUCACGGAAUUUUUCGAACACCUGAGCUAUUUAUUACCAUUUUCGCAAGAUUUUCAAGAUAACAUCUUCAAUACACGAUGUAUAUCUUUACAUACAUACAUGGAUAAUCAAGAUUAGAGGAAAUAAUAUAAAAAUAUGGUGGUCAAACAUAUGAAUUGUUAUGAACGGUUAAGAUUGCGUCGUGUAAAUACACGUCGUGCAUACAAGAAUUUUCAAAUAAAAAAAAUAACUUAAUAGUGAGAUUUGACCCACGUGGCACAUUCAGGGCCGCACACCUGUUCAUGUCAUUAAAGUCUUACCUUUUUUUUUCCACCAUUUCAGAAAUUUAAAAAUUUAUAGAAAAUAGCUCCGAUGUUAGAAAAAUUCACCGAAAAAUGUCACGAACCACUCACGAGACCCACUUCACAACUAGGUCCGUAAAUUUGAGGAUUGUGAUCAUGACAAACUAGAAAAUAUCCUCGACGUCCGUAUACUUUAGAAAAAUGUAAUAAAUAGCUUGGGUUUCCGAAAUACGUCUUGAAAACUCUCACAUACUCUGAUACUCAUAAUGUCGCGUACUUCGUUAUAAAACCGUUCGAUUUGAGUUUCCUUUUAUUUUCAGUUUAGUUUUUUCUUGAUAGGUGUUUAGGAACUUAGGGUUGACUGAGUUGACCAAUGCCCAAUCAAUGACGAAAAUAGGUAAAUUUUUUAGCAUAGCCGUUUUAUCUCCUCAUGAGACUAUCGAACGGUGUCAUUACCCAAAAUACGUUUUCUCCACAUUGUUGUUGUAUAAUGUGUUGUUGUCCACAUAACAAAGUAACAAAGUUAAACAACAUUAGUCAGCAUUCUAAGAUUUAAUUGAAUGAAAUGUGUUAAAAUGAAAAAACAUUAAAUUUGACAUCGCUAAUGUCACAACAGAAGCUCAUGUGGUAGAUAUUGUAGCUCUAACCUGAAAUGUACAGGUCUUAAAUCAUCAUGUAAAAAUGUCUCUAUACUAUGAUAUAUAGAAAUGUGACAUAUAUGCUUGUCAAAAUACAAACUCAUUUAUUGUUCCUGAUCCGGAUAUUGGGACAUACAUGAAGGUGAACUUAGAUAUAGAACAUCAUUGCCUUACAAUAACUAGUUAUCGUUCAAACUUGAGCACUACUUCUAUAUACACACUUGUCUUCUAGACACAUAGAUCAUUAAUCCAAUGUAAUAAUUACAAAAGAAGCACACUUUUGUAGGUUUCCUAUACCAAUGCCGACACAUUGUUUUGGCAAAAUGUUAAUUCAUACGGGGUUUAGACUAUUACUUCAUUAGUGAUGUCAAACUUUAUUCACUCAAAGGGAACUAUUGAUUAGACACUCUUCAAAUAAAGGAGACAAAAACUAAAAAUGCAUUCAAUCACAAAGUUGCAGAAGUAAAUACUCGUUACAUUACUUUCUCUUUAUUCAACAUUUCAAAGUGAUCAACCACUUGUAGCAACUCUUCUUUAGGUUCUAUGCUUAUCUUAACAUAAAUUUACAAUAAUCAUGAAACAGAAAUAAAAAAAUCCAUUUAGAUGAAGAACUAUAGUUAUCUAAUGAGACUGCAAAUGUAAGAUAGUUUAUAUCAGUAUUUUGUCCAGCCAUUUCUUCAGACAGCUAAGCAGAAACAAUCGGUAGCAUGUCUUCAAACGAUGAAGCAACAUCGAUCGACAAUCCACACAGCAAUACCAAUUCACAUAGUAGAAGAUAAUCUGCUAUCUGAUAUAUAGGUGCCUAGAGGAUUAAUCUUCAACUCAUCUAUUAGAGUCCAAGAUUCACUUGAGUCCUUAUCAGCUAAACCUAAUGUUUAUCACUUUUAGUUAAUCAGGUAAUUAAGUUAAGGAUUAAUUUCAGUUUACUCUCAUCAACUUUAGGUCGAUAAUCAUGUUAGUCAUUCUUCUUUCAAUUUCAUCAAAAACACCCCUCAACUCCCAAUUUUCAUCAACCGCGCAUGUCCAAACCUCCAAUCUCCAUCCAAUUCCUUUGUCAAGUGAUGACUUGAUAUCAAGAAGAAAAGAAAAAAAGAAAAAAGAAAAAAUAGACAAAUUGUAUUCAAUCCUAUCAAAAUCACUAAGGUUAGAGGGUUGUGAUGGGAACGAAGAUGUGUUCGAUAUGGGGGAAAAAUGGUCCGAAAGGUAACUUUCAGAAUUUGAUUUUCUUCUUGAUAUCAAGUCAUCACUUGACAGAGAAAUUGGAUGAAGAUUGGAGGUUUGGACAUGCGCAGCUGAUGAAAAUUGGGAGUUGAGGGGUGUUUUUGAUGAAAUUGAAAGAAGAAUAACUAACAUGAUGAUCGACCUAAAGUUGAUGGAGGUAAACUGAAAUUAGUCCUUAAGUUAACAAACAAGUCUCCUACUUCUCGAAUGACAUAAAGUUCAACAGAUAACAAUAUAGAGUCCCAAUUAAAGCAAAGCAAAUUGAUUGCCAUUAUCCACCUAAACGAUUGCACACAAAAAAACCUAGCAUUACUAAAGGGACAAUUGAUUGCCUCACAAAGCACCAGAACUUGCAUUUAUGAUCCUAAAUUCUACAAACACCCCCACAUUUUGCCUACAUUUGGUCAAUUAAACAGUACAAAAGCAGUAUAGUUAAAAUCACAGUGAUUGCAGCGGAUGCUAAAACAAACAAUGAAACAUAGAAACACAAUCAGAUGAUGAAACCGAACAGAGUAUCUCUUACUAUAGCAAAGCAAUUAAAACCAUCAUCACAUGUUCGCAAGACCAAAGCCAAGCGACGCACCGACAAACAUCAGUACAGACUUGAAGCCCGGAUAGGCCCAACCUUCACGUUUUCAAACCCAGCGCCGGAUGCCGUCCCAGGUCCAUCCCCACACGUCCGGGGCCGCCCAGCUCUGCCCCAUUGAGCACCGCAUCGGGACCUGCUCAACCCGACUUUUACCCUUUUGGUAAAUCAGGUAAAUUUUGAGAAAAUAAUGCGUGGUAAAUUAUAAUAACUGUUAACCGUAAGCUACCUUUUCUAGACACAGUAAAUUUCGUUAAAACUUAAACUGCAAAUUGUUGGACUCUUAAGUCUCAAGUCUCUCUCGGUGUUUCGUUUGGAUCUGGGAUUUCAAUUCCAUUCUUUCUUGGUGUUUUGUUUUCUGGAAAAGAGAGAGAGAGAGAGAGAAUGGAGCAGAUUCAGUCGGCUUUGGAAGCUCACCUGGACCAGAUGGCGGAUCUUGUCCACACAGUUUCCGCGGACUUCCGCUCUGGUCUUGGACCCGCUUUCGAUAACUUGAUCGGUUUCUUCCAUGCUAUCAACUGGAAGGUACCCACCCCUCUUUAUCCCUUUUGUUCUAUUAUCUCUUUCUUUGAAUGCAAAUCUAAUUCUUAUUUACUUUCGGAUUUGCAGGAAACAUGGUUGAUGUGCUUAUUGGCAUUCCACUUUCUAUAUUUGGUAACCGCCAUUAUCUCCAGAAAGAAUCUUAACUUCCAAAUGCUUUUGUUCCUUACCGCCUGUAAGUCCUCUUUCUAUCUCUCUUGUUUUGGCAUUGUGGAUGAAUCUCUUUCAUUCUGAGCUUUACUUAUUUACUUGUUAAGGAAAUUUCGUCUUCAAGACUAUCUCUAUAGUAAAAGUACUGUAUUCAUUGUUUCCUGAUUAGUUGAAUACUUAUCCUUUUCAAAAUAUAGGCCAACUAUUUCCUUGAAACCUUUUUCUUCCCUUGAAACAACAUACAGCUUAAUUGGAGGUGGGUUUUUUUUUUUCGUUAUAAGUAUGUUUAGAAAUGUUUCUAAUGGAUGCGGAACAUUGGCUUCUGGCCAGACCUAGGAUGAAGCACAUAAUAUUUAUAUGCUUUGCGGCUAGAUAUGUGUCCUUAUUGUUUUGUUACAGCUUCUAUGGUUGUAUUUUGCAUACUUUAACAACAGAAUAGUUGAUGAUGCAAAACCAAGUUGACUGCUAAAGGUAGAAGCAUGAUUGGGAAGGAUAAGUGGGAACCUUUGCUCCAAGAUCCGAGUUAAUUCACACUCAGGUUAUUUAAAAAAACUAUCAGAUCUGGCAGACAUAUGAUUGGGUUUGUUGCCUUACUUCAAAAUGGGAGAGAUGCUUGUCAAGGAACUUGAGAUUCUACUUGAUCCACUCAACAGAAAGAAAAUUUGCGAAUGUGAUCAUAGUUAUAUAAGGCCACUCCUGACCAUCAAUCGAUUGUGUGGCUGGCCAGUAGAAACAGUAUGUGCAGCAAGUGCCGUGUACUGCUUUAAUUGGGAAAAAAAAUUUCUUUUCAUGAUUAGAUCCUCUUUCUUUGCUCGCAUAUCCAUGAAAAUGAAUUUAUAGUUAUUCACAUGUAACAGAAGACAUUUCCCUGGAAUUUGGGGUUGUCAAAUCAUGACUGACAUCCAAUUAUAAAACUUUUGACCAAAUAUUCGUGAAAUUUUUCCGUGAUGCGUGGAUUUUAUAAACCAGUAAAAUAGUCAAGCUCUAGAGUGAAUCUUUAAAGGAAGAGAUCAAGAAAUGUGGAAAUUUUUGUUCGCGAAUAUGCAGAAAAUUAAUCCACCUUGAAGCUUCUGAUAUGUGAUGUUUUAGGAAAUGCCCCUGGAACUUCUAAUAUUUGGUGGAUAGAUGCUUCAGUAAAAUUUGGUAUGAGUUGUACGGCUGAGAAUCUCAUCCUCCUCAUAUCCUUUGUAAAAGCUCUUUGACUUAAAAUUGUAGGUUGGUGGUUUUGGCAAUUCCCUUGCCAACCAGUACUUUCUACAGGGACUUGUGGAAUUGCACAGUCAAUGAUAUUUGGCGACGUUCUGCUAGUGUAUGAGAGCAAGAGUGAUGCAUUCCAUGUGUUUAAGGGUUUUUCUUUAAGCAAGGGUACUGAGGAUGUGAUUUUACAUGAUUUUAUGUAGAUUUAGUUGGGAGCAAGAAGGUGGAUGUGGUGUAUUGCAAGUGCUUCGGGUUAUUCCAUUUUCUUACAGAAUUUCGAGAGCUAUCUGUUUAUGAAUUGUCCAGAUGGAAGCUCCUUUGUUUUAUUUGAGGAAGCAUGCCAGCGCUGGUAGCUCUAUGUUGAUUUUUUUUUCUUUCAAUUUACAGAGUUUCUAUUUGCUUUCUAGUGAACUCUUGUCUAAUAUAAAUUAAGAACCACGUGUUUAAACUCUUGUUGGUUGUAGGAAUACUUGUAACUUUAGUUAGGGAAAACAUUUUAUGGAUGUUUCCUUUGAAUCCGGAAUACUUAUAUGGACAGUGAUAUUAUGCAGUGGCUGGAGUAUAUCUUGCUGAGAGGUUCAAUGGUUUACUGCGCCAGAACUGGAGAAGUUUCGCCAGCCAGAAUUACUUUGAUUCUAAUGGAGUUUUUGUGUCAGUACUUUGGUCGGGGCCUCUUCUUGUGAUUGCAAUCAUAAUCUUGGUUAGUAUCUGCAAUUACUUGCUAUAUUUUCUUCCACUUUUAAUCAUUAUGUAGUUUCCUUCUAUGCAACUAUUUACUUUAGCCUGACCUCAGAUUACUGUCACAGAUAAACACGCUCUUUUCCCUAUGUCAUCUGAUUGUCAAGUGGAAAAAAGCUGAGCUAAGACACCGUGCACGACUUUCCCAGAAUAAGCAGGAUUGAGUUCCUCCCAUGAUGGAUAGCUGAACAUGGAGUUCUUUUCUUCUUUCUCUUUCUUAUUCUUAUUUUUGGGGGUGCUAUGGUUACGAUGUAGAUUCUUCUUGGGGUAGUGUUUCCCUUAUAGUUAUGAAUGGUGUCAAUGACCAACCAAGUAAUGUGCUCAAGCUCCUAAUACCUUUAGUUUAUCUUUUGUAACAUUAUUUUCUUGACGAAGACUUUUUAAUUUUUUUAUUUCUUUAUCCAUAGUGAUCGCUCUUCAUUUUUUUGUCAAUGUAUCAUCUCUAGCGUAUUGUAUUGGACUAUUUUUGGUAAUUGAUCCCUAUAUACAUAUGGCACGCGUUUUCUGCAUGCUUUAUAUGAAAAUCAAAUCUCUUGUUAACAAUUGAGUAUAUGUUUUUUUUGCUUUAAAACAUUUGAUUGUUCCUGUGAAGUUGUGUGGAGGCCUAAAUCUCUCGUUGAGAGACAUUGCUUGCUUGCGCACAAUUUUAAUUAAGCGAAUUUUCUCACAUAUGCGCUUCCUAUUUCUUGCCUUGGUGGUCUUCCAAUCCAAACCUCUCAUGCUCGUUGUUGUCAAUAGCAUGAGGGAGAGCUCAACCUCACACUUAUUAUUGAUUUCGUAAUAAUAAAAUAAAUGUCUGUUUCUCAUUAUUGAUUUCGUAACGCUCCAUUUUUAGCGGAAAUUAAACAGAGCCCGUUGAGUAGAAAAUCGCAACGGUCGCCAGUUCACCACCAGAAUCUUCCAUUUGUUUUCUUUCUCCCAACAGCCCUAAUCCCAAGCAAAGCCGCCAUGGCCGGAGAAGAAGAAGAGCCGAAAAUCCCAGUGUUCACAGUCCUCAAGAACGGAGCGAUUCUCAAGAACAUGUUCAUCGUGAAGCCACCGCCACACUCUCAACCAAUCGCCUCCGAAGAAAUGUUGAUGGUGGGGCGCCACCCCGACUGCCACAUCGUGCUGACUCACCCCAGCGUCAGCCGAUUCCACCUCCAAAUCCUCUCCGAUCCUUCCUCGCGCAAGCUCUCUCUCACCGAUUUAUCAUCCGGUAAGUCUUUUCCCUUAGGGUUUUGGCUUUGAAAUCGAACUCAUCAGGUAAGUCUAAUUGCAGUGCACGGGACUUGGAUCUCGGACAAGAGGAUUGAGCCAGGGGUUCGAGUUGAGCUGAGGCAAGGCGACACGCUCAGGGUUGGUGCUUCUAGCCGGCUCUAUAGGCUUCACUGGAUCCCACUCAGCCACGCCUAUCAAGACUCACUCAGGGUCUGUACGUGUUCGUUUCUAUUUUGGGAUGCAGCUUAGGUGUUUGUUGAAAUGUUCAUGACCUCUAUAUGUCUUGCAGCUUCUGAAUUCUUCUGCAAUGGAGUCUUUGUUCUCUGAUGAGCCUCAAGGAGGAGAUCACAGUGUUGACAACUCUGAGGUAAACAGUUUCUUGAUUUCUUUUAUUUUUAUUUUUCUCAUCUGUUUAGGUAUAAACAUAGAUUGUAACGUGUUUGUCGAAAUGAUUUCAAGGAUUUUCUUUCGCCUUUGUAUGUGUAAUGUGUUACAGGCUGUGAAUAUGUUGCCAAUUGAAAACGCCGAAUUUGAAUCUACUGAAUCCAUUUCUGAGGUUACAGAAUCUCUAGUCUGUGAUGAUAAUUUGGGAUUUAUUGGGAGGAAGGAGAUCCCAUCAGCUCCUCCACUAUGUGAACAUGGUGGCCAGAACUCAUCUAAAGUUGUUGGCCAAGAGAACGAAUUGUCAACCUUCUGGGCCUUUGGAACUGAAUCGGUGAACCUGUUUUAUCCUCUUGAAUACUCUACUUCUAAUUCAGAGGAACACCAGUACCUGCAACUUAACUGUGUCACAGGAGGUUCUGAACUAGAUAAGAUCCCAGAGAGUUCUUCUUCGCAUGAAAAAGGAGAAUCUUCUCCUAUUGUUCAAGUGUUGGAAAAAGACCAGGGACAGAGUGAUAUAUCUGCUCUUCUUUCAGCUGGACCUUUUGUGAGACAGAAUUCAUCCUUGCUGGAGACCAAAUAUCAACAAGUCGAAGAAGAUAGCAUGAGCCUCGAAACAAAUUCAGACUUGCUGGUUAAUCUGGAUGGCAAAAGCUCUACAACGAAAGACCAUGGACAGACUGAUCAAUUGUGUCUAUCUUCUGAACCUCUUCAAUAUUUUGAUGAGAAGGAAGAGGAUGCCUGUCCUGCUGCACAAAUAUCUGGGAGAACUGACGGUCAGAGCUCUUUGAGCAAAGACCAUGGACAGACUGAUACUGACUUUUGUCUUUCAUAUGGACCUUCUGUGAUGGAGAACUCAUCUUUGCUGGUUGGGGAGAUCAACAAUCAACCAGAUGAAGAGGAAAACACAGCACAUAAACCAACCUUGUUGGUUAAUCUGGAUCCUGAGAAUACUAAUGAAAUCAGAUGUCUUAUUGAUGAAAGACAUGCAGAAACUGAAAAGAGAAGUGUGUCACCCAAAAACCACCAUGAAGAGAGGGAUAUCAAGACCAUCUCCUCUGUGCCUCCUGUCGAAGAUUCUACCGACUCAUUUUCACCAGAUGGGGUUCUCUCAGAGACAAUAGAUAACAAAGAGAAUCAGACUCUGCUAUCUAUCUGUGUUGUAGUAGGACAGCCUGAAUCAGAAUUCUGUAAAAGCCCUCCCCUGACAUCCGAAGAUAAGUCAAUCUUUGGAGAAAACAUUUGGGCAAGAAGAGGUAAACCUGCUUGUGCUGUUCGUAUUCAAACAGAGAGAAGUAGAGAAAGAUCAACUGUGGAGGCAGGAAUUGAGAAGAAUUUUGAUCUGGAGGUGGAAAUCUUUACUCCAGACAAGGAGAAUCUAACACCAAAUACAAAUACCCUUCGUCUGAGAUCUUUGAAAAAGAAGAACGAGGUAGAAGUUAAGCUAGAUGAUAGUCAAGAGGAGCAGGAAAUCUUUAAUCCUGACAAGGAAAACUUUACACCAAAUACUCUUCAACUGAGGUCCUUGAGGAAGAAGGGUAAGCUAGAAUUAACCAAUUCCAAAUCCCACAGAUCGUCUGUGUCGAAGCAAAACUUAAUCUCCAAUAUCCCUAAAGAAGAUCUGCUGGUGUGCCCAGGAAAAGAUAACCAGAAACUGAAGGAUCUCCAAGGAAGACAAUCAGUAGAAACUAUUGCCAGGAAUCAAGCAAUGCUGGAAAAAGAGUUGAUGCUAACAAAAUUAGGCACGGAAAGGAUGCCAUUCCAAUCAUUAAAAACUUCUGCAGUCAAGAACAGCAGUUCAGAAGCUUCAGUCUCUGAUGUAGCUACUAAAAGCAGCACAUCUCUCACUUGUAGUCGAACAAAGGAGCAGGUCAAGAAUGCACUCUCUGUAAGUUGAUUAACACUAAAUGUUAAACAUGUUUCAACAAUUUAUUCCUAUGGUGCAAACUAGCUUUAGCAAGUAUGAACUUAUUACUCAAAAUUUGAUUUUCAGAAUAAAUUUAUUGGAGAAGGAAAGAAGGGUUGGACUAUGGUUGCAGACACUAAUACUCUGCUUAACAAGGAAUCAAGGAAAGCAUUGCAACUUCUACAAGGUCUUAAGGGGACUCAUUUGAUCAUUCCAAGAAUGGGUAAUGAAAUUUUGAGUGGUCCACAUAUAUCAUUGACAUUGCCUGAAUAUGAUAUUGUACAACUGAUACUAAUAAUUGCAAUUGCUUUUAUCUCAAUCAGUUAUACGGGAACUGGAUUGCUUGAAACAGUGUGGCAGCCUGUUUACAAAGAAAACAGAGGCUUGUUUGGUUCUGGAAUGGAUUGAAGAGUGUAUGGUAAAAACAAAUUGGUGGAUCCAUAUCCAGAGCUCACUGGAAGAUGGAAGGCUGAUGGCUCCAACCCCUCCUGCUUCUCCGCGGUCUCUAUUUAGUGAGAACGGUUUGGAACUUACUUCUGGAACAACAAGCUCGUUUCCCUUCCUCAGGCGUUGGAGCUCUAUGGAACUCGUUUCGCCAGCAGCAGAAGAUCAUAUACUUGAUUGUGCUCUUUCCCGUAGGAAGAGGAGCAAUGAGCAAUUUGUCCUUCUAAGUAAUGAUAUCACCAUGAAGAUCAAAGCCAUGGCAGAGGUAAUACUGCAUCUCUAUCAAUUAUCUUUGUAUCACAUAAUCCAGGUUCUAAACAUGUCUGUAUGUUUCAUCUCAGGGUUUGAUUUGUGAGACAGCUCAGGAGUUCCAUGAGAGUCUAGUGACCCCAUCUUCGGAGAGGUUUAUGUGGGCUGGUAGCUGUCCCCGCGGGCGUACUUGGUCCUACUUAAAUGAUGUACUUUUGGCGGGGAAGUAUGAUCACUGCCAACUGAAGAAGUCAUCAAAGGGAGAAGGUGCAAAAGGUCUGAAGCUCAUUUUGCUCCACAGUUCUCAUUAUGGGCAGAUCCAUUAGAUCAGCUAAAACUCUUUAGCCUGUACUGCAAUAGGUCGACUGCUGUGCGGAUUUAUCGUUUGCUUCUAUCAAUCACUUGACAAUGCAAUUGAUAUGAGCCUGAAUUUCUGGACAAAAAGUUAUAUGAUAUGGUAUCUUCUACAUUCUAAUAGAUAUGAUGCAAUUUAUGUUUGAAGCUUGGAUAAAAAGUAAAAGGCACAAAAUGCAAUUUGUGCAUAGAAUAAGAUUUGUUGUCUUACAUUUUCAAAUUACAGCAGUUGAAUGACAACAGUGGUGCAACAGAUGAUACAGAAGUGAGCUCUGAUGGCGUUCGAUUACUUGGAUUAUAAACUCUUAAGCAGGAGCAUUCACCCUAGGCCUGGAGAUUCAUUUACCUUUUUUUUUUUUUUUUGGUGGUUUCAAUUAAUAUUUUCAUGUCCUUUUUUUUUCAUUUCUGUUAAACCUAUGUGUAAUAUAAAGUUCCUUUUUCCAUUCCAAAGCAUUCAUCAGACAAACAAACUGUUGUCUCUUCAAGAAGACAGCAAGAUUGGCGAAGCUACACUGGAGUACUGCCGUCAUUUGGUCCGACUAUUCUUACGGCGGUGGCCUUGUGUUCGGAUCCUUGCAUCCAUAAUUAAAGGAAAAGUAGAUGGAAAGCAAGUGCCAUUUUGGUAGUGCAGAGAAUUAAAGGAAAUCACUUAUUCAAGUUUAAGAAAUCACAUAAUACAUAGGGAUCACCUAAACUUACAAUUGUUACAGAAAAUGAUACUCCUGGUCCAAGUAGUCGUCAGUGUCACUCGACCUGUUUGGAAUUUGACUCGCCUCCAGUUUUGUGAGUGUAAUUACAGGACCCUGGCAUGAGAAAAGAGAAUGAACUCUCUGAAUCUUCAAAUGGGGGUCGAGGGAACUCAUGAAAUCCAUCAAAAUUACAUGUGUCAAAAUUCAACGGCGAGAAAUAACAAGUAGGAUCGUCGACACUUUCUUUCACAUCCAUAAUAUUCUGAACCAAACCACCGGCACUUGGAAGAGUGGAACCAAAAUUGAAAUUGAUGCUACCAACUCUGUUUGGUGCUUCACUACCUUCCCCAUGUUCAGAUGCCCCAACAGCAGUUUUUGUUUCAUCGAGGGGAAUGGCAGGAGUGUGACCUUGGAACAGGGCAAUAUGGCCAAAAAGCUUGUCUUUCCUGGAGAAGGUUGUGCCACAAGAACAAAGCCACUUGUCCUUACCACAGUGCUUCUCAUGAGUCUUGAGAUCUGCAAUAACGGAGAACUUCUUGGUGUUGCAUCUGCUGCAAGUGUAACUUUUGUCACAAUGGGUUCUCUUGUAGUGAUUUUUGACACAUAAAAUGGUCUUCAAAGGCUGAAACUUCUUGUGAUCCUUGUUCCGCUUGCAACCAGCAUAAGGGCAUGAAUACCUUUUGAUGAGUGUUGGUUCAGAACUAGAAUCUUUGUUGGGCUUUGCAAGUGCAGCUGGGGUUUUGUACUCGUCUCCAUGACCUCUCAUGUGCAUCCUUAAGUUUGCAUCCCUCUUGAAUCCCUUUCCGCAUAUAGCACAGAAAUGAGUAUGUGGUGCAAGGAUUUCUUCUUUCUCUAGCUGUAAGAUUUCGUAAGUACCAGGUGGAAGGUUCUCGCCUUCAUCAGCAUCCUCUUCAUCUUUUGAUUCAUGUUCUUCAAUGUGGUAGUUUAGCUCAGUCCCAUAGUUACUGAUCGGGUCAGUUUGGUUGGGCUGCUCAGGUAACUUGCUUCCGCAAUUCAUUUGCAACUUAACAGAAGCUUCAGUUCCUGCUCCAGAAGAAACAAAUGAACCACCAAGCUGCCCGAACUGUACCGCAGAUGCUGAGGCGCUGGAAAGGGUAUGCUUGACGGAUGGAAGAAGACUACCUGCCGUAGAGAUCAAUUGAGCUAUGAUUGAAGUAAGAUCAGCAGUAAUGAGCUGCUGUUGUUGAGCCACCAGCUCAUCAGGUCGUCCUAGAACUUGUCCUCUCCGGCCAACAAUCAAAUGCACUAAAUCUUGGAGCUGAUGGAUCUUUUGUUCCAGGAAGGAUAGAUUGGUCAACAUUGUACUCGGAUCCCAAUCUUGAAUCUUACUGGCGUGAAAUAUCUCAUUCAUCUGAACAUCUUCCCCAUCUGCAAUUGUUUUCUCAUUGUUGGAGUUGUGAGGAAGUGAAGUUUGAUCCUCAGAUGGCUGGCUGAGUUUCUGGAAGGAUGGUUCAAUCCUAAUGCCAUAAUCUAAAAUGGAGGGAUCUUCCCACUUGUUUUGAUGCUGGUGUGCACUGAAAUUGGCAAACUUUGGCCGAUCUGAGCAAGUCUUAUUUCUUAAAUCCUUUGCCCAGGUGUCUGCACAAACCUUAUCUUUAUGAUCCAUUUGUCAACUUUGCUUGCUUAACCUGAGGCGACAAAAUCAAACACCAAACCAGCCGAAUUUAAUACGGGAUGAUAGAAAAUUCAGUCACAGCUCAUUGCAAAUAAAAAGUAAUUGAACUAGUUUGUAUUCAGUAAAUUGGCCAAAGAAAAAACAAAAAAGCAGAGUAUUCAGUAGACUAUCAAAAAAUUGAGCUGGUUAUAUCUAAAGGAAAAUCUGAUAAAAAAAUUACAGAUCAAUUCAAAGAAGAUCCCUAAAAUCUGAGUUCAAUAUGGCUAGCAUACAGAUAAUUUUCUUUUUUCAUCUUUGUAUAUGGCAUAAAAGCUGGAAUCUUUUUCAGUAUGACCUAAGUAGGUAAAAUCAGUCAUUUCCUCUCCAAAAAUCAUGUAGGAAGGAACCCCAAAUCCCACAAAAAAUAUCAAGUCCUAAUUGGCAAAUCAGAAUCAAUAUGAGUGUAACAGGAUGAAAUAGCAUAAGAUUCUAGCAAAUACAAAAAGCUAAAUAUACAAAACCCACCAUAUAAUCAAUCAGAGAAGCUGGAGCAGCUAACAGAAAGAAGUUUAAGAAGCCUAGAAUAAGAGAAACUGACCAGAUUGGAGAUGGGGGGUGGUCUGGUGUUACAGACUCGUACUUGAAAAGCCAAAAUGGAGGAGAGGGGAGAAAAUGGGGUUGCAAUCUCUGUUCCCGUCAACCCCGUCAAUCGAACCGUCCAUUUGUCGCGUCUGAUCUGAUUGAUCAAGUUCAAUUAGUGCAAAAAUUGACUUUUGGUAUAUACAUAUUGACUGGGCGAGCCGGUGGCGGUCUUACAUGGUGGAUCAGGUCAUCCUUGUUUGUCCUUGAUUUUAAUCCUAUCCAUUCAGUCAAUAUCAAAAGGUCCUAAACAUGACACCUCGUAUUUCUGGAAGAGGCCUCAAUUCCCAUAUAUCCAAACGACAACCUCACCAGCAACUAGGGCUCCUCCGGGAUUCCAUCUUUCUUCGACUUCAGUUUUACUGUGUGUUUGAAUAUGGGUGAAUUAUCAAGAAUUUAUCAAAAAUAAAAAUUUCUAAUUUCUUUGAACACUUUUCACCAUUUGGAUUAUUAUCCAAUGAAAUUUGUAAUUUCUAUGGGAAAAUAAUCGUGAAUUUAGGAGCUUAAAUUCCCGACUUGAAUUCCUCCCAAAAUAGGCAUCAUUUGUUAAUGAGUGCGGCUAUUGGGACCUCCAGAUUUGCUCAUUGUACCUCCUUGUCUCUUUAUACCUCUUUUUUAUUUUUAAAAAAUAAGCAUUUGCUCAUUAGACCUCCUUUCAAAUUCUUAAAAUAACCUUAGGUUUGUUAUUCAUAUAUAUUUCAAUAAUUUACUCAUUAUACCUUUUAUUCGCUCUCUAGAUCUCCCACACUUUAAUUUUUUUUUUUGCAUGAAAACAUCUAUUUCAGACCUCGAUUGCUUGAUUUCUUUUUUCUUCUUCUCUUUUUUCAUGAAAACCUCUUUUGCAACCUCAAUUCCUUGUUGUUGUUGUUGUUUUUUAUUUUAUUUUUUUGCAUAGAAUGUCAUUAACCUAUAUUAUUUGAUCAAGUUGUAAGAACAAUUUUUCAAUGACAACAAUUUAAAAAAAUUUAAAUUAUGAAUUGUUUUCACAAUCAAUUGCAAAGCAGCAAAGCGAUGUUUGUGACCGAACGUAUAGUAAGUUAGUAACUACAAAAGUAAGAAAAUAGGUAUACAUGAAGCAAAUUUGAUGAAAUAUUAAAGCAAGCUAAAGACCCAGAAACCUUUGACCUAGAAGAAAACCCUAAAAAGGCCAAUUGCGUCUUCAUCAAUGGAGAUUCUUCCAUUUGGCGUAGUAGUUCUUUGCGAUUGAGCAACGGUUACACUUAGAUUUAGGGUUUAUAGACUCCUCACAUUUUGUAUCGUUAACUUGAAGAAAAAAAAAAAAAGGAAGAAAACUAAUCUGAUUACAAUUUUUUUUUUUUUUUUGUGAAAGUCAAUGUCUAUUAUUGUCAUUUUGUAUGAGGUUAUAUUUGUAAUUCAAUAAGUCAAAACAUGUGGAGGUAUACUGAGCAAAUCUGGAGGUCCCAAUAGCCGCACUCUUUGUUAAUUCCCUCAACUAAGGUUAGUCUAAAUACUAAUUCUUGUCAUUUUAAAAUUUUACAUUAUGAAAUCUAAACAAUGUAAUUUAAAUUCAUUAAAUUUUUAUUCCCAUGACUUUAAAAUUUAUGUGGAAAUUAGAAUUAUUUCAUCCAAACACAAUGUUAGGGAAUUCACGAGUAAUUGGGAUUUUCGAAUUUGAAUCUCGGGAUAAGAAUGUACAAUUUCAGCCAAACCCACCGACAAAAAUUUGAAAAUCUAUGGGUUUAAUUGGACAUAUUGGUGGGAUUUAUAAUAUUAAGAAGAUACAGCAAAAGUUAAACUACUCUAUGGGUUGUUUUGGUCUGCCAAAAUGAAUCUUUAUCAUCUACUAGCCUUCCUGCACUGUGGAAGGGCUGUGCUUGCGCGUGCGUAUGUUAUUUUUUGUCAUGAAAUACGUUUUGCAUAUGUAUAUUCUUUCAUUCAUUUUUACUUCAUUCUGUGUCAUACAGAAGGGAAAAAUGUUACACGUUCCCUAACUUUUAUAAUAUGCAAAUAUAUUAAAUUUUGCAUAUGCCUACAACCAUAUUCUUGACUUGAAAAAAAACAUAUUAUUUAUACAGAAACAUCCAUUGGUCUACUAAAACAUGUACAAUUUUUAUGACAUGAACUCACAGGAGGCUAGAAGUGUUUAAUAAGACUAAUUUAUUAAGAGUAAUUUUAAAUACACACCCCUAAUCUCUUAAUACAUACCCCUUACUUAAUACAUUAACCAUCUAGUUUUUCAUUUCAAUAUUAUACUAAAUACACAUCCCAAACUGUCUAAAAUACUCUCAAUAUCUAAAACUAAAAAUAAUAUGUUAUUUAAUAUAAUUAUUAUAUAUUUUUGAACUACCUAUACAAAUAUAAUUGUAUAUAUUUGUUUUUUUUUUGGUAAGAUAUAUUGUCAUAUGCAUAGACAAAAUUUAAAAAGAAACUUCAUAUUUUAAAAACAAGGGAACAUGUAACAUUUUUUUUGUACGAAGUUUAACACACGACGAACUACAAGGAAACACGCAUGUACAUAUGUAAAAUAUAAUUUAUAACUUUUUCAUAUACGCAUAUGUGUAGAUGCAUGUACAAGGAUUUGUUUUGGAAGAGUAUAAACGGGUGAUGGCUUAGUUGAGUUCAUGCCAUCGAAAAUGUAUAUAUGUAUGUGUGGAGCGAUGGAUGUGUUUGUAAUUGGUGAAGGAUACUAUUGUAGAUUUCAGGGGCAAUAUGGAUUAUCACGCUAAAUAAAUUUUGAAUGAUACUAUGGUAUCAAGUUGAAGGAUAGGUAUCAAGUAGAGGUAGAUAUGAACCAAAGAAUGUUAAAAGGAUACUACUCCAAUAUCUGCGCAUUUAAGUUGGUGUGCACACUCAAUGAUAUGCGCCCGGAGUAGUUUAAUCUCCUGUUGGUAGAGGUUGAUACCUAUUUAGAGUCAUACCUGAUCAUAUCUAUUAAGUUGAUACCUAUUCAAUCUUUUAAGGGUAAGCAAAACCAGGAGGGUAACCAUAUCCGUUAAUUGAAUGGUACUAUUGUAAUUCUGAAAAACAAACCCUACACAAAUAGUAGCAAUAAAGUUAAUUGAAGGAUACUAUCCGUUAAUUGUAUCCGUUAAUCUAUACAAAUAUAUGUACAAUACAGUUCACAUGCUCUAAUCAACUACAUCUCAGCCAUCUAUUUGUCAACCGUCAUCGCUCAAACUACAAAUCAACAAUGGAAAACAUAUUGUCAUCUGACUUUGGUCCUCGAUAUUUAUAUUUCUCCCUUAUGACAAUAUAAACAUGUUUCUCCUGUAUGACACACAACGAAGUAAAAAUGAAUGACUGAAAGUACAUAUGCAAAACGUAUUUCAUGACGAAAAAAGACAUACAUUCCGCACGCACAUAGCGCGUGCAGGAAGGCUAGUCUAUUAAUAAAGCCAUAAGGCUUUUUUGGCUUUGUCAACGAUUAAAAUUUUAAACUACCUAUAAUACUCUUGAUUAAUUAAAACUUUAAAAUUUGUCUUCUAACAGUUGAAUGACAAAUUAGUAAUUGCAAAUAUUGGAAACAAGAAAAAAAGAAAAACAAGAAAAAAGAAAGUUUAAAACGUGGGAGGUGGGAGAGAAAAGUGGGGAGGGAAAUAAGACUUUGAGUAUAACUGUAAUAGUAAAAAAAAAUCACACACGCACAUAAUAAAUAUAAUAAUAUGUUAUAUUUAUUAGAGGUGUGUAUUAAGAGAUUAGAGGUGUGUAUUUAAAAUUUAUCAUAAUUUUUAUCGGUACCACCACGAAAAAAAACAUAGUCUUUAAAGAGGCUAUUAUACAUGCAUCUAUACAAAUAUAUGUACAGUAAAAUUCACAUGCUCCAAUCAACUACAUCUCAGCCAUCUAUUUGUCAACCGUCGUUGCUCAAACUACAAAUCAACAAUGAAAAAUAAUAAAAUAAGAUAAUGGCUUUGCUCCUCAGUUUUUAUAUUGUCAUGUCUUUCGAAACCUUUUUUUUUAUUCAGCUCCAUUUUCUUGUACAUUCCUAUAAAAUAUAAAGAACUAUACAAACUCAAAGAUGGUAGUAAAAAACAUCCAUUCAAACAAGUCUAAUUUCCACCUGGCAAAAUAAUAUGGGUUUUGUUUGAUAAACGGAAGGCUAGGUUACAAAACUUGUUUUUUGCGCAUAUAUAUGUAUUUUGACGCAUCAUAAAAAACUUAUCACCUUAUUCUCAAAAUAUAUACAAAAUAUCAUGUUUGGGUAAGGGAAUAUAUUUUUUUAUGCAUAUAUUUUGAGAAUCACCUUAUUGACAAUAAAAUAAACCAGUGGUGCGCAAAAUAUAUAGUUUGCAAAAAACUUAUAUACCCAAACUUAUACCACAAGUUUGAUUUCCGCGCAAAAUAUAUCAAACUUACAUACCCCUAGUUUUUUGUAUAGUUUUUUUUGCCAUGUAGUGUUUUUUUACUUAUAUACUGUAAUUUGCAAACCCCUCUACCUUAUGUAUCAUUUUACCACAAGUUUUUUUUUUUUUACCUAAAAUUUUGAGUGCGGCUCUUCCGCACGUAUGUCACAACAUUCUGAAAGCCCAUCAAUACUAUGUGCGUGUGUGAAUUUUAUUUAUUUAUUAUUUUACAGUUAUGCUCAACGUCUGAUUUCCCUCCCCACUUUUCUCUCUCCCUCUCACAUUUUAAGUUUCUUUUUUUCUGUUUUUUUUUAUUUCCAACAUUUGCAAUUACUAAUUUAUCCUUAAUCUGUUAGAAGACAUAUUUUAAAGUUUUAAUCAAUUAAAGAUAUUAUAGGUAGUUUAAAAAUUAAACCGUUGAUAAAAUCAAAAAAGCCUCCUAGUUUUAUUAAUAAAGAUUUACAGCUGUUAGUAUACAUAUGCUAAGCACAUGUGUUAUUACAUGUUCUAGUUAUUUUACUGAAAUGCCUUAGUUAUAGCCCAUUAAUAUAAACUAUCUGUAUUAAUAAUUAAGUCAAAUCCUAAUGGUAUAAAUGAAUAUUUUAGAUGGCUUAUUUUAGAUGUGCUUAUCAGACACCAUAUUAGACCCGAGCCUGGCACCUCUCUCUCUUCCUCUCCGCCUGCCUUCGCCAUCUCCGGCGUGGCGUCGCCGAAUCCGGCCGCCGCAUGCCGCGAAACCACCACCAAAUCACGCCUCUCUUCAAUCUCUACAAAAUCCAGUCCUCAAUUCGCACAGGCAUCCACUCACGAGGGAGAUCGACGUCGAAGAUGCGCGGCUGUUUUCCGGCGAAUCCUUGAGAUUCCGGCCACGAGCCGACGAGUGGAUGGUAGGGUUAGCUUCCCUUCUUCCUUCUUCACAUUCUGGUUCUUUAUUUUCCUCGAUUUGAACCCUAAUCCUAAAAACCCUCCUUUUGUUUUUCUGGGUUUCGAAUUUGUUCUCCGGCGACCGGCGUUCUUCAUGCUUCAGCGAUCAUUUACAACUCCGACGAGUCUUGCAAUAUUCUUUUGCGGUGAUGUUGAGCCAAGGCAAAGCUUGGUUUUUCGGCUGAGGUUGAGUUUAGGCAAGAAGGUGCUCCGGACGAGAGGAAGUUCUUGGGUGAGUGUUAAGUUUUGAAUUUGGGUGUUGCUGGUGUUGUGUUGGUUUCUGUUGGUUGGUGUUUCUGUUGGGUGAGUGUUAAUUUAUGCAAUCUUGACUAAUGCAGAGCAUUACAGGGAAUGUGAACCCCUGAGCCCUGAAAGUAUGUUCAUUUUUCAUUUUUGUGUGAUAUGUGGUUAAGGUAUUUGGCCACAUUUGUUUUGAAUUCAAAUUUGAAGGUUGUGGGGUUUUGUAUGGUAAGUUCUUCAAAUGUUUAUCUGUAGAGCUUUCUACUUGUUAAAUGUGGUGACUUGAUGUAUUGGUUCAUACUGAAAAUACUGUGUAUCUGCAAAUUGGUAUGAAGUGGUGAUAUAAUGAUUUUGGUCCCAAGCAGAUUAUGGGAUGUCCAUGGUACGUUGUGGUCUAUGAAGAUGUCUUCGUUUUAUCCUUCAUUCAAGUCCUUGCAAAGCAUACUGGUAUUUGACUUUGGUUUUCUUUUCUCUUUUAAUGAAUAGGCACUCAGAUUUAGGUUGGAUGAUGAUAAUAUACAUGAGUUGAAACACAUAAUCUAAACAGUAUUUGUGGCUUCCUGUGGUUGUGUUAAAUUAGCUUAAUCUGAACUGUGAUUUUGGUGUGAGUGUUUCCUCUUCUUCUUCCCUUUUUACUUUGACACAAAGUUGAAAACAGCCCAAAGUUGGAAUCUUUUCAAUUAUUAAAGAAAUAAAAACUUGUCAAGAUCUUCAUGGCUUUGGAAUAAAUUUGUUCAAAAUUUCUGUCCCAAGCUUACUAAUUUCAGUGACCAAGAAGAGAGUGAUCUGUAGUAAUGCUUUGAUCUGUAGUUAUCUGUAGCAAAGCACAUGAAGUUGUCGAGUUCUCAAACCGGGGAGAUUGCCUCCAGCUACAGGCAAUCUUACAGAAAUCACAUCUACCAUUUUGUAAUGAUAUAAUGUUGUUUUUACAUAUAUUGCGUGUCCUAUUGCUAUUUUAUCAACCACACUACACUCCACCACAAAAUUCUUGAAAAAUGAACAUAAACUAUGACAAUUUUCUUUUUUCUAGUUUCAUGAUAGCCAUGGUAGAAGAGAUCAAAGAAAAUGAACUAGGUUUUAGAGUAAUGAAAAAACGAAAGAGAAUUGCAGAGAGAAUGAGAACCACAGCUUUGAUUCACAGCAAAAUAUCACAAUCUUCUACCUUAAGCAAUGAGCACACAUCUGUUUAUAUAAGAAUGUGUGGCUACUACUCUUACAGCUCUAACUACCUAACCGAAUGUACAGCUGUAUCCCACAACCUGUUCUACUCUACACGUGUCUGAAGCCUUCUAGAAACUUUAAUUGCUCUUCUACAUUUUACUGCUUCUGAAAUUACUUUUACAAUACAGUCAUCAUCCUCCCUGAAGCUCAGCUAGGGUGACUAGCCUGAGAUUGGUACAAUGUUAGUAUCACAUAUUUGAGUUCACAGAUUUUGCAUUCAGUAUCUACCAGUUUGCGAGUUUAUCAGGAUGAUAUAGGAGGAUUGCAUUUUGGAUUCCAAAUGCUGAAUCUCCUAGGUUUCUUCUGUUCUGGCAAUUAUUGUUGUAGAUUCUGGAAGUAAAGCUUUAAUAUGUUUGAGUUCGAAUGAUGAAGAGGAUCAAAGUGACAUCCCAAAUACUCUUUUUGGUCUCCAAGCAAUCAUCAUCGAGUGUUUCAUUUUUCACGUUGGGUGGUUUUCGUACUUUUUAUUCUGCGUGUGAUUAUGUAGCUUUAAUCUAUCAAUAUUUGAUUCAAUUGCCCUCCUCUUUCUACAGGAUGUAUCUAUCAAUAUCUAAUUCAAUUGCCCUGCUCUUUCUGCAGAAUGUAGAUGUGAAUUUGAUCGUUACAGAUGACUGCAUGCCAGGAAUGACAGGCGCUCAUCUCAUCAUAAUGAUUAAGGUAAGCUACAAGGCCUAACAACAUUAUAAUAAUUUUGGCCUCUCAAAAUUGGUGCAUUAUCUAGGCUAAUGAUAUUUGAUCUUUACGUUACCAAGUUGUAUGUAUUUCACAGAUGCAAAUGUAGCCCGUGAUUUCCAAAUCCUCCUAACACCAUCACCAUCAUUUUUAGCUCUCAAAAUUGAUGUGAUAUGACUAUAUUUUUCUUUUACAAUUAAUAAAUCUUUACUUAUGUUUUCAGAUACUAUAUAAUCUGUUGCUAUGUGUAUGAUCCCUUUUUGGUGCAGCUGGGAUGUGUGAAUACCACCACCUUCAUUUAUUGCAACAAUUCAGAAGUACCUGAAAAACAACAUUAAGGGACUGGUGAGAUUGGUUCCUGGACCGACAAGCUUUUCUUUAGGUAAGAUAAAAAUCCAACAUUAUGUUUUGAUCCUGCUCAUGGCUGGGUUAGGAAACAUGCACAGUUUUAUGUCAAACUCAAUGUGGUACUUGUACUGUAAUACAUUAGUACUUUUAGUGCAAUUAGUAAUUGAAAAGCAUUAGUAAGUUGUGAUAUCUGAAACUUACAUUAGUGCAGUUAAUUAUUUGUAGUCUAAGUAUAUGAUCUAUUUUCGACAAUUUCUUUUCCUCUUGUGUUUAAGUUUCUUGAGGUCAGUCAAAUGCCUUUAUGACAUUCUUUGUUUACCAGUCUAAUUAUUGGUCUAAUACCUAAAGAGGAACAGAAAUAAGUGUUAUUCAUUUUUUUUCUUCAGUAAACUAGCUGUGUUUUUUAUUUUAAAUGCAAAGCAAGGAUCAUAAUGCACAACAGUCAUGUUAGAAAGUAUUUUAUUUAACAGGUCUAUAUUAUAGAUAAUUCCUGUUUGUUUAUCUUUGAGCUAAAUUUCAUGUAUCAAUGCCUUUGGUGGACUAAUGUUAUUUAGACAAAUGAUGUGGCUGAAUUGGAAGCUAAAUUUGGUAGUGAUAAAUGGAAAGCGUUAGUUACUGGCAAGUCUUCCAAGUUACUAACAUUUUGGUGAACAAAUUUGUUUGUUUAGCGCGAUUUCUUCCCAUGUACAGAAGUCAAACUAUUACUAUGUAAUAGGUGAAUGACACGAAAGAGGAGAAGAAGUAAUUUGAAAGGAGAGAGGUAUGUUUUAUUUUGUUUUUCUGAGGUAUGCUUCAUAAUUUUUAUUGUUUAACUUAUUUUAGAUUAAUUGGAUACAAGAUUUAUUGAAAAUUUGUUUGACUUAGACGUGUAUCGUGAUUUUGAUACCAGAAGUGAUUAAAUUUCACGUGCUUUGGUAUACGAUGUGGGAAUCACAGAUUUGGGAGAAUGUAUGUGAUGGGAGUUAUCUGCGGGUGCUAACUGAUAUUAUAGUUUCAUUGAUUCAUAAUAUCUUCGCAAUUUUACUCGUCUUCAUCUACCAAUUUUAUUGCCUAAUUCUUCUUCUUCCUUUGUUUGUCUGGGAAAAAAUGACGAUGGUCAUGGAGGAUUGGAUUUAGCAUAGUGCCAUGCUUUCAUUGAAACAUAAUUAUAAGAAAUUAGGGCUUGGUAGUUUAUUCAGACUAUAACAGUUCCGAUGAACAGUCACUUUUGACGGUUAUACGAUUUCAGAAGAUGAUCUAGUAUUGGGUCAAUCACGCUUAAAAGAAGUGGACAAUAGUGGUUGUAUUAGCCAAAACUCAUCCACGUAUUAUUGUAACACCUGCUUACGACUAAAGAUAAUAAAGCCUAUAAAACAAAGAGCUACUAUCAUUUCUUUAUUAUAGAUUGAGAUCUUCAAACUUAAUGCACAAAUAGAUGGAAUUGCAGCAAAUAGCAUCUUUCUAGUCGUGGAAGUAAAUCUCAUUAUGAAAGGUUAUCUCUAUCCUUUGAGCAACCGAACGGGAAGACGAUGAAUAGUAAGUUUAUUUGAUGCUAUAUGUAAGAUGCACUUGAAUAUAUGAAUAGUUGCCUACUGAAAUGUUACAUAUCAACAUGGAUUUUUCAACUAGGUCAUGAUCUUCAAUUUCAGUAUCGCUGUAUCAGCUUGCAAUUUAUUCCUUUCAUUUGUACAGGGUGUCAAUGCUGCUGGGGUUUUGUUUUUAAGGUUCAUAAGUUGAUUGUUUCUUUACUUUUGUUUUACAGUAUUGUAAAGGGUAAAAAAAGAAAAAAAAACUUUCAGAGUUUGCCUUUAACUGUGCUUAAAAUUCUAUUUGGUGAUUAAUGUGCAGCUCUGGAUCUUAGUGGAAAGACAAUCGGGUUUAGAUCCUAUAAAUCUGGUAAGGAAUGCGUCUUUCAAACUGAAUUUUGUUUUCACUUUUAGAUCAGCAAUCCUUUCGUUUGACAAAAAUAAAUUCAAGUAUCUGUUUUUUGGAUUAUCAUGAGGUAAAGGAAUGAACUGAAGAAUGAGUACAAGUUUGACUGAAGGAGUACGAGUUUGAGUAUUGGAGUCAGUACUUACCACCAGGUAACAACUAACGGUGUUCUGAAUCACUUCAUCUUCUAUCUCGUGGUUUCCAGAUUUCAACUUUUGGUGGACAUGUUUCUAUUUUUUAUAUUUUGGUUUUGUAUCCGUAUGGGUCUCAGUUGUGUGGUUGUGAUUUGUUGGCAGAUGAUGAAUCACUACAUCCUCUGCCUCUCGGUUUCCAGGUUUCAACUAUAGGUGGAUUUGUUUCUUUUUUUGAUUUGGUAUCUGUUUGGGCCGCAGUUGUGUGAUUGUGAUUUGCUGCUGAUGAUAAUUACCUGCCAUAUUGUUAUUUUGCCGAGUGUUUUGCUCUAUUGGCCUCAACGUAUUGGAUGGGUGUUUUGCUUUGAGUUUUUGUUGGUCUCAUGGAUGCGAGAUUAUCAGUUAUGGGUUUUGAAUGUACAUUUUUCUAUUGUAAUUGAUUUCUGCUACUGUCGGUUCGUUUGUAGUUUUGAGCAAUCUCACAAUCUUAAUAUUUAUUCAGGCAGAACUAAUCAUUGAAUUUCAUUGGUAGCUUUUGUGACAUUUGCUUUAGAUACGAAAUUUUAAUAUGAAGUCUGUAAACCCGAUUUGUGAUAGUAAUUAUCACUGAUAUUGAACAAUUUCUGAAUUCGGAUCAAACCAAUCAGCAGAAAGAACAUAGAAAAUUGGAAAGAGCUUCAAUUUCAAGUUCUUGUGGCUUUAUACACAAAUCAUUUCUUAAAAUUUUAUUACAUGUAUCAAGUCAUGCCAAGGGAAGUGUGACAUUUAGGAGUUGUGCAACAGUUGUACUUAAAAACUGUUGGGUUCACUCGAAUGUUUCCUUAACUUUGAUAAGUAUUUCGCUUCCUUCUUAUUUUAACUGUUUGGUUUGUUGUUCUGCAUGUGUUUUGGAAUUGGCUUUUAGAUUGAAGGUGGUGCUCUGUUUGUGUGGCUGUAUGGGGGUUAUAUUUUUCCAGGUGUGCUUACUUCCCCUGAGUUUGUUAUUUCGUUGUUUAUAUGGUGAAUUUGAAUUUUGAUCUUGUUUGCUCUCUUUUUGAUCUUGUUUGUUUUGCUUUUUGGUGAUGAUUUGCGCUAGAUCUAGGGUUUACGAAUCGUUUUUUUUAUAUAUGAAUAUCAGUUGUUCGUGAUUCGAUCUGAUGGAUUUAAGUUCUGUGAUAGUUAGAUUUGUAUCCGAUUUGGAUUUAUGACUGGGAAAAGGUUGCUUAAUCGGAAAAAUGUUGUUCGUUGAUUGGAUUGAUUAAUUGAUUUUGUUUCCAUUUGAUAUGUUGUUUGUGACUGAAUUUGAUAUGUUGUCUUCCUCUGAGGUAAUCCGGAGAGUGAGUGUGACUCUGUCUUCAUGAGGUUCAUACACAGUGGAAAAUAGAGAGAGACGAGGUUCAUACACAGGAAAACAUCAAAUCUUUCUAGUUUUCAUUUCUAUUUUUUUAUCAGCACUCUAAUUUCCUCAAUUUUUUAUAUCUUCUUUGUUUUCCCCAAAUCGCUAGAAUCCUCCAAAGCUUUGUCUCUGAUCAAUUUUUUUUUCCCUGGUUGAAUUGAUGGCGGUGUGGAAUGUUGAUUUUGGGUUUUGGUUGUUUUUCGGUGAUAUCCUGUUCGUCAGUUUUCCAGGUACGCUUAACGCUCUCAAAUUCUACUCUUUUCGGUUUUGGGUUUGCAUUUUGUCGUUUUUAAUCUGCUACCAGCUUCUUUUUUUUUUUUUCUUUGAUUCUAGUUUUUGCUUUUCUUCGAUUCUAGUUUUGUUCAAUCCAUACGAAUCAUAAUGCAAACCUCAUGAUAGUUAGAUUUGUAUCCGAUUUGGAUUUAUGACUGGGAAAAUGUUGCUUAAUCGGAAAAAUGUCUGUGAAAAAUAGAGGAUAAGGAAUCACAUUAAGCUUGUGAUUUACUGUUUGGCUAAGUUGAGAGCAUGAUUAGCAAGAUUGUUGAUCUAAUCGGAUCCUGAUCUGUUUGAUUUGUGAGGAUAUGAUUUGAUCUAGUAAAGGAGUAUAUCCGUCGUUGAUUGGAUUGAUUAAGUGAUUUUGUUUCCAUUUGAUAUGUUUGUGACUGAAUUUGAUAUGUUGUCUUCUUUUGAGGUAAUUCGGAGAGAGUGAUUGCGACUCUGUCUUCAUGAGGUUUUAUUCACGCUAACAAUUCAGGAAAACACCAAAUCUUGCUAGUUUUCAUUUCUAUUUUUUGAUCAGUACUCUAAUUUCCUCAAUUUUUUAUAUCUUCUUUGUUUUCCCCAAAUCGCUAGAAUCCUCCGAAGCUUUGUCUCUGAUCAAUUUUUUUUUCCCUGGUUGAAUUUGAUGAUGGCAGUGUGGAAUGUUGAUUCUGGGUUUUGGUUGUUUUUCGGUGAUAUCCAGUUCGUCAGUAUUCCAGGUAUGCUUAACGCUCUCAAAUUUCACUCUUUUCGGUUUUGGGUUUGCAUUUUAUCGUUUUUAAUCUGCUACCAGCUUCUUCUUUUUCUUUUUUUUCCUUUGAUUUUAGUUUUUGCUUUUCUUCGAUUCUAGUUUUGUUCAAUCCAUAAGAAUCAUAAUGCAAACCUCAUGACAGCUAGAUUUGUAUCCGAUUUGGAUUUAUGACUGGGAAAAUGUUGCUUAAUCGGAAAAAUGUCUGAAAAAUAGAGGACAAGGAAUCGGAUUAAGCUUGUGAUUUACUGUUUGGCUAAGUUGAGAGCAUGAUUAGCAAGAUUGUUGAUCUAAUCGGAUCCUGAUCUGUUUGAUUUAGUAAAGGAGUUUAUCCGUCAGUUGAUUGGAUUGAUUAAUUGAUUUUGUUUCCAUUUGAUAUGUUGUCUUCCUCUGAGGUAAUCCGGAGAGAGAGUGCGAUUCUGUCUUCAUGAGGUUCAUACACAGAGUGGAAAAUAGAGAGAGACGAGGUUUUAUCCACGCUAACAAUUCAGGAAAACAUCAAAUCUUGCUAGUUUUCAUUUCUUUUUUUGAUCAGCACUCUAGUUUCCUCAAUUUUUUAUCUCUUCUUUGUUUUCCCCAAAUCGCUAGAAUCCUCCAAAGCUUUGUCUCUGAUCAAUUUUUUUUUUUCCCUGGUUGAAUUUGAUGAUGGCGGUGUGGAAUGCUGAUUCUGGGUUUUGUUUUUUUUUCGGUGAUAUCCUGUUCGUCAGUUUUACAGGUAUGAUUAACUCUCUCAAAUUCCACUCUUUUUGGUUUUGGGUUUGCAUUUUGUCGUUUUUAAUCUGCUACCAGCUUCUUCCUUUUCUUUUUUUUUUUCUUUGAUUUUAGUUUUUGCUUUUCUUCGAUUCUAGUUUUGCUCAAUCCAUAAGAAUCAUAAUGCAAACCUCAUGACAGCUAGAUUUGUAUCCGAUUUGGAUUUAUGACUGGGAAAAUGUUGCUUAAUCGGAAAAAUGUCUGAAAAAUAGAGGACAAGGAAUCGGAUUAAGCUUGUGAUUUACUGUUUGGCUAAGUUGAGAGCAUGAUUAGCAAGAUUGUUGAUCUAAUCGGAUCCUGAUCUGUUUGAUUUAGUAAAGGAGUUUAUCCGUCAGUUGAUUGGAUUGAUUAAUUGAUUUUGUUUCCAUUUGAUAUGUUGUCUUCCUCUGAGGUAAUCCGGAGAGAGUGAGUGCGACUCUGUCUUCAUGAGGUUCAUACACAAAGUGGAAAAUAGAGAGAGACGAGGUUUUAUCCACGCUAACAAUUCAGGCAAACAUCAAAUCUUGCUACUUUUCAUUUCUAUAUUUUGAUCAGUACUCUAGUUUCCUCAAUUUUUUAUAUCUUCUUUGUUUUCCCCAAAUCGCUAGAAUCCUCCAAAGCUUUGUCUCUGAUCAAUUUUUUUUUCCCUGGUUGAAUUUGAUGAUGGCGGUGUGGAAUGUUGAUUCUGGGUUUUUGUUGUUUUUCGGUGACAUCCAGUUCGUCAGUUUUCCAGGUAUGCUUAACGCUCUCAAAUUCCAGUCUUUUCGGUUUUGGGUUUGCAUUUUAUUGUUUUUAAUUUGCUACCAGCUUCUUCUUUUUCUUUUUUUUUCUUCGAUUCUAGUUUUGUUCAAUCCAUAAGAAUCAUAAUGCAAACAACUGUAUUGUUAGUGAUUAAUGAGAUAAUACAGUAUUAUUGUAAAGCUUUGGUACUUUUUUUCUUUUUUUUUUGGACGGAAAGCUUUGGUUCUUUGCAUGUCACAUUUCUAGUAGCCCUUGGAUUUUACAGGUAGUUUAAAGCUUCAAGCUGGUAUAUUAGAAUUUAAGUUUCUUAAGAUUAAAAGUUUCAAAUUUUGAAAACCUUGAGAUGCUUUUUGUUAAAGUACCUUUGGCAGUAAACAAAUGAAAUGUAUUUUGUACUGGAUGACAUUUGCGUACUGAGAAGCACAUCCAUAUUUACUUGGUUUGAAUAAUACUGUGAGUCGGAGGCAUAUGGAUAUGCUUUUAAUAUCUCUUCUUUAUUAGAAUCCGAAUUCCAUCAGGCCCUCUCCUUGACGGACACCCUUGAGAAUUUGAAGGUUGGAUGUGGUUAAGGUAUUUGGCCACAUUUGUUUUGAAUUCGAAUUUGAAGGUUGUGGGGUUUUGUAUGGUAAGUUCUUCAAAUGUUUAUUUGUAGAGCUUUAUACUUGUUAAAUGUAUUGGUUUAUACCGAAAUGCUGUGUAUCUGCAAAUUGGUAUGAAGUGACGAUAUAAUGAUUUUGGUCCCAAGAAGAUUAUGGCAUGUCCAUGGUAUGUUGUGGUCUAUGAAGAUGUCUUCAUUUUAUCUUUCAUUCAAAUCCUUGCAAAGCAUACUGUUAUUUGACUUUGGUUUUCUUUUCUCUUUUCAUGAAUAGGCACUCAGAUUUUGGUUGGAUGAUGAUAAUAUACAUCGAGUAGAAACACAUAAUCUAAACAAGAAAGAAAGACAAAAAAGAUAUCAGUAUUUGUGGCUUCCUGUAGUUGUGUUAAAUUAGCUUAUGAACUGUGAUUUUGGUGUGGGUGUUUGUUCGUCUUCUUCCUGUUUUACUUCCACACAAAGUUGAGAACAGCCCAAAGUUGGAAUCUUUUCAAUUCUUAAAGAAAUAAAAACUAGUCAAGAUCUUCAUGGCUUUGGAAUAAAUUUGUUCAAAAUUUCUGUCCCGAGCUUACUAAUUUCAGUGACCAAGAAGAGAGUGAUCUGUAGUUAUGCUGUGUUCUGUGUUGUUAUCUGUAGCAAAGCACAUGAAGUUGUCGAGUUCUCAAAGCGGGGAUAUUGCCUCCAGCUACAGGCAAUCUUACAGAAAUCACAUCUACCAUUUUGUAAUGAUAUAAUGUUGUUUUUACAUAUAUUGUGUGUCCUAUUGCUAUUUUAUCAACCACACUACACUCCACCACAAAAUUCUUGAAAAAUGAACAUAAACUAUGACAACUUUCUAGCCCGCAGCAUCGCGCGGGGUCUUUUUUCUAGUUUCAGCUCUGUUUUGAGUUCACAGAUUUUGCAUUCAGUAUCUACCAGUUUGCGAAUUUAUUAGGAUGAUAUAGGAGGAUUGCAUUUUGGAUUCCAAAUACUGAAUCUUCUAGGUUUCUUCUGUUCUGGCAAUUAUUGUUGUAGAUUCUGGAAGUAAAGCUUUAAUAUGUUUGUGUUCGAAUGAUGAAGAGGAUCAAAGUGACAUCCCAAAAGCUCUUUUUGGUCUCCAAGCGAUCAUCAUCAGGUGUUUCAUGUUUCAUGUUGGGUGGUUUUCUUACGUUUUAUUCUGCGUGUGAUUAUGUAGCUUUAAUCUAUCAAUAUCUGAUUCAAUUGCCCUGCUCUCUUUCUACAGGAUGUAUCUAUCAAUAUCUAAUUCAAUUGCCCUCCUCUUUCUAGAGGAUGUAGAUGUGAAUUUGAUCGUUACAGAUGACUGCGUGCCAGGAAUGGCAGGCGCUCAACUCAUCAUAAUGAUUAAGGUAAGCUACAAGACCUAAGAACAUUAUAAUAAUUUUGGCCUCUGAAAAUUGGUGCAUUAUCUAGGCUAAUGAUAUUUGAUCUUUACGGUACCAAGUUGUAUGUAUUUCACAAAUGCAAAUGUAGCCUGUGAUUUCCAAAUCCUCCUAACACCAUCACCAUCAUUUUUGGCUCUCAAAAUUGAUGUGAUAUGACAGUGAUUUUUCUUUUACGAUUAAUAAAUCUUUACUUAUGUUUUCAGAAACUAUAUAAUCUGUUGCUAUGUGUAUGAUCCCUUUUUGGUGCAGCUGGGAUGUGUGAAUACCCCCACCUUCAUUUAUUGCAACAAUUCAGAUGUACCUGAAAAGCAACAUUAAGGAACUGGUGAGACAAUGUUCCUGGACCGACAAGCUUUUCUUUAAGGUAAGAUAAAAAGCCAACAUUAUGUUUUGAUCCAGGUCGUGGCUGGGUUUGGAAACAUGCACAGUUUUAUGUCAAACUCAAUGUGGUAGUUUUACUGUAAUACAUAGUACUUUUAGUGCAAUUAGUACUUGAAAAGCAUUAGUAAGUUCUGAUAUCUGAAACUUACAUUAGUGCAGUUAAUUAUUUGUAGUCUAAGUAUAUGAUCUAUUUUCGACAAGUGUUUAAGUUUCUUGAGGUCAGUCAAAUGCCUUUAUGACAUUCUUUGUUUACCAGUCCAAUUAUUGGUCUAAUACCUAAAGAGGAACAGAAAUAAGUGUAAUUCAUUUUUUUUCUUCCGUAAACUGGCUGUGUUUUUUAUUUUAAAUGCAGCAAGGAUCAUAAUGCACAACACUCAUGUUAGAAAGUAUUUUAUUUAACAGGACUAUAUUAUAGAUAAUUCCUAUUUGUUUAUCUUUGCGCUAAGUUUCAUGUAUCAAUGCCUUUGGUGGACUAAUGUUAUUUAGACAAAUGAUGUGGCUGAAUUGGAAGCUAAAUUUGGUAGUGAUAAACGGAAAGCAUUAGUUAUGGGCAAGUCUUCCAAGUUAUUAACAUUUUGGUGAACAAAUUUGUUUGUUUAGCGCGAUUUCUUCCCAUGUACAGAAGUCAAACUAUUACUAUGUAAUAGGUGAAUGACACGAAAGAGGAGAAGAAGUAAUUUGAAGGAAGAGAGGUAUGUUUUUCUCUGUUUUUCUGAGGUAUGCUUCAUAAGUUUUCAUUGUUUAACUUAUUUUAGAUUAAUUGGAUACAAGAUUUAUUGAAAAUUUGUUUGACUUAGACGUGUAUCAUGAUUUUGAUACCAGAGGUGAUUAAAUUCACUUGCUUUGGUAUACGAUGUGGGAAUUACGGAUCUGGGAGAAUGUAUGUGAUGGGAGUUAUAUGCGGGUGCUAACUGAUAUUAAGGUUUCAUUGAUUCCUAAUAUCUUCGCAAUUUUACUUGUCUUCGUCUACCAAAUUUAUUGCCUUUGCAAUUCUUCUUCUUCCUUUUUCUCUGGAAAAAAAUGACGAUGGUCAUGGAGGAUUGGAUUUAGCAUAGUGCCAUGCUUUCAUUUUUAACAUAAUUAUAAGAAAUUAGGGCUCUGGUAGUUUAGGUCCCUACUUCUGAAUUAUGACGUUGUGCUUCAAUGUAGUCGGGUACCCUGCUGCCGUCUCAGCCAUGAGAGUUCAGUACAGAUGAUAAUCUAUUUUUCGAUAAUUCAUUACUUAACCGUGGCUUUCCUCUGUCGGGUGGAUUUCUUAUGUAUAUUUUUUAAAUUCCCAAUUGGGUAGUGUUUUUAAGGUUCUUCUGAUCGUUCCUAACCUCAAAUGGUUGUUUUGUGUGCGUGUGUUUUGUAUACAUAUGGUGCACUGUUUCUUUUUGAGUGCUCAAUCUUUGUUGCAGUUUAUGGUUCUUCAUUUAGAUUUCGCUCGUAAAAAAUGAAGAAAAAUUUGGAAUGAACACAAUCUUUGUCUGAGUGAUAAUUGUUGUAUUAAAUAGUUACUCUAAAAGGGAUUUAGAGUUCUAAUGGGACGUGUGGAUUUGAGAACUUAUGAAUUGCUCAUCUACAAUUAAUAAAUUGGAUCGUUUGUUUACUUGAUUAUUCAAUUCAUUUUCUUUUGGUUUGUUGUGCAAGGGAAAUCUCAUGGAGACGGAAGAGUUGGCUUGGAGAAUGCCAAGAUUUCAAAGGACGACCUCCCUUUCCCUUGCUAAGAAGGAUGAUAAAAGUUACCCUGAAUCUGUAACACCUAUACUUUUUAACACUACCAGAACGUCAGUGCUGGUGGCCAUAUUAAUACAACAUGUUCUACUACAUAUAUUGCGAAUCAUAUGCAAUCGGAGUAUUGUGCUUCAUUGUCUAGCCCUCAAAGCUUACUUCUCAGGCUAGCAUGAAUACAUCAAAGACUUGAAACUUGAAAUGAGCUUUUGAAAUCCGCAGCAACGCAGGGGCUUGAUAAACUCAGUUGAAACAUUGUUUUUGUGAAGCUGAGGUUGUUAAAAAGAAAAAGAAAAAAACCAUAACAGCACUGUCUAUGUUGAACUGUUAAGGAGCAUUUCUCUUUAGUAAUCUGCACUUAAUUAUUGUUUCAUUGAUUUGGUUGUGUGAAUGAAUUACAUUCUUUUUUGUGAGAUUGUUCUGAUCUAAUUUUAGUUAGUUGUUGGUUCAGUAAAGCAAUUGAUAAUUGUUGUACCACUUGCUUGAUCGUUGUUGACUUAAAUAUUGGUGACAUCUGCAUAAGGAGGCUCCAUCACAAAUAGGUCAACAACUACCAUUUGAGAGGCAAGAUUGAGAUCGAGAAAGGGCAUGUUAAGGCGAGAAAAGAAACAGCCUUGUUCAAGGAAAUGGAAAACCAUGUUUAGGAGGUUGAUCUUCUUUCAUCCUACUUUUUCUUCUGCCUUUGAAAAUUUAACUGUUUAUAAAGCCACUACAGUUUCCAGCCUGCACUUUUGGGACAUGUUUCAAAACGUUGUUUGAUUUUACUUUGAAUCUCAAUAAAUAGAGCAAAGAUCAUGUGAUCAUUUUCUGAGUUUAUUUUACAAGGUUUUCACUUUUAGACCGUUCUUGAUUUCAUGAAUUCAUAAUUCUUCUAUAUCUGUUCACUUUCAACAGCUUAUGUUAUGUUCGGAAUGAAGUGAUCUGCACUAAGACUUACCUAAGAUAAGAAUGGUUGUUUCCACACUCUAAUUCACAAGCCAUAUGUGGCCAGAGUUUUGAUGUAAAAAGAAAAUAGAGGCCAUCAGUAUUUGUGUAGUAAUUAGCUUAAUCUAAGUUUCAGCUUAUAUAUGGAUUUGAUAGUGCAAUGUGCAUUGGUUAUAAAUUGGGUGUUUGCUUUGGAAAGGUUGUGAAUUUAGAGAGCUGGUAUAAAAUGGAUUGGGACUGACUAGAUAUGAAAAGUGAAGCUUGGAAAGUGAGUUUUAGGUUUGGUAUACAUGCUGUUGCAUCUAUAUGGAAAGCUUGAUUUUAUCCAAACCAUGAAAUUUUUGAUUCCUCAUGAACCUAUGAGCUGCAGAAUUUGUUCUUACUGUAAGUGCCCAUGUCUAUUUGUGGUCCAAAGUUUAGGAUAUUUACGUACUGAGACUUGACAUUGUUGUCACUGACGAAAAUUAUUGCAGGAGGUUAGAGCACAACAAUAUAUCAGGGGAUGAUCUAUUGCCUCAGUCUUGCAAUGCUGUGAGUAAUUGUUUUUGAAUAUUCUGAUUAUUUUAUAUGUUUAGCGCAGUCUGAUAUAAGAUUUCCCUGACAGGUUAGACAUGCUAAUGUUGUAUUUCCUAAACUUCUAAAAUUUUAGCUGCUGAUUGAAGGUUCAGCUUACUUCAUUGAUGCCCACCUGAUGUUAUCACAACUCCUUUUUCAUGUCUUUUCCAACACCCCAACCCACCCCCCCCCCCCCCCCCCCUUUUUCCCCCUUUUUAGGCUUAUUUUAACUUUUUCUUGCAGUUUUGUUGGAAAUCCUGAUCUUUGUGGCUGUUGGCUCAAUUCUCCGCCUUGAGUUCCGUCCAACAGAGAGGUAGAUAUUAAUGCACAAAGUGGUAGGACUACUCAACUUCUAUGCAUGCAUUUGUUAAUUUAAAAGUGAGAAUCUAUUGCAUGCCUUACAUGGUCAAAAAGUUAGAGUUCUCUAGGAAAUUGGAGCAGGUAAUGAUGUCAUCGAAGUUUUGUAUUGCCAUUCUUAUAGAAUCGUGGACAUCCAACCAAAAUGAUAGUUUAUGAAGUUAUAGAAAUGAGGGAACUGAUGUGUUUAUCAGAUCAAAAAAUAAGGCAUUUUUGGACUAUUACCAGUGUGAGGCAACUAAGUCGAUAUGAAGGUUAAAGAUACGGACCAUAAGUCUAUAUAUAUAUAUAUAUUUUGAAAUGAGUAGUAAUAUUAUUGAUAGCGACUUUUUUGCACCAUCCCUAUAAGUAUUACAUACUAUGUGGGAUGUGAAAUAUAAUUUUAUUUUAUUUUUAUUUUUAUUAAAAAACAAGCUUUAUAUUACGACAAAAACAAAGAACAAGGAGGCGGACAAGGAGACACAAAUAUAAUGGAAAACAAAACAGAAGAUUUACUUCCUUCACGGAAAACAAAACAGAGACACAAAUACACUCACUUUUCCUGGAAAGGUGCUCUCUUUUUUCCUACUAUCAUUUUGGUCUAUUAGAGUCUGCCAUUAACUGUGUUUAAAAUUCUAUUUGGUGAUUAAUGUGCAGCUCUGGAUCUUAAUGGAAAGACAAUCGGGUUUAGAUCCUAUAAAUCUGGUAAGGCAUGCGUCUUUCAAACUGAAUUUUGUUUUCACUUUUAGAUCAGCAAUCCAUUCUUUAAACCAAAAUUAAUUCAAGUGUCUGUUUUGUGGAUUAUCCUGAGGUAAAGAGAUGAACUGAAGAAUGAGGACAAGUUUGACUGAUGGAGUACGAGUUUGAGUAUUAGAGUCGGUACUUACGAUCAGGUAACAACUAACGGUGUUCUGUAUCACUUCAUCUUCUAUCUCCUGUUUUCCAGAUUUCAACUAUUGGUGGACAUGUUUCUAUUUUUUAUAUUUUGGUUUGGUAUCCGUAUGGGUCUCAGUUGUGUGGUUGUGAUUUGUUGGCAGAUGAUGAAUCACUACAUCCUUUGCCUCUUGGUUUCCAGAUUUCAACUAUAGGUGGAUUUGUUUCUUUUUGGGUUUGGUAUCUGUUUGGGUCUUGGUUGUGUGAUUGUGAUUUGCUGCUGAUGAUAAUUACCUGCCUUGUUGUUAUUUUGCCGAGUGUUUUGGUCUAUUGGCCUCAAUGUAUUGGAUGGGUGUUUUUCUUUGAGUUUUUGUUGGUCUCAUGGAUGCGAGAUUAUUAGUUAUGGGUUUUGAAUGUACAUUUUUUUCUAUUGUAAUUGAUUUCUGCUACUGUCGGUUUGUUUGUAGUUUUGAGCAAUCUCACAAUCUUAAUCUUUAUUCAGGCAGAACUAAUCAUUGAAUUUCAUUGAUAGCUUUUGUGACAUUUGCGUCUGUAAACCCGAUUUGUGAUAGUAAUUAUCAAAGUUAUCGAACAAUUUCUGAAUUCGGGUCAAACCAAUCCGCAGAAAGAACAUAGAAAAUUGGAAAAGGCUUCAAUUUCAGGCUCUUGUGGCUUUAUACACAAAUCAUUACUUAAAAUUUUAGUAUAUGUAUCAAGUCAUGCAAAGGGAAGUGUGACAUUUAUGAAUUGUGCAACAGUUCUACUUAAAAACUGUUGGGUUCAUUCAAAUGUUUCCUUAACUUUGGUAAGUAUUUCGCUUCCUUUUUACAUAACUAUUUGGUUUGUUGUUCUGCAUGUGUUUUGGAAUGGGAUUUUAGAUUGAAGGUGGUGCUCUGUUUGUGUGGCUGUAAGGGGGUUAUUAUUUUCCAGGUGUGCUUACUUCUCUUGAGUUUGUUAUUUCGUUUUUUAUAUUGUGAAUUUGAAUUUUGAUCUUCUUUGCUCUCUUUUUGAAAUCCGAACUGUUUUUGAUCUAUGUUGAUCUCUUUCCGAUUGUGACAAAAUUUGCUUUUCAAUUUUUGGUGAGUUUUGUGGUUUCAGGUUAUGUAUGAAUUUGAUAGUGCAUUGAGCAUUGGUUAAAAAUUGGGUGUUUGCUUUGGAAAUGUAAGAUGCACUUAAAUAUAUAAAUAGUAAGUUUAUUUGAUGCUAUAUGUAAGAUGCACUUGAAUAUAUGAAUAGUUGCCUACUGAAAUGUUACAUAUCAACAUGGAUUUUUCAACUAGGUCAUGAUCUUCAAUUUCAGUAUCGCUUUGCAAUUUAUUCCUUUCAUUUGUACAGGGUGUCAAUGCUGCUGGGGUACGGUCUCAGCAAGAGGCUUAAAAGCAUCGAUUUCUUUUUUUUAAGGUUCAUAAGUUGAUUGCUUCUUUACUUUUGUUUUUCAGUAUUGUAAAGGGUAAAAAAAGAAAAAAAAACUUAGUGUUUGCCUUUAAUUGUGCUUAAAAUUCUAUUUGGUGAUUAAUGUGCAGCUCUGGAUCUUAGUGGAAAGACAAUUGGGUUUAGAUCCUAUAAAUCUGGUAAGGAAUGCGUCUUUCAAACUGAAUUUUGUUUUCACUUUUAGAUCUGCAAUCCUUUCGUUUGACAAAAAUUAAUUCAAAUAUCUGUUUUUUGGAUUAUCAUGAGGUAAAUGAAUGAACUAAAGAAUGAGUACAAGUUUGACUGAAGGAGUAGGAGUUUGAGUAUUGGAGUCAGUACUUACGACCAGGUAACAACUAACGCUGUUCUGCAUCACUUCAUCUUCUAUCUCGCGGUUUCCAGAUUUCAACUUUUGGUGGACAUGUUUCUAUUUUUUAUAUUUUGGUUUUGUAUCCGUAUGGGUCUCAGUUGUGUGGUUGUGAUUUGUUGGCAGAUGAUGAAUCACUACAUCCUCUGCCUGUCGGUUUCCAGAUUUCAACUAUAGGUGGAUUUGUUUCUUUUUUUGGUUUGGUAUCUGUUUGGGCCUCAGUUGUGUGAUUGUGAUUUGCUGCUGAUGAUAAUUACCUGCCCUAUUGUUAUUUUACCGAGUGUUUUGCUCUAUUGGCCUCAAUGUAUUGGAUGGGUGUUUUGCUUUGAGUUUUUGUUGGUCUCAUGGAUGCGAGAUUAUCAGUUAUGGGUUUUGAAUGUACAUUUUUCUAUUGUAAUUGAUUUCAGCUACUGUCGGUUUGUUUGUAGUUUUGAGCAAUCUCACAAUCUUAAUAUUUAUUCAGACAGAACUAAUCAUUGAAUUUCAUUGGUAGCUUUUGUGACAUUUGCUUUAGAUACGAAAUUUUGAUAUGAAGUCUGUAAACCCGAUUUGUGAUAGUAAUUAUCAAUGAUAUCGAACAAUUUCUGAAUUCGGACCAAACCAAUCAGCAGAAAGAACAUAGAAAAUUGGAAAGAGCUUCAAUUUCAAGCUCUUGGGCUUUAUACACAAAUCAUUUCUUAAAAUGUUAUUACAUGUAUCAAGACAUGCCAAGGGAAGUGUGACAUUUUGGAGUUGUGCAACAGUUGUACUUAAAAACUGUUGGGUUCACUCGAAUGUUUCCUUAACUUUGAUAAGUAUUUCGCUUCUUUUUUACUUUAACUGUUUGGUUUGUUGUUCUGCAUGUGUUUUGGAAUUGGCUUUUAGAUUGAAGGUGGUGCUCUGUUUGUGUGGCUGUAAAGGGGUUAUAUUUUUCCAGGUGUGCUUACUUCCCCUGAAUUUGUUAUUUCGUUUUUUAUAUUAUGAAUUUGAAUUUUGAUCUUCUUUGCUCUCUUUUUGAAAUCCGAAAUGUUUUUGAUCUAUGUUGAUCUCUUUCCGAUCGUGACAAAAUUUGCAGCGUAUCAUCAGCAAGAAUAGGGAAGGCAAAUCUGGAUUUUCGGGUUACAGGUAAAAUUAUUGAUAAAUUUUCUUUCAAAUCUCAUCGUCAUUGUUUAUCUAGAAUCAUUUUGGGGGUUUAUUAGGUGAAGGAAAUAGUUAUUGUAUUAAAGCAUGUUGCUUUUCAAUUUUUGUUGAGUUUUGUGGUUUCAGGUUAUGUGUGGAUUUGAUAGUGCAAUGUGCAUUGGUUAAAAAUUGGGUGUUUGCUUUGGAAAUUUAAGAUGCACUUAAAUAUAUGAAUAGUAAGUUUAUUUGAUGCUAUAUGUAAGAUGCAAUUGAGCUAUAAAAAAUCUCUUAUUUGUUGCUCUCCUAAUACCUGCAAAGAAAUUUCUUCGGAUAUCAGUAGAACUUGUGGCUCUCCUCUAACUAAUGAUCUUGGAAAAUAUUUAGGCAUGCCUUUUAUUCACUCUUGGGUGAACAAAAAUACUUAUUCAUGUAUUUUUUACAAAGUGCAAAAUAGGAUGUCUAGUUGGUAGAGUAAGGUGCUUAAUAUGGCUGGAAGAUUAACUUUAAUUGAAUCUGUUACUUCUUCUAUUCCCAUAUAUGAUUUGCAGACUGUUAAUCUGCCUAUUAGUCUCUGUCACAAAUAGACUUUCUUUGGGGAGACACAGAAACUCAGAAGAAAAUUCAUCUGGUGAAUUGGGAUUCUGUUUGUCAGCCUAAAUAUAUUGGUGGUCUUGGUAUUAAGAAAACCUCUGAAAUGAAUCAAGCUAUGUUGGCAAAAGCAAGUUGGAGAUUGUUUCAAAGGGAUAAUGGUCUUUGGGCUUCUAUUUAUACUAGCAAGUAUAUACAAGACCACAAUCUUUUUUAUGAUUCUUAUAAGCCUCCUGCUGAUUGCUCUAAUACUUGGAGAAGUGUUGCUUAUGGUGCAAGUUUACUUAGGGAAAUCUUAUUUGGCGUGUUGGUAAUGGUAAAGACUGCCUGAUUUUGGGUGGAUAACUGGUGCUCUCGGUCUUAUUAAUUGUCAUUUGUCCUGCUGAUAUUAACAUUGAUGCUACCAUUUGUGAAUUUUGGAAAGACCUUGGGACGUUGAUUUGUUAAGUUCCUUACCCCCUGGUGAUAUAUAUAUAUAUAUAUAUAUAUAUAUAUAUAUAUAUAUAUAUUGGUAUAAAUGAGCAAUAGGCCCAGAAAGAAACAACUAACACAACAUUGAGGAAGCAGAUGCCUUUAGCAUUGAAAGUGCUAUUCUUAGCCAACAAGUCAGCGGCCAUAUUUCUUUCUUGAUGAAUGUGCUUAACCUGGACUGAUUCGAAGUGCUGCAACAUUGAUCUGCAGUUUGUCACAAUUGUACCCAAGGGGUGAAGCUCCAUAUCAGAAUUCUGCUAAAGGUUAACAAGAACAGCAGAAUCUGAUUCUACCUCUAACUUGGAAAUCUUCAUGUUCAAAGCCAUUUGAAUGCCAUAAAAAAGACCCUAGGCCUCAGCUUGUAAAACAUCUCCAGUACCAAUAUUAAUCAUGAAACCACCACUCCAACAGCCAGUGCUAUCCUUUGUAACUCCUCCUAAACUCAUCUCACCAGACCUGGUCCUUGAACCAUCCGCAUUUAAUUUGUGAAAUCCAACAGCCUGGUUUAAUCCAUGAUAAAGCCUCCACAUGCCCCUAUCAUUUGCGCUUUGGACUUGGCAGAAGCAUAGCUAAGAAUAAUAUCAGCAGUAUUGUAAGGGUACUGGAUUUCCUCAAAAAUACCCUUGCAUUUCCACUUCCAUAGAAACCAGCAGGAGAAAAUAAAGAAGAUAUUUCAAUUCAGAUUAUUAAUAUGGCAGCCAUCUUGCAUUAGAUUAACAAAAAGCCAAUCAUCCCAAUUCAAAGUAAAGACAUUCCACAUAUUGGUAGGAAUGUUGAAGGAGCUCCACACCAUCAUAGCCAUAGGACAGUCACGAAACAGGUGGAUCAUAGUCUCAGGAGUAUCCUGACAAUGAUGACAAGAACUCCCAGAAAGUCAUCUAUUGAAUCUCUGCACAUUAGUUAGAAUCUUACUAAAGACAAAAGUCCAAAGCAAAAUCUCAAGCUUGGGAGGGAUAUUAAUAGACCAGUUCUUCAGCCAGGGACAAUUUUCAAUGCCAUGAUCAUCAUAGAGAAGCUUAUAAGCAAACUUAAUUGUAAAAUUUUCAGAAGGGGUUCCUCCCCAAAUGAUAGUCCUGCAAAUCACAAGUAGAAAUUGGAAUAGCAGAGUAAUGAUGUCUACAACUUCAGAAGGUAAAGAAUUUAGGAGUAAAGAACUAUUCCACAUUUUGUCAACCCGGAAAUCAUAGCAUUCAAAUCAAUACUGGCACAAUCCGUAAAUCAGCUAAAAUACCAUUGUGACCAUUUGUUAACCCAGAAUUUAGCAACAAACACAAUACCGGACCUAGCAUGGAAGCAGUUUGUAGGAUUCUUAUAAUUUUCAUGGAGACUCCUACUUAAAUGUAUUAUUAUACAUGAUUAAAAAAGAAACCAUGUUGUUUAUGUAGGAAAAUAUCAAAUCAAAUCAAGAAAGACUCGUCUAAAAUAAACUCUUUUCUUGCCAAAGAUUGCCCAAAAAUACCCUAAUCGUUAAUGAAUCCCCUAAUUUCCCUUUUAAUUAAAAUUAAUUAAUUAACAAGGGCAAAACCACGGAGACCAUUUAUAACGUUUGCCCAUGACAUAAUAACCAACCGAAGUCGUCAGGAAAGGUUUCAAAAAAGGUCAAUGCCCACUAGUCCUAAUUUUAAGAAUUUUUUUCUCACCAACAAAAUCAGAUUUUUAAAAGGUUAAUGCUCAUUAUCCCUAUUUUUAAGAAUUUUAUUCCCACCAACAAAAUCAGAAUUUUAAAUUCUCAAUAGCCAAUUUAAACAAGAAAAAGACAAUUAUACUCUUAAUAAAUUAAAUAAACUAUAAUAGACCACUAUAAGAACAAUAGAGGGUCUAUUCUAAAAUUGUAAAAUAAAGAUUCAAUGACCUUUGACCGGACACUGGCGACCGUUAACUAUAUUUUGACUACUAUUGAUCGGACUUUGGUGACUGUUGAUCAGAUUUCGGUGACCGUUGACCGAAUUCCGACGAUGGUGUCUAUUGGGGGUAGUAAAGAGGUCUAUUGAGGGCAUUAGGGGGUCUGUCAAGAUGUCUAUUGAGGGUAGUAGGGGUCUAUUGGGGGUAGUAGGGUGUCUUUAGGGUUAACAGAGAGUCUAUUAAGGGUAGUAGAGGUCCUAUUGGGGGCAAUAAGGUGUCUUUCGGGAGGCCUAUUAGGAGCAGUAAGGGGUCUAUUAGGGGUAACAGAGAGUCUAUUGGAGGCAGUAGAGGAGUCUAUUGAUGGCAAUAUCUAAAAGAUAAAAGUAAAAAAGACUAUUGCAAUUGUAUAUUUUUUUCUUUACAGUGUGUUAAUUAACUCAUUUUAGGAUGAAAGUGCAAGUUGAGCCCAAGUCCAUAGGCGGAGUCAGAAACUAGAAAUGAGGGGUGCCAUCAUUAACAAAUUUCUUCAAUUCAGCUAGAAUUCAAAGGCCAAAUACAUGUAAAGCCAAAAUUUUGAGGGGUGCCAUGACACCCUUUGAUCUAUAUGUACCUCCGCCUAUGCCCAAGUCAAAGAACAUGCGUUAAGCUCAAGCAACACCGAUGUGUCAAUUUUGCUAUCGAACAUAAUUGUUUUCCAACUUUCAAAAUCACUUUAACUAAACAUAAUAAUCUUAGAGCCAGCAUCAUGUUUUCUCAUUCAAGUAGGUGAAUCAACUCUCAACUUGAAAACAAAAAUAUGAAUACAAAAAGACAUACAUAAGCACAGCAAUGAAAGAUUGACACAAGAAUAAGCAUAGCAGAGACUUGAAAUCCAACCAUUCCAUUAUCAUAUAGCUAUUUAUAAGUCUAGAAAUAUACAUCUGAUGAUACCAUGUAUGGUCAAUUAGAGAGGCAUAUCCAUCUAAUUUAACUAUAUACUAUAGCAUGGUCGAUUGUUCACAAGCAUGUGAACAGUUAAACCUUUUUUUUUUUUUUUUCAAAAUAGGUAAUUUAGAUUUUUGUAAAUAGGCUCUCUCGGCAAAGAAUUUUUUGCCCUCCAUUUUUGACUUUUCUUCUGCCUCCUGAAUCUUCCGGAUUGAUCUUGUCUCUUCAGACCUCAGACCUCCUUUAUUUUUAUUUCUCUUAUCUCUCUGUCUUUGCAUCUCAGAGAAUAUUGCCGAUUCGUUUCAUUUCUUUCACUAUUGUUCCGUUUUGUGCCUAUAUACUAUUACUUGGUUAACUAUUUAUAAACACUGUAAACUCGGACCUUUUUACCCUGCUGAUGGGCUAUGUAAUUCCGUAUUUACCCUUCGUUUCAACUCUAGGUAUAAUUUUUUUUUCCGCCGCUUCUCGCUCUCUCUCUCGCCCAACAUUUUUUUAUCUUUCUCACACUCUCUUGACUCUUCUCGAACUAGCUCCAACAUUUCUCACAAAACAUAAGAGUCUAGACAUAUUAAUAUAUUACCGUGAUAAUUUAUUACCCCGUUGUUUUACGGAACUAUUUCUGUCAUUUUCUUUUCUGCUUUGUACACGUACAAAUCAAAACAAUUGGAGCAUUUAUAUUUUGGGUAGAACACAAGACUGGCUAUAUAUUUUGUUAUAUAAAUGUUGUUUUUGUGAUAACUCUUAUACAUAUGUGGAAUAUGCAAAAUAUGGAUAUUACACUGUGCCAAGGUGCGGGUAUCAACUCUAGUAAUACCAUGAAGAGAAGGACACGAGUCACACUCCUCUCUCUAUACACCCGAAUUUCAAAGCUGCUCAUUCAAUCACUAAGGCCCACUCUCUUCAAUUUCAUCCUUAGAAAAAGCGAUCUCGAUGGUUCUUUUCUUCUUCUCCAUGCCCAACCUUCCACCAAGCCCCUCAACCUCAUCUACUUCCGCAUCGGCUGCUCACUCUAUUUUGGCUUAUAGUUGUUUUACGUCAUUUUGAAAUAUCAAAUGAUUAUGAAAUUAGUUGAAAUUUUGUAAAUAUGUUUUUUGCAUAUGAAUUUAGAGGAUUAGCGGUUAAAAUCGUUAAAUGAAGUUAUUAUUUUUGUAAAAUAAUAAAGAGAGAAAUUCGUCUGAAUGAUAUAUGAAUUUUUGCUCCUUAUAAACGUUGAUAUAUCAAGUUUUGAAAAUAUCAUUUCGGUAUCUCAUGUUUCGACCUAAGAUUGGUAUAUAUAGAAUGACCAAUUUACCCAUUAAGUUUUUUUUUCCUUAUUUUUUUAUAUUUGUUUUCACAUUCCAGAAAUAUUAAAAGAGGUUUUGGAAUUUGAUGAUUUGGGUUGACCUUUAUAAAUUUGAAGAAGAUUGAAGAGGGGAAACAUACAGAAGUUUAAUCCUUAUUGUUUCCGCUGACACUCAAAGAUCUUGUUGUUGCCGUUGACAUUUAAGGAUGAUUGAGAUGAAGAACUGAUUAUUAAUAGGGAGAAAGUGACGAUGAAUUUUUCUCUACGUUCCUAAAAUUAUAAAAAGCCAAAAAAAAAAUUGGAAUAUGAAAACAAAGAAGAAAAACUAAGCAAAAAAAAAAAUUUAAGGGUAAAUUUGUCAUUUUCUUUUUGGUAUAUAUACCAAUCUUAGGUCGGGAUGAAAACAUGAGAUACCAAUAUGAUAUUUUUAAAACUUGAUAUACCAAAGAUUAUAAGGAGCAAAAGUUCGUAUACCAUUUAGACGAAUUUCUCCAAGGUAAAAUGUACUGUGACUUUAUUUUAGUUGAAGUGGAUAACUCAAUUUCUAAAGAUAUCAAGAUUGAGGAGAUCUAGAAACAUGUUUACUUUCAAGUUUCAUUUAAAGACGACGAAGUAAACUGCAAUUGUUGUCUCUUUCAGUUUGGAUGUAUAUUAUGCAGGCAUGUAAUAUAUGUUUUGAUUUGUCAUAAGAAAACAGGAUUCUAAAUAAAAAAAAUUAUGAGAAGAUGGAGGACAUAUGUGAAGAGAUGUCACACAAGGGUUAAAUUAAAUCAGUUAUGGCGGAUGAGCUAUUAGACCUGAAUCACAAAGGCUCGAUAAGAUACAUAAGAACUUCGAUGACAUUAAGAAAUUAGCAUAUCAUUCUGAAGUAAGUGCAUGAUUGUUUUGACUUGCUUGUACAACCUAAAUUAAGGAUGAGGUAUCCAAAAAUGAGUCCAAGAACUCUAAUGUACGUUUAUGGUGGUGCAUGCUUUCCAAACCAGGUAAUGGAAGUCUAUUUUCUUUUUAAUUCUCCGUAUUAUUUGGUUUUCACCAAUUAAGGUCUUUAGGUGACUAAUAGUACUGUUACAUGAGAAUUAAAUAAAUGUAGUUGGAAGUCAAUUGUAGUAGCUAGGUUUGAUUUGUGCACACUUGCAAUGAGGACAAACUGUUAUUAUUUGAACAAAACGACAAUAAAUGCAUUGUACAUGUGGACAAGAAUAACCAAUAAAACUAUCGAUCUUUUACUAAAAAAAACAUUAGCUUAACAAGUUUGUAUGAGCAGAAUAUUUCUUACAAAAAUGGUAUGAAUUGAAUGUGUUAGCUAGGCUAUUAGAGAAUGUAAAUGUCUGUUUAUAUUUUUAAGAUACACGGUGACAGUGCCAUGCAGAAACUGAAAGAAGAUACCUAUCUUGCCAUCCUAGAGAAAGUGUCCUUCCAUCAUCUCUUUCAAAAACCCUGAAGCCAGCUGCAGUACUGCUACCAUUACUACCGUCUCCUUCAAAUUGAAGGGGACAAUAAUGGGUCCUAAUUUUCAAGAGAAGUCUAGCUUGGAUCUUGGACUUGGAGCUUAGAUUGACUCCUUCAAAACCAUGACUCUCCAUCCUCGCUUUCCAUGUCUCCGUCGACUUUUCUGUUUUACGAUCCUCCAUAAUAUUGUCGUAGUUGAGCAUGCUUUUGAUCUCCUUCCCCAGAUGGUUCUUCUCGAUUCUCAGCCUCUCCGUGCUCUCUAGCGGUAAGCAAUCAUCUAAGGAAUCAAACAUGGCUGCAAAAUAAUGCAAAGACUCCAUGAAUCUCGACAAGAAACUUCGAGGACUUCUGCUUCCUUCUUGUUCAACCAACAUUACAAUCGAAGGGUUAAGUAAAUGUACAGAUUUUAACGAGUCGGAUAUCUUGAUAUCAUUGUUCAAGCUGUUCAAAUGAAAAACCAAAUUCACCGCAAUUGUUUCAUUUCUCUUCUUCCUCAAGUUUAUGAGAUUUGAGCCAUGCAAUAAUCCUUGGAAUUCAAAGACGAGGUUGCGACAUCCCUUGGAAAAGCUGAGCAAUCUAUUCUCCGUCUCCCGCAGUUCGUCCAAGCUUCUUCCAAACCCUGUAAUCCUAAGGGAUAUCCGACUGCCACUGCUUCCCUUUUCGGAAAGAGAUUGUAUCAAUGAAGGCCAUUGAAAGCCAUAGGAGACGUCGAAAUCGAUUACAUGCAAGGAACGGUUGUUCUUGUCUUCUUCUUUCUCAAAUGCCUCGAUUAUGGCCUGGUUGGCUGUAAAAUGAGCAAACUGGUAGUAGGGGGAAACCCGGUAGAGAGCAGUGAAGGCUACAAACUCUUCCUCAUGCGUUGGCUCCUUGGAAAUCAUGUCGAAGAAUGGUGAUUUUCGGGUGAGAAGCCUCGCUGCCAAGCCAUCUGCAAAGUAAGCCACAACUCGUUGCACUGAGUCGCCGCACAAGGAAACACUUUUAUACAACUCUGUAAGAUUCUCGAAAGCUGAGCUCACAUUGUUUUCAUUUACGGCAGUGGCUGUUAUGAGCAACAUGCGGAUUAAUUGGAGGCCUUUACCAUCUAAUUCAUCAACAAUAUCAUUACCUGCUCCUCCUCGUUUCUUCUUGUGCUCUAGUUUUAACAUUUGUUCCCUCAUUUGAAGAAGACUGAAUAUCUUCCCCUCACAACCUUCAUAUGAUGAUGAACUGAAAUCGCUGCUAGUAGUAUUAUCCCUUCUCUUUCUCUUUUUCAUUCUUUCACCGCCUGAGUUUGUAACAAUUGCAAGGCUGAGAUUCAAAAGCUCAUCCCCCUCCUCGUCUAUAUCUUCCAUACUAUUACUUCUCUCGAUCUCUCACUCUCGGACAAAUGAAUUAAUAUGAGAAAACUGAAUAAUAUACAGUAGAUGGAUGAAGUGGAUUGAGGGCAUUAAGAGAUGAGGGAUGGAAGACCUUUUAUGGAAGCAGGAAGCAGGAGAGGGUGGGAUGGAAUAUGUCAUGAUGAAAAUUCCUUUGUGUCAUUACAUGUGAAUGGAACAAAAGACAAAAGACAAGAGAGAUAUUGAAGAAUAUAACUUUUAUUUUCUUUAUGUUCUUUUCAUUAAACCUAUAGAGAGACAAGAUGCAUAAAUGGGUAUCUUUAUAUUCUCUAGAAUCAGUGUCAUAUAUAGCUAGCUUAGCUAGGUCAAGAAAACAAAUUGAUCUUUAAUCUUUUCUUUUCUUUUCUUCUUGGGUGUCAUUUUAUUAUUGAGGCUGCUCUUUGGAGGGUUAGGAAAAUGUUUGAUUUCUGGUGCUUAAUUUAUAAUGAUCCGUCGGGUAGUUCGGUGGAGGAAGAAGAUGCCGUACGCAUUGGACAAAAAAAAGCAGCGGGAAAAUUCGGGGUAUCAGAACCUACCGUCCUUGAACAAUUGAUUUGUCCUCUCUUAUCAAAAGAAUUCAAACAAAAAGAAAAAAAAUCGUCGUCAUUGUUUUUUUGCUUCUAGAGACAACAAUAUUCUCUUUCACUUGCUUGGUUUCCUUUUCUUGAUUCUGAAAAUGACUGCCAUUUGGAUGCUAAGAGAAAAUUAAUUUGUCAAAUUUAGGGUAAUGAUGCUCUAAAACAAGACUAGCUAAGUAAACUAAUGAGAGUGUGCAUGUUGGAGGUGUUAGCUAAGUGCCAAGUUAGCUUCUAUUUGAAAGGACCGCUACUUGUUCGUUAUUAAUAACCAAGGAUGCUCCCAUUCUUGCAAAGUAUCUAGUCCGACGUAUAUAACAAGAUAUCUUGAUCACCUUUGGUAUGUCGUUAUUAAUUAUGCUCUUUCGUGUUGCAAGAAUCUACACUCUUCAAUCUUUGGAACGAAGUUUUAGUGAUCAAUAAUGUACCAAAAGCUUUUUACUUUCUAUCACUGUGUAUAGUACAGUAUAGUCUUAUAUUGGAUACAAUGCUUGUACUUACCACUAUUUGUUACCAGUUGCUGGGUUUGGUUGUACUUGAUCUCUUAUCUUUGAAUUGGUUUAGUGUGAGUUUGAUCGUUUGUUCUCCGAACGAAAUAAGAUUUCUUGUGUAUAAGACAACAUUGUACCGUAAAGUCUUUAGAAAUUUUAUAGCAUUAAUUCAAUAAUAUAUCCUUGACUUGUUCAAAAGUUUGGCCGCAUGUUUCACACAUGUUCUUAAUUUGAGCUGAAUUUGUGUGUGUGUAUAUAUAUAUAUGAAGUAAUAGAUAUUGUAUCGUAGAAGCAUGUGAAUAUAAAAACUAGCUAUAGCGAUGUCUUCGAACAAAAAAGGGAUCAAAUAGCAGUGGAAAGAACAAAUUAGCUGGAGAAUUCACCUCUAGUUUUCUUGGAAAUAGCUGUUUGAACAAGUCCAACUGAAGACUCCGAUCCUAAAACUUCACAUAAAACAUGGAGGCAUAUAUAUUGAAGCUCUCUCGGUACGUUGUCUUGGUUAUGGAGGACAUGUAAAGCUUGUUUAAUGAAAUAGAAUAUUGGCCCAUAACUUAUAUUUAGCACAUACGAAAAUGCCAAAAUAUAAUGCACCUAGAUUAUUGUUUUGGUACAAGUAAGCAGAUUAGAUUCUGUUGGAUGAACUAUCAUGAAGUUGACAUAUGGCAAACUCUAGGAUGCUCGAUCUCUAGGUCUAAUAUAAUUUGGUUUACAUGCCUCUUCCAAGGACAGUCUCCUGAAGAACGGCAUGCAGUCUUCAAACAUUUUACAGAUACUACUGGCCGGGUUUCUGUAAACAAGGGCUUGUAAAUAAUAACAAUACCACUGAGCCAGCUAAUGCUAGAGAAAUCGGGAUUGUGUUUUUAGUAGGUAUGCUUGUUUUUUGAAUACUGUCGACCUAGUAUUCAAGAUUAAAAGUCCUCAGAUUGAGCUUUGAGUUCGGUAUCAGACGACACUAUUGUAUUCGAGUUAGUCGUAAAACACCAAUUUACCUGCGUGUGUGUUUUAAUCUCAGAGGGACAAUAGGCUGGUCUUGUUAUCAUAUAUGGGGGUAGCAAGGCUAAAGACAAUUUUUUUAUUUCUAGCAUGGCAACUAAACCAAGUAAGAAUGAGAAUACGAGGGAAGAAUUAUUUGAGUUAUGAUAUGUUAAGUAUGUCGAUAAAUACAUCACCCAAAAAACAAAAAACAAAAACAGCCAAUUGAUGAAUGAUUGGUUAAUUGGUUCCAGUCAAAACAAGUAAGCUGCAACCAUAUUUGUUAAAUAGUUGGGCAAUAAUGAUCUACAGCCUCAUAAUUCAUAUAUCCUCAUUCCAGCUUAGUAUCGAUGCAAAUGACCAUUUCUUUUUUCUCUUUUGUCUAAUAUGAACCGACUGAAUUAGGCCUAAUGUUUUAGACUUUUGGGUUCGGUAAACCAAGUUUUGGUAACAUAUGCUCACAAAUUAGCCGUCGAUUUUCUUUGUAAAGGACACGAUUCACGAUUGCAUUGUUGGGUUCCAUAGACCCAAAUAUCCUAGUUUUCUCUAUUUUCACCCAAAACGAUUACAUUGGGUUUUGCAACCUAAUCAUAGGUUUUACAUAAUACACAGGUGAUGCUAGUCAUGUAUUCAGCAGUAUUGUUUAUUUAUUUAAAUGGGAUCGAGAACCUACACGUAGCAUACAAGGGUAAUGUAAACAGCACGUCCUUAUCUUUUGAGGAUAGCACCAGGUAAGACACUUCUGCGCUUCUUUUGCAAUGCAAUCUGGAGGACAGAACCAACCACUGGCCAACUUGUCACAAUAGCAAUAUAAACAAGCAACCAUAACGACCACCUACUCUGUCGAGAUAGCAGAUCUAAGCAUCUUCUAACACGAGCAGUUACACCAAGAGGCGUAGUAGCUUGUUGAGAAGAUUGUACCAUAGAAGCUAAAGAAUCCGAAUCAGACUUUGGCUGUGGCCUCUGUUCAUCUUGCUCAACUGAUAUUUUUCCUUCUCCUGGUUCAUGUACAUCUUCUACCCUAUUCUCUUCUAUCUGUUCAUUUCCCACUGCAGCAACCAUUCCAUCUUCUGCAAUGUUUACAUAGGGACCCUGAUCUAUUGAAGAGUCCACAAUUAAUGGUGGGUUAGAACUUGCCACCUGGAAACACAAGAAAUGUAACAAUAUUAUUAACCUGCAAAAUUUAACCAGUAUGCUGCAGCAUGACAACAAGUAGAUCACAAAGUUAUAAGAACAUUAGUUCCAAUAACUUGUCAGCAACAAUUCAAUGUUCGACAGUAUCUCAACCAACAUACACCAACUACUAUUUCAUUAGGCAUUUGAAAUGAUGUGAAAAUAAAUUUAUACCUUCUUUACAUGCAUAUGUUGACUACUAUGUAAAACUUUUAAAAAUUCAUCCACAGCUCUUACCCACCUGCAAGGAAAAAAAUAAUACACCAACAAAUUUCAGAAGGGAAUUUCUGAUGCACUUUCCUUGAUAAAUGCACAAGUAGAGACGCCAUACAAUUGCCAACUUCAUGGAAAUGACUAUAAUAACCUUUGGGUCCAUGACCUUUAUGUGAUCAAUAGCAUUCCAGAUGUAAAAUGGGAAUGAGCUAUAUAGAUGUGCACAGAAACUGGAAAUAAGGUGCUAAAGUAGAGAUGAUCCAAAGUACCAGGACAAAAUGUGAUUUAACAGAACGAUCACACAGAACCAACAUGGGCAGCUUUGCAGGACAAAGAUGCUAUGGAAUACUAAAGGCAGGGCUAGACACUUAAAAAAAACUUGUAAAAUAACUGUGUAAUGGAAAACCCCCAAUCAACUUGGCUCUCCGAACUAAAAAGAGAGACAGCUUUGAUCUUAUUUAAUCCUUUAAAUGGUAUUUGCUAUCAGAGAAUUUGUUUACCAUAUAUGUCAAGUCAUCAGAUAAAGUGAGUUGAUGGAUGCAAACGGAGUAUGGCAUCCAAGUUGAAGAAACAACUACAACUUUUCAUAGAUGAGGCACUUAAUUGAAUUGAAUUAACCCUAAACUUCAUAUUAUGAACUGUUCAAAAGAUAUUUUCUUACCAUGAAACCAUACCAGAUAUUUCUCUUAGUUUUGGUUCUGGAAAAUGAAAAACCAUUUUGUAAAACAAUACUAAAAACUCUAUGAAUUACCAGAUAAAAACAGACAAAAGCUAGUGCAUCCUAAUAAUAUGGAGACAUUACCAGAUGCCAGCUGCAGUUAAUCCUUCAAAGAAAGCCAAGUGUCCUCCACGCUCUGUGGUAGCCAAUACAAUAUUUGUGUUUGCCCUAUUGAAAACAGAUGUCAAACAUGCACUUAAAUUAUGUGGAAAAGAGUGAUGAAAGAAAGAAAACAAUAUCUGGCAUAUUAAAAGAAACUCCACCUGCAUUCAUCCCAAGGAAUGGCUUCCCUAGUACAAACUGGAUCAUCCAAAGCACUUAUACAGAGUAGUGGCACUGACACAUUUCCUACGUAACUAGCACUGCUACAACGCCUGUAAUAUGUGUCCACAGUCUGGCACAACAGCAAACUCAACUUAAUCACACAAUUAAAUUCUGCUGAGCAAGAAAAAAUGGUAAAUCAUGUGCAUUAGUACCUCAAAUUUCCCAACGAGUCGGGUUGCAUGAUGGUCAAAAUCACGAAUAGAACGCGACUUUUGAAAUCCAAGAUAACAACAAAGCAAACAUUAGUAACGGCAGAGCAUGUGUCACUAUACACUCAAUGUUUCAACACUAAAAUAUAUUAAACACAACUGAAAUGUUUUCUCUUGGUCCAAGCUCAUCCCAUGAGACGUGAAUGGUAUAAAUCAAAUUUUUCAAAAGGGGGCAUGCCACAGGCAUGAAUCUGGACGCUGGGGCAUAUAAUUUCCAUGCCCAGGUGCUGCUCUUGAACAAGACAGCUGCCUUUUUAUUCAUUAAGCUGGUCAUAAUUUCGAAGUUCAUAGACAUUUUUUAAUGUUAUUUUUUAAAAAUUUGUUAUAUAUUUGACACUAUUACUCAAGUUUCAUCAAGUCAAGGACCGCUGGAACAAAAAUCAAAGAAAAAGGAAUCUAGCCAAUGAAAGGAGAAAGAAAAAGAACAAUGAAUACUGAAUAUUCAAAGCCAAUUACAAAAUGAAAGGAUAAAAGAAAAUGGAAAGCUAAUUACCAAAUAUUCUAAGCUAAUUACGCACGCUCAUUAUGUUCUUACAUUACCAUCAUAUGCAUCUACUUUUACCAAGCACAAAAGCAUAAAACUGGACAAUUCCCAACAUUUUUCCCUUUGAUAAGAAGUGGAAGAGAAAAAUAGAACCAAAAACCAACAGGUGUGGCCAAGGUAACAGCAAUAAGAAACAAAAGAAUCCACAGAACAUAACGAAAACAUACUACUGCACCCUUCCACUCUAGAUUGAUUAAGGAGAUAGUACACUGUUUGGACUUAACAAAGUCUUAAGCCCACAUGGCCGACAAGAACCUAACUUUAUUCCAAAGGUCCUCCCUGACUACCUCCCCUUUCCAUAGUCUUCAAAAACUGACAACUAACUGUUUCAGUGACAAAGAUGAAAGAGAACGUACCGUAAGUAGUUGGAUAAUCUGUGGGAUAGGAGUGAAUUCUUUGCUUCUUUAUGGGCUUUAGUAGAAUUAUAGCAUAUUUCUUUGAUGCCAUUUGUUUCAAAAUUGGAAUGCAGCUGUUAUCUACAGCCUAAAGUCUGGGGCUAUGGUGUUGUUUCUGGCUUUUGUUGGGUUGUUUAGUUCGUAGCUUUCUAAUCUAGUGGAUUUUCAAUGCAUUACUUCCUUAAUUAAUUCUGGUCUCCAGCCAAGAAAAAUGAAUAAAUAAAAGAAUCAUUCUAAACAUUUAUUGUUGGUGAAACCUCUGUUUCUGGAAGUGUCAAAUUAUCAAGCCUCCAACUAUUAAAUGCUCCUCUGAGAUUAAUGCUGGGGAUUAAAAAUUAAGAAUGUUGGAACACUUACCUUUUUUAUACCUUCCCAAUUAGCGAGGCGAGAAUAAAUAGGCUGGUGUCUGCAAUAAACAAUUUAAAAAAACAUAUUCAAAUAAACAUUGUUCGAUAAUCAAAACUUUUGAGGUAUUCAAGAAAUGACAUACGAGUAUGUAUGUAACAUAUGUAAGUAGGAAUGAAGCAUAUAAAGUGAUGCAGGAGAUCCAAAGUUUACUAAAUUAAUUAGGAGUUUAUUAUCUUUUAUUAUUUUCUUUAUUAUGUUUUAUUAUUCCUAAGUCUUUUUAGGUUCCUGUUUUUACUAGGGUUUGCUAUUGCCUAUAUAUCUAGCCUUUUAGAAUCUUGCAAGUCAGCUUUGUUAUUUUGAAUAAAAUUAUACAUAGAGUUUCUUUGGAACGUUCUGCCCUAGAACUCAAUAUAUCGUUCCUACUUUAAUCCUACGGCAAAUAUCUCUAUCAUAUCGUUUAUUUUUCCCUUGAUAUCUUCGUUCUCAAGAAUUUUACCCCUGAUCUAGCUGCAACACAGAAACUUUCAGUUUCUGCCCUGCAUCAUAAAGUACAAAUUACAUAAUCUUUUAGGAGCUAUUUACUGCCCAAUUCAAAAGGGAAGCACGUACAUACAAUUGUGCAUAACCUUGAAGGCCAAUCGCAAGAGCUCUGUCAUAAAUUUUUUGCAACAACCUACGGCUUAUAAAUCUAUCACCAAUCUGCAGAGCAAAACCAAAUAGGAUAAGUUUACAUUUAUAAGGAACUACUUCCGAUAAACAAGGACUGGAUUCCAUCAUAACUGUCAAUGAGCAUACAAUAUAUCUAUAAAUGUAAACUAUCUAUCUAUCUAUAAAUGUAAACUAUCUAUCUAUCUAUCUAUCUAUUGACAAGAUAGCAUAUAACUUUGAAACAGGUACCAGUGGUAAAUGCAACAGUUGGAUAUUUUUCUACCUGAAAAGGUGAAAGGAUAUUGAGAAUCAUAUUUAAGGAUGUAUUAACAGAUAUUUCCAUAUUGAGGAUAAAUCCACAUAUAAUCAGAUAAUAACAAAUGAUGCAUAACUUCAGGGAUAGUUUCAACAUCCGGGUACUUGCCCCUAUGUUCAUCCGAAUGCCAUCUCUAUUAUUCAAAUAAAAUAAAUGAGCCAACUCUGAGGCUCAAAAUAACGUCUAUCCACAAGCAUGCUUUAAGGUUCCCGAUGAAACCAAGCAUGCCAGUACGACGAUAAGUCACUUCCUCAUUGUAUAAGAAUCAUUCUGACACUAAGAUUAUAAUUAUUAUCACCCCAUGUCGUGGUUUUUUCUUUUUCAACAAUUACCAAAAAUAUUUUCUUCACAACAAAAUUAAAACACUAACCAGAAGGUCCCAAGGAGAACAUAUUGCUACAGCCCCAGCAACGGGAACACUAUCUCCAUCCUCUCCAAGAUAUUUUACCUGGAAUAAAUCAAAUUAGAGUUAGAGUACUAGAAACUAGAGAGGAAGUUACAUUGAGAUUUGGUCUAAGAACCGCGAACUACUAGAAAUGCAAGUUUAAGUAAGCCUUUUUCUUCUUGUUUUUUUUUUAUCAGGUGUAGAGCUUCAUAAAUAAAAAGACAGACUACAUACAACAGUGGACAAGGUAUAUGCCAAGGAAAAGCCAAUACAAAAACAUUUAGCAUACUACAGAAGGAACAAGAAUCCCUGUCCCUUUACAUCAUCAAAGACCUUCCUAUAUGUUUCCACUCCCACCCAACUCAGGUAACUGCAUUACACCACAACUCCCCAAAAUCUACCCUUCUUCUUUAGGGUUUAGAUAAGACAAAAUUAAAGUGAAAAUAAAAGACAAAUAGUUGCUUCUACAAAAACUUAGAAGAAUAAUAUAACGUGACCACAUAACAUACCAAAAUGUUGGCCCCAAUACUCGUUCCAACAACAAAUAAAGGAGCCUUGGGGUACUCAUGAUGGAGAUGAUUAAUGACUGCCCGCAGAUCCUCUGUCCAACCAGCAUUAUAAAAGCAAUCGGACUGAAACACAUAAUAAUAAAACACAGGGGGAUUACCUAUAUAUCAAUAAACCUAAUGAGAAGUUAUAAUAAAUUUGAAAUUGGCAAUAGCCUGAAAACUUAAUAAGGGAUAACUAAAGCAUGACCCACGGAAUUUCUGCAUUGUGACAUACCACUUCCAUUAGAAUAGAGAUUAAAAUAGGGACUUUCAAAUUUUGGAGCUCAAGAUGACAAUUAACCAUGAACAUAAGCCAACAAAUUGUGGAGGUGCAAAAAAGUGGUCCUGAAAUAGUUCAGCAAUACCACACGCCGAUUCUUUAAAAGUUGAUAAUAAUAUUGCAUAACUUCCUAAUUUCCUAUAUAAAGCCUCUCAAAGAGUGCAGACUGCAAUUUAUCCAUAAGAACUGAACUUAACAGAGUAUGAAAGUCUAAUUCCAACACAUCCCAUCUAGAUGCAAUAAAAUGCUCAUUUGGAUUGGUUUUUUUAUAUUUGUAGAAGCUGUUUGGUGUGAGAUGAUGUUGUUUGUAGUACAGUGAACAGCUUGUCCAGUUUUUCUUACAGAAGUAGGAAUCAGUGCUCAGCUAGGACAUGCCAUGUAGUUUAUCAAACAGGGCAAGGGUUACGUAAUACUUCCCAAGUUCUUAUUGAAAUUUUUGCUUUGUACAGAUUUAAUCCAUAUUUGUCACUCCUAUUACCUAAUAUUUUCAGUUUUAAACAAAAAUGAAUGUUCCUUAAAAAGUAUUAAAGAAAGUAAUAGCUUAUACUCCUUUCCCAAUACUAACAUGGUUCAAGUUGUGUUGUCAUAUGAUUAUACCUCCUACAAAUUACAGCACUUGCUUUAUAAAUUCCAGUAAUUGUGGUAGAACAAUUUUAUCAGUGGCCCCACCAUCGAUGGUUAGUAAGGUUCACUUAGGCUCAUGGUUUGAUCCCAUGCGGUCUGGGUUCAAACCACUUCACAGUACAUACCUUGGCACCUUACUAUUGACUAGAGUUUCCUGUCUCCAAAAGAUUGUAGGACUAGGAAGGAAGAGCAUGCUGGUUCAAUAAAAGCCCCAAAAACAUUUUGAGAGAGAGAGAGAGAGCCAGAGAGAGAGAGAUCUGUAUAAGGUAGCUAACUACGCUAAGGAGACAAUACCCAGUACAGUGUUUUGGAAAUAUCAAAUGUUAUUUUCCGGGGACAAGACAGCAAGAUCCCUAUACACUGUUGGUAAUGUCAAGAAAUAAUUAGUUCUUCAGUUUCCAACAAUUACCCAAGGGACCUCAUAGCUUUCAGUCCCUCCCUGGCCUCAGAUGAGGCAGGAAUCAUUUUCCUAAACCUGCAUUUACCGAGCAUGGGGCUAGAAAAAAAUUUCCAUUCCCAUGGUUUAAGUUCACAAGCAAACAAGGCUUAAAAGUGUUGAUAGAUAUGGAUAUAGACACGCAAAGUAAGUACAUAAGGAAAUUUAAAAAGAGCUGCUUACAGUAAUCGAAACACCACCUAAACCUCUGUGGUUGGUAACAACGACAUUCCAUCCCUUUUGCGCUGUGUUGAAAGCAAGAUGCUUAAUAUACUGCAGUACAAACACCAAACUGCAUUAGUCACUCAUCAUGUAUGCCAAAAAAAAAAACAUCUUUACAUGAAAAAGAAGAAAGCUUGAAAACAGCCCAAGAAGACAGCUGAUAAUAUCAAGAAGUAGAAUAAUGUACAGUAAACCCAGUGUGGCGACAAUCAACGUUCUACAUGAAACUUGCAAUUUCAUAUCUUUCAAAUCAAAGAACUAAUUUAGUAGUCAUAGAAGAGCUAGAGAGAGAGAGAGAGAGAGAGAGAGAGGAGGGAGAGAGACAGACAGAGACAGAGAGACAGAGAGAUUGUAUUUUAUACAUCUUGCGAGAUCAACAGAUACUCCAAAUUAUUGAUUCAUUGCUAUUUUUACCUGAGAUUCCAAGCUUCCACAUUUCCCCUUUUGAGUUUCAAGCAGCAUGUUAACAUCCAUUCUAACUAACUAGUAACUUGAUUUAAGCCAAAACCAUUUAUUUUCUUAGAGAAACCACUUUUAUUGAUCACAGAACUCUACGAUUACUGUGGACACGAAGCAUACAAUUAAGAAAAAAUAAAUUGAUAAACCAGAAAACUAGAUCAAAUGCAUACGGAACAGUAUAUACAAGACAGCUGUACGCCUUAAAAUCCAGUAGAAUAUUGCUAGAGACGCCAGAAUUACCCAGAAAGCAUUUUCAGAUCCAAGAAAAGAAGUAAAUAAAUAGGAAGCUUACAGGAGAUUCAGAGUCGCUUGUCAAUCCAGGUAUGGCUAGCACAAUUGGGGUUAUAUUAUCUUCCGGAAUAGCACUGGUUCUGUCAAUGUUACUUCCCAGAACUGGAGCAAAGAGAAAGGAUAUACAGUACCCGUUAUAAUAAAGCUCUACGUACACACACACACACACAUUUAUGUGACUGAGGAAAGAGGGAAGACUAAAAUCGCAAGUAUCAAGACUUCAGAUAAGAUCCACAGUAUACAUAAAUAAAGAAAUAAACACAACCAGCUACAAUACUAUCAGAUUAUAGACUAAACUAUAAAAUAACCCAAGUGUAACCAAGAUAGCAGAAACAGUUUAGGUCGGAUGUUCCAACUUCUAAUAAGAAAGGAGAUAAAAUAAUACCAAAUCACAAUAUCGUCGUUUGCCAAUUGAAAUAAAAGGAAGAAAGUUUAAUAUAGCUAGAACCCUUACAAAACCAAAUGAAACACCAGAAUCUAAUCUUUUCCUAUCUCCCCACUGUCCUUUCCAAUCCUUGAAAGCCCUUCUGUUUCUCUGCCAGUACAGCACCUAUAGAACAGCCAUUAAGAAACCACCCAAAAAAAUUUACAACCGCAACCAACUCUAUCAUCCUAACAAGGCUGCACAAUCCCCUGAAUUACCAGCUACUACUUCUGGUGAGAUUGAAUCUAGUGUCAUUAACCAAAAGAUACUAUCUCAUACAUACUUGUCCUUUUUUUUCUCAUCAAUCAAGUUCCACCCCAUAAAUACUCGUCCGUUUUUCUUCCAUCCUUAUUUGAAAUAUUUCCAAAGAGCAAAACCAAAAGAUAAUGAAGCAACUAAACAAUGACAUAAUGAACUUGUAAUGUCCAAACUGGAAUCUCAUAAUAAAAUACAUAGAGGGUUGCACUUAUUUAGAACACAACUGCUAGCUGUAACAAUGUUUUCAAUGAGGAAUUAGUGCCAAUUAAUACAUGAACAAAAUAUGCAACAUUUUACAAAAUGUACUACAAAACCAGGGAUCAUUGAAUACCCUGUCAGUACAAAGUAACACGGGUACAUAUUAGAAUAGAAUACAAGAACCAAAGGACAUGUAGCAUACAACAAAAUUUAAGACCUCAAAAUACUAUGAAAAUUAUGAAAAGAAGAGAACAGCAACCAAAUGUAUCAAAGAUGAAACAAAUGCACUCCUAUAAUACCUCUACAAAAUAAAUGCAUGUUAUUUAGUGUCAAGGGGUCAAUAGUUACCGUCGGAGUUCAUUAACCAAUCCAACGCGAUAGUUCCACCAUCAGAGAGAUAAAAAAGUUCUCUGAGAGAGAGAGAUGACAUUACUAUUUGUUAGACAAAAGCAUGAAUCAGGAAAACAAACAAUGUAACCUGUAUUGAUCAAAUAAAAUUUCUCAACAAUCCUACGAGCAAUAGGAUUUCUUAGGCUGCAUUUGUUCCGAUAUACAAAUCGUAAAGAACCAGAUUAAGUUUUCAGGUAGAAUAUGCAGUCCUGCCAGCUGUUAAAUUACAUAUAUAUGGCCCCAACUAGAACACAUUACUUGAUUCAGUGACAAUUUGCACUUGUUACUAAUCCAAUAUGGAAUGGAAUGGAAAGGAGCGGAGAAGAGUACCUUCGGUAGUUGAAAGGCGGAGCGCGGCCGGAGAUGCUGAGGAAAACGGUCUGGAGAUGAGGGCUAGAGAGCCAGGGCGUGACCAAAUAGCGGGAAUGGAGGACGCGGCACUUAGAAACGACGUCGUGGUAGAUGAGGGAGGAGGAGUGGUAGGUCAAGGCGACGGAGCAGCCUCGGAAACCGGUGAGGAGGUCAUGGAGGAAAUGGAAUUCGAGGAAGCGGUAGACGAACACGGCGGAGAUUGCGAGGAAGGCCAAGAGGUAGUGGGAGAUGGGGAUGAGGAGGAGAUCGCUGAGCAAAACCAGGUAGGGGUUGCUGCCUCCGGCGAGGCCCCACCAAUCUGCCACCAUUUUGUGCAUCGAGUGGAAGAGAAGUGAAGGCGUUAAGCUCGGUAGGUCAUGAAAAACUUUUAAAAUGUAAUUGUGUACGUACAAUAGGAAAACACACGAGGUGUGUGUAACAAAAUAUGGUGUGUCGACAUAUAUAUCAGAAACAUUUAUGCAUGGCGGAUCUCAUGUAAAGAGAGUUGUACACGGACAUUUACGCAACUAUUGAUAUUGAACUAUUCAGCCUAAUGUUUUUUUGAGGUGUAAGUUGGUGUGGCACAUUAUAUGACAAACAUUAAUAUUGUUUAGAAUAUAUUUUGAUGUUUUGUGUCGGCAUAUAUAACAAACAACCGAAAUUUGGAUAUGAUUUUGUAGAUAAAUUAUGGUUGAUAUUUGUUUGUCACGUCUCAUAUCUUUUCUGUUAGUAUCAUCUCAAAUCGUCUAUAAAUAUGGGGUUAUUGUUUUCCUCAUCUCUCACAAAUUAACAACACUUCUCAUAUCUCAAUCCUACAAAUCUCCAUUUUGUUUCUUUUUUAUUCGUCAAACUCCUUCUUUAAUGAAUCGUUUGACAAAAUGGUUAUUGAAAGAUCAAUAAGAGGUUGUCACGAGAAACCGCCAAAGAUCCAAUAUGAUGGUUGACACUGCCUAGCGAACCCAUAGUCUGGAAGACGAGGAUUAAGUGAUUCACAAUGAAGUGGUUCUUCAAAAGGUCAUCAGUAUACCGCUAGAACUCAAGAGCUUAUGGAUCAACGACUCAAGGCUCUAUGCUUCAUGGAUCUAUGUAGGUUUGAACCAAGUGUGUUUACAUAGACGGUAUAAAAUACAACCUUGGGUCUUCGACAAGAUGAUGUGCGACGUGACCAACUACGAUACAUAUUUGUUCAGAUUAAAGAUAGUACAUGAGGGUUGAUUUAUCCACUGAACAAAAGCUGACAUGCGCCAUGAGAAUCCUUGCACAUGGCAUCACAACUGACUUAUGUGAUGACUACAUGGAUAUUGCAAAAUCCAAUGCCAUUGAGAAUUUAGAACUUCACCAAAACAAUCUUGAACGUGUACCACGAGACUGAUCUUCACCAACCAACACCGGUAGUUUUGAGACGCCUGCUCGACAAAGUUGUAGAGAGAUGAUUUCCUAGGAUGGUCGAGAGCCUUGAUUGUUUGCACCGGAAGUGGAACAAUUGUACCACUGGUUGGGCAGAGCAGUGUAGAGGCUACAAGGUGUUGUGUUGAUCUUUGGAUGCUAUCAUGUGACCUGUCGGCGCCGAUGAUCUUUGGGGCGGAGGUUUCGGUUUGCGUUGUGGCUGGACUGAGCUUCUCGGUGAUUGGUGGCAUUGAUCUUGGGUGUGGAGGUGAGCGCCCCGCGUUUUCUCGGCAGUGUUCAAGGCGAAUCUAGGCGUUUCAUUGAUAUCUUGUAUCAUACCUUUAUUAUUUAUAUUGUUCGAGUUCAUCACUAUAGUUUCUAUCUAGAAGAUCACUUUCCUCAAGUGUUGCAAUUCUCCAAAAAUGUUCUUCUCAUGCUAGGAAUUCAACAGGGAGAGCUACUAUAGGAAAAUAUCUAGGUAUACACAAUGCAAUUUUCAAUUUUGUUUGGAAGGAUCCCUCAAACACAAAUUAAAGAAAUCAUGCUGAGUACAGUACUGCCAACGAGUUGGCUGGCUGGAAAAAAGGAACUUUUCCUCGUUACGGACACAUGAAGCGAACCUUACCAGUUACAAGUUCAACGUCAGAGGGUGAGAUACCUGUGCAAGUAGACACACAUGAUAGGUGAAAUGGACACAGAGAUAGGUCAUUGGGGUCUCAUAUACUUGGUAACUCGGAGGCUCAGGAGAGAUCAAACUCAAUUACUUGCCUUCAAAUCACAGUACCCCAAAAGAUUUCAAGUGUCUUCAGUGGUCGAAAUGGUAUUAUAGUCGGCAUAUAUUUAACAAGAGAAGCAACAUUUUGCAUGAGAAUCACGCAUCAGACAGGAAACACACAUACCCAAAACUGCAACAAAGAUAUACUCAUAUACCCCAGAGUGCUGUUUACACAAGUACCUGCUGAUUGAUCACGAAAAUUACGCCAUACUUAAAACCAACAAUGUCAAUCCCACCAUACCUAAUUUUUGGCAUCUCCCCGUUUUGUAUGAGGUACAUACAUUACGCCUCUAACAUGUAAACUAAAUCAUGUAACCUAAAUCACAAGUAGAAUCUUCAUGUAUAAUUAGUUUUUUUUUUUUUCUUUUUCCUUUCUCCUAUCUCUUCAUAAAACUACUGUCAACUGCAAUUCAACUUCCGGUUAACAAUUUGGAAGCAUUUCUACAUUGGCAAAUUUCCUUGAAUAGCAUCAUUGAGAAAGAUUGCCUUGCCUUUGCUCUGACCCUCUCUCCAAACCUUAUAUCUUAAUUCCUUGCGGCUUGAGACGUUCCAUAGCUUUAGCAAUGACAGUUUAUAGGGUCCCCUUAUUUCACCAAGUGGACUCAUACAAUACCAUGAAUCAGAACCUUGGAUUUCAACAGCAGGUGCUGUAACUGAAACCUUUAGCUCUUCAUCGUCAUCGCUCAACUCAGUUACCUUGCCUUCAGAUGUGCUAUCAGAGUUCAUCCUUUCUAGUCGAGCUACUUCAGGUUUCACUAGUUCUGCUGCCUGACCAGAUGGAAUGCAAGGAGACUGCGAGCAGUUAUUAAUUGUAGGAACCUUCUUCUUAGGUAUAUCCUUUGCAUCCGCCAGGUCUCUCUCAUGGUCGCCCUUUGAACCUGCAGGGAAGUCAAGAAAAUACAUAAACACAUCAACCUACAGAAGAAGAAACCAAAGGUAGAAUACUGCCCUUAUAUGUGAAUGCAGCAUAUCAGGAGCUUUUGCAGAAACGUAGUUGGAAUUGAUAGGAAUCAGGGAAUGAAGAGUACUGAUACCUUGAUGCUUGACAGCUCAUUAACAUAUUAGUAUGUUCUACACUAGAAAAACCAUAAAUCUGUUUGCUAGGGGAAACGGCUAUUUGUAUUUCUUACCCUAAAAAGUUGCUUCUAAUUUAUUAGUAGGGGUGAUUCGGAAAAAAUAGAAUAAUAAUAUACAGAGACAACUACAACCUACAUGAUCAAAGGAUGCUUAUGAGGAGUUCUGAUACCUUGAUGCUUGGCAGCUUACACACACACACACACAAAUUAGUAUUUCUACACUAGAAAAACCAUAUAUUUCAUUUCAAAAAAAAAAAAAAAACCCAAUAUAUUUGUUUGCUAGGGGAAAUGGCUAUUUGUAUUUCUUCAUGGUAUAAACCCUAAAAGUUGCUUCAAAUUUAUGUCGGGGUGAUUUGGAAAAAUAGAAUAAUAAUAUACAGAGACGACUACAAUCUACAUGAUCAAAGUUUGAAUUAUCUGCCAAUCAAUUCAUUCCACUUGAUACAUUUAUAUUUUUCUGUUUCACUCAUACAAGCAUACCAGUUCGAACCCAAAACUAUCAUGUACAAACUUAAAACCAUUAGAUGCUAUGGACCUCUCAUAUGGCAUUUAAAAAAGAAAUCAAGGACAUGAUCCAACUGAACAAAAAACAUAAACCAUACCAUCUGUACUAAAGCUCCGUUCAAAGUCUGAUGGAGGCUGCUUCUUAUGUUUAGCUGCUGCACCCUCCAGGCCUCUCUCCUGGUGUAACAGUGAACCUGCAGAAUAUUCAGUAAAAUAAAUGUCAAAAAUUCAAACAGCUCACAUGCUCAUCAUAGGAAAAGCAUGCACAUGCUCAUCAUACGAAGAAGCAGUAAAUCUUGAAAAAGGGAUGGUACAACAAGACGACCACUUACAACAAAUCAGAGUGAAUCAAAUCAUUGUCAAACUAACUCAUACCACUUGAUACAAUUUUAUUUCUGUUUCACUUAUACAAGCAUACCAGUUCAUACUUCAUACCCAGAACUAUAACCAUUAGAUGCUACGGACCUCUCAUAUGCCAUUUAAAAAAGAGAUCAAGGACAUGAACCACUUGAACAAAAACAUAAACCAUACCAUCUGUACUAGCGCUCUGUUCAAAGUUUGAUGGAGCCUGCUUUCUCUUAUGUUUAGCUACUGCACCCUCCAGGUCCCUCUCCUGGUGUAACAGUGAACCUGCAGAAUUUUCAGCAAAAUAUAUGUGAAAAGUCCAAACAGUUGACAUGCUGAUCGCAGGAAAAGCAUUCACAUGCUCAUCACAUGAAAAACAGUAAAUCUUGAAAAAGGAAUGGUACAACAAGAAGACCAUUUACAAGAAAUCAGAGUGAAUCAAAUCAUUUCACUAUAAAAUCAGAUUCAAGGUUCAUCACCAAACUAAUUCAAGAGAAAAAGUAGCAUUUUAUAACCAUUAGAAUUGUCAAGAUACAACAUUUUCCACAGUUAGAGAGAAAAAACCUUGUCACUCUCAGAAUAAGAUUGUCAAAAUUCUCUUGAUCCAGAAACUAAACUUCUAAUAGCAAGCAUGUCCAAAUUCUUAUUGGUAAAUGGAAACAAUGAUGACUAAAGAAUAAACUGUAGGAAACAAUACAGUACCAUUCACAUAGAUUUGGAACAAACCUGCAAGCUCUGUUCUGUCAUUUGUGCGCCAUGAGGUUCCAUUGGCUAGAGCAGUGCCAGGAGUUUGGGGAGAUUCUCUGGGGGCUGAUUCGGAAAAGCCAUCAUAUCCUUGUUUAUCCUGGCUAGGGGAGUACUCAGAAAUAGGAUCACAUUUUUCUAUGGCUGCAAUUACUUCCGGAAUCUCAUUUAACAGUCGUGAUUGUUCUGAUGGUGUUUCAAUUAGCAGCUUCUUAGUCAUGUAUGCAUCAAGCGUAGAGAAAAUAUAGGUCAAGGUUCACAUUGUUCAUUCUACUUUUUUUCCUUUAACUUCAAACAUAACUUAUCAGAGACAAACAAGGGAACAAUGGAAAAAAGACCUGUCCGCUAAACCAAUAAAAUCAGUGAAAGUGUGAAACCAUGAGAGCAUGCAGUACACUAGCAAGAAUACAACAAAUCACAUCAUAAGAAAACAUGAAGGAAAUACAAACAAAUAGGUACCCCUGUAUCCUGAACUAAUAUAAACAUCAAAACCAUAAGGAACACAGAACAGAACCUUUCCCAAUAGAUGGGCCACUUCUCCCUUCACAUCAUCAAACACCCUAAUAUCUCUCCCCCCACCCAAAACCAACCAACAAAGAACAUCUCCCACAAUUCUUCUGAAGAACUUAAUGGGCUCUCAUAUAGUAAUGCAUUACACAUUGCUGGGUCAUCCUAACUCAAACUAGCCUCCUAAAAAUCUUUCACAAUAGACACGCAGGGCAAUGAAGCAGCAGGUGAUUGCUUUAGUAUAAAUGGUCAGGCCCAAGGCUAGUAAAGUUUAUUGUAUCCGGGGUUUGAGAUUCCUGCAUUCAUUAUAUAGCUAGUUGUUAGAGUUUGACUUCUGAGCCCAGGUAAUGAAUCAGGCUUUAUGCGAUUUCUUGCUACCAAAGGAGCUUACAGGGGAGGACCCACCGACCAGUUACUAGGAAUAGUCAGGUCCAUGCUUUACUUCCAUGUCGANNNNNNNNNNNNNNNNNNNNAUAAAAAUAAAAUUGAUAUAAGGUCCAAACAAUUGAAAAUAGUUUUGACAGACAAUUUGAACUUCCAUAAAUGUAUAUUAUGACAAUGUCAAUGAAUUAAGAUUUUCCUACUUGUGUCAUUACUCCACCUUUUUUGCUAUAUAAAUUAACUUAAUCAAGGAUAUUCUCUCCUCCAUCCUUUUUCAUUUGCAUGGUCAAUGCGCUUCUGCAACAGAGUCAAUUCUCUUGCAAGCCACUGAAAUUUUUCACAUAUACAUAAAAGAUACAAAUAAAUACUGGAGAAUAAGAAUGUCAAGAUAAAAUCUGAGCUUAAAAAGCUGUUGGAUAGGAGAGUUGAAUAGCAAUACUUGAAAUAGCAGCAUAUGUAAUUCUAACCAUACAUACAAAGGCCUACUGAGUAGAUAGUCAAAUUCAUUCCAUAGUUACGUAGUGUGCAGAUAUAGACACAAGCAUUUACAAAAUGCAAGACACAUCUUUGAUAUUUUCAGAGGCCUAGGCAUUAUAUAGUCUGAUUCACUCCAUAGUUACAUAGUAGAAAUUAUUAACAGCAUUGGAACAUGUUGAUGGCAGUUAACAUGACAUCAGUAAAGCGGAAAAUGAAUUCUUAAAAGGAUGAAUUAUGAAAACUACAAGCCAAAACAGUUUCCAAGACGGUAAUGGACAUGCUUUCUUUCUGUACUUCUUCAACUUUUAGGCUGAAAAUUUGAAUAUGACAUUGUCUUUCUUCAAGCAGACUUUCUGAAAACUUCGUGAUGAAAGUUUUUUACUUUCUACUCUUUCAGAUCUCAUCAGGUAAAAAAGUGUUUCUAACCUUAGAGAAAAAAUAAAUAAAAAAUACAGUAGAUAUGUGCAGUUGUAGUAUAAACUAUAAAGUUUCGAUUUAUCACUAAUAGAUUUGAAUCAUAAUUACUAUCCACAAACAAUGAGGGAUGAAAAUGUCUUAAGGAAGCCUGCUGUCCAUUUGCUGGACAUCUGAAGCUGUUGCUACAUUUUGAAUGAACUAUGACUAAAUAAAAUUCUAUUUUGAGGUCGAAGCCAGAAACGUACAUGCUUUGUUAUAUUCUCAUGUAGACUUCUAGCCUUCUGUUCAAACUCCACCUAUUAAACAAGAAAACCCUGGUUAACUGGUUGCAAUACCAACAAUAACUGGAAAAAACUCCAGAUAUUAUACAAGCUAUACAAUCUAAAUCUUAACCAAAACGUAAAGACCAGUGAUAAAACUAUUAAUGGAAACCAAAUGCUUACAGAAUAAGAAACAAACAGUAACAGCAUAUUUGUGUCUCUGGGGUUGGCGACUGUUCCAUUUGUAGGCAAUCUAAUCUUACUGUAUUCUUGCCACAUCUUCUUUCAAUAUAAAAUCUAACUAAGUAGAUUCUAAUGUAGUGUUGUCUCAACUAAUUUCCAUACACAAUCUAAUAACUAGAUUCUAAUGUAUAUUUUGCCUCAGUUACUCAUAUAAAUCAUAAAGUAAAGUGACUUGGAUGAUUUAUAUGAUUUAUGGUUCGAUUUGAGAUAUCUGAAGAUUGUAACUGUAGAGGAGAUUUACAAAUGAUAAGAGCAUUUGGUCCCUGGAUGUGCCUAAUUAAAUGAGCUUUCUGCUGUAAAACUAAAUGUAUUCCAUACAAAUGAUAUAAUUGAUCCGAUUAGAAUAUCUAUGCAAUUGUGUUCAUAAAACUCAGAAACGAAGCACUUGACCCGGCAAAAAAUAUAAUUAAAAAAUAUCCUUCAAAAAGUUCAAACUAUGCUUGAAAUUAUAUAACUUAUAAUAGUUCAACAGUCUACAACAUCAUUACAGGAAGCACAAUAAAUUAAUUACUAACUACACAUAAAAUAACUUAACUUACAAUAGUUUGGAUUAGUCCUUGGGCCUAGGAAGCCUUUGGGAUACAGUGAACAUGUUCAAAAAAAAAAAAAACUUACAAUAGUUGGCUUUUUAAGGAGGCCAUUAUUUAUUCUCUGCUGUAGAUCUUCACAUUCUUCCUGCAUGUAAUACUCAACUUAGGUUUAUUCCCAAAAACAUAACUGCAAACUAUAAAUUUAUAGUAACUUCCAAUUGAUUCAUAACAUCAGGACUAUAAUUUUACGCUAUGAAUUAAAGAAGAAUCUUUAUGAGAAUUUAUAAGGCAUGACAAGCACACAAUGAAGUCCCAGUAAUAACAAAACUUUUACAAGUCAUAUCUAACAAUACUUAGGUUCUCACUUCUUACAUUGCUCCACUCUGGAGUCUGGACAAUCUCAGUUUCGGCACAGAAACUUUACCCAAAUUAUUUAUUUACCCUAAUUGUCUCUUGUAGUUUCUGUAGUAUAUACAUAUGGGAAUUUUCUUAGGUACCUACCUGUUUGUGAUACCUACAUUUACUAAUAUGACAACAAAUUUGUUGUCGUUUUGGUAAAAAUAGUCAUUACUUGGGUAAUUUUUGUUAUAUUAGAGAUAAUUACUUAACUUAAGACAAUUUACAAGUUUAUGAACAACUUGUUGUCGUUGUAGUAACUUGGUUCAAUUAUAUGUAAAUGUGUAAAACAAAUGUAGUACUUUUGUUGUCAAUGUUGUAAAUUUUACUCAGUUAACUUGUAAUUUUUGUUCAAUUAGUGGUAAAUGAGUGUGUUAUACAUCCCAGUACCGUAGACAACCCCUACACAUGUAUAUAAUAAAACCUUAAAUAACUUUGACCUUUGUAUUGGAAAUGGCAGUCUAUGUCUCUAAUUGGAAAAGGAAAACCAAACAGUCACAAUGAUAUUACCUUACAGAAGUCAUCAUCUGACAGCUUGGAAACAGGUAAAUCUUUGUGAGUACUGAAACAUUGCAAAAGUAUUUCUGUAUCCUCUCUGUCUGUCCUCAAACUUUCCUUUAUACCUGCCAGGAUAAGAAUAACACAAAACAGAACAUUAAUCAUAUAAUGAUGAUACACUGAGGAAAAGUGGCAGGAUCACAGUUUGUGCAUUCAAGAAUCAGCAGCCUCUUCUUUAAGUGUUGAACAUAUAAAAAUACCAUAUCACGUGUGUAUCCUGAUCCUUGGCUUUUUGCAUCAGAAUAAUCAUGAUUCUAGUCACUUAAAUGAAAAUAAGAGCAAAAUGCAUUCUGAUACAUGGAGCAUGCAUAUACACAUUGAACAUCUUUUGACAAAACGAGUUUCUGACUCUUUAGUUUCAUUGAUUCGAGCAUACCUAUUGGGAAAUGAACUCAAUACCCUUUCUAUUUAUAAAGGAAGCUCAAGCUAUAUCCAGUCAAGAUUGUGUUUAGCACAUAUAGACAUGCUUCAGCCUUAAGAACGUUAAAUUAAACUAACCAGUGGUUGAUAAGGUAAAUUCCUCUUGUUUUCUGUACAUAUUAUAUCUUUUCUAUAAAUUUUAAGAGACAAGCUAUAGUAUUGGAUGUAUAUCCUACUUUUAUUUUAUAUGUACUUGAACAAAAAUUACAAUGUUAUGAAUUAAAUUACAACAUUGAGAACAAACUUACCAAAUUUAUUUACACUAUUUACAUGAAGUUAAACAAAAUUACAACUAUGAGAACAAUUUGUUCAAAAAGUUAUAAAAUGGUUGUACAUUUUGUAAUUACAAUUAUUAGAACAAGAUUACAAACAAUACGACUCAGCAUUACCAUUUUGACUACAAAUAUGUUGUCACAUUUGUAAAUGUAGGUAUCACAUACGGGUAGGUACCAUAGAAUUUCCCAAAUUUUUAAUAUGGCAAGACAACCUUGAUGACAGAUAACAAAUAAAUCUCAAAAGAUUAAGCUGUUAGGAAAUAAGACAAUAAGGUAUGAUUAGUUUUGAGACCCUUUCUCACGUCCAUCCUGUGGGAGAAACUGACAAAUGAGGACAGAGUGGGAAAUGAGGAUUGAUUGUUUCGAACCUAGGGCCUCUUACAAAUCUACAACCCAAAAUCUGAUACCAUGUUAGACAAACUCUAGAACCCAGAAGUUUUGAUUUUUCAUGGAGAUAGUCAAUAUUUUAUAGCACUUCGAACCUGGACAUUUGAGAUCUUUUGUUUUCUCAUAAUAAGUUAUAGUUACACAAAUGGUAAUCUCUUCAUAACAAGACCAAUGCUACUCCCCCAGUUGACACCAAGACAAAUCUGUACUAUAAUAUCAUGGGUGUUUUACUGAAGACAUCUACAACAAGCAGAGUUGAAUUUUUCAGAAUUAGAAGAAUAUAUCACUAUGAUAAUUACCUUUAAUUUGCAAGAGCUGGUGAGAGUUCUUCAGUGAAUAAUCAUUUGGGUCACAUUUAACUCUCACAAAACUUCCUGUUACUUUCUCACCAAAAGUCUCCGGUUGCUUUAACAAUUCCUCCACUAAGGUCCUCUUCAGGUACACAAGCUUGAUGUUUUCAGGAACAAUGGAAGCAAAACAGCUUUUCUGCACAUCUGGUACUUUAGGGCUCAACUUGAUCUGCCUUUUACAGGUACCCAUAAAGCUCUCCUCAUUGUCUUCGGAACUACUUCCACUCUCAUCCUCCUCCGUUGACUCUUCCAGAUUGUCAGCAAAAUGGGAAGUCAGAAGGUUGUAUAUACUAUUUUUAAAAAAUGAUUUCCGUCCAAAAAGAGACUGCAAGGUUGCAUCGCAAAUUACUUUCUUCUUCUUUUCUGGGUCAAAAAGCUUGUUUUCUUUACAAUAGUCUGUAACUAUAGAGGUGACUUCAUACUGUGAUAACUCCGUGGAUGUAUCUUUACCCAUGGAAGCAAGGAAUUCUAGGAGAGACUUUGAUCCCCAUCCUAUAAAUUCUCUUUUCUUUGCUUCUACUUUUCUUUUAACUGAGCACUGUUUUCCCUUGGAUCUCUUCUUUUUGGUAACUGGCAUGUAUUCUUCUCCACUUUCCACUUCAUCGUAAUCAGAUACCUGAGGGUCACUUUCUUCAUCGGAUUCUGAAAUUUUUUCUUCUUUUUUACGAAUCACAUUCGAAUCAAAGUUAGACGUGUAAUUCUUUCCCUUCUUCAAAAACGUUUUUGCAGAGUAGACAUCUUCUGCAGACAAGCGUUCUUUCUUUUUCAUUAUCUGCCAAUAAUCCUUAAAUAAGUACUCGAAUGUAUUUAUAUCUUUGAAGUCAACUCUGCCCUGAAAUGGAAAAGAACAUACUGUGAGGUGAGAAUACGAAAAUCUAACUUAUAUCAUCAAACCAAAUAACUGACAGGCUCCACUUCCUCACAAAUAAACAAAUCGACAAAAACAUAACAAAAAACGACGAAAAAUAAAAAAGCCAACAAAGAAAAAGGGGAAAAAACAUUUUGAGAAAUACAUUAUAACCAAAGUUUGUUAAUCAAUGUACUCUUCCCUUUACAUAAGAUUUUGUUUGCAUAGAAUUCCACAAGUAUGAAGGAGCUUUAUUAAUAAAAAUUAACAAUACACCAAAUUCCUUCAAAGAGAUUACAGAAGAAUGGAAUCAACCAUCCACCGAACAUCAUUGGAAUAUUAUACAGGCAUUAAAAUGUUAACAGGGACACGGAUUGCCAAGAGUUUUAUUAAGCUCUCAAGCUUAUGCCUGCACAAAGGUCUAAGUCUUUGAGCUCUGAUAUGAUCAAAUAAUAUAAGAAUGGAAUAUACCAUCCAACGCCAUGCUAACAUUAUCUAGGAAUUCAAAUGGACGGGACAGUGUUCACAAAGUUUGCCGAGUAAAACUCAAAUGCCUAGGCUCUAUGAAGUAUAGCAACUGUAGAUCUGGAGGCUUACAUGAGAAAGAAAAAUCAUAUAGAAAAGCUGAGUUGUAUCAAAAAUCCAAAACUAAAUUUACAGCACUUGUUCAACAGUACUCCAAAAAGGAAAGAAAAUUUUCUUAGCUGUGAACUUCCCGUUGCCGCUAAGCAUCAAGGGUUCAUUAACUGUACAGUUCUAACUACUUCCAUAUUUUUGUCCAGACCGAGUCUGAUGGACUUAUAUGACAGAAUAUUGAAUAGAGAUACAAAUAUUAAUGGUCAAAUAGUAUCCACUGGAGCUGAGGAAUCAAAAAAUUCAGAGAAGGAAACAUAUGCAGUACCAUUAAUUUUUAAAGUGGCAAUUAAUUACCUUCAGAAAGGGCAUGGUAGCAAAUAACAAACUCAAAAACCUUGGAAACUUAUACACAUGGGGAUGUAUAUUGUCAAUGUAUUUCAGCAUUUGUGUAUGUAAAGGAAACUAAGAGUCGCCUUUCCUUAAAAUUAAUGACAAGUAAACAUACCCCGUCAGAAUCAACAUCCAAGUUGUCUUCAAUGAGCACUGCAAGCUUCAAACAAUGAUUACAAAAUCCUCUUUCCACUCUAUGAACCACAAACUCAGAGUCACAGAGGCAGCGUCCGCAAACAGCUUGUGGGCAGCAAAAGCAUUGAAAUUUCGCAGCUUUAUCGCACAAGAAGCAAGAAUGCCAUUCUGAAAUGCAACAUUCAUGAUAGUAAUGCAUAAAAAGGAUAACAUUUCAGUGACAAGAACAUGUCAAAGAGACAUAUAAAACAUUGAAAAUGACACAAAAACAUAAGCAGCAGCAGCAGCUUACUGCAGUUCCAGCGCUGCCCAGACUCCACAAAAGAUUCGUCUUUUUCCACACAUUCAGGAUGAUAAGCUUUAAGGCAAUUCCUGAAACAUGAAAACACAGUGCCAAAAGACCAAAAGGAAUGAGAAAGUAUGAAACUUGAGAAAAAAAAUAUAUAGAGAAUAAGACACUGACUUGUAGUCGCAGACCAUGAGCAGUCCCCCAUCUUUGCAGUGGAAGCAAACCUCUUCGCAAAUCUCUUCUUUCUUUGCUUUACUCUUCCUGGGCAUUUUUUUUUUUUUUGUUGAUCUUACAGAGAAAAGACGGCCCCUGAUUGAAGAGAGUCAAAGAGAAAAGCAAGCGCAGCAGAACUAGCUAAGACGUCUGCGAGAGAAUUGCCUUCGCGAUUGGUAUAGACUAAUAGAGAGUGAGAGUGAGAGUGAGCUUUCGGAAAUUGGAACCCACGAAAAUGCCCUGCACUCAAUACUAUAAUAUUUUUUGGUCAAAAUAGAGUCCUUUCAAGCUCCCUGAGAUAUAGAGUAUAGACCCAAAAAACCAAAAACAUAAAACUGUCGGUGUCAGAUUGUUAGGUGAAUCAUAGUGUUCAUACCCUUCGGUAAAGUAGACAAGAUUAGAUUAGGAUUUUAAACUAGAUUAGAUUAGACUAGAAUGCAUAGGAGAUAACAUCUCUUCAAGACAAUCUUGCGUUUGUGCGAUAGGAUUAGGAACCUAUAACUGAAAAACACGUUUUUUAGGGCGGAUGGCUGCCUUAGGCGAACUGGGCGGCCUUAUUUUAGAACAGUGUCUAAAAAAAAUUUAAAAAAAAAAAGAGCUCAUCGAGAAAUUAACUGAAUCAAUCUCGAAACCCAUCCUCCAUUUUUGAGAAUUCAUUCUAGACCAAAAACCACAUUUUCAUGAUUCUAGCAUCUAUCUUUACCAAAAUUGAAAUACAAUUUCAGAUCGGAUGUUGAUGAUACAAUCAUUCACGGCGGCAUUUAAAGAGGUGAUGUCGGUGGUGCUCACGAAGGUGAAGACCAUUGCGUUGUCAAUGUGUUACAGGUGUCGGCACAAGUGACAUUCAACAUUACGACAAUACCGGCUUGAAUAUGGUUGAAUACUACUGAUGGUGAGUUGAAGAUUGCACGGCCUCUGAAAUCUUAAGCGUUUAUAGCAUGCGAGUCAAGAUUGCAACUUCAAUUAAGAUGGAGCGAUAAUGUCGUUGGAAUGAGCAAUGAGGGGCUAAAUACACAUUUUCCCUGUUAAACUUAUAAAUUCAAUCAAAACUGUUGCUCUAUUAAAUUGCAAUUAGAGAUCAAAUGGUCAAAAUUGACAAAAGCCACAUCAACUUUCAAAUCUGAAAUUGACAGAAGCAUUUUGACAUCUCCAUCGGAGAUACUCUCUAAAUGACAUUUAGGAGUCAUUAAAAUAAAAAUGACACUGAGAGAAGGCAAUGUCAAAUUUUCCUUACUCUCUUAUACUUGUCCAAAUAGUACGCACACCAAGCAUACUCUUUUCAAAUGAUUGUUUAAUACAUUGUAAAUAUUCAAAUUAGACAAUUUUAUUGGAGAUGAGAUUAAUUAACCAAAUUAGCAAAUGCUAUUUUUAGCCUUGUCACAAGUUAAAUUUUGAAUUUGAUAAAAAAAAUUGACAUCUUUAUUGAAGAUGCUCUAAGGUCAUGCGGUUAGAUUUUCAAUCAAAACAAAGAUAAAAGAGAGAUAUUAAUGCUCAUCCUUGUCAUAUACUCGUUCACACGAAAUUCAUAAACUACUGGAUGAAAGGAUGAAGCAAUAUACAAAGACAAGGAUUUUGGGGUCAACCAUGCAAUGGUUGUAUCAUCAACUGUAUCAUGCUUACGCGUCGAUACAGAGUAUUGCUAUAUAUGCCAUUAACAAAUGGCAAUACAGCAUUUUCUAUUUCAAUUUUUGAAGAAAGAUACCUACUAGGUAGUACUUGUACACUCUAGUACAAGACACAUUAAGAUAAGAACUGGAAAAAUUAAGUAAAAGAAAGCUACAGUUAAAACUCUCUUGAUUUUGAUCGGGAUCAAUGGAAUGCAGCUGCUGCAGCUCUUGCAUUCUUAGCUGUUGGAAGAUCCGGGGGAGGAGAUGGUAACAUAGUGAGAGCUAGGAUACCACUCAAUACAGCGGCGAUGGCUCCAACCACAAAUGCCGGCAAAUUACCACCACCAAAUAGAGCAUCCCAUGGUCCACUUGCUACUGACACUACCAUCUGCAUAAAUCGAUCAAAAAAUUCAUAUGAGAAAUCGAAAUUAAUCAUCAAAACCGAAACCUCUUCGAUCUGUUGCAUGCAGCCAGCGCGCGCGAGGUUUAUUACCUGUGGCACAACAAUUGCAAGAUUCAAGACUCCUAAAGAAAGCCCUGCAAAAUCCAGAGAUCCGAUCCAAGUUGGUCAGUUACAGCAUUGUUCUUCAUGUGUAACGUACGUCCAUAUAUGAUGCAUCUAUAAAUAGUUUGGUACUGUUGGAAACUCUACCUUGGCCUGCACCAGAAUUGCUGCAAAAUAUGGAUGCUAGAGCAAAGGGAACACUGUAGGUUAUCUGUAGGUUCAUGUAUAGAAUAUCAAUGAAGAUCGAGAUCAACAGGAGGAAGCAGAAAGAAACAACACUAUAGUUGCUACAAAACAACACACCAUAACCAAACUGGGACCAAAAAUCAAUAGACUGUAAAAGUUGGCCCAGUGCAAAUAAAUAUUACAGAGUCGACCAAAUUUGGCUGGACUCGACAGAAGCACAAGCAUUGUCAAGAAGUUUCAACACGAAACGAAACCGCUUGCUGUAAAGUCUAAACUUGUAAACAUUAAAAUAAUUAAUCUCAUGGUUUUCCCAUAUUAAUUUGAUACGGCAUAUUAAUUUGUUUCAUAAUCUCAGACAACAAAAAUACUUGUUUCAAAACUGGGACAGGUUACUGAGGUCAGUAACCAGAGAAAUGUAUUAUUAAUGAAUCAUGUAACAGACCUAAUUAAACCACCGUCCAAAUACGUGAGUAUGUCAUAUGUAUGUAUGUGUAUAUUAGAAGUAGUUGUAUUAUUAUUUGUCGCAGCUAGGUCAGAUGUAAAGGUGUGGUGAAAUGUGUUAACCUUAUCUGCAUGCGUUUGAAUAGAAACCAAAAAAUGACGCAUGUAUCACGCAGAAAUUUAUGCCCAAGCUAGAGAGAGUUUAAUUAACUGCUACUUACCGCCUGAGGUAUACCCAGGAGAGCAAAGAGAGCCAGCGCACCCGCCUUGAUACCGGCCGGGGGCGGAGGUGGCUGAGCUCCGGAGACUGAAACGGCGCCGUGUCGAGCGGACUGAGCUAGUUUGGUGAUCAAGACAGUCAUGGCCAAACAGAUGGCGAGGAGAAAGUUGACAAGGCCCCACAAGCGCUUGACCCCACCAAGGGCACGCGCCAGAAUCUCAAUCCCGAGAGAGACGCAGCCCAAGACGACGGAGUUGAGCAUGAGGCCGAGGGCACCGGCUCUGACCCCCAAGUCAUACAGCCUGCCAUUGCCGACCUCACCUCCGUACACCUCCCUUCCCAUCCAGUCAGUGUCGAACAGUAAGAAAGGGAACCAUGCAAUCCAGUUGAGGCAUGUCACCACCAACAGGAUCCACAUCGGUCUCUGCAGCUCCUUAAACGCGGCUACAAUUUCGGUGAAGAAGGGCACCGCUGGUGCGAUCUCCUCAUCCACGACUUCCGGAGUCGGCUCCGGGACGGAUGUGAGUGCGAGGAUGGUGAGGGCGAUGAGGAGAGCGAUGGAGAGGAAGAAGCAGGUUUUGAGGUUGGCGCAGUAGACGUCGCAGGCUUUGGUCAUGGUGAAGGGGAGCAUCUUAUGGAGAUGAGUGUAGGACCCGGCGGAGAAUCCGAGGACGUUUCCGACGGCCAUGAAGAAAGAGUAGAACCCGUUGGCGGUUCGCAUUUUCCUGGUGUCGGAGCCGGAGAUGUCGGCCAGGAGCGCACGGCAGGGGCCUUGUAACAUGUUGUUGGCCACGUCGAGGAUCCAGAACCCGACCACGAACACGGCGAUGGCGCGUGGCUUGGUGGGCUUGUCGAGGGAGUCGCCGAAGAGGUGGCCGAGGUCGGCGGCGUAGCCGAUGAGGAAGACGGCGAUGGCGACGAGAGAGGAGCCGGCGACGAUGAAGGGACGGCGUCGGCCGCAGCGGUCACUGUGGUAGCCGACGAUGGGUUGGACAAGCAUGCCGGAGACGGGGCCGCAGAGCCAGAUGAAGGCGGCCCAGGUGUGGGGGAUGCCGAGGAGCUGGACGUAAGGGGUUAAAAGUGAGAGCUGUAGAGCCCAUCCGAAUUGGAUUCCGGCGGCAAUGGAGGCGACCAGAAUGAUCUUUCUCAAUGGGGUUGAUGGGAUAGUCUGAGGCUCUGGCUCUGGCUCUGGCUUUGGCUUGUGGAUGGUUUCGACUUCCAUGGUUGGGUGGCAACCCUAAUUUCUUACAAGCAAGCUAGGCCGGGAUGUGGAAAAUGAAGUGAGAUGGAGGGAGGAUGAGAGUGAUGAGUGAGAUCGAGGGGUGCAUGGAAAUUUAAGGAGGGCGAGGUGGUGUUGGAUCAAGGCAACUGGCAAAGGGUGGCGGCCUUAUCCGUUUAGGAGUUAAGCGUCACAGUCUGAGACUCAUGCCAAGUGUACAAAACGCCAUUACUACUCUGUUUCCUUUCUCGGAAUUCCAGACCUUGAUACCUUCCUUCAUUUUUAUGCAGUUUCAUCUCUAAUUUCAAACUAAUCAAUAGAUUUAUAAUUCGAAUCGAAGGUAAUCUAGUUACAACAUUUUCUUGCCAUCUAUCUCAUUUGGUGUCACCAUAAAGUCUUUCCCUUUGAUGUAUAAACUUUUCUUUCUCUUUCUUUUAUCUUUUUGGACCAAAAAAAACUUUCAUUACUUUCCAUCUUAACUCUCUUUGAUUUGAGGUAAACAUGUUCAAAUUGGUGUUGGAAGUUUUAACUUAUAGAUAUAAUUAAUGGCAUCUGUAAUGAGAACUCUUACGUUCUCUUAAAGUUUAAGGUAAAUUUGUUCAAAUUGCAUUAUAUGGUAGGUAGGUGUUUAUUAUAAAAGGAUCACCUGAACGUACUGUUGAUGUUAUAUACUUUUUUUUUUUUUUCUUUUGGGAUAACCGAAUCAUGCAAUUCAAAUAUUCAUUAACAUUUGCUCAAAUGGAAAACGUUCAACUAAUCGAGAGAGUUUAACGUCCACUACUUGGAAUCCGAGCCUUUUCCUUAUGAACUUCAAGAAUUACAUACCUCUUGUUCAUCGAGUAACUCAAGUCAUUGAAGUCCAACAAUUUAAUUGUUAAUAACUUACCAGGAAAGCUUAACUGUAUAGGAAAUCACAACGAUUAAAUGCUUAUCUUUGAAUUAAUUGUCGAAUCAACCUUUCCUAUUUUUACCAGGAUUGACCAAGUUUGGCCUGUGUUUUACCCAUCAACAUUAAUACUAGUACCCUAAAUGGAUAUCAAUAUAACAUUUAACACACGUGUAUACUUUUACUUCCAAUCUGCAUACACUUAACAUUUUAGUCGCAUAGCAAUGCAAUCCGUAUACACUUAAAUUACAAUUACAAUAUUGACAACAAAAGUUAUAACAUUGCUUUUAUACAUUUACAAAUAAUUGAACCGAGUUUCCACAUCAACAACAAUUUAUUCAUAAAAUUGUAAAAAUGUCAUAGGUAGAGUAAUUACUUCUAAUCGAAGUAAAGUAACCUAAAAAUGACUCUUUAGAACAAUGACAAUAAUUUUGUUGUAAUAUUUGUAAAUGAGGGUAUCACAUACCUGUAUGCACCUAAGAAUUUUCAUUUUUGAGAAAGUAUAUAAUUUCGUUAACUUAUCUAUGGCUAGAAAAGACACGUACAUCAAGUGAUGUCUUCAUAUUAGAAUCAUACAGGGCACAAGCCGCUAGCCUAUAAACAAUAUGAAAUGAAACUAAUCGAUCUAUCAACUCUAUGAAACGUAAAAGUAGUCGCCUAAAGACCUAAAUUGAUAUACAACUAACGAACAUAGAAUUAAACAGGAAUAAUCUUUAGUCAAAUCUAGACAAUUGUAGGACUAGAUCAGUAAAUUAGAUGAAACCCCUAGAUCUACUGAUGGGCUGGGCCAGAAUCAAGCAAUUCAAAGAUGGUCAGCAACCCGCCAUGAACAAACAUACAGCCUUAUACUUAAUUCAAUGUCGUUCCAUCCCGGUCAAAAAGCCAUCAUUUCAUAGCAAAACUAAGUUGUAAUAGUUGUUCCAACAAACCAAAACUUCACCACUGCCAUCAUGACUAAACGAAUCACACUCCCCUUCCGAACACCUCCGCAUCCAAUGAAACACCGAAAAUUCUUCUAUGCACCAAGAUGUAAGUGAACCGAGCGCGCAACUAAUAUGUAAUAUUUUGAUCUGGUCAUUUACGUCGCACUACAUACAUAUAUACUAAUACCGUUAACAAAAUUGAAACCUAAAAUAUAUAGUUUCAAGUGUUUCCAACUAAGGAGGUGAGACACUAGGUCGAAGACUCGAAGAAUAUGUACUCUUAUUAUGAGUGUUUAAUUUGAUCGAAUCAAAAAUGAAAUUAAAAUGAAAGAAAUUAGGGUCUUUAAUCUUCAUUCGAUCUUCUCAUACAGUGAUUUGAGCACUUACACAUUAAUGGUGCAAGUGCAUAUUGGUGUGUAGAAUCCGCUCCGAUGAAACACAAGCUAAACCCUCUUGCAAACCGCAACAAAACUUAGUAGUUGAUCCUUGACUAGAGAAUUGAACCACAAACAAGCUAGCUAGGUACACCGUCUAGAAGCCAUCACUCCCAUCAGUUCGGCAUGUGAGUGACACUGCCCAAAAUACCCGUCCGACAACGACAUACUAAAGAAGCGCCGCCGAACGUAGAUUAAAAUUCUCUACUUUUUUUUUUUGUCUAACUGCUAGAGCGACACAAAUUUAUAGCAGUGUGUAUAUAAGGUAAGUGGUUUUGAACACCAUACAAUGUUAUUAUUGGGUUUACUAAUGCUUUGGUUGCUGAAGCUACAACAUUGCAAGAAGGUCUCCAUACUAUGUUCUUGCACCGGUUACCGGUAUACAUACAAAUGUAGUGCAUGGUUGAAGGUGAUGAUUUGAAAGUUGUGAUUGAUUGUCUUCGGAGUAAGGUAAAUAGGCGAAUACCCCAUGGUGUACCGAGACGUUAACACAAGACAUCCAUCAGCUGACUUCUUUUUAUCUAUUAUGUUGUCUAUUGACUUGUCCAUCGGGAAGCGAGUUUUAUAGCUGAUUGGUUAGCUAACUUAGCUCAUGGGCAGGGGUGGAGCCAUGAUUAUAUAUUAAGGGGGGCCGAGUUACAAAGUGAAAAUACAUAAUAUUCAACAAUUGAGUAAUUUUAUAUGAAUACAAUAUCAAAAGGUAAUUAACUUUUAUGUAUUGGACAGUUAAAAAAUAAGUUACUAAACUGGAAAGAAAAAAUGAAAUUUGGAAUUCAUUAAAUACAUAGAGAAAUAACUGAAAUGAUUUUAUCAAUUACAAAGUAUUUGUACAUAAUAGAAUGAUAAAAAAGAAAUUAUUCAUUAUGGUGAGUUGAUUAAAUAUUAUGGAUAGAGUAUAUGACAAGAGUUGAUUAAGGUAGGAGAAAUAAAUUGGAUAAAUUAAACUUAGUAACAACAAAUGGUGUUUAUAGUUUAAUAGGAAAGGAACGGGGCCAAACCUCUAAAUUAGAAAGUUUUUACAUCUAAAUGAUCUAAUUAUAUCAAACUCCUUAAUAAGUAAAGUCUAAUACACAAGUUCAAAAAAAUUACAGGGGUGCCUUAGCCUCAAUAGAGCUCCGCCUGUGCUCAUGGGUCACAGUCUCCGUCAGUUCUUGCCUAUACUCUUAGUGUGUGUCCUAACAUUCCAUCUAGAUCAUCAAAAAAAACAAAAAAACACGGUUCUUUACGCUUAAAUGCUUAAUGAAAUAUACCAAAUUGGGCCAUACGCCACCAAAAAGAAAAUAUAUAUAUAUAUAAACGUGUCUUAGAAGUUAGACCACACAACCAAUCUUGGUAAAAAAGAAGCAGCAUCACAAUUUGCCACCACGAGUAACCAUUCACGCAAAGUAGGAUCCUCUAAUUUCCAACUCCAUGAUAACCAUUAAUUGUAAUUUGUUUCUUUCGAUCGUCAGGGAGAGAAGCGGAAGGUGGAAACCUCUGGUAAGUUGGGUAAAAUAAAUACUGCAUUGGUAGUGCAUCUGAUCCUCAUACUCAAGCUGGAGGAGUGGGACUGAUCAGAAGAGAUGCUACUUGUCACUAUUUAGGUUGUGAGUACCAUUCGAUUUCACAUGUUGCUUCACUGGAACAAGUUGAAGCAAUGGCAAUCAAGGAGGGCAACCGUAUCACUCUCUUGUCACUGAGCAAGGCCUUCCUCCGGUGAUGUUUGAGACCAACUUAAUCACCUCAUACGUACCCUCAUCUUCGGGUGUGAUGACAUUACCUUUUGUCUCUAUAUAUUAGAUGAAAGUAAAUUUGCCGACCAUCUUUUACUUGCCCACCUCAAUGUCCAUCAUCUAGAUUAGUGACACAUGUUCAUUUGAUUAUCAAGAAUAAAGUCAAACUAUCUGAAGAGACAUGUGUCACUAAUCUAGAUUGUGGGUAUUGAGGUGAUCAACUAACAACAAGUAGUCGACAAAUUUGUAUCCGUAUGUGUCAUUAAUCUAGAUGAUAGACAUUGAUAAUCAAAUGGGUAUGUGUUGGAAGCGAAUUUUCCAAUUUCUUUUUACUAGCCCACCUCAAUGUCCAUCACCUAGAUCCUUAUUUUUGCUCUCAGUCAAGCUAAUAUUGUGGCUUUUAAAUUAGUUUCUCAUUUUCUAGUGUUUCAUCGCUUGACUGGAGCAUCACGCCUCCUGCUUCUAUUUAUGAUAUAGUUACAAAGAGGAUAGUUCCUUCUCGUUGAUCAGAGCAUCUCCAACAGCUUUCCUAAAAUUUCUCUAAAAUGGGGAAACAAAAGCUAAAAUCUCCAAAAAAUUAUGAUCAAAAUCCAGCAGCUUCUCCAUUUUAGAGAUUUUGGCAUUUAAUACAACAAUAAAAUAUAAUAUAUCAUCAUGAAUUAUAACAAAAAAACAUUAUAUAUUUUAUUGUAACAAUAAACUACCCAAUCAAAUAUUUUAUUGUUGUUUUAAAUUCGUUGGAGUACGUGAAAAAUUUAAUUUUGGGGAAGCAAGGUUUUGCUGCAAAUUUAGGGAAUGAAUGCUUCUUUUUCUUCUUCAUCCCCAUUUUGGGGAAUGAGACAGGGAAGUUGUUGGACCUAAAAACAACUUUAUAUUCCCUAAAAUUAAGAAGUUCAAGAAAAUGGAGAAGCUGUUGGAGUUGCUCUCAGAUUCUGGUUAUAGUCAAUUAGAAAGGUGACCAAAUAUGUAUCAGUUAUAUAUGAACUGUCUCACAAAAAAGAGUCGUGCUGGUUGGAAACGCAAUUAUAGAUGAUGCUGACGACGGUUUGGUUUGGUGGUCUUGUUUCGAACCCCAAAAUCUGCAACAAUGAAGAGACACCAGAGAUCAUCUCCUCAUUCAUUGUUGACUUUGGAGCAAGAGGUGACCACUUGCUGUUGCCCUUAUUAAAUCAUCUUUGAUGAAGGAAGAGGUGUCCAAAUGUAGUAUAGUUUCUUAUUCAUUUAUCAUGUCUUUAUAACAAUAUAUAAUAUUCGGCCGACUGAACACAUAUCAGUUUAGUUAUCUGAAAACCUGGAGAACACACACAACAACAUAUAAUAUUCGACCGACCGAACACACAACGGUUUAGUUAUCUAAAGAUGUGGAAAACACACAACGGUUUAGUCAUUGAAAUGUGCAAAAAAAUGUUACUCCAUUGGGACGGUCACUGAGUUUGACCCAAGUAUGCAGUCGAUCAAAUAAAUGUCGAAUGAAGAUGACAUUCAUAGAUUCAUUCCCGUGUAGGAAACAAAAUAUGAGAGACCCUGUGUGUAUCAUAUAAAGAGUAUAGUGUAUACUAUAUAACUUCAUAUAUCUUCCCCUGCAACCAUAAGUUUCAUAUUUACAAAAUGCAACUGGUCUCACUCACUGGUUUCCAUCUGAUCAAAACUCAUGAAACACCUCCCUUGUGUCAAAUUUAGAGCGCCUAGCAGGGAAGAUUAUCUUUUACACACACUGAAGAUUAGAAAGAUGGACCAACACAUACUAGUAUUGAUGUGUGCAACUUAGAGCCUGCGCAUUGUGUCAACUCCAUCAAUGACAUCCAAGAACUUGACCCAGGUGAUAUCGGAGUCUAUUGGCCUGGACAACAGAUUCUCAAUGGGAAGUUUAUCUUUUGCUAGGAAUUCUCUGCUACUCUUACUCAGCCUGUGGUGUUUGCUUAACCUGCUGGCCUUUCCUGCGUCAAAAUUCUGACUUUUACUUGUUCCGAGCCUGAUGUUGUUUGUAGACACAUCCUGAAGCAUCUCCUGAUCUUCAGCUGUUAACACAUUCGUCCUCUGGUUGCGGGUUUCAACAGGUGACGAUGGCAUUCCACCAUGGCCAACCCCUGCCUGGCUGAUCAGAUAGUGUAGCAAGACUACUAGUUCACAAAUAUAAGCUUCAGUUUUUUUCUCAUUGGCAAUGGUGUAGAGUCUCAAUCCUCAGAGUAUCAGUCAAGCCAGUGCGCCAGCUCGCCUCAAACCUAACAAGAUGAAUUAGAAAAGUUCAAAGAAUAUAUGAAAACAGUUACAGAUAAACACACGAGAGACAUAUAUAUAUAUAUAUAUAUACACACAGGGCCCUUCCAAUGAGGGAUCCCUAUUUUAAGCCAUUUAUAGGGAUAUGGCAUUACACCAACUUCCCGAUUAUAAUUUUACAUCUCCACCGUUCAUAUCUUAGGUCUAUAUGAGUAGAUCACCUCUACAAAAUUUCAUAUGAUUUGGUGAUCGUUAAGACUUUCAAAAGUUCAAUUUAGUUUUAAUGACCUUCAACGGUUUUAGUUUGACAUAAGCUGGACCGUNNNNNNNNNNNNNNNNNNNNNNNNNNNNNNNNNNNNNNNNNNNNNNNNNNNNNNNNNNNNNNNNNNNNNNNNNNNNNNNNNNNNNNNNNNNNNNNNNNNNNNNNNNNNNNNNNNNNNNNNNNNNNNNNNNNNNNNNNNNNNNNNNNNNNNNNNNNNNNNNNNNNNNNNNNNNNUGUGUGUGUGUGUGUGUGUGUGUGUGUGUGUGUGUGUGUGUGUGUGUGUGUGUGUGUGUGUGUGUGUGUGUGUGGGCACGCUGAAACACUCACCUUGCAUUUGCCCAUUCUCCAACCCAUCCAAAGCCAUGAAGAGCUCUUCAAUAACAAAAUUACACUUGAAAUCAGUGAAAUUGAAGUAACAGAAAUAUUUGUUAACAAUGAAAUGGUCAGACAGAUAUAAGCAGGAAGAAAAAGUCCCCAAUAAACUACUUAAGAACUGAUCAUGGAACCAAAAGAAGUCUUACAUAACCAAGGAAGGGUAUUUUCACUGUCAGCAAUUUCAUGUUAGAAAGGAAAGCUAAGUGACAACAUUUUUCUUCCAUUCCACAUUAUGGCCCAUGGACACAUACAUUGAUAAGAAUUUUCCAGCUGUAGGGGAUUACAGGUUUAUUAGUAAGGGUUAAUUGCAAUUCAAUACAUGUGUUUUCAGUCAAACAACCCCUAUUAACUUACCAGCCUCAUGCAAAUAAAUUUUGACAAACAGCUCCUAUGAGCGUCACCUGUUUCUAUUACCUCUUGAGGUCGAGUACAUGGGGAUGGGGAAAUAAAUGCCCGGACAUUCAAAAUUAAGGGUUUUUUUAUUUGUUUGAGAAGCAAAUUAAGUGUUUUCAAUCUGCAUUGCGAAUAUUACUCUUCGGGCGAAAGAGUCAUUUACCAUUUCAAGGAGCAGGAAAGUUAACUUUUUACCAUUCUAUCACCCUACAUGUCUGUGCGCCCCAGAACCAAGGUUUGGCUUGCAUGAGGCCGGUAAGUAACAACACGAGGGAUUACUAAGGAUGCAAAAUUGCUGAACUGAAAUUGCAAGGUAGAAAAACAAAAAACAAAAAUAUAACCAACUAAGAAAUAAAAUAAAAAGCGGGUGCUAGAUGUUUCCAAGCCCAACUAAAGAUUUGAUAUAAGGUAGCGGUUUUACUUUGUUGUGUUAGUGGCAAUGGGAACAAGCCAAUCCAAAGUUCGCUUCAUUUCAGCUUUGAUUUGAGGAAUGGUGAGCUGCAAGAACAUCAUAUUUAGAGGUAAAGUUCUGCAUAAAAUGACGGAAGGAAAUUUCAUUUGGAACAACAUUGCUACAAAAAAACAUCUAUGAAGAUAGUAACAUUCUAAUUGGCAAUCAUAUACAGAAAGCAUACAACUCAACCUCAACUAACUGAAAUUUUGAGCGCAGAGCUGACUUGACACUGCAUGGUAGUCCCUCAUACAGAGUAUCUAUCACACUUUGAGGCACUAAACUUGAUCGAGACACCUGGUUACAUUUAGACAUUACUCAGCAUAAGGUCAUGAUCUCUAGGAUUCUAUAUUUUGCAUUGCCUGAAUCUCUUUUAACUUAUCAUUUUAAUAAACAUUGAUCGUGUCUGUAUUAUACUAGACUUUGCAACAAAAAUAUGAAAAAUCAUUCUUAUAUAUACCAAGAAUAAACCGUAAUGGGCAAUCUAGACCUUGUAUUCUUAUAAUACUUGGAAAAGUUAUAUUUACAGAAAAUAAAACAAUCAUGUUUCUCAUAGAUUUAUGACCCAAUGGAGCAAGACAGUUCAGGCACAUUCAGGUGAUAGACUAUAAAGGAGGCAAUUUAAAACAUGUUUCAACUGAAAGUGGUAAACCUAUAUCAUACUAUAAAAAAUAAAAAAACCGGUAAAGGCAAUAGCAGAGGAUGAAUCUAAACUUACAAGUGUGUUAAUUUGCGUAAUAAUAUGUGCGUAGUGUAAGGAAGGUCCAGUAGGCCCCAACCUUUUACAGUUACUCUGAGUACGUUUCACUGGUUCAUCAUCAUCUGCAAGGGGGAGGGGUAGACAUCAGGAAGCUUUCCACAUAUCAUGAUCACCUUCAUCUACUUAAAACACUUAAAUCUAUUAUCUUCUGUUUGACGAAACAGCAAUAUGAGAAAUGAAUAUCUGAUUCGAUGGUAAUAGAUUCUAUGAACGACUUUCUUGUGGUUCGAAUAGAGCACUGUCCUAUCAAAGCCUUCUAGAAAGUAAAUGAUAACAAUGGUGGCCUUUAAAAUGAGGAUAUAAAAUUAUAUUAAUCAUGAAUUCAUAAUAAAGGAAAUUAGAGAGUUCCUGGUCCAUAAUUGAAUGCAUACCAGGACUUCCAAAAGCUUCAUGAAUCUUUAAGUGUAAUAAUUGUACAAUGUCAACAAGCUUCGGCAUAACCUGUAAUCACAAGAUAUUAGAUAAUAAUUCCAUGGUUGUUUUGUUUUUUCUUUUUUUGGUAAAACUGGUUGUUUUUUUUUUUUUUAAAUGAUUGAUUUAUCAGGUGAAAGAUUAACUCACCCCAUUACUUCAUGAGAACAUGCAUAAUGACUAAAAUUUUCAGGAAACAGAGAAAAUCAAUUAACCUCUAUAUUCCAAUAUUAAAUUCUACAGCACUGUACAUUUGAAAUCAUUAUUUUCCUGUGGUCACAAAGGCAGAAGACAUUUUCCUCAACUGCCAAUGGAAAUGACACACAAGGGAAGAGGUAUCGAUCAUAUUAUUUUCUUUUUCUUUUCUUUUUUGAAGGAAAAUUAAUUGAGUGGCAGAUUUGUAACUGAGGUUUUGUAACAUUUGCAAACAAUAUAUACCUUUUCUUCAAGCUGGUGCGAACAUUUUAAUAUGGGUUUUAUUGGGUAGGUUUGUGCUCUAUGAUUUUUCUGUAAACUACUUUUGAUAAGAAAAUAGGUAUAUUGCAGUCAAUAAUUAAAUGAAUACUGAGGGUCAGUAACCUGUUGCAGAAAUAAUACUAAGAAAAAGAUAAGAAAUUAGGUGGUCUUUUCAGGUAUAGCUGCUGCCAAAUCUUCCGUAAGUGAAAUUUUCUACAUAUUCUAUGCAAAAUGUGCACAUAUUGAACCUAAAAAGACAGCUAUAUGAAGGAAUCACAAUUUUUACCUCUUCCAAAGUCUUAGACCAAAGUGAAUUUUUCUUUAAACUGUUUACAAGCUUCAUUUGAUUCUUUAUAUCUGCUUUUAAAAUCGCAAGGUUGUCUCCUGCACAUGAAGAAAUUAUGUGAACCAUCAAACAAAAGUAUACACAAGAGGACAAUCUUCUGGGCUGAAGCAAAACCAACAGCAGAAAUUUGAGGUAAAAUGGUGCAUAAGCCAAGCCAAACAAAUACAAACAGACUAGUUCCAAAAAAUUGAGUGCAUUUAUCAUGAAAAUCCUAAUGGACUCGGCAACUAGACUGCACCAGCUUGUUAGGAUAUCAGUGCUUUUGAAGUUUUCAGAAACCUACCAGCAGCUGCAAAAUAGUACUGUAUGUGACAACAAUUAGAAACAACUCAGAUGGAAUUAACCAAAGUCCAAAGACAAGGUUUACCUCUUCUUGCAGUAACUGAACUAUCUUCUUCAAGCUUAUGCCGAUAUUCUUGUUCCAAUCUAUCCAACGAAUGCAACUCAUGACACAGUUCCUGAAACCAAGAAACAAAGAUGAAUUUCCUUCAUUAGUGUUCAAAGGAAAAAUUCUUCCGAGCUCAGCUUAUCCACUGCAGUAUUCGUUCAUCAAUGCCUGUUCUCUACUCAAUUAUCUUGGAUCCACUGACUCCCAUAAUCUUGGGUUCUUACUAUUACAAAAACAUGAAAAGAGCAGUAUCUUAUGGUUCUGAUGAAGUUCCUGCCAACAUUUUUCUAUAAAGCUUGGGAAAACACCAGAUACACUUGAUUGGCGUCUAACGAUGCAAGAUUAAUAAUGACAAGAACUUAUCAGCAUUAAAUAGCAAAUCUUCUGCAGCUGAGUAUAAUGAAACAAGAUGCAUCACCACCGCUCUUCUACAACUUCAAUAAAAAAAUAACACCCAACUAAAAACUGGAGUAAAUGUCCACAAAGAAGAAAACAAUAAAUGGGUGUAUAUUGCUAUUAAUUCAAGGAGAGCUCCAAGAAUCAGAAAAUGAAUAUGUUCUCCAAUCCAGUCCUUUUAAGUGACUUAAAAGGUUAGGUACCAAUACAAAAGAUGAAGUGUGUACGGUGCAUACCCAUUUUCCGAAAAGGUCAAGCAACAAAUUUGUUUUAUCAGACUGUCUUUAAAAAUAAAAAAAUAAAAAUAAAAAAAUAAAAAAAAAACAAUUGUCCCAAACUGGAUAAACAUAUUCCAGAUAUUCAAAACUAAACCAUCAACAGAUGCAACUGUAACAAAGAGUGUAGCAUUUCCUAUAGUUAAUGUGCAAAAACUCACCGCGGUUGACUGAACUAAAUUUAUCAAAUAUUCCAUCCCUCUCUCUGCUUGCUUCUUCAAAUGAGUUUGUUCAGUAACCUUCGAGCCAAUCCUAUUAUAAUGAAAAUAAGAAGAUUAAACAUAUCUGAUAAUAGCGAUCCAAGAAAGUGAGUCAAAAUAUUGCAUUAGUAUUACUUGCUAAAAUAGCGAUCCAAGUUGUGCCAUAUUGGAUCAUAAGUGCGAUUUCCAAAACGUACAACAUCUCUGAUAAAAAUUCUCAAUUCUUCUCUGCCAUAAAUUGUGAAGGAGAAAGUCAUUAUUUUUCUACGAGGAUGAUCAAACAAUAAUUGAUACUCUUACCCCAGAAACAACUAAAAUGUGAUGCUGAUUAUGGAUCACCUCUUGUCAGCAGCGGCAAUUCUGAGGAGCUCAUCCAUAUCAGUAGAUAUUAAACUUUGCACCCCUUUGGAUGGGAGCAGCACCUCUUUUAAAUAUCUGAUAUUAUCCUCUGACAGGGACUGCAUUAGCUUCACACCCUUGACAAUUGAGUUUGCAACUUCAAAAGCCAAAAUUGCAAUUGUAUUCCCUUUUGUUUGCACCUCAGAAUAUAAAGUGGGGUCCCAAUUACUGAUGCUACUGCCGAACGUGUCCAAGAUAUCCAUUGCCUUUCCAAACCCAGUCGAGCUAGCUUUACCUAAAAGAGAGCUUACUGCUGAAACCUAUAGUAUGAUAAUGUUACUUAUAUGUUAACAACAGGUGGAAUUUGCUAUAUUCCUAUCAAAACUGAAGACUGUGUUCUGUAUUUAUAAUGUACACCCAGAAGAGCAGUUGACUGCAAAAUUUGCUAUCAGAAAUGCAGAAGUACAAGUCUCAGUUCGGUGUAUGAUUUAAAUUGCACUACAGUUUGUUACUCUAUUUUAAUUUAUUUUUUUGGGGAACGAAUGAUUCCUGUAGCAAGCUGCUAAAGCAAUUGUGAACCAAUGUGUAGCUACUCUAUUUUGGAAAAAUUAACAUUGACUAUAACGUAAUCUUGGUAUGUCUCUUUUUCACAAACUUAUAAUCAAGAAAGGCUACCAUUAUAUACGUCUUUAACAUAUUAUAAAAAAUAAAAAAACAAAACACCAUAAGUAACAGAAGUUUCAGAAUGUAUCUGUAAAUAUUACUUUAGCAACAGCGGCCUGUUUAGAGAAGCAAGCAGCUCCAUCAUUGAUAUCAAUUGGAUGUCCAUUUGUAAAUGGAAACCAAUUAGGAUUAUGAUCAUAUGCUCUUGGGCCAUUACUAGCAUGAUGGUAAUUUAUAGCUACAGUGAUAUCUUCUACUUUGGGCGUCCGUUUCACCUUGUUGCGAAUCCCACCCAUUACUGUAUGUGAAACACCCACAAGCUGUAUCUUGUUGUAGGAAACCAGAAUCGCCAAACCCAGAAAUGAGACUUUUGAGAGAGAAGCUUGGCAGGGAUGAAGAAAGACGGAGAUGGCUCGUUUGGGUUCGCGCGUUUACUUUUCUUUCUUUCCAGCUGUUGAGGAGAAAAGAUUGUUUUUGGUCAACUCACGAUUCUAGAGUAGACAAACCUAGGUUUUUUUUUUUUGAAAGUUAGACAAACCAGGUUAAGCAAGCUCAAUUUGUUCCCGAGUGGGACCCAUCGGUUCGUGCGCUUGCGGUGGUGGGACCCAUGUAGAUCCAUGUCAGUUUAAAUAAAAAUGGAGUUUGGUGUGUAACUUCAAAACAUAGAUAGUGUUGGAUAGGAGACCUACAUUGGUUGGUUGAAAUGACCAAGGCACCCUUAACAUUUGCAUCAGUGUCAUUACACUAGUGUACAUGAGUUAAUAUACUCUCUUGAUACAAAGGGAUCCAUUGUAAAAAGAACCACCAAUUUUUACUGGUUUUAAAAGCAAGAAAAGGGAUACCUUGAACUUUCAAUUAUUAUUUGAAUAUUCUGUACAUACACAACACUAAGGAAACUAUAACUCAACAUGCUUUUCCAUUUCCACAUCUACAGAGUUUGACUUACAUUGAAUACACUUACCUCCCUAGAUUUUAACAUUCAAAAAGCCAGUGAUUUAUCACUCAGCAUUUGCUUACUAACACAACAUCACCCUUGCCACAACCUGAGAGCCGCUUCCAAGGAAAAAUUGUAGCAGUUGGACCUAUUACACAUACACAUGGAGACUUCGCACGUCUGCCAAUCCUCAAAUACUUCGAAUUGUGUCCACUCGAUCAAUGAGAUCCAAUGCCUUGCUCCUGUCAAUAUCAAAGUCAAUGACAGGUACGGAAGAGGGCCUCCUUAUGGGAAAAGGAUCUUUCCUUCGCUCACUUGUUGGAGAGUGGCUACUACUUUUACUUAACCUAUGGUACUUGCUGAACCUCGUCCUUGCAGUGUCAAAUUCCUGACUUUUACUGAUCCCCGGUGUCAGUUUUCUCUUACUUACAUAUCUUAGCAUUUCUUGAUCUUCAACCGUUAAUACAGGGGAUGGACAGUUGGCCUUGUUUAUAGAUAACUGAAUUGUCCUCUGGUUUGGGGAGUAAAUUGGGGAUUUAAUAGGAGAUCUGAUUCCAUUAUUUCCAACCCUCACUUGGUUGACCAGAUGAUGUAGCCACACCACCAGCUCAAGAAUGUAAGACUCUGUUUUAUUUUUAUCAGCAUGGUGUAGUGUCUCAAUCCUCAACAAGUCAGUCUGACCAGUAGGUUUUCGGUUCAUCUCAGACCUAAAGAAUUAAGAUCUGUUAGAACUACCAAAACAUGACAGAGCAAUAAAUAAAUAUAUAAAUAAUUAAAAGCCAUCUGCAAGUCAGAACUCACCCAGUGUUUGCCCAUUCUCCGACCCAACCGAAGCCAUGAUGAGCUCUAAAUGAACACAUAGUGAAAAGCAACACUCAAUAUAUAGAACUAAAAACUUUGAACAUAUUUGAAUCAUAAAUGAUAUAGAGGGCACAGUAAUAAAAUUUGAUCUACGUUAAUAUUAAUUGGAAAGAACUAGAGGUGAAAAGCUAACCCAGAAAACAAAACAAAACGAUGACAAAUAAAAGUAGAUAAGCAGACAAAAUGGAGCUUUACUUGGUGGUGUUAGCAGCAAUUGGAACAAGCCACUGCAAAGUUUUCUCCAUUUCAGCUUUGAUUUGAGGGACUGUGUGCUGUGAGAAUAGCGUUUGAAGAGAAUAGUUAUAAACCAGGACAAGGAUGAGGAAAAAAUUGACAGUCAACUGUGAAGUGGAGAAAUAACAUGAUAACGAUAAUAUAACUUUGGUUAAUUAAUGUCCUUGAACUGCAUACACUACAGAUACCUCUUCCUUAACCUGAAAUGACUGUAGUUUUGAGCGCAAAGCAGACUUUAUACCAGGAGGCAGCCCUUGAUAUAACGUAUCUCGUGUGUUUGGAGGCACAGAACUUGACCGAGACACCUGGUUACAUUCAAAUGUUAAAUCAUAAGACCUUGACCCAGUAUAAAGCCUAUGUUUCCAAAAUGUUAAUCAACAAGAAAAAAAUUGAACUGCAGACUGCAGAGGAUUGGUUAUUGAACUUGUGAAAAAAAAAAAAAAAAACUUUCAUCAUAAUCCAGAAAAUUACAAUAACCAUGUGUUUAAACUGUUCUGAAAAACUGAAGUGGACACAACGCACUCUCACUGUCAUAGUUAAGUUGUUGUACCACUCUUAUGUAGACCAUAAUAAAAAGUCUAGAAUGGUAAACUUUCUAGCUUGUAGUUAAUAAAUGAUAAUAUCACCUUUCCUUCUCAAUUAGCAGAGGACUAAAAGAUUAAGUUUGGCAAGAUAAUAUGUGCGUAAACAAGAAGGUAAGAAGGAAACACGGAAGGGACAAGUUUAGUAGCACACCUUUUCCAAAUUUCCACCAUACAAAAAAAAAAGUUUGCAGUGCACAAGGAAAACACUCACGAGAGUAUCGAUUUGUGUGAUAAUAUUUGCAUAAUGCAAGGCAAGACCCGCAGACCCCAACUUUUUGUGAUGGUUUUGAGAACCUUUCACAGCUAUAUCAGUAUCUGCAAGACCAAACAAAGAGAUACAUCAGAUAAUAGUCAGUCAAUGCAAGAUCAAGAAUUGCAAUAGAGAAAUGAAAUUAUAGGCAGUAACUGGAGAUUAUAUGAAGAGAUGUUAGCUAUUUAAUUUGGAGUAUUGAGGGAGUAAUGGCCUUAUCCUAUAAAUUCUGGUGGACUUUAAUGUACGGUUUUAGAUCCUUUAGAAACCACAAAAAGAGAACAAAGCUGUCUACCCGUGUCAUUACAUACUCCCAACAUAAAGAUGCUUCUCACUUUGUAUAAGUGAACAAGGUCAACAUGAUUGUUUGCAAUCCAAGUCCAAUUGAAAUUUAUUUAGAAGGUAAAAACUAAAAUAGAAAGCCAGAUCUACAUCAUAUUUUUAUCAACAUCCUUUCCGACUCCCAAGGAGAAGUAGAAAGCAUCCUAGAAGACAACUGUCUAAAACUAUCCAAACUUUUGAAGCAUACCAGCAACACCAAAUGCUUCAUGGAUCUCCAAAUGCAAGUAAUGCACAAUGUCCACAAGCUUCUCCAUGACCUGAAAAUAGGAGAUACAAGAUUGGCUGUGAGAACUUGAAGAGAAAGCUUUUAACAAAAAAAUUUGCUCAACGUACCCUCCCAAAUUUAAACACCCUGUGACUAAUGUAUUUCUCAGAAACUGAAAGAACAAAUCAUUUAAAAAGACCAGCUGGGGGAAAUGAUAUUUUCUAAUGAGCUUCGGCAUCAAUUUAAGUUUCUUCAUCAGUCCUUUUUAGUAAUUUUCAAGAGGGUAUUUUCUAUUUUCUUAUUAAUGUUCAUUAAAGCAUGGAUAGGUGAAGUAAAUUUCUGACUGUAAAGAAAAGCUCCCACAGUUUUAUCACGUGAUUAUAGUUCAAUUGGAUUGGAAUUGACAGCUGCGCUGUGAGGCCAACCAUAUGGUAAAUAUCCAAUAUGAUAUUUACCUUCAAACAGUCAGCACUAAAGUCAAUUAAAAAAAGAAAAUGUAUCAUAACCAAGAUGAGAUAGACGAAAAAGGAAAAUUAGCUUAAUACCUCUUCCAGAAUCCUAGACCAGAGUGAUUUUUUCUUCAAACUUCUCACAUGCUUCCUUUGACUCUUCAACUCGGCUCUUAAAAGUGCAAGACUAUCGCCUGUGUCAAAAUACAGACACAACGAGAUAAAGUUACUUGAUAGUUAUAGUUUCAUGGAAUCAUGGCAUGCGAAAAAAGAUGUAGUAAAUUUCAACAAAACAAAACCAGGCUAAUCAUCGGAAUAAAAGAUGCAUUGACUUGGACAACCCAACAAGAGCAAUGUUGAGUCCCCCAGCCGGGAAAAAAAUAAUAAAAUAAAUAAAGCCUCACAGAAAAUAGUCAAUUUGCUAACUGCAUUUCUCCAGACAAGAUGAUAUUUCUAUUAUUAUUUUAAUUUAUACUAAAAGUUGUCAGAACUGGCAGUAAAUUUGACUUCGUACAGACAAAACACUAUCCAUUUGGACCAUCGGUAUGAUUAUACCCAGACAUACCAAUGGCUUCCCUACACAAACACACAUACACACCAGAUAGAUGGCACCUGUACCCAGAAUAAAUGGCAGAAAGAACCAAAAAGAAUGUUAAUACAAGUUACCUUUUUGGGUGGUAUUGGAGUUGUCCUCCUCUUGAAGUUUCCGCCGAUAAUCUUGUUCAAAUCUGUCCAAUGCGUGCAACUCAUGAUAUAGUUCCUGUAACAAGAAAGAGGUGCCUUUCCUUCAGUAAAUCUCCAAGGAAUGUAUCGGUCAAGUAGUAGGUUUCCAGUUGGAAAUAUUUAAAGCAAUACAAGACUUGUUUAUCUAUCAAAAACAGAAAGAAAAAUAAUUACAAAACAGGUAGGGAUUUCAUAGAUCACACACAACACGGAGCAAUCAAACAAGCUAUUGAACGUGUGGUCGACAAAGUCCACUGCUACAUUCCCAACUACAGUAUCCACUCAUCUUUGUGCUCCCUUCCUGCUAUAAAGCCUUCCAACUACAAGCUCUUUCCAGCACACUCAGUCACUAAACUUAGGUACAGACCAUGAAAUUUUAAUCCAAUCUCGUAUACAAUAGACUUCCUUAUCUGGAGACAUGAAAACUGCAAAUCCAUAUAUGCAGUUUUAAAUUACUGGCCCUCAAAUUUGAUAAAAUACCAACUUUUAUGAUGUCUUGCCUUUUAGGUCAAGAAGGGAAGAUUGCCGAGCAACAGAACCAAGGAUUUUGGUUCAGAAGGUACAAGUACUAGGUUCAACAGUUCAUCAGUUUUAUUCUCACCACAAUGUCCAUUGAAGAGCUGAAAUUCAUGAAACAUAGCAUAAUUGAACAUUCCAUACAAUUUACUGGAGAAUACAAUUUAUAAGAUUGGAUGAGGAAAAAAUUUUAACUAUGUUUUUCUUUUGCUCUCGAUCUUUUGUUCCUUUUACCAUUUGCAAAGAGGCUCAUUUUAUUGCUUACAAUUUCUUCUGAAGAGAGUACAGGGUGCAUCAGUCUCUCUCUCUGCCCUCCACCCCCAACCCAUUAACUAUCAGAAGAGCUUCAAGAACCAGUUCAAAAACGGUUUUGUCUCCAAGCUGAAACACAUCAGGCUCUCUGAACUUGCAUAUUCUUAAACUUUUGUGCUACUCAUUCUUUCAUACUGGAAUUAUCUAGGGACAUAAGAUGAUCUUGUAGAAUGAGAAGUACAGCUGCUACGAGUGAAGAAGAAAAUUUAAGUUUAGGAUUUCCUAGAGUGUCGAAACAAAAAGAAAUGCCCUCUCGGUCUAUAUACUCAACAUCUACAGGUAUUGACUAUUUGAGUCUGCAUUUGAUUUAUAGUUAGUCAAUGAGGAAUGCUUACUAAAACGAUACUUAAUGCAUCUGCAAGCUGCAAGAAUGAAGAGCAUCCUUCGCAACAGAAUCUAAUUUAAUCAUGCAGCAUUGUGAUGCAGCUCAACAACAAUACAAUUCACUACUGUAAUAAAAAACUUCAUACCAACCUUCGACGAAGAUCAAUUGGUUAUCUGUGGGAAGCUAGUUAAUUUUUAUUGACUUCUUAUAAUCGCUACAAAACCUCAUCUGCAUCUAUGGAUUACUGAUGAAUUUCAUUCAGCUUCUUCCCUUGUUAUAUAGGCAGACAAAUCUUAUUUCACAAAGGUGCAAUCAAUCCAAUGACAAUCAUAUACCCAUUUGUUUUCCCAGCAGAAAGAAUAUACUAAGCCAAAGAAAAUAAAAUAUAUAUAUAUGUGUGUGUAUAUGUACACGCCAGAUCAAGAGCGGACGUCCGCACUGGCCUUAAAGUGCGGACGUCCAUCCGUUCUCCACCCUCUGGCGCCGGCGACGGCACACCUCCACCCCAAAAGACUCCAGCAGCGUCCCCGACCACUUUCCCUCCCCGGUGAGUCCGUUCUUUUCCAGUUUUCCGGCGAGAUCACCCAAAACUUCAAACAAAGUCGAUCUCGCCGGAAAACUGGAAAAAAACGGACUCGCCGGGGAGGGAAAGUGGUCGGGGACGCUGCUGGAGUCUUCUGGGGUGGAGGCGCGCCGGCGCCGGCGCCCGGAGGGUGGAGAACGGACGGAUGUCCGCACGACGUCCGCACUUUAAGCCGAGUGCGGACGUCCGCUUCUGAUCCUCUCUAUAUAUAUGUGUAUAUAUAUAUAUAUAUAUAUAAACCUCUAGAAUAACAUGGUGCAGGUUGUUACAUGAACUCUAUAUAAAUAUAAACCUUUAGAAUAACAUGGUGCAGGUUGUUACAUGAACUCUAAGACAAGUCACUAAUGGACGCAAGUGAAAGAGACGAGCAUUCUCUUUACAUGCAUUAACUUACAGCUGUAUACUGAACUAAGGCCAUUAGUUGUUGCAUCACUAUUUCUGCAUCCUCCUUCAAUUGCCUCUGAGGUGUAAGUUCUGUACCCAACCUAAAUAUAGCACAGGUGACCAGCAAAUUCUGAGACGGAUUAAAUUGAGUAUAUACUAUUAAAACAAACAAGAUAUGUUAAACUUACUUCUCAAAGUAGCGAUCCAAAUUGUGCCACUGAGGAUCUUUACAACGAUUUCCGAAACGCACAACUUCUCCCGAAAAGACACUGAGUUCUUCUCUGCCAGGAUGUGACAACAAAACCAUAAAUUAUUCUCAUGUAUUAUUAUUUGAAGAUCACGGUAAUAACAAAGACAGCUUUUCUGAUCAUCCAGAAAAUUAUAGAUGGAAAGGUUUCACUGCCAACCUCUUGUCAGCUGCAGCAAUUCGCAGGAGUUCAUCCAUAUCUCUCGAUAUUAAAUUCUGUACCCCUUCGGAUGGAAGCACAGACUCUUUCAAAUGUUUGAUGUUAUCCUUUGAAAGGGAUUGCAUUAGAUUUGAACCCUUCACAAUUGUGUUUGCAACUUCAAAAGCCAAAAUUGAAAUUUUGUUCCCUUUUGUUGUCACUCCAGAGGUAAAACCACUACUAGGAUUCAGAUUUGUCAUGCUACUCCCAAGGGUGUCCAACACUUCCACAGCCUUCCCAAGUCCUGCAGUACCAGCCUUGCCCAGACGUGAGCUCACUUCUGAUACCUGUAAUCAAGCAUAACAAAACAAACAGAUAAAUCUACAAGUAACAAAAUUGAAAAAAUAAAGAAAUAAGAAUUUGUUAUUAUAGGUAUUUAGAAACAAAGCAGUACCAUUUACUUCACUACUGAUUCAAUUUCUACUUUAAACACCAACCACCAAAAUCCUAAUGUUGCCAUAUCUAUUACAGGAGAAAUUUAAAACAUCUAACCACUAACUUGAGGACUUACGUAUCAUGAUUAGAUCGAAUAUGAAUGGUGAUACACACAACCACAUAGAUGGUUUUCUCAACUUCAGUUCUCAGUAGGUUGUGUACAUACAGAAUUCCUUUUCUGGGAUCCCUAGUCAAAUAGUGGCAGGGUAAGUUUUACUUAUUCAUACAGAUCAGUUUUUCUCAUUAGAGUGUAGAAUCACCCUUAUGUUAAACUCAGGUGUGUGCGGUAAAAACCAGAUGAUGUCUUCUAGUCUAACGUUUCACAAUAUAAAGUGCACUAUAAGCGCCUAAGCUCAUUCUAAUAGAGCCACUAUUAAAGAGUCCCAGUCCCAUCAGAACUCACUAUCAGCGGCUUGUGGUUCCAAUGCUAUAGAAAAGAAGAUGCAGCAUCCAAUGACCAUUCAUACUGUUACGGAAAAACAGGUAUUACAAAGCAACAUAGGCAAGAAGAAGAAGAUAAUAACAUGUGAGGCAUUAGAAUUACCUUAGACUUGGUAGCUCUACUCUUUUGCGAUAAGGCUCUAGACAAAUGAGGAAUGCCGUCAUUGACAUCAUCCGUGAUCAUUCCAUAAGGCACCAUAGUAUUGGUCUCCGGCACCAUGAAAGGGUCUCGUAAUUGCUUAUCAGUAACCGGUGACGGUGUGGAGUUUCUGUUUACUUUGGCAGGCACGCCGGCAGAGACAUGUCCAUUAACAUUAGGAAGGAUUCCGGUGGAAGCAAUAUUAGCAGCGACAUCCUCAACAGUGGAUCUCCUCGACUUGGAGCAAAUCCCACCCAUUGUGAUGAUAACCCACCACCAAGUAUAUUUAAUGCAAGAUUCAAGUCAAAUGAGAAGCAUCCCUGUAAAACAAGAAUGAUCUACUCCAAAGUCUUGAAUAUAGAAACCACAGUAGCCAUUCUGAUCAGUGUUGGAUUUGCAGUCCAUCAACUCAGGUCCAGGUAGCUGCAAUACAGUGAAGACCCAUUACUCAAAAACACUAGAAAGCAGCAUUACAAGUAGAAUAAGGAUGAAAUCUGCAAAACCCAGCUGGGAAUUUCAGAUUUUACAACCCAAGACGAGUAUGAGAGAGAGAGAGAGAAGACUUACAGUUGGAUCUGUUUUGCAGGGAGAUAGAUGGACGAGGGUGCCCGAUUGGGAGUGUAAAGACAGGAGAGAGAGCUGAGGAAACCAAAAAUGAAAAGCAACGCCUGCAAAUUGUAAACAGGAACAACACAGUGUGUCUAGUGAGAGAGAAGACUGGGCCUUUUUGUUUCAACUCUCUUCUUUUCUUGUGUGGGGUCUGGUCAGGUCAGGUCAGAGGUAACUUGUGGGAGCAAAAGAGUGUGCGGGAGAGGAGGAGGAGGUAGUCAAAGCCCCAACUCCGGUCACCCACUGCCCUAAUUUAAAAAAAAUAAUAAUAGAGUUGCAUUGGGGAUUCAGAAUAAUAAAAGCAGACAUUUAAUGAAAAGGAUGGUGAGUACUGAGUAGUGACCAAAAGGGCGGUGAGUAGUGACCGGCCAAUGUUAGAAAAAAAAAUUUGGGAAUGGAAAUUCUUAUAUUUAUCAUCAAUAUCGCCAACCUUAGACAGAAAAAUGUUAAAUUGAAAUUAAAGUGAACCCAUCCGGUACUUGUAAGAAAACUAAAAAUAAUGAAAACACAACCUUUAAAGCAAAAUAUUAGUUGAACUUCAUAUAAUUAUUUAAAUAUUUUUUAGACAUAUAUAUAUAUAACUUUAUUAUUUAUCUAUGGCCAAAAAACAUAUAUUGUCUUUAAUACCACAUUCAUAGCCGGCACAAGCCACCAUUCAAUAUGACAGGUAGCCUUCAUUUUAAAUUUUCUCAAAUAUGAACCUACGUAUAGAUAAUAUCAUAGGCUUCUUGCGCUUUGGAAAAGACGUUGUAGUAGUAGUCUCCGCUAGACUAGCAAGGUCCGAGCGGUAAAAAACAUAACCAAGGAGAGGCAGCACAUUCAGACCAAAAAAAAAGGAGAGGCAGCACCGAUCCUGGAGAAAAGUAUAUUACGCUUAAGCAACAUAUGAUUAGAAAUAUCAUGAGUAAAGUGGAUGCAGAAUUUACCUCAAUGAAUUAUGUUCUGUCAUGAUCCAAAUAACUAGGGCUAUUUUAGUAAUCAAACUAGUUUUGAUUCCGAUUCUAUAUGGUAAAUAAACAACAUCAAUCAUAAUUAGUUUCAUUCAUGUUUUGAUUCCUUAUGGUAAGUAAACAGUGGAAUAGUAUGAAAUAUUCUCAUACCGAUUAUUGUUGAUACCAAUGUUGUUGAUACCGAUUCAUGAUAAUUUUCAUUUCAAGUUAGUAAACGUGCUCUAAGCAAUCACUAUAGGCUCGUCACUAAUUCUCAAUAGUGACCACUUAAUAUACUUGGUCACUAACGGGGUUUUAUGCAGCAAAGAUCUUCUGCUGUUGUACAUUAUAUUGCAUUCCUCUUUUCAUGCAUGUAUGCAUUCGGCUUUAACUUUUGGAAAGAAGUUUGUAUAGUUUUAUUUACAGUGAGUUAUGUAACUGUUUGUUCUUUUAUUGUUGUUUCUUACAGAAUUGGACAAGUAGCUAAUUCCGGGAACAUUGAACUCUUAGAUACAGCUUCAUUUCCAGGUACAUUCCAGCUCCUUUGUCUACUAGAAGCUAUAGGCCUAAAGUUCCAUUGAGCUUUCUACCUGUUUUUCCAUUAACUUGGUGCAUGUUGCUUGCCAAUGUAACUAUUACACUUCUAUGUAUUCUCUUAAAAGCUGUGGUGGAUAUGGCUGCAUGAUCAUGAGGUAUGUGCUUUUUAGUGUCUGCUGAGUUAUUAAUUUACUGAAUUAUGCUGUUAAGACUGUGUACAUGGUAAAAUUACCGAUUUAUUUAAGGCUACACAAAUUGAAGAAGAAUCGAGUGUUUAUGUAGGUGUAGCUUGGAAAGCUUGUUCUUUGUAUUUUUUUUUCUCUUGCUAUUCAACUGCAUUAAAUAUUAAUCUGGAAUCUAAUGUUUUAGUAAUUUCUGGACACCUUAACAUAACUAGAUAUCAAUGCGCCAUAGAAUUUGGCCUAUACAUAUAAUUACACAUUAGGGUAAGAGGCAAUCUCUAUGUGUGAAUUUGUUUUGUGAAAUCAACACAGAAUGUGAAGUUUUGUGAAAUCAAUACAGAAGCUUAAGUAGUUUUUGUUUUCUUUGUUGGUUGAAGGCAUGAGGUCGAUAUUUCAUAACUCAAGAAACUUCCUGUGACACAAUGAGGUCAAGGUGAGAAUUUAUGAGUUUGCUGUUUCUUUUAUCCAUUACAUUCUUGGUAUCUUUUUUCGUACUUCCAUUUAUCUUUGUUCCUCUCCCACAUUCAUAUACUUUUUUUGAGAAUCUGGGAUGUCAAGGAACAUCUGAAAAUUUUCAUGAGUUUCACCAUGAAGAUAUCGAUGUAAAAGCACUGUAGAACUAAAGCAAACUGUAAUUCUAGGUUGAGUGCCUUGCUACUACUUUCAAAAGAUAGGCUGUGGAAUUUUGUAGCUGUGAUAGAACCUGACCAAGCUACCAUCAAUAACUAAAUUACAUGGAUUAUCUGAUUAUGGACCAUACUGAAUUGUAUAUCUGUGGUUUAUUGAUAGAAAUUUGUCGUCUUGGGAUUUUGUCCAAUUAGUUUGCAUUCUGUUGUUCUCUGUACCAUUUUCUGUGAUAUGCAAGAUUAGCUUGAUAAUUUGUACAUGUUGACCAAUUGGUUAGUUGUGUAAACAAUUUUGCUCUGAACCCACAAUUCACAAUUCCUUAUGAAUUUUGUGCUCAAUUAUAUAGUGAAAGGUAUCAACUUAUCAAUCUGUCAAUUAUAUGUGCUUUUAGAACAGAGUUUGAGGAGGAUUGAUGUUUGUUGUAUGCUACUUCAAAAAAAUUUCUUUAUUUACAGUGUUCAUUUGUUGUUCUUUAUUAUAAUAUCUCUAUGGUACACUUCGGACUUUAUGUUAUUUGUUAACAGGACAAGAAAGAAGGAAGGUGAGAGAGAUGGGGAUCUUGGAGAAGGAUCUCGAGGCCCUGAAGGAGCAGAUUGAUAAGUUGAAUUUAGAGAGAGUUCACUUGAUGCUUCAUGUUUAAAGUCAUCAAUCGACUCAUCUGUCCCAAACGAACAGGUCAUUAAUAGAAUGGUCAUAAAUACCAGAUCCAGUACACAUGCUUAUCUUUAACCCUAUUGCACAUCUGGCUUACUUAUGAACUCAACAUCUAAUUACCUUUUAUUACUUCACAUUAAUGAAGAGCUGAAUAUACUUGGUUAAUCUGAUUUUUGUCUUGCAGUUGGUAUAUUUCAUCUGAUUAUGAUUUUGUAAGAGAAUUGUGAUUUACUGUUAUAUAUGCAUGCAUGUCUGCUUAUAUGUACAAGCAAGAGCUGCAAAUAGUAGUUGGAACUUGGUUAUUAUCAAAGUAACUCUAAAUCAGUAGGGAACUUUAAACCAUACCUUCACCAAAUCCAUGGGGCAUAGCAUCUCUGUAUCCCCAACUACUUAUCUUAAACUUUUUGCAAUAUCAGCAUCCUUCUUUUAUUUGCCAUUAAUUAAUUCUUAAAUCUCAUGUCUCUAUUCUAAAUAUUGCCUUCCUUUGAAUUUCAUUGUUUAAUGAUACAUUACUGGUUCCUUUAAAAACAGCUAAUAUUGUUUAAUCUACCCAGUUUCUCAGUGCCAGCCAACAGCAUCCAGAUCAACACUGACAGAAAACAAUCUAACAUUUGAAACAGCAAGGAACUUAUGUAAAGUCAUUAGUUCGAAAUAAAAGACCGCAGCAGCACCCGGGAAGAGAAGAGGUGCGAGUCCAAUUCUAUAAUAUGAAAUUGGGGGUUUCUUUUAGUUGUGUAGUGUAACAAUGAAAUGAUCAGUGUAUAGUGAUAUUAUUAGGAAGCAUACUUUGAAAACAGGGGCCUGCAACGCGCGGGCAUACAUCCUAUUAUUGUUAAUUAAUGGAAGAACGCUGGAGACCUAUGGAAUAGUUUUCGUUGGAAUAUGAAGGUAUGACCUUUUGAUGCCUUUGGUGUUUCAUAUGUACAAGAGAAGGUUAUACAUAGUUUCAAAUUGAUCGUCAUAAAAUAUUUGUAACCACAUGCUUUGAUGAAUGUAAUAUGAUGUAUAGGUAAAAACAUGAAAAAAAGAAAAAAUGAUAGUUUCUGAAGUUAUAGAAAAGAAAAAAAAGAAGAAAAAAAUGACUUUUGAUAUGUUUAGGUUAUAUAUCAGUUUGUAAUUGAAUUACAGUAAUUUAUGAGUUAAAUUUUCAUAUUAGUUGAUGUUGCUCAUCCAUUAAUAAGCUUAAAUUUAGGUGAAAUUAAACUGUUUUUUCAUAUCCUGAAUAUUUUGGUUUGUGCUUACUCGCAUCGCAGGUUCAUGCCUAUCGGAUUUCUCAGUGUGUUUUUUUUCACAAUUUUUUGUAUGUUUGUCAUUUAGCUAUUAUAUUUUGUAUUCAUUUUGAAAUUGUUGUCUACUUGUAUAAGAUUUUUAAUGUUCAAUUAUGAAAAUGAAAGCGGUGUUGGAUUCUGAAGAUGUAGAUUACAGUUAUCUACCUUUUAUCUAUAUUGUGUAUUUUAACAUCCAUUUGUGAUGGACACAAAUUUAAUCUACUGUAACAGACAUUGAUAUCACAACUAACUACUGCUUAUAUUUUUGUGUAUUAUUAUUGUUAUAUGAAUCGUCGAUUUUAACUUGCGGCAACGCGCAGGGACAGAACCUAGUGUCUAUCGUAUUUUAAAGUUUACGAUAUUUACGUACCGAGACUUAUUGCAGGAGGUUAGAGCACAACAAAAUAUCAGGGAACUGGUGUCACUGAUCUUCCCUCGGUCUAUUCCUUAAGCCCAUUCAAAUUCUUAAUAAAAAGACGUUAUUACCUUUUGUGUGAUUAAACCCACACAAAUCUCUCUCACGAAGCAGUGCCGAUCUCAGCAUUAUGUAAAUUUUCCCGAGAGAUAAUAAUUAGUUCUGGAUGUAAAUACCGAAAUAGAAGUGGAAACUUCCAAGUCCCCACUAACUUUGACAAAAAGAUGAGAAGGGUUAAAAAGAUACCGGUUAACGUCAUCUAUGUGUGAAAUGCGUGGGAAUAAAGGCUAGUUUCUUAUAGUAGGAAGCCGAUUAAUUUCAGAUGGAAUGAUUUCCAAAGUAUUUGGUAUGCACGACAGGGUCUUAGAAAAAAAGGCUCGAGUUGAGAGUUUAGUUUCAUUUUCAUCCGGCAACGCCUUGUAAUUAAUGCUGGCACGUUAGUGUGCGAUAUAUGUUGUUGGAUGAGUGUUUGGUGGCCUGCGAUGGGAGGCAUGAAAACAAAGCAAAGCAAACCGGCACAAAAACAAUAGGCCGGACAACACAGAAAAAGUAGUAAGCUGAUUUGAAGAGUAACUACCCUAUAGUCAAAAGAACAUUCCAGCCCCGAACAGAUAAGCAAGGUUGGCGUUUACUACAGAACCCUCACUCUCUGAUUGCCAAGCUGUACAAAGCCCUAUAUUUUCCAAAUGGAGAUUUUUUCUCCGCAGAAUUGGGGACCUAUCCUUCAUUUUCAUGGCGUAGCAUUCUUUCAGGCAGAGAGGUAUUGUCACAAGGAUUGCGAUGGAAAAUUGGCUCCGGAUCUCAUGUUAAUAUAUGGCAGCAUAAAUGGAUUCCUGACUCAUUUCCAAGAUGUCCUUCAUCUCCUCCGGCACAGGGAGCUCCUCAAUUGGUUUCAGAAUUAAUAAAUCCAAUAACUCGCAAUUGGGAUGUUCACAAGCUCAGCAUGUUCUUUUCACCUGCUGACAUUGAGUUAAUUUUGACCAUUCCCUUAAGUAACAGAAUGGUGUAAGAUCGACCUAUAUGGCACUUCCACAAGAAAGGUACAUUUAGAACAAACAGUGCGUAUUUUGUGGCUAGAGACAUUCACCUAGAAGUUGUAUUAGCACCUCCUCCUCCCAUUGAUCCAUUUGGUAAGCUUUGGAAAGAAAUUUGGAGUGCUAAAAUACCUGGUAAAGUCGGCAUACAUAUAUGGAGAAGCUGUGCAGGGAUUUUACCAACUAGAGAAGGUUUGCAACAAAAAGGUUACGAAGGGGAGAUGGGUUGUUUAAUGUGCCAGCAUCAUAUUGAGAAUAUUAUGCAUCUGUUCUUUCAAUGCCAAUAUGCCCAGAAAACUUGGAAUGUUGCUGCUAUUACAAUUGAUGUGUCAAAUCGUGAUUCUUUCAAGGAUUGUUUAAUGCAUAUGGCUAGCACUAUGACUAAGCAUACCUUUGCUAGAGCUAUGGUCAUCUUAUGGUCUAUAUGGAAGAAUCGAAAUAGUCAAUUGUGGGAAGGCAAGAAACAGAGGCCUAGUGACGCAGCUAUGCUUAGCCUAGGAUGGCUCCAAGAGUUCACAACAGCUAAUGUGACACCGACUGGAUCGAUAGAUCGUCGGCAACAAAAUUGGUCAGUGCCGGCGUCUGGAUGGUUAAAAUGCAACUGUGAUGGUUCUUUUUUGGCUAAUACUCAUCAUGGAGGCAGUGGUGUUNNNNNNNNNNNNNNNNNNNNNNNNNNNNNNNNNNNNNNNNNNNNNNNNNNNNNNNNNNNNNNNNNNNNNNNNNNNNNNNNNNNNNNNNNNNNNNNNNNNNNNNNNNNNNNNNNNNNNNNNNNNNNNNNNNNNNNNNNNNNNNNNNNNNNNNNNNNNNNNNNNNNNNNNNNNNNNNNNNNNNNNNNNNNNNNNNNNNNNNNNNNNNNNNNNNNNNNNNNNNNNNNNNNNNNNNNNNNNNNNNNNNNNNNNNNNNNNNNNNNNNNNNNNNNNNNNNNNNNNNNNNNNNNNNNNNNNNNNNNNNNNNNNNNNNNNNNNNNNNNNNNNNNNNNNNNNNNNNNNNNNNNNNNNNNNNNNNNNNNNNNNNNNNNNNNNNNNNNNNNNNNNNNNNNNNNNNNNNNNNNNNNNNNNNNNNNNNNNNNNNNNNNNNNNNNNNNNNNNNNNNNNNNNNNNNNNNNNNNNNNNNNNNNNNNNNNNNNNNNNNNNNNNNNNNNNNNNNNNNNNNNNNNNNNNNNNNNNNNNNNNNNNNNNNNNNNNNNNNNNNNNNNNNNNNNNNNNNNNNNNNNNNNNNNNNNNNNNNNNNNNNNNNNNNNNNNNNNNNNNNNNNNNNNNNNNNNNNNNNNNNNNNNNNNNNNNNNNNNNNNNNNNNNNNNNNNNNNNNNNNNNNNNNNNNNNNNNNNNNNNNNNNNNNNNNNNNNNNNNNNNNNNNNNNNNNNNNNNNNNNNNNNNNNNNNNNNNNNNNNNNNNNNNNNNNNNNNNNNNNNNNNNNNNNNNNNNNNNNNNNNNNNNNNNNNNNNNNNNNNNNNNNNNNNNNNNNNNNGUGUAUAUAUAUAUAUAUAUAUAUAUAUAAGACACAUGAAGGAUGUAUUUAAGUCUUUAACAGGGAGGGGCAUACACUAGUAGUUUGGAACUUAGAUAUAUUCAAGUUAUAAACAGUUUUUUGGCACACAGAUCAAGUUGCAUCUACCUAAAAUGCUCAAUGAACAUGUGUGAUGUGCAAUUUGUAGUUGAGAUGUUCUACUUAGAGAAUCAAUUGAGUAACUCUUUCAAUUAGCUCUACUGAGGAAGUUUUUAAUGUUUUUUAAUAGUUCUUAUUAAUUGUUUGAUCGAAGACAAAUACAUUAUUUUUCUCUUUUUAUUUUGGAGUAAUGACACACAAUUGUACAUGACCUAAUUGAAACAGACCGUCGAUUACUGUAUAAAGAGUUUAAGACAAUCAAGAAUUAUUUGUACAUACAAAAAUAAGACAAACUGUACACAGCGCGAGCGCGGCUCUUUCGCACGUGCAUGAUGCGUGCACGAAAGCUAGAUCUAAGCUAGAUCUUUUUAAAUAAUUCACUCCUUCCAUCUUCAACAAUUUUCCAUGAUUUUUUUUUGGUCGAGUAUUUGAAUAAUUUUUUACUGUCUAUUAAUGUUACUAAGAAAUAUUGUUACAUGUCAAAUGAUACAAUAAUGUAGCGUGCACUAUAGAAUAAAAUUACAAAAAGAUGUACAUUGCAUGUAACGAUAAAUAAAUCGUUAACUAAUGUUAACAGCCAAAAAAUAUUAAACGCACACGCGAGCAAUGCACGUGCAAGAAGGCUAGUUAAAUUUUAAAGUUAAUUUAUUUUGUUAUCAUUUUACGGUAUUAACCAUCAUUGAUUUAUUUUUUUUCUAUAUCAAAAACUCCUCUAUCGUGGGUAAUACAAAUAUGGGUAGUUCAUAAAAAAGGCUUCACCAUGACACCAAAGAGGAUGUCUGGCUUUCUAAUAGUAGAGAGAUCAGUUCUUUUUUAGUGUGGUGUCCCGCUUUGAAAUUAAAGUGUGGACCUCCUUAUUUCGCUCACUUUCAGGUCGCAUUUAGAACCUCUCGUGUUUAUUGUCGGAAAAAAAAUAGAAAAAAAACAAUAAAAUUGAAAAUCAAAUAUCUAGAGACGUGAAAAUCAUGAGCUUGUGUUAUCAACGGGCAGAGGCGACUAGUAUCAGUUUAGUGGCAAGUCUUGUUGGAAUUCUGUAGCAACAGGGCACUCUGGAAUAUAAUCAGGAACACAAGAGGCUAAUGAAUUAUACGUCUCUCGUGGUAAAAAAACAAGAAAAAAAAAGAAAAAGAAAAAGGAGAAUUAGUGGAGAAACAUCAUAUCUUUUUCUUCGAGCAUAAUCAGGUUUUAGAAGCAAUUUUGUUCCACCAGAAAGGUGAGACCAUCAUAUCUUUCAUGCACAAAUAUACCAGAAGCUACAUUAAGGUUGCCUGCUCCUUCAACAAAUAGCCAGACUACAUUGAGCUUUAUCCUGCCUGACUGCUAUUUACCUAGCUGCCACAAGAAGCAACCAGCCAAAAACAGCAGAUAGUUUAUUUCUCAAUUACCACUAAAGCUUCAUAUUAACAAUUCUACAGUAGUAAUUCUAAGUUUUUAACCAUGUGGACACUACAAAACCACCACAAUGACUUAAACAGGUUUAGUGACACACCUCUUUAGGCUCCUUUCACCAUUCAGAUUCGCCAUGAGGUCCUCCAAUUCAUCAAUGAUUGCAGAGUAACAGAAAAAAUAUUGCUCCUACAAACAACAAAGAAAGACGGUUAAAAAAAUUUGAGGAUAACAGUAUCACAUUAUCAUCAAAUUUAGCUAAACAACCCAAACAAGAAUCUUAAACUCUAUAAAACCAAAAAAUAGUAGAACCUUCAAGAUUGGUUAUCAUACACCACUGGACGCUGUUUGCCCAUACACCAUGUCAGACCCAGUUAAUUAUAACCACCAACAUUGAAGCACAAAGAUAUUUCAAGCAUAUAAUCACAGAAGAAGAUUCACAAAGAUGAUACUUCAUCAUAGAAGAAAAUUCACUAAAAGUGGCAUCAAUAAAAGUGUAUUAAGACCUAAGUUAACAGACCUACCAUUGCAAGUUAUAACAAAUCUAAGGACAUUAGACCAAAGCAAUCUUUUUGGUGAAAUAAUUCAAUUAAUCAAAUAAGAUAGUUUUCUGCAACAUGUUCUUUUGCAAGCCUUCUUACUGUUAAUCUAAUCAUGGAAGUACAGUACAGAGUAGAGAUGCUUGGAUGUAGGGUAAGAGAUACAAAGACCUUUGUUUCUGAUACAAAAUUGUUGUUUGAACAUCUAUAUGGAGUUAUUUCGGGAUUUAAUGUCAUUUUUAACCUGUGUGGAAACCUGAAGUAAUUUUACUGUGAUUUCAAUAUCUGUGGCUUUAUUUCUACACUGUAAUUGGACGUGUGUAGAAAUCACGUAUUUCUACGAUACUACAGUUUGAAGCAUAAAAGAGAAGUCUUAUUGGAGAAGAUGAAUAAUAAUAAUAACAUUAAUAAUAAUUAAACAAAACUAUGACAAACAGAGGAGAAUAUACCAGUGUCUGCACCAUUCCAAUACGCUCAGUCCUAAAAGUGGUUAUUGUAUUAGCAAGAUCUAAAGCAGACAUGUCCCCCGAAAGAAUUCUCUGAAUCGUAUUAUGAAUUGUGCAGUAUGUUCCAGUCCUCCCAAUACCUGCACUGAGAAGGUGAGCAAGUGUGUCAGACAAAUAAAUUACUUAUCAUACAUGCAGACGACAUAAAUGGAAGUAAUGAAAAUGAGUGCAACCUGCAGUGCACCACUACUGGGCCAAGGUCAGGUGGAACUUGAUAUAUUGUCUUCAAGAUUUCACGAACAGCAAUUGUAUCUGUGGGAACUCCAUGGUCAGGCCAUUCAGGAUACUGAAUAUGCAGCACAGAAAUUGGUGGUUCUUCUGACUACAAAGGAAAGCAGGGGCAGGCAGCUAUCAAUUUUAUGUUUAAUAUCUUUAAGAGAUUAGAAUAACAUAAUUCAAACAACAAUACAUCCAUAUAGUAAUAGUAGUACCCAAGAAUAAAAGUUAUAAGGCUUACAAAUAGUUGGAAAAUCAUACAAGGAACAAGGAACGAAUGCACGCUAUAUUUUCCAAGUUCAAAGAACUUACAAAUUAUGCUAUAAAAAGCCAAAGAAAUAAAUUUGUAACAUUCACAAUACUUCUUAUCUCAAGAACUUUAUGUACAAGAACCCAAAUAUAAAUCGUAUAUUUCCCCAUACAAGAAACCAGAAUCUACAGACUGAACUAAAGGACAGGCAUCUUAAGAUCAAACUCUAAACGUAAACCAACAAGAAAAAAAAAUUGAAACAAUGAAGAAUCUCUAAAGUUGAACAAUUUUUUUCUUCAUGUUUCUUUGAAACCAAAAUCCGACCUUUCCCAAUCAUUAUCAGAAUUCGGAAGUAUUGACCCUUGCGUGUGCAACUAUCCAAGAAUACAUUAAACUGUGCUAGAUACCUUAGCAUGUAUUCAACAACAUUUAUUUAUCAUUUAUUUAAAAUGUGAUAAGCUUAACAAGGAAUGUCAAAUUAAACCUCAACCACACCCCCCACCCUUAAAAAGAAAAAGAAAAAAAAAGCCCCUUCCCCAAAUUGCAUUCAUGCCACAUUCAAUUUUUACUGAUUGAUUGAGGAGUAUCAGAAAGAAUCAAUCAUGUCAUACGACUUUAGAACCAAAUAAGUGUUUAAUAUGAUGCAUGGGUUAUAUUUGUUUGAUUUACUUUUUAUUUAACAGCUGUACUUAUUCUGAAGGGAAUACAAAUGGCUUUACCUCUUUACUGUUGACCUCCAGAAGCCGCAAUGCUAUUGAAUUGCCAGUGGUUCUUAUCCACUUGGUGGAUAGAGUUAUGUUACCGAAUUCUCUAGGACCAUCUUCUGCCUGAAAAUAAUCUCCACACUUGACCAUCUGCACAUACAUGUAAAAAGAUAUACGAAAUUUCAGGCCGAAUAAUAACUGUGAACAUUAUUUCUACAACUAUACACAAAGCAAACAAGAACACUCGUACACUAGUACGAAUGUACUGUUAUGAUCAUAAUAUGGAUUAAAAGUUCAGUUGGUGCUAUCUCUCAUAAAGUUGAGGUGUUUCACUAAAGCUCAGUUGAUAUAAGUAGGGACUAAUUCGUUAUGAGAAGACAAAAAUAAAUUACUACCAAAAAUCUUUUUUCUUAAGAACUUGACACUUGAAACAUGAAACCUGAUAUGUCAAAGACUAUUGAUCAUUAUUUCUUUUAAACAAACUAGGGCUGAUGUUCUCUAAACGAUUCAAAUCACACAAAACACUAUUAGAAAAGUACCCUGUGAUAGUCGACCAAGCGAGUGAGCAUGACAACUACAGGGCACCGGUUCUCAAGUACCAUCUCCCAGAAAUCCUCAUAUGUGUGCGGAAGUGGACCUUGUGUAGCAAUAAACCUAGAAAUGUUUCCAGAGGAACAAGCCUACAUAAAGAAUCAACACUGAAAGGUCAUUUAGAGGCCAUUUCUCUCAAGGUACAAAAAAAAAAAAAAAAAAAAAAAAAUAAGGACAUAUAUUUGUUUUACCGAAAUGAAGCUGGCAUUGAUGUAGCCCCUUGCUUCAGGUCUGUAAUCUUUACAAGAGUUGAGAACUACCCUAUUCUGAUCAACUGAAGCCAACAACAACACAAUCUAUUAAGCUCUAAUCUUAAUGACUAGUAUUACAGUACAAGUGUAAUGUAGAGAGAGCGAAACUGAGACAUACAUGGUAACACAUCGGUGUACCGAUUUUUGCUGACAUUGACACUGUCAAGAGCCACAGUGCAACUUCUCUUCAUCUCCGACGCUGUGAUCCGCUUCCCCUAAGCAGCAUUCAUCACCAUUUCAAUAACCUAAUUUUAAGAAAUUGGAAAGAAAUUUGCGAGGACAAGAGACCUGUAAGAGAGCGAACUCUUGGUUUAUCUGGUGAGGCAUCUGGAGCUUGUCUUUGAGGAAUUUGAGGGCCUGGGAGCAGUAGUUGUACUGAUCGGGACUGAGUGUGAGCCUCGGCGGCGGAGAAUCGGCGGAGAAGGAAGGGAAGGGUUUCGAUGCCAUCGCCCUCAAUCGCCGGUGGCUGCGGGACCGCCUGGAUAUGACGUUCCCCAGUUUUCUCACUCAGAUUUUUGUUUCUGUUCCUAACAAAAUUUAAAUGCCCAGUCGCCCAAUCAGUGUGGGUGGCAAUGCUCACUAUAACUCAUCCAUGAGUGAUUACGCCUUCUUUUCUUUUUUUCCUUUUUUUUGAAUCACUUGAUUACGCCUUCUUUAACUUUAACUCAGUUAGAACAUUUCUUAAAAAUAAAAAAAUAAAUAAAUAAAAUAACUCCUCGUUAUAAUCAUUUCAUAAAGAUAAUAAUAAUUAGAAAAUUUUAAGUUGAAUCAUUUUGUUUGUCCGGUUUGGUAUCAUUUGAUCUACUGGCAAAAGUAUCAUUUUGGUUAAGAAGUUUAAAAGGUAAUUCAAUAUUACUUAAAUAGAGAAAGAGGACCUCUCUGGUCUCUCAACUAAGAUCAGGGUUUUCAGCGUUCUCAGUUGUGUGACUUUAUUUUCUCCAUGUCAGUUGCUCUUGCGACCAUCACUUUUGGACUUGGCAAUAUGUUUCCUUUUCACUUUUGCUAACGAAAGAGAUCUGAAUAGGGUGAAGAAAGGAGGGCCUUGACAAUUAUUAGACUCACUAUUACUACCAGCGGAUGGACAUACCUUAGAUGAGUGAUCUUCAUUACUAGAGAGUUGUGGGUUAGGGGUAGGAUCAAGAGGAGCAGUCGUGUUUUCAACUCUCUGUGUCUACAUGUCUAUAUCUUCUACUUGGGUAGUUGUCUUUUCAACUUCUAGUGUCUGGAUCUCUGGAUCAUAUGCCUUUGAAUGAGCUUCUGCUUCUAGAGUUGACAAGUUGAUGAUUUCAACUGCAUCUGUCAAAAUUUCUCAAGCGUGCAUGCAUGACUUCUUCUUCACCUUUUGAUCCCCCCUGUUCUCCAUGAUACAACUCUUCGAAGUAUGCCGAAGUAUGAGUUCUCCCCGUUAAGAGCAGUAUCAAAGGAGGAAAAAUAUUCGACCAAAAACAAAAAGGAGGAAAAAUAGCUUAUGUUUUCAAAGAAAGUGAAAUCCAAAGUGACAUAAUAUUUCAUAGUUGGUGGAUGAUAGCACUUGUAUCCUUUUUGAUAUUCUCCAUAUCCAACAAACACACACUUAAUCGCCCGAGCAUUUAACUUAAGACCUACGGUUUUUAGGAAUAUGUAAAAAAAACACAACCAAUCAUACGGGCAUAAAUAUCACGAGUCUCCGAAUUUUUUUUUUUGUUGAAUAAAAGGUUAGAACGGCGGCCCUCAUGUUAUAACCAUUAACAAAACCUCAGAAUACAAGGUGGGGGGGGGGGGGGGGGGGGGGGGUGGGNNNNNNNNNNNNNNNNNNNNNNNNNNNNNNNNNNNNNNNNNNNNNNNNNNNNNNNNNNNNNNNNNNNNNNNNNNNNNNNNNNNNNNNNNNNNNNNNNNNNNNNNNNNNNNNNNNNNNNNNNNNNNNNNNNNNNNNNNNNNNNNNNNNNNNNNNNNNNNNNNNNNNNNNNNNNNNNNNNNNNNNNNNNNNNNNNNNNNNNNNNNNNNNNNNNNNNNNNNNNNNNNNNNNNNNNNNNNNNNNNNNNNNNNNNNNNNNNNNNNNNNNNNNNNNNNNNNNNNNNNNNNNNNNNNNNNNNNNNNNNNNNNNNNNNNNNNNNNNNNNNNNNNNNNNNNNNNNNNNNNNNNNNNNNNNNNNNNNNNNNNNNNNNNNNNNNNNNNNNNNNNNNNNNNNNNNNNNNNNNNNNNNNNNNNNNNNNNNNNNNNNNNNNNNNNNNNNNNNNNNNNNNNNNNNNNNNNNNNNNNNNNNNNNNNNNNNNNNNNNNNNNNNNNNNNNNNNNNNNNNNNNNNNNNNNNNNNNNNNNNNNNNNNNNNNNNNNNNNNNNNNNNNNNNNNNNNNNNNNNNNNNNNNNNNNNNNNNNNNNNNNNNNNNNNNNNNNNNNNNNNNNNNNNNNNNNNNNNNNNNNNNNNNNNNNNNNNNNNNNNNNNNNNNNNNNNNNNNNNNNNNNNNNNNGGCACACUGUGCCUAAACCCAUACUGUAAGAACACCCUAAAUAUUAGGUAUGUCUACAAAAUCUAUGCAUUCUAACAAACACCAUUUAACAAAGAGUGAAUCAUUUAACUACUCUAUUUGCUUUACAAUUUUGACAACAUACCGAAAAAAAAAACUACUCAUGUAGAGCCAUAACUUACUAUGUGUAUUAGCUUUCCGGAUCUGUUGCCACUGGAAAUUACCAGUGACCCUAAGUUUCAUCUUGACAUUAGGCGGAUGCGACCAUUUAACAAAACAAAAAACUCACUGCAUCAUUAGAGCAAACUGGCAUGCUACAUGCACUUACCAGGACAUAGCCCACAUCUCUAAAUCAUGAGAUGGUAAGGAAUUAUUAAAAACAGUAAAUAAAAAACAACUGAAAAAUAAACUAUAAAGAAAAUAAAAAAGCAUGCAGGGCCCAAAAGGCCAGCCCAACCCAGAAGAUCAUAGCCUUGUCGAGCCCGACGUAAUUAAGUAUGCCCAGUGGACCAGUCAACCAGCCCUCUACCCCAUCUCCGACCCUUUGAUUUUCUUUGAAAGCUUUUCUUUAGUUAUUCCUCAUCGUCAACACAAGCGAGAAGUACCAUGUUGCUUGCUGCUGCUCUUUCUUGCAAGCAAGCAAAAACAUUUCUCUCGAUGUUUGAAUCAAAAUCUUAUCCAUCUAUUGAAACAAGAAGUGUAAUCGUAGUUGAAAACGAAACACUAUUCUAAUGAUCAUACAGAAAUAUAUACUAAAGUCAAUAAUUACAAGAAAUUAAGGUUGAAAUUAGUAGUAGUAGUAGUAGUAUUAGCUUCAUGGUUUAUCUGUAAUUUUCUCCAAGUUUAAACAGAUAAGUGUUGGAAAAUAAUAUUGGACGCUGCAUUUAUCUUUGUCUGCACAAAAUAGUUUUGAGAUUAACUUAAAUAUAAUCAGUAGAAAUAUAAAUGUAAAACUCUAUCCUGUUAUCUAUUGAGGUGUAUGUCUCUCAUUAGAAGUUGGAGACUUAUCAAGUUGAUUAACCUGAUCAACAUUGAGUUCUUGAGAUAAACCUAAAGACUUGUAUCUGAUAAACAUUAAGUGAACUCGGACUCCUUAUGGGAUGAGCACGAGUUAUAUUUCUAGGCCACUAUAUAUACAAGUAGAAAGUCCCUAUUCUAACUACGCUUUUCCUUGAGAAAUAACAGUCCCAUUCUGUGAAGAAACAAGUAGUAUAGCAUAGAAGAUUUUCCUUGGUUUUGUGUAUUGUGAGAUUGCAGUUGUGUUGCUGAGUUGCUGAGAAGAUGACUACCGUGAAUGGUACCCCAAUUGAUGCUGGUCCUUAUGGUAAUCACCUAGAGAAACUAGGAAACUCUUUAAGCUAUUGGUUUAUGAUUUCUACAGUACUGUGUUUGUGCUUAUUGUGAAACGAUCUUGACUUAAGAUAUUAUGCAAUUCAGUUUCAGGUAUAAUAUAUAAUAAGGAGAAGACAUUAUUAAUGAUGAAGCUCAUCCAUCUGCAGCUAUAAAAUGCAGAAUAUCCAACUGAAUUCCUUUCUGAUGGUCAUGAGAUUGGCUUCAACACAUACAUUUUACAUGCAUGAGAGUUCACGGAGGCUGUCAAGUUUCCAACAAAUAGCUUCUUCAGUGUCUUGUGCUGCAUUAAACAUAAUAUAUAUGGUUACAAAAUAUUAAUUCUUGAUCAAAAACACAGAAUAAGAGCAAUAGCUGCUAUCAGAGAUUGAAAAGGAAUGCUGGUAUGCCUUCUUAACCAGAUAUAUAAGUUAAUACAUACCUCCCAAAGAUCUCUUGCUUCAACAACAGUAUUUGGGGGGAGCCCUAUGUCUUCCCAUUGAGCUGUAAUGGUAUUGUUCUCAGGUCCUUGGUUGAUAAGGAGUAAAGCUACUCUGUACCCUGAAAGUGGUCCAGCCCAGAUCUGGCGGCAAUCAAAUAAAACAAUGGAAGUCACUUGCUGUCACUCUAUAGACACAACUCAGUAUCACUCUCAGCCUAGAUAUCAGAAAAAUUCUGGCAUUUCAAUUGUACCUCAAGAUCUCCUUCCAGUCUGACUUUUUUAGCUUGGACACCAAGUGGAUCUGUUAUAAUUAUAGACACAAAUAUACAAUCAAUUACAUUCAUCUGAAAGAAAAAUAGUCUAUCUAAAGGUUCUAGUUACCUUGGUUGACAGAGAUGACCUCUUUAUUUGCAACGAUCUCCAGAGUGUCUUUUGACAUAUUCCUCACAUCACAACCAAGAAGAAGGGGAGCCUGCAAUAGUAGUGAUUAUAAGUAAUUUUCGCCAAAAGAGAUGAGCAAAACAUAUAUGCUCAUUUUGUAGUAGAACAUCGAGCAAAGGAAAUGUUCAUGAGUUAGGUACCUUUGAUAUGGCCCAUAUGCUAAAAUGGACUACAUAUUCAUCUUUUGUCAUUCCUCCAUUUCCCACUUCAAGCAUGUCGGGAUCUGUUUAGAUUAAGAAGAUAUUACUCUUGGAAAAACUAUAUUCCUACCGAUAGUAUGGGUGAACAAGUGCACUAAAGGAACUCUAACCAUUCCAACCACCAGGCCUGGCAUAUUCAGCAUAAACUUCAUUCAUGUCUGCUCUGGAGACCAUACUGGAAUGAAAAUGCAAGAACAGUACAAUGGCAUCAUGGAUAAGCAACCAAUUCACAUAAUGGGAGCUUGAAUAAAAGACUGAUGUACUUAUUCCUAAACCUCACUCCUAAAAAAAGAAAAAAAGAAAAAAAAGAAAAAAGAGAACGAAUAGAAUAGAAAGAAAGAAAGAACCAGAAUAUGAACAGAAAGACCCUUCAGAGUUAAAGGAAGCAUAACUCUUUACCUCUCCCAUGAAUCAGAAAUGUCCUUUGUAGUUCUCCAGCUAUUUCCUAACUUGGCACCCCAUAAAGCAGGGUGCAUAUCUCCCCUAAUAGAUCAAACAGAAUAUAAAGUGAACCAAAAGAAGCUAAUUAAGACUACUACAGUAGUAACAAUUAACAAAUUGAAAUUGCUUAAUUUGCGAGCAAUAAGAUUACCACUCGCACAGAGAAAAGAAUAUGGGACGGCCUGCUUUCAUCAGAGCUCGGGUCAUUACAGGGUAUCUACAAGAAGAUAUCGGAACCUUUAGAGAAACUAUAUGGCAUAGAGUAGUCCUUUGAACAAAACGCAGAAUUAAUGAUCAACUACUAGUGUAAUUCUAGCGGUGGUAUUAUGAUAUAUAUAUUUUGUAUUACCUAACAGUUGGGUUUGAGCCAUCAUUAUAACAGUUAUCAUACUUUAAAUAAUCGAUGCCCUGGAAAGAAGAACAGGAUUAAGAGUUUAUAGUCAACUGCUAAUAGACAUGUAUCAUUGUAAUGGAAAUUACUAGAACAUAUUGUACCCAAGCAGCAAAGGUAUUGGCAUCUUGUUCUUCAUGACCAAGUGAACCAGGCAUGGUUUUGCUACAAGUGAAGUACCUGCCAAGCACAAUGCAUGUGCACCAAGCUGUUUAUUAACUGUGUGCAUAUAUCAAAAUUGAACAGCAACUGUGCAGGAAAUGUUUUCACUGGGGUCUGUGACUGCUAUCUUACCCUGCAUCUGAGUAGAUUCCUAUCUUAAGACCCUUGCUGUGGACAUAAUCCACAAGAGCUUUAAUGCCAGAUGGAAAUGCUGAUUUCUUGGCCACUAGAUUACCCUGGAAUAUCAAAUCUUAUGUUUAUUAAAUAUCUACUAAAGCUGAACUUGUUUGCCAUUGAAAGGAAACAUGUUAUACCUUGACAUCGCGUGCUAUUUCGGCCCAGCAGUCAUCUUUGAGGAAAUGAAAGUUUUCUGUCAGCACUUGGGACAAAAUGCUUGGGAGAACGAAAACAUAUGUACAAAUAUUGAAAAGAAAAAAGAAAGAUGCCGAUGUACCUAUGUUAACAUAGGUAUAUCCAAGUUUAGAAAGACCAGUGGAUACCAGAGCAUCAGCUGUCAAAACCACAGAAACAAAAACUGUCGGUAACCGCUACGAGUAAUCCACCAGCAUAUAUCGACUAACAAUACUAGAUUGAUGCACUUAUCACGAUGCGUCUAUAGCUUCAGGAAAUAUACAACUAGUAUGUGAAUAAUGAUUUAGGCAAAAGGUCAAGUUACCAGUUUCCUUGAUGGUUUUCUCCUCAAUUCGGCAGUUGAAGUGAUUCCAACUAUUCCACCUAAGCAAAAAGUAGAAACAAUUAAUCAGUAUGCUGCUAAGGUUUGAUAAUAGGAUGAGAUGACAUUAUUAGAAUCUGAAAGAUAGUUAUGUAAGGCUCCUGUUAUGAACUUUGUGGGCACUUGGCAUCUGUGCUUUUUUGCAGUCAAGAAACUUAUGAAGCUUAUUUCAGGUGUUCCCAGAAAAUAAUAACAGAGAAUACCCUAUGAGAGUUCAUAUUAGCUUACCCCAUUGGAGGAGUGACUCCAAGGCCAUUGGCAAGCAGAUUUCGCCUGAGAUGCGAGGCAGAAACACCCAUUAACUUGAAUAAGCAUAGGAUCACUGCCAUUACAAUCAUUGUGGUCGGCACUGCCUUCUUCCUCAUCGUCACUGUUCUACAGCUGCUGCUGCUGCUGCUUCUUCUUACUCAGUAUCACUAUCUCACUCUCUCCUCUACUACUGUCCACCGACCCUAUUUUUGUGCUCAGUUUAUCUUUACUUAAUUUGAUGGAAAUCUCCCUCUCCAGAAACGUGAUUUCAUUGUUUAAUGAAUUUGGUUGCCAAUCAAGAUCAAUUCUUGAAAGACUGAUCCGGAGGAGGUAGGGGUUUGAAAUGAUACAAAUUUUGUCAAUCACUUAUUAUUUGGCAUCUCAGUAUCGAUCAUCUAGAUUAAUGACACAUGUCUUUUUAAAUUAAUCUUUAUUCUUGGUAAUAAAAUGAGCAUGUGUCACUCAUCUAAAUGAUAUGUAUUAAAGUGAGCAAGUAAAAAGUGGUCGGCAAAUUGAAUGGUCUCUACUCAUUUGAUUAAUAGUUCCUCUUUUAUGUUAUUAACACACCUAAUUUUGCAAUCCACACACUUUAUGUAUUGUCCUAUCACUAUAAAUUUGAUUGUAUUUACAAAAUUACCCCUUAAAGAUUUAUAAAGGGGUGUGUGUGAAUAGCAAAUUUAGGUGUGUUAAAAGCAUCUCCAACAGGGCCGGUCUUGAAUGAUUAAAGACCCCGUGUGAAGAAAAUCUAUGGGCCCCUUGUAUCAAAUUUUUUAUUGGUAUAUCAAACUUUUUUUAAUUCAAAAAAUACCCUUUUUGUUUCAAAUAUGUUAAUAUACUCUUAAUAUUGUUAUCUUAAAACCCUCUAAUAAUGUUUUCACUUAAUUAUAUAUAUAUAUAUAUAUAAUUUUCUUUUCUUUCAAGGAAAGCCAUUCUUUUUCUCAACAUGGUCUAAUCAAUUGUAUUGUUCAUACUAAUCAUUUAGAUCAUGGAAAUGUCGAUGAUCCAAAAAAUGAAGCAACAACCUCCUAUAUCACAAAUAAGGACUUAAGAGUGAGUGGGUUUGACGAUAACCGCUCACACCAGAAAAAGUACACACCAAGCCUAGAUCCAAACUCGAAAAAAAUUGAUCUGGGUUGCUGGGCAUCCAGACCAAGGCACAUUUUGUAACUAUUGACCACCCAACGUAGUGCAACGCACCACCAUUCGCAGAUUUAGGUUGUUGCAAACCCAUAUCGGAUGACUCCCCACAGAGGUGCAUUGAUCUGGCUGAAAUUCUUUGCUGAAACACACGAUUCUCUUCUUUGAUCCCAGGAACCGUAGGGACAAUCUCACUACAUCCAACAACCGUAUAACAUGAUUUCUACCGCAGACCAUGUGACACCCUGACCCAAAAAUUUAUAUCAAUUUUAAAUUAAUAAAUCCAAAUCUUAAACGAAAUGGGAACUCAAAACUUGAAUAAUAUUUCGAGCAUUUGAACCUUAAUCAAUUUCAAGAACCAUGUAUACUGAUACAUAAAGCACUCAAAUUUUACAAAUCACAUAUUGACUACGUACAUUGAGUGUUGUCACCAAUAUAAUCAUUUAACCACAAGAUCAAACAUUUACAAAUACACAAGUAUACAGACAUGAAAUCAAUUUCCUACAUAUACUAUCACACCGACUAGUGUAUUAAAUUUUUAAUCAUUAACCAAACAUUGAUCGCGGCUCAAUUCUAACCACAACCCUCCCAAAGUAGUUUCAACCCUUUGGAGCAUAUUGCUCUCUAUAACCACAAUCACCCUCCCACUAAAAAUAUAACAUGGGUCUCAAAUAACCCGAUUUACGUCAUUAACCAUUAAAAUAUAUCAAAAUCAGACUUCUUCCACAUAAUACCCUAGAUUCAACUUUACUUGCCCUUAUCUUACCAGAAGAAAUCUAAAAUAAACUAAGCUUGCAAUCAUAAAAUAAACACAGCACCAAUAUCACCUUUCUGUCAGAAAGAAACUAAAUGGUCUUAAUGAUAUGUCCAACAUCAAACACAUAUUUCCAAAGGUUCACAAUAUAUCAACUAUACCUCAAAAACUUACACAAAUCUAGGAUUAUAAAAUGCUCAAUUUCAUACUAAAACUUCACUAGACCUUGUAAAUCAUCUUAAUUCAAACCAUAUCUCUUUACUUGUCCAAAAAUUAAUGAUUAUAAACUACUAACAUGAGAUUCAUAUUUGAAAUCAUUAAAGAAAUUGGAACAGUCUUUAGAAGAAACUACAGUAAUCAAUCACAUCCAGCCAUCAAUGUGAUCAGAUUUCAAAUAAAAGACUUCUAUCAGAACCACAAAAGAAAUUACCAAAUCAAGAUGCCAUCAAACAUCCCACGCACAUAACCCACAUAACUCGUUAGUUUUAACAUAGAGUGCGGUUAUUGGGACCUUCAAAUUUGCUCACUUGACCUCCAUUUGUUAUGAGUUAUUGAAUGACAAUUAUCUCCUCUUACGUAAUGACUAUUAAGGACAAUAAUCAUAUAAAAGGAAGUAUAUUUAUUCUCUCUAGACUUUCCAAUUCGAUAAUUAAUCGAUUGUAUUCUUUAUUAUUUUCUUUAUAUAUUUUUAGUUUCUAAUUUACUAUUUUCUAAAUUUUACUACAUAUUAUAUAUUUAAUUAGAGCUAGAACUAUGAUCAAUAUUGACCGUGUGACAUAAACUUUUCUAUUAUCAUACAUGUUGAAAGCAUAUAUAUACAAGAUGAAGGAAUAUAUAUAUGCAAAAACAAAUCGAUGAUAAAAAAUUAAAUAACUAUUGAAAUAAUUUCAUGUACAUAAAAUAGAGGAAAAAAAGAACAUACAUAGUAUACAAUUGUUAUCCUUGAUCGUUGUUUAGCACAAGUAAAAUAAAAAAAAAGUUAAUUUAUGUUAGAAUAUUUUCUUGUUGGUAAAUAUAAGUUUUUUUUUAUCAGAUAAACAAUUAAUAUGCUACAACGAGUCUGCUGUGAAUCGAACUCACCACCUCUCACUUAUAAGGAGAGAUGGUACUGGGCAGGUAAAUAUAAGUUUUUGAAACCCAAUACUUUGUGUUAUUUGAUUUUAAGAGAAAAAUUGACGUCAUUGAAAUUUUUUUCUUACAAAAUUGAUCAAAUAAUAGAGGUUUGGAGACAUUCUAUGGGAAAUAAAAAAUAUCAAGGAAUUGAGAUCGUGAAAGAGGUUUGAACGAAAAAAAAUAUUAAGGAAUAGAGGUCUCGAUGAUAGCAUGCAAAAAGAAAAAAUUAAAAGAAUGGGAGGUCCAGAGAAUAAAUAAGAGGUAUAAUGAGUAAAUUAUCAAGAUAUAUGUGAAUAACAUACCUAAGGUUAUUUUAGGAAUUUAAAAGGAGACCUAGUGAGCAAAUGCUUGUAAUUAAAAUUAAAAAAGAGGUGUAAAAAACAUAAAAGAUAUACUGAGCAAAUUUGGAGGUUCUAAUAGCCGCACUCUUUAACAUAUUCUAACGUCCUAACACUGACCCGAUUAACCACAAUAACUAAAAUUAAAUUGAUAUCAUUCUAUUAAACAUACACACAAGUAGAAUUCAUGUUAGUUAGCUCUUACCAAUAUGUAGACCUGGAUGAGUGGAGAGUUUUUUUACCCAUGUCGAUAUGAGACAACAUCUUAACAUCGCACUGUGGGAGUCGAUGAGCUCUCUCAUUUACCAACGGUUGAGAUUUCUUCCCGACGGUUCUAGAGAGACGAAGAGAAAAUUAGAGAAAGUGAGAGAAAUAGAGAGAGUUCUAGAGAGGAAGUGAGUGCGCGAGAAGUUUCCCCUCAAUCAAACCAAGCUCCUCGUUUUUAUCGUCUAUCGUCUAACGUAUAAAAUUAAAAUGCGCUCAUUUUAAACCUAAUGCAAAGAUUUCCAGCCACUCCUAUCUAACUCCCAUGUAGCGAUCAUGUCUAUUGUUUGCGGACCUUGAUUAGUGUACAACUCAGUAUAACUGAGAAUUAAAGAGAAGCAAUCUUCCAUCACUUGUCUCAGAAAAGGAUCAAGGAAAUCAAGGCCUCCUUGUCCUUGUUGUUAGGGCCCGCCUAACCUCAAGACAAACUAGAUAACUAGAUUGGGUGAUAAGGGAGCCCUUCUAGUGAGGACCUUUAAGUUGAGGACUUUUCGGUUUAUGGUUUGAAAUGCCCAAUUUUCGAUCACAUUUUGACAUCUUAUCCGUUCAGUUUUUAGGUUUAUAUGAGUAUAUCAUUUAUACAAAUUUUCACCCAAAUUGAUGUUCGUUAAGAUAACAAACUAUAUCAAAUUAAUGGACGAACCAAAUCUGUCAAAUAUGAACCGUUCAAGUUCAUAAUUGAUAAAUCACAUUUAUGAAUGUCUUAACAAUUUUCAAUAUAGCUGAAAAUUUGAAGAAAUGAUCUACUCAUAAAUACCUAUAAACUGAACGGUCAAGAUGUAGAUAUAAGAUCGAAAGAUGAGAUAAGCCGAAAAGUUAUCACCAAGUUCUCAACUUAAAAGUCUUCACUAAAAGGGCUCUUUCGGUGAUAAUACCCCUAGGUCCCGAAGGGCUUGAAAGGGAUAAAGUCAAAAAUCGCACCCUAGCCCAACUACAGCCAUGCAACCUUAAAGGAUAGGCUCAGCCUAGUCCAACAAGAUGUCAAGACUAGAUCCGACAGACGGGGCUGAUGUUCGACGAUGCCCGCUGCAACUCCGCCUUCAUUACUCUGCCAUCUCGUUAGCCAGACCGCGUCGCCACAAGCUUCGCAUACCCGCGACACCGCAUCGCCGCCUUCCGACAACGCCUCCAUAAUCCAUAGCAACCCAAAGAUCAGAGAUUCCCAUCCGUCAAAUUCGACCAUGUUUCUACAACGUCAAUCAAUGUCACCGGUAAGCUUCUCCAAUCUCUUGCAACGCCAGCUUUCAAACACCCAACCCCAUUACCAGAAUCAUAGUCAAGCACCCCGCACAACCAAACCCUGCCAAUCCAAAGCGAGACUACAUGGCCAUACCGCAAAAUCCGUCAGGCACCAAAGCUAGGAGGCUUCGACUAAUCCAAAGGACUUGUCUAGGCCAGCGGCUGCCGUCGAACGAGAGAAGUCUUGAAGGUUGGAAACUGCCGGUGGGAGAGAGUUUUGGCUGUUAGGGUUUUGUUAUUGGAAAUGUAUAUCUACUAUUUUUGCAAUUUGUGAAUAAUUCAAUGCAGCAUAAUUUCAACUUCCAACUUAUUGGUCAGUCACGACUCACGACACACAAAAAGAGGGAAAAGGGUUAUUUCUAUAGUUGGUGCUUGUGCAUAGCUGCUGGUUUGUCACCUCUAGUUGUAUAUGAGCAUUCGGACCAUUCCGGUGACAAAAUGAGACCCAUGAAAACUAAUAACGAAAAAAGAAAGCCAAAAUCCUUAGCAUCGCUGCUUCCAUCAGUGAUCAGUUCAUGAGCCUUGAACAACGGAACUACACAACAGAGGUCUCUCUCUUCGUCUCUCAUCACAAGUCUAAAUGAAUUCAUUGAUAUAUGUUAUUCUGAUCAUGAUGACGGUUUUCAUUCUUCAAUAAGCCUGUGUUUUCUUCAUCAUCUUUCUCAUUGCAUACACCCAUUUCUACACCAGUCAGCAUCUUGGCCUUCAAAGCCUCAGCCUCCCAAUCAGUCUUCACCAGCACAACAUAGAGAAUAGACACAGCACAAGCUACCUGUGCAGACAACAGACCAAACCAAAGUCCUGCAAACCCAAUCUUGAGCCAGAAAGCAAGUCCAACAGCUACAGGUGUACCCACAAAGUAGAAGGAACCUAAGUUGAUACGGGCACCUACGGCAGGGCGUGCGGUGCCGCGUAGGAUGCCGCAACCAGUAGUUUGGGGGCAGUUACCUAACUCACAAAGCCCCAUAAUUGGCAUAACUGAUGCAACCAAAACUUUGACGAGCUCGUCCUUGGUGAACAGGCCAGCCCACCUCUCUCUAAGAAUCACCGUCCAUGUCACAUUGAUGACGCCGAUCACAAAUGCACAUCCCAAAGCAACCAUCGCUGCAAGCUUGGCCUUGUAUGGCUUCCCAGCUCCGAGUUCGUUCCCAACCUAUAGCAUCGAAACAUGAAACAAAAUAACAUAUGCAUUAUAUUCUUUAAGUAAAAAUUAGAGAGAGUAAAGAAGAAAGGGGUAGAUGCAUAGUUCUACAUUUGCCUUCAAUUUCAUAUAUCCUUGCCUUCAAUAUUUAGUUAUUUACUCAAUAUGCGUAUAACGCAUCCACUAUGGUCAUUUCCGAAUCUACAAAAUGAGUUCCUCUUCCUCUGUGAAUUGGGGCAUAUUAAAUGGAAACCUAGAUACAAUCUACAGGGAUUACUAAAAACUCAUACCAUCUUUUGUCAAUGGAUAGAUCUGAAAACAAUCGACUUCACACCAUAAAUCCUUCCGGUGUCACAGAAAACACAUGCAGUAUAGUAGUAAAUCAACAAGAAAGACAAUCAUUGUCUUGUCAACAAGAUUGUGCUCAUGGCCACUAAGCUACAUAUUCAUAUCUUUUUGGGUCCCAAGUCCCAAACUCCCAACUCUAAAAUGGUGUGAAGGGUGUAAUAGUAUAUACAGGUCCUGCUGGUUCACUUUGUUUUGUUGGUUGAAUGGGGCUUCGUCAUAGAAGUGGUGGGAGGGGAGCUUUAAGAAAAGGAAGGAGCAUAGUGUAAGUAGUGGCAUGGCACUGCAUGUCCUAUAAUAAUUUUGUCCUGUCAUGCUUAUUACAUUACAUUACAUUACAUUACACGUUUGACCUAUCUGGUUCCAUAUAAGUGAUGAAAUCCCAUAACAGAUCCCUAAAAAGAAAGCAAGCAUAUCUCCCAUAAACCCUUUAGUUCCACCAUGGACAUGAAUUGGGAAUAUAUGCAACUCUAAUUGCCGUCUUUUUCCCCAUGUUUCUAUUUGGUCCUUUAAAGGACGACUAAUUAAUUAAGAAACCACACUAGCUAUCACAACUCAGAACAGAACCCAAAGAAUUUGUUCUGCAUAUAUAGAGAAUUGUUGAAAUAUCAUAAUCAAACACAUUCCUCAAAUAGUGGACCAACUGACCCAUCCAUAAACCAACAAUACGACAAACUCAACUGUGCAAACUACAAAGUGACCCAAAACAAACUUGGAACAAACUUCAAACUUCAAACUUCAAAUUGGAGGCAAUGCACUUGGUCUGGUUCAAGAAAUGAAAGUAGAAGCAAUGAAGAAAACCCAGAAAAAUUGCAAGUGGAUGAACAAAAAGAGCCCCGAAGAAAUAAAGAAAAUUAUCUUUGCAUACGGUAAAGCAUAAAAGCAACAGAAACCCAGAAAGAAACAAGGCAGGAUUGUGUCUGAGAUAUGAUUUGAACCAAUAAACUGCAUAGGAAAAGAGAAAGCUUACUCUGGCAGAAACACAGCCAGCCAGUGCCAUGGGGACAGUGUACAUCAUAGAGGUGGUCUGAAUAAGAAUCCCGGUGGCGGCGACAGCCAGAGUUGGGUUGGGCAAAUAGCCGGCCAUGAUUGUCACAAUCUCAUACCACCACCACUCCAAACAUAUACCCAAGCAGCUCGGCACCGCCAGCUUCAACAGUGGGCCAAGUCCACCAAACACCUCUCCAAUCCCAGCCGUCCAUCUCAACACCGUCAUUCCCUUCCCCCACCACACGUACCCCGCCAUGAGCACCACCAUGUUGAGAUUCGUGAGCACCGACGCCACCGCCACCCCGGGGACUCCCAGCCCCAUUUGCUUCACCAGGACAAGAUUCAGCGGCACGUGGAAGGCCACUGCCACCAGGGUGCAGUACAUCUGCGGCUUCGUCACCUUCUGCGACCUCAGGAACACCCGCAGCGGCUGCAGCAACGUAUUCGUUAACAGGUCCGGGAGGGAGUAGAGGCAGUAAGUUGCAGCCAUGGCGGUGAUGGCUCUGUCUUGCCCCGCGAAAACCAUGAUCCUCUCGAGAUUGAGCCACAGCACGGCGAUGGGUAUUGUUGCGAGGACGAGGAUGAGCACCAUGCGCUGCAGGGACCGAGUGAGGAGGUCCCAGUUCUUGUUGCCGUAGGCUUGGCUGCAAACGGGUUCGAGGCCAGAGGCGAGACCCACCAUAACAGAGUAACCGGUGAUGUUGGUGAAACCAAUGGACAGGGCGCCUCCGGCGAGCUCCAUGCUGCCCAGCCGGCCCAGGAAUACUACCGACACCGCGGCUCGGACGAACACCAGACAGUUCAUGGCUGUUAUGGGAAAGGCCAUGCCCCAUAGCUCUCGAAGUUCUUCCAAUACCUGAAAGUUGAUUCAUGUUUUAGAGAGAAACAGAGAGGGAAACUAAAACAGAGAGAUAUCAUAUUGGGUGUUUUUUGUUUUACCUGAGAAGCACAAGGGAAUUUGUGCGAGUAGAAAUCAUCAGGGUCUUUCUCAGUUGCCAUUUCUAUUGCAUGCGCAAGGGCUACUGCUGUUAAUAGAACAACAAGCAAUCUGCAAGAUCAAAAAGGUUGAUUUGAAACAGUAGGUUAGAGAGAACCCAACAACUUGGGAAUCAAACUUGACCCAGAUUCAACAAAGCAAAUGAUUAUAAACAGCAAGAAAUUUGGGCAGAAGACUUGCUUUCUGUUAGUUCUGCUCUCGAACCCAAAACAGAAAAGGAAGAGGCUCAAAAUGUAGAGGAGGGGGAAACAAACAAAUAAAGAGGAUGGAGCAGAAAGGCAGCGAACAGUGGAAUGGGUUGGAGUGAUUUCAGAUGUCAAUCAAAGCAAAGCAAAGCACAAAGUUGGGAUUCCUUUUGGAUGAUGUGCAAUUUCACUGAAUGGAGGGAAAAAGCAGAGCAAGGCACAGGGCUAAUGACGGCCGCUAGCUUACAUAGACUGGGAGGAGACAAUAGAAAAUAGACAAGACCAGAGUUGGACUAGACUUGAAGCAGUACUGAAACGUUACAAUAAGGCACAGAGAGACGAUGGAAGGAAACAAACGCUUUAUGAAUGGGGAGGUAAAGGGCCAAGGACUACACUGGGAGAAGCAUUUUCGUUCAUGCGGGGUAGGAGAAACCAUUGUUGUACCAAUCUAAUAUAGUAAUUUUUGUGUGCCCUUAAAUACGUGUAGAAUUAUUCCGAGCAUUCAAUACUUAUUUAUAUAAAAUAUUUAUAUAAAUAGGGUGGUGAUAUUAACACAUAUUUUUUUGUUAUUAACAUAUCUUAUCUAUGAUGAUAGCCAAUCAUGAAAAUGACAAGUUUGUAAAUAAAUUUGAAAUGUGUGGAUAGUAAAAUAAAUGAGGUAUGUUAAUAGCAAAAAAAGACGUGUUAAUAGCAUCAUCCUAUAAAUAGCAUUAUUGUCAAUGAAAUUUUCCAAACGUUUAUGUAUUUUGAAGCUAUAUAUACAUAUUUUUUGAGGAGAUGAUAUACGUAUUUUGAUGAUUUAUCUAAUAUCAUUUUGUUUAAUUUUAUAAAUUUCUUAUGAAAAAAACAUAAAACUGAGCUGUUAAACGUGGAGUGUUUUUUUUUGUUGGCACGUCCUCACGCCCGGUUACAUAUAUUUUAUUAAUAACAAUAUAUUGUUGCGGGGGAACAUAAAACCUGAACCUUGAGCUACAUUAGAUAAAUAGCUAAUAUUCUCAUAGAGAACAUUGUUCAGGCAAAAUUGAUUCAUGUGUGCCCAAAAGUCCAAAACUAUGAAAAUUGGCUUGUGUUUACAUAUGAUUUUAUUACCUUCAAUCCAUGUUCUUUUGUUUGUAGGAAAUAAUGCAAUGAGAGGAAAGCACCCACUUUUUGGUUGGAAAGUGACAAAGCUAGGAGCACAAGACGUAGAAUUUGGGCGAGAAAACACAAGUUGAGAUUUUCUGACUAACUUUUCCGGUGAACUAUUCCAACGAUGUAAUACCUUGAGUUUUUGUUAUUAAUUUCUAUUAUUAUUUUGGAAAUUAUCAAGUUAGAAGUUAGCGGGAUACGUGGCUCGAGAGAAGAGCAGGAGUGUUCGGAACGAUUAUUACAUAGAAGAGGAUUUAUCAUAAGGGUCAAACAGUUGACUUUUUAUCUGUUGGGUUUCUCGUAAACUUCCUUUUUCAAAAUUGUAGAGCACGACGAUACGAGUUCGUAGACACGUGGCACGCGUGAAACGGACAUCGUAUGAGAAAGUUACAUUCAGUUAAAGUUUAGUCGUUGAUUUGAAAGGGGGUAUAAAUAGAAAUAUUUUGGGGUAUUUUCAUAAAAACCCUAACUUCAAAAAAAUCAGAUUUCUCUCCCCAUUCUCCAUUUUUUUGCCACCAAACUUAUUCCGGCCAUAACUCGGUCGUCCGGUGACGGAUUUGUGCGUGCUUGGUACCGUUGGAAAACUCUCACUCCCCUUUUUCUAUUCAUACUAGCCUCACACCCUAUGGAGCACUGUGCACGGCGCAACAAGGCCCGCAAGUUAUUGUCUUCGCCAGCGGUGAAGCUCUGACCGAUUCUGACGACAUCGAGGUUUGAGGCUACCCGUUUCUAGAAGUUCUAGCUUAUCCUUCUGAGCAUGAUGAUACCAGCCUUGGAGCCCAAUUCGAAGCGUGGAGCUUUUGGGUUCAAAGUGUACCUUGUUUCUUUCCGACGACGUUUUCGGCUGAAUUGGCUUUUGGCCACCUGUAUGAAAAGUGUUUCAUUUGAUGUGAUCUACAAGUUUGUUAUUAAGAGCUUGCCUAGAUUUUGAGGUUGUAGGGACGGCGCGUGAGGCCCACUCAUCCCGUUUGUGGUGGUGCGUGGCCGUGCAUCCGGCAGGGGUUGGGAGGUCUGUGGUAAUUGUUAGCUUCUACUCAUCGAUAUGAGCACGUUGACAUGUCAUGAGGUUAUGUUUUGAUCAAGUAAUGCAUUCUAAGUUUAAGGUUAAGUUGAAAAUCAUGUAAGGUUAAGCUAUGGAGAUCAUUUGGGUACCAAAUUAGAUUAAAUGAAUUAAUUGAACAAUAUAUUUCUAACGGAAACCGUUCGUGUAAAUCACAAUUACUGAAACUCAAUUGAACUCUAAAUUGGAUGAAACUUUGCAGGAAUAUCUACACACUAUGUUCGAGACACUGAAUGGUGGAGAUGUGAAAAUGUGACGUAAAAAUGAGUGAAAUGAGAAGCACUACACUUUAAUUUCAAAGCGGUGUCCUGCUCUGAAAGAAAACUUUAUAUAUAUAUAUAUGCCUUUUCAGAUACAAACAUCCUUAUUUAUUCAAAAUGUACGGAUUUUCUUAAUUUGACCCACUUUUCUAUCCUAAUUUCUCAUCUUAACCGUUGAAAUAGUAGGUAUAUAUGAGUAGAUCAUCUCCACAAAUUUUCAGCUAAUUUGGUGAUCGUUAAAGUAUCGAAAAUGAAUUAAAUCAAUGAACGAAUUGAAACUGUUCAACCUGAACCGUUCAUGUUCUUAGUUCUAAAUCACAGUUUUGAAUGCCUUAACGAUUAUCAAUUUGGUUGAAAAUUUGUAGAGAUGAUCUACUCAUACAUACCUAAAAGCUGAACGGUUAAAAUGAGAAAAUAUGAUCGAAAAGUGGGUUAAUUAAAUAAAUCUGUACCUUUUGAAUAAAUAAAGAUAUUUGGACUUGAUAAUAAUUAUAUAUAUAUAUAUAUGUGCUUAUCUUGUCUUGCAAAUUAUUAUUCUAUAUUUCUUGUCAACAAUUUAACCAAAUAGAUUCACCUUCUGAGCAACUGUCCUUUCUAGAUGGUCUUGUGUAAAUAAUUUUUUUACAUAUAACUAGUAUAAGCCAACAACUUAUUGUAUGAACAUGAAACAAAGAAUUUCUCACAAAGCAGAAAUGUAUAUAAUCUACUGAUAUUUUCCUCAGUAGUCAAAUGAAACUAUUCUUAAUUUGAUUGAUGUAGUUUUGAUAUUAAUUAAUUAACUGAUACAUGAACAAAGAUAUAUGAAAGUCUCUAUUUUCUUGUCUUGACCACAAGAAAAAAAGAGAAGUUUAUGUUUGAUUAGAAAAGUUGCACGGACGUAGGUAUAAGGUUUAAAGCAUCUCCAGCAGCAUUGAUAAAUUGAAAAAAAUUAGAAAUUUAUCAAUUUUUAAAUAAAUUUUUGCUCCAGCAGUAUACUUAAGAAGUUGAUAAAUUUAGAAAUUGAUAGAGAAAAUUGAUAAAUUUAUCAUUCUUUGGGAGACAAUUAACUAAAACUUAACUAAUGUAUACAAUUUAGCAAUACUAUUGGAGCAAAAGUUCAAAAAUUGCUGUUGUAAAUUUAAAUGUUGAUAAAUUUAGCAAUAAAUUUAACUCUAUUACUGGAGAUGCUCCUUUGGAAAAUCCCAUCAUGAACAAAGAUAUAUGAAAGUCUCUAUUUUCUUGUCUUGACCACAAGAAAAAAAGAGAAGUUUCUGUUUGAUUAGAAAAGUUGCACGGACUUAGGUAUAAGAUUUAUACAUAAAAGAUAAUACAUAGAGCCCCUUAGGAAAAUCCCAUCAUGAACAAAGAUAUAUGAAAGUCUCUAUUUUCUUGUCUUGACCACAAGAAAAAAAGAGUGUUUGAUUAGAAAAGUUGCACGGACGUAGGUAUACGGUUCAUACAUAAAAGAUAAUACACAGAGCCCCAUAGGAAAAUCCCAUCGGUUUACAUUUUACACACACAAGACAUUUUAUUUUUUGUCACAUCCCGACCCUUAAAUUUUUACUUUAUUUACUAGCUUGGUUAUAAUAAGAAUUUUACAGUCUCCGUCAAUGAAUUUAUAGUUUAAUUGGUCCUUAGAGGGGUUUGGAGGACGGUUAUUUUCGGAGAAUUAUUCGUAGGAGAAAAAUACGACGACGAUAAAAAUUAUAAAUUUUAGCUAGUAAAAGGUAAUUUUUAUUAGGGUAUUAUUUUUCAGGGUGUUUUAUUUUUGGAGUUGGGUUUGUUGUGGAGUGGGUUUAAGUUGGACCAGGUGUGGGAGAAGCCCAACACCCACAUACUCCUCUCUCCUCUCCCGAUUUCCCUCCCCCAAAACCUUUCCCCCCCCCCCCCCCCCGCCCUGCCAGACUUUCCUGCCGUCCGCCCACCGUUCGUCGCCGCUCUGGUCCCAAACGGUCGUCCUCCGACCCAGCUUCCAUUCUAGGCCGGUGAGAGCUGCCCAAGCUCCGCCGUGAAGGAGUUCUCUCCCCCGAAGGCCCGACUACCGUGGUGGUUCCAUCGCCGGAACUCCCUAAUCCGGCCGCCAUAACCGGCGAUUCUUGGUCCGUUGGAAAGCUCUCCUCCCGUGCAUCAAUCCCUCCACAGAGCUCACCCUCUCUUGAGCUAGGUAAGGAGAUGUGUGGAGUUGAAUUUUCUAGGGUUUUUUAGGACGUUUUAGUUCGAUUACCUUAGUUAGGCUUGUAAUUGAUGUUUGUGCUAGUUAAGAAAGUUGUAGAGGGGGUUGAGAGGAAGAUGCUGUCAAAAUCUCAUAGACAUUGGAGGUUGCCGGAGUUGGCCUCUGGCCGCCGCUGUUUGAGAGAUUUUUAUGGUUUUAAAUGUGGAAUAUUAAAGGGAGUUUAUUGAUGUGAAUUAUGGAAUUUUUGGAGGAGUUUUGGUUAGGUUUGUGAAUUUCCGAUGUUUGGUAUUUUUGGCGGUUAAUUAAUGUAGAAUCCGUCUGUAGGAUUAAAGUCGUUAAAUCUGUGGGAGGUUGUAUAACGGCUGCCAAUUUUAGUAUUAAAGUUUGGAUCGUUUCGGUUUAGGAAUAUCGAAGUUAGGCGAGAAUAAGCGUGGUUACGGCUCAUAUUUAUUUUGCCUAUUUUUGAGUAACUAUUGGAAUUUCGGUUGGGAAAUUAAUAUUCUAUUUGGAAGAGGACGUGAGGAGGCUCGAGCAGACGAGGCCCCAGAUCGACAUCAGGCUUAGGCCUAAUUUACGAGUGGACUUUUGUUUUAAAUAAUAUGCAUGCUAUGGUUAUGGUUGAACAUUUAAAUUGUUGGAGUUUUGACGUCAUUUAAUUUUGACGCUUUUAUUUCUCUUGGAGAGUUACCGAAAAAUAGAAUUUUUCGGUGAGUAUAAAUAUGUAUAUUGAAGAGAGUAUGUAUAUAAAUGCUAACUAGCCAUAUGUGUAUGUCCACAUUAAUGGCGUAGCAUAUAGCCACAUUAUGGCGUGACGUGAGCGUAGUAGCCAUAUAUGAGUGUUUAAUUCAUAUAGAGAGUAUGGACACAUAUUUAUAUACCCGUCUGUCCACUUUAAUGGCGUAGUGUAGCACCGCAUUAAGGCAUGACAUAAGCGUUGGACGCGAGCGUAGUAGCCUUAUAUAGACCCAUGAAUUUAUAUAGGGAGUAUGAACGUGUGUAAAUACAUAUAUAUAUUUUAGAGCCUGAGAGGCUCGAUAUUUUAUGAGAUUAAAGUUUUAUCGCUUGCAGCAUGCAUUCGAUUUUUCCUUGGAAAUUGAUUUGGGGAAACAUAGAUAUUUUAUUUAUUAAUUUAUCUUUGUCCACUCACUCUAACAUUUUCGAAUGUUUUUCCCUGGACAUUUCGUUUUAAAACGCCCAGUCUGCAGAGUUCGGGUUGGAUCUAGUAGAAGGCGAGGCAUAGUCACCCGCAUUUCCACCACUUUUCAUCAGUAGGUUACCUAAUUAACCUACUCGUGUUUUCCUACUUCCACUAGUGUCUAGUAGCUCUGAAUACUUUGAGAUUAAUGUAAAUUAUUUUGGUGGUGUGCUCGGUCUGUCGAUUUCUGUUUAGAGUUUCUGAAGGAUAAGGUUUACUAUUUUAGCUGGAUAUUUAUGUGAUGUUUGGAUGUUGAUGUAUUGUUGAUAUUGUGGCGGUUGUGUUUGCGGGGAGCAGAUGGCUCCAGGAGUUAAGGUUGGAUGUGUUUUAGUAGGAGUGUAAAUUUGAAAUUUUCAGGUUAGGGUUGUCCAUUUUCAAGGGAGAUUUUGCCAAUUUUUCUGUAAAUCUUUUCUUGGGAGUGGUCCCCGCAUGAUUUACUUCGGGUUUCAGGAUGAAAUUCGGGGUGAGUCUUGAUAUUUUUGAGCUAUUCGUUCAACUACAACCACAAUAAUGGUUGUGGUUAGCUCAUAAAUGAACCAAUAUAUACAUAAGUAGAAUACUCAGAACUCUAUAUAAGAACCAGUCUUCUCAUAGUUGAGACAAGUUAGUGACGGCUAACCUUGACUCCAACAUUAAAAGAUAAAAGUGACACUCAAUUCAAGAUGCCAAGACGAGUUUCUCUCUGCUCUCCCUUAUAGACACAGCCGUCUAGGGUUAGGGUUUUCAAAAGAAAAUCCCUCGUCGUUUGGUGCUUCUCUCCAUGGCAGCUUCAAUUGCUUCAAUGACAGCAAGCCUUGUCUCCAAACUCUAUCUCGGAGAUGAACCUGUGGAUCUGGGAGAUCUCAAAAACCCUUCCAAGGGCUUCGUCGCACCACGCUUCUUCUUGGUGUGAUGUCUCAACACUGCCCAUGCAGUGGUGUUUGAUGCCUUUCGUAGUGCAGUUCGCGGUAUGUGGCGCAUUACCACUCCGGUGGAGGUGCAAGCAAGAGGAGAUCGAUUCUUGUUCACCUUCUCCAAUGAAAGAGAUCUGAAUCGGGUGAAGAAAGGAGGUCCUUGGGCUUACCAACCAACAAGCUAUGAUCUUGAUCAAUGAUUACAAUGGCUUUUCUGAUAUCAUGGUUGUCCCAUUGAAUUUUGUGUGGAUAUGGGUGGAAAUUGAGGGACUUCCGGUUGCCCUGAUGACGGAGGCGACGACUAGACUUGUGGGAGAGACCAUUGGUACCGUGCUGUAAGUCGACACCCUGGGUUUGAACAGAGGUGUGGCUAGGGUUCGUAUUAUUCUACUUAAUAACCCUGUAAGAUUUGAAAGGAGAAUUAGGGUUUCCCCUGAAGAUGUUAUUCUGGUCAAGUAAGUAUAAGCGACUACUUAGCCGAUAUCGUAUUUGCUGGAUGAUUAAUCAUGGAGGAAGGUCUUGUCCAUGUGAAGCUGAAGAUGCUGUCGCUGUCCAACCUCUGGCUCCGGCAGCGCCUCUUGCUCCGGCUCCUAUGGUGUUCAGGGUCAACUCUUCUCAGGUCUUAAUCCCACCCUCUCCUUUGAUACCUUCCUUCUCUCCCCUAUUUGGAAAAGAGAAGCGUUAUGUGCAGAUCAGGGCAAUCCCAGAAUUCCCAUCUCUGGUGAAACUAGCAGGAGUGAGGUGUAUGAGGGAAGAGGAGGUCCCGAAAGUAGGGAAGCGAACCAAACAUAGCCUUGCAGUGAUCCCAUUCCAACUGGAAACAAAAGUCUUUGAGUUCGUAGUUGGUUCUGAUGGUGCUCUAGGUAUCAUGAAAAAGUCACUAAAGAAGAGGGGACGCCCAUGCGACAGCAAGAACAAAAAGAGGAACAUGGAAGUGAUAUCGAAAUCCAUGGCAUUCGGGUAUGGUGAUUCCGAGUAGGAAGCCUCUCUAAAGGCAGAGGUGGAGUAGUCGCUCCAAGGAUGGAACAAAGAUCCCUACUCAACUUAAUAGGAGGUCCCCCUUACUCAUCGACGGACAAGUACACCGUUGAGUCUCUAGGCCUCAUGUUGAUGUUUAGGUCAUCAAUUCUGUUUGUGUAGGUUCAUUGCUUUCUAGUUGUAAUCGUCUACCUUUUUGGACGGCUUUUGUGGUUUUCCCCUUUUAGUCUUAGUUUUAGGUGAAUAAAGAGUUUACUCUGAUAGCUUGUAAUGGAGUUUACUCCUGCCUGACCUAGCAAUAGUUGGUCGUAUGGCUUGAAUGUCAAUGAAGUUUAUUCAUUUUCCUCAAAAAAAAAAAAAAUCCUAUAUGGGAACCGAUAUAUGUACCAUUCUUUUUUUAGGCCGAACCCACAUAUAUAUUUUUUUAAAGAAAAAUAAGUAUAAUAUAUAAUCCAACGUUACAACCAACGAUUAUAGUGGACAAGAACUGAAGGGUUCAAUAGUAACCUAACCUUAUCCAGAAGUGUCGAUACAUCCUCACAGUCAACCUCAAGAAGAAACAACUCUUUCAAACAUUAUAUGCAAAAACUACUAGUAUAUAUGCAUAGGUAACAUCCUCAUUACAUUGACAACAAGAACUAACCGACGUUUAAAUAGUCGUAGACAUAACACCAUAACCAUGGCACACCAAUGACACGACCCCGACACCAACCUAACAAAACCCUAAAUCCUCGCUCAAAAAGUAGGUCAACACCCUCGCUUAAAGAGGAAGGACAUCUAACCAUAACAAAAAAAACAAAAACAAAAACAAAAAACAGUAAAAAGAACAUAUACCAAACUAAAUUCCAGACUCAUACUUUAACCUAUCUAGGCCGAAUAUAUGUAAAAACUACCAGCAUAUAUGCAUAGGUAACAUCCUCAUUACAUUGACAACAAGAAUUAACCGACGUUUAAAUAGUCCCUAGACACAACACCAUAACCAUGACACACCAAUGAUACGAACCCGUUACCAACCUAACAAAACCCUAAAUCCUCGCUCAAAAUCUUCGCUCAAAAAGUAGGUCAACACCCUCACUUAAAGAGGAAGGACAUCUAACCAUAACAACAAAAAAAACAGUAAAAAGAACCUAGACCAAACUAAAUUCCAGACCCAUACUUUUAACCUACCUAGGCCGAUUAACGUAGCCUUGACACAAAGAAAGGAACAACAAAAACACUUUCGUCUUCUCCCCGAUCCAAGCUGCCGUUGCACCACCGCACCACCACCAUGGCCAAACUCUACUACCACCAACAUUAACCCAUGCCACGCCCACGCUAGCUUGUAUAGCUGCCAAAGAGUCAUCCCCACAAAACCCCUAAGCCAGAGCGAAACCCAGAAUAUCCAGAUUGUCUCCGACAUCCUUAAGGUCAAGCCACUAAUUUUGACAAAGUAACCAUCAAGCACACCUGACUCACCGAUCGCUGUAAGCCGCCCUUAUCCCAGCAAGAAUCCCUGAUCCAAACAAUUCACGGCCCCCCAAAAAAUCUUUAAUGCACCGUCAUCUCAUAUCAGGAAAUCCUGGAACAUGCCUCUCUGAUCGCAUCCUUCGAUCUCAAAUAACGUCAACCCACUAGACAAUCCCGUCCGGCCACACCCAUCAGACGUUGGCAUGGCCAGAGAUGUCACAGAGCCGCGGCGCAGCCAGACAAGAGAGAACUCGCACAUUGCAAAACCCUAGUUCUGCUACUUUUCCAGAGCAAUGAGUCUCUUUCUUUUUGAACCCACAUAUUUUGUGUUGUUUAUUCCAAGGAGGAUUAAGAUGCAACAUGCCCUGUCAUGGUUGGAGUAGUGAUGAUUCGGUGGUAGGUGUUAAGUCACUCGCAAACGACGAUAUUCGGUGGUGGUUGUGUAGAGUCACAAAUCUUUUAGAUUCAGAUAUCUUGAGAAAAUUAACUGAGGGAUUAGUUUUUUUUGAUCGAAUACGUUAGAGAACUUUAUUGAAAAAAUCAUCGAUUACACGGAGGGGAUGCAAGCAAACCCUGUAACUCCCCAGGAGGGGCACCGACCCAACGGGAAGGAGAAGAGCAACUAAGAGCCAAACGAGCUAGCUUAUGCGCUACCAAGUUGGACUCCUUGAAAACAUGACUAAAAAAAGAAGAAUUAAGAGACAACAGAUCCUGUUUAAUAUCCUCAACGAUCAUGCCGAAAGCAGAAUCCUCCACAUCAGACUGAGUAGCCUUUAACCAGAUUGAGACAGUCUGACUCCAAGACNNNNNNNNNNNNNNNNNNNNNNNNNNNNNNNNNNNNNNNNNNNNNNNNNNNNNNNNNNNNNNNNNNNNNNNNNNNNNNNNNNAAACUCUCCUUAGACACACACUCCAAACAUAACACCAACCACUCCAUCAUAGACAUUGGGUGAGAAACAACCUGAAGGACAGCAUGAAGCUUAGGAAACAUCAUCACUAAAUCCCGAAAAUAACAACAAUCACGACACACAUGCGCAGUACCCUCCUCCUCCUCAUUACAGAAGAAACAACCCUGGUUAAUAAAGACAUGCUUAGAUCUCAACGAAACAACUGUCGGAAGAAUAUCUGAAACGACCUUCCAGAUAUGCACCUUAAUCUUGCUAGGCACCUGUGAAAACCAAACACUCUUCCACAAAGAAACAGAGACCGAGUCUGUCGAGGAAGAAGGUUGAGCAUGGCACAGUUGCCUCGCAAGAUCAUAAGCAGAGCGUGUGGAAAAACGCCCUUUCAGAUCAUAGUGUCACACUAGUUUAUCCGGGCCAGCACGCUGACUCAAAGGAAUUGUCAGAAUCAGAUCAACAUCCGCCUGCUCAAAAUGUUCCCCAACCAAAUCAACAUUCCACAUUCUAUCAACAGAAAUAAAAUCACUAACCAGCAUAUUACUACUGCCCCUCUGACUUAGAGGCCGAAAGUCCCGAGGUCUAGGGAGCCAAGGAUCCUCCCAAGCCCGCACCGAACACCCGUCACCAAUUUGCCAACGAGUCCCAUUAACCAACAAAUCCCGGGCCUCAAAAAUACCACGCCAACAAGCAGAUGGCAUGGAAGGGUUAGGAGCAGACCAAAAAUCAGUAUGAGGAAAGUACCUGGCCUUAUACAACCUUCCCAGAAGAGAGUCUGGAUUUUUAACCAACCACCACCCCUGUUUAGCAAGCAACGCAAGAUUAUGAGCAUACAGAUCACGAAAACCCAUACCUCCCUCCUCCUUCGGACGACAUAGCCUCUCCCACGACAUCCAAUGAAUCUUUCUAUCAUCCGCUGUUCCACCCCACCAAAACCUAGCACACAUUUGAUGGAGGGAAUUGCAAAAAGUUUUUGGAAGUAGGAAACAGCUCAUCGAGUACGAGGGAAGAGCCUGAGCAACAACUCUAAUUAAAAUAUCCUUCCCGGCACUACUAAGAAGUUUACCUUGCCACCCUUCUAAUUUCUUGCUCAACUGCUCUUUGAUAUACCCAAAGUGAGGGAUUAGUUAAUGUGAUUAAUAGUGAUUGAAAUUACGGACUUCAGGUUUGAAGAUUUGUUCCAGAUGCUUUUGGAGGACUUUUGAGUUUACAAGGGUUAAUAAGUCUCAGAAAAAGGGAAGACCGGUAACAUUUUGGUUGACAUACAAAUUAUGUACACAGAGAAUUGAAUUGGUGAUCAGCUCGGAUCAAGAUCUUUUCCUUGGCUAAUUAAUGUUCUUGGUUAUCCUUAACUUUAAAUCCUAACCAUUGAUGAGAAAUCCAAGGGCCUCUGACAGGACACAUCAGCAAAAUGUACAUUACAUAGAAAAUUUCAGGAUUUGGUUAACACAAUUUUAACUUACAUUAAAUGUACAUUAAUUGGAUUUGCUUCUUAACAUUGAAAUUUUCCCCUUUUUCAUUUUCACUCCAAUAACCCAAUCUGACAAAACGAAGAAGGUCAUUUCAGGCCAACACAGACCAAACCUAGACCACCUUGUCGAAAAAACAAAAACGUUUCUCUCUAUUGCUUUCUCUCUCUAAAACUUUAUCUCUCUAAAAACAACUCCAUCGCCUUCGAUCGAGAUAUGAAAUCGAAUUCGUCUAAAUCUAAAGCCAUGAUCUUUCAGUGAACCCCAUCUCGAUUUCAAUCCCGGCUGCGAAAAGCCAAUCUGACAAAACUCUUUCACCUUCACCUCCUCAGCCCUCCCAGUCACCUGCACUCCCUUAAACUAAAGAAUUAUGAAAUUCAAAGCAUAUUUGAAUAUAUCUAAUAAUCCCUAUUAUAUAUAUACACCAGAUCUAACUCCCCAAAUGUGGAUUCCAAGAGCAAUCUGAAAAAUCCUCUGUGGGAUUUUGCUUAUGCUUGCGUUUGGAUAUCAAGAAUCCUUUUUCUUCUCUGGACGAUGAUCAAGAAGACCCAAUCGAUUGAAUGAUCCCUUAACUCUGUUGAUUUUUUUUUGGCGAAUAACUGUAUUGAUCUUGAUCCAUCGAUCAUAAUUUCAUAUGAAGAGGAGGGAUUUGUUUGGGUAAAGUUUAUAAUUGGUUGUGGGGUCUCCAUUACUCGAUCAACUUUGAGUUAUAGCUUUCCAGAAAGGUGUGACAGAGGAAUAUAGAAUUGCUUCGAUGAGAGACGAAGGAUUCAUUUGUGGAAAGGAGGAAGAUGGGAGAAAACUUAGGGUUAGUUUGGUGUAACAUCUUGGAAUUUCAGUUUUUUAUUUUUAAAAGGAAAUUUAUUUUUUGAGUUAUUUUUAUUUCGAUUUUUUAUUAUUUUUUUAAUUCUUUGUGGGUUUUGGAAUUUUUUUAAUUUUUGGUUUAUCAAAAUUUUCUUUCGAGCCCAUAGGAUUAAAUUAGACGUCGUUACGAAUUCGUAGGAUUUUUCGGAACAUCGUUUGGACAUCAGAACUAUUUUUAAUGAUUUUUGUGUGUUGGUUGUAUGAGAAUGAAGGAAAGUUGUUAGCUAUGGAAUUGUUGUCCGUAGCUACUCUAAAUGCAGGGUUCAAAGAGUUCUACUGUUAUUAAUGUGUGAGGUGGAAUUGCACAAUUGAGGUUUAGCAAAGAUGAAUGAUACAAGAAAUAAGGAUUUAUUAUGGGUUCAAAUUAUUUGGGUGUCCUUAGUAAACUUCUGAGUUUGAUCAUGUUGAUUGGAAGUGAUCCGCUGACUUUCUCAGAAAAAGGAUUUGGAACGAGGAUUGAAUGCACGUUGCAGUUCCAGAAGCAGAAGGAUAAAGAUUUCAGAAAGCGUGUCGCUGUGUUACUAAUUUUAGCUAGCGUCAGAAGUAGCGUUGGAUUUCAGGUAGUGUCUUUCUCGGGGAACCUUUUUUAUAAUUUGAUAAUUAGAUUAUUAUUGAAAUCGAUGAAUUGUUUGCCAUUGAGUGAUAUAACUCUUGGUUGUUAUUGUUUUUGUUAAAAGCAUGUGAUAUCGUUGAAAUAUAUGAUUGAUGUUUUCGCUUAUCAAAAAAGCAUGUAUUGAAUGUUAUGAUAUAAGUAUUGAUAUUCGUUGCAUACAUUAUGCAUUGUGAGGAAACGUGAGAAUAGUGAGUGGUGAUUAUGGAGAGGUGUGAAUGAGAUCAAUAGAAUAGAUACAUUUUGUGUAGUUGAAUUUCCUCAUGGGGACUUCCAGUAGCUAUGAUUAGCCCACCUGCGCAAAUGAGUAUGGAGUGUAUGCCUUUUCGACGUAUGAGUCGAUAAAACGAUCUUUCGGGUUUCGAGACUAGAGACCAUGAGAUUAACAAAAGACUAACAAAAAAUGUACUGGAGUUUAUAUAUUACUGAUUUGUUAGGUUGUAUAUUCGAGACAUCUGUAUGGGACGUGUAGGUACAAAUGUCUUGGGUGUAUGUUCUAAUUAGCCAGUAAUAGAGUGGAGGGAGUGCAUUAACAUUUAUGCAUCGUUUUUGUCGUUAUUUAUAUAAAGUAUUGUUUGUUAUUUGAUAACUUGAUUUUGCGACAUAGAUAAGAAUAACCUAAAAAGGUUAGGCCCUACUGAGCGUAAGCUCACCCCUAUAGACUUUUGUUCAGGUUUGUACGAGGUAUGCCACGUCUUACAAGAAGACUAACUGUGUCGUUUAGUUGACAUGUACGAGAGUCAACUAGGUUUACAAAAGAUUAGAAGUGAGAUAGAUCGCAAUGACUCAUCAUUUUGUCUUUGUAAUUGUUUUUGUUAUUGUAAACGUUUUAUUUUCUUUUAUUUCGAGAAAAGUAUUUGAAAUUGUUUUAGUUUCUUUUACUUUUCCCGCUCAUGCCUCGGGUUCGGCGUCAGGUGCUUGGAAACCACUGACAUUGCGUUCGCGGUGUGACAAUUGGUAUUGCUGUGACUUUAACAAAAAAAACUGCUGCAGCUGUACUGCGAAAAUAAUCAGCUAUGAAUUAAAACAGUUUUGUGUUUAGUAAAUAUUAGUUUUAAAACUGCCGCCAAGAUAAAAUUUAUUAAUUUCUAGUGUUUUUAGUGACAGCUGGUUUUCAAAGUAACAUUCAGGUUGCUUCUAAAAGCUACUGCCAGUGACCUGUAAUUUAAAAAAAAAAAAAAAAAACUGUUUUUACUUUCAUUUACCAAACACUAUAAAAUCUAAAAAUUUGGAUAGAACCUGAUUUUUUUAAAAAGCGAAGCUGUACCAAACUAGGCCUUAGAAGAGAAAGAAAACAGGUUGGAAGUUGGGUGACGUUAAGUUUCGUUAACAUUGAAAUUCCGAAAAGUGGUAUUUAAUGUACAUUUUGCUGAUGUGGCUUACCAAUGCCCCUUAGAUUUUCCAUCUACGGUUAGAAUUAAAAGCUGAACAUAAUCAAGGCCAUUAACUAGCCAAGCAGAGGAUCCUAAUCCGAUCAUCUCUCCAGAUGUGAAAAUGGCAAAUGGAGUGAAGUGCAAUACCUAGGUUUCUAUGGGUUUCAUUUUGGGUGUUAAUCUGGAAUCUUUGGUUUGAGAAUAGGAGAGAGAGACUAUUCAAAGAAAAAAAAACCAAAUAGGGGAGAUAUAUAUAUACAAGGAUUAUCAGGUGUGGACGUCCGUACGGGUUUUCCGUACGGAUUUCGGCCAUUUCUCCACCAUUCCAGCGCCGGCAAUGCCGUUUCUUAUCCCCGGCUUGAUCUCAGACCUCCCCCGACGGUGUUAGAAUGAAGAAGAAGGCCGGAGAGAUCGCGAUCGGAGGUNNNNNNNNNNNNNNNNNNNNNNNNNNNNNNNNNNNNNNNNNNNNNNNNNNNNNNNNNNNNNNNNNNNNNNNNNNNNNNNNNNNAGAAGAAACGGCGUCGCCGGCGCUGGAAUGGUGGAGAAAUGGCGGAAAUCCGUACGGAAAACCCGUACGGACGUCCGCACCAGAAACAGACUGUAUAUAUAUAUAUAGAGCUGAGUUGAAUUUACCUUUUAAAUUAUGACAUCUGGGACUAACUAACGACGUCAUUAACGUUGUGUAUGGUUACUUAGUUGUACUUGAAAUAUGAUAUACCAAUGUUUAUGUUUUAAAACUUGUUGUAAUGAAAUUAAUGGUUCAAGUACACUUACCAAAAUUUUCCCUUUCAUAUAUAAUUUCUAGUGAAGCUGAUCAAGGGUCAUUAGAAUACUGAUUGGGUUAGUAGAAAAGUGAGGUCCAACCAUACCGCAUCAACCAAUCAGGUGCCAGCUCUCUGCCCUUUUCCUCCCUAAGAGGUUUUCUCUCUAGAGACAACCACCUUUGAGAGUCGGUGGCAGCCACCCUCCCGUCAAAGGUGUUUGGGCCCAAUUUUAUAUUGGUGAUCUUGUAGUGACUAAACCCUAAACCCUAAAGAUAUUAUGUCAGAGGGCUCGGUUAGGAAAAUAUCUUUCCUGAUUUGAUUAGAGAUUCGAUUGCUUUGGAGACAAGUUAUUCGCAAACCGUAGACACCUAGUUCCAUAUAUAAGGAGGCCAAGGCGAAUGAGAAGCCCACCGACAAUUCAACAAAACUUUACAUCACUGCAAUUUGGACGCCUCUCCAAGAGCACCCAAUCUACCAAAAAAGCCUCUCCAGGGAGCACCACCAAAGCCUCAUUGCGAGCAAAUCCCGCUUCACUCAUCAUGCCUCAUCGCGAGCAAAAGUCCGCCCCAUUGUUAAUGAGAAAUCCUUGGCAAAUAUCCUUUUAUUUUUAUUUGUCACUGAAGUAAAUCCUAAGGAUCCGUCCUAGGUCGUUGUGAAAAGCCCCAGCAGCAGGACUGAAAGUUCCUGCUCACAGUUGUUGAAGAAAAGUCAAGAGAAGUGCGUGAAUGAACAAGAUCAAAGACAGGCACACCUCCUCAAGGUGCUAGCACGCUCGCACCAGAUUGUUGUUCGAAGGACCUAAAAAAUCCACCCCGAAAAAAGGGCGCUGCCAGGAGCUUGUCUUCUCCUCCUUCUCUGUUCCAUUCCCUUUCCUUUCUCCCUUUCCAUCUCUUUCCUUUAUGUUUUCCCCUUCAUUUCCAUUUCUCCCACUUCUAUGUUCUCUCUCAUAUUAGUUUACCACUUGGGUUUUAUCAGCUCUAAAUCAAGGUUGACAUGCUUUAUCGAUCACCUGCAUCUCAUGUUGUUCGAUUUCGCCUGAUAUGUUUGCUUUCGCUAUUCUCAGAGCUGGGUAUCCGAUCUGGAUCGAUUGUUGCCUUCUGCCUUUUCUCUUUCUUUUGUUUUGUGUCCCAAUCGGUUUGAUCGGAUUUGUGUCUGGUCGUGUUUGGGGUCGGCUGGUUUUGGGGCUUCAUUUAUAUGGGUGAUAUUUGCUCGAUCUAUGUGGUGGUUCGGCUCCUCACGGUGAGAGCCGUGGUGGCGUUCCAUCAUCGGUGUUGCACAACGCGGGUCCCUAUCCAGGCUUCCCUUCAGUCUUGCCGCCUCUGCUACGUACUAUCCCUCUGCUUCGGGUUCUUCAAGUGGCGUUUGCAGAAACAAACCAAGGACGACGUUCCAUCAUCGGUGCUGCACAGCGCGAGUCCCUGCCUCUGCUACUCUCACUCUUCUUCGGGUCCUUCAAGUGGCGUUUACAUAAACAAACCAAGGACAUCAGCGAUUACAGAAACACCUGCCUGACCUUUCUUUUUUGGCAAGUCGUUGGCUCUCUGACAACAUCUGUUGUUUGUUUUUGGCUUUUUAGGUGUUGGGCCAUGUUGGUUUGGGCAAGCUGUCACACCCUGACUCUUAGUUAUUUAUUAAAUAUUUACAUUUGCGUUAUCUUGAGCUUUUACUGGCUUCAUUAACAGUUUCACUUAUAAGGAUUCUAGAGUUGACUUUUUGUUGGGUGGUAAUUUUGGAAAAUUUUCUUAAGGGAUGUCGUAAAGAACGUUAAAUUGAGUUCGUGGACACUUGGCACGUCAAAAACGGAGUUCGUGCGAAAAAGUUAUGGUCUAAAAACCGAACUUACCUCUUUUAGGCUGUACUAUAAAAAGGGAAACCUACCAUUUUGGGGUCAGAAUUUUAGAAACCCUAAAAUCCUAAUCCAGCCUCUCUCUCGCACGACCGGGAAACCUAACCCGACCCAUUUUCGUUUUCUGGCCAUAUCUCUUUCGUCCGGCGUCCGAUUGAAGUGAGAUCGGCGGCGUUGGAUUCGUAUCUUCCUCCUCAAUUUUCCUAUGGUGGUCUUGCAGCACGGUUCGUGCCAAGGUGUCUUACAAUCCCUCCAAAGGGUUUGCACCGAUUCGAAGUGAGCAAAGAGAAUUGAUGGAAAAGAGAAAUUCAAAGUUGUUGUAGAAUUCAUUUCAUGCAAGGAUAUGUGGAGAUCUCAUACGAGUGGCGUUGCGGAUAUCAUCGGGCUUAUGCCUAAAUUUGUGAGUGAACUUUUAUUUUGAAUAAAUUGCAUACGACGAUCUCUUUAUAAAUAUCUCUUCUAUAAAUAUCGUUCUCAAGAAAGUAAGAAAAUUUUAUUUUAGUUUUGUUUAUUAUUUCUAUGAUUUUGGAGUUGACAUGGGAUUAUCCUUCUUGAUUGAUUUUCAUAUACGAUGUAGAUUUCUUAUUUGGACUUAUGUUAUAAGUUGAGUUUUAAUGGUUUACGUUUUGAGAGUAUUCCGGAUUUAAUUUUUUAUUGUUUUUAUUUGUCAAAUUUGAGAUAUAUAACAAAUUAUUAAAAAUUGGAUUUUUGGUAGUUCUUUAUUAUAAUUUUAUCGUUUAUUUGUGAGAUAUCGAUCUUGACGUUGAGAAUGUUUUAGCGAGUAUUUCGGGUUGUGAUAUUAUUUACGAUUUAUACUUGAUAAUUAAAUCUCGCUUAUUAUUAUAGAUUUGAGAAUAUUUUGACGUGUGAGACACGUCAUUGAGUUUUAUUUUAAUUUCUUAUGUUAAUUUCCAAGUACGAUAGGGAACCGUACUCGUGACUGCAUUUGCACGAUAUUGGGGGAAGCUUUAUGGAUUUAAAUGUUUUUGUAUGUUUUUAGUCACCAUACUAAGGUCGUUUUUAUUCAUUGCUAGCUAGCCUUUAUAUGUGGUUCUCACCAUAGGUGAGUCGAGCACUUAGCGUGAGACGCUACUAGAGCCUGGAAGAUUCCUCUUACAUGGUGAUAUCUCUUCCUCUUGUUCUACUUCUCUUUUUGUACGAGAUUUCUAGACAUAAAGCUAAAUGUUUGUAUGAGAUUUCUAGACAUAAAGCUAAAUGUUAUAUCAAAGUUGCAUGCAUUGAAGUUUUUAAAAUUUAAACGUGGAAAAGUAUUUAAAUUACGUUCUUGUUAAAUUAUUUAAUUUAUUUUUGUCCACUCACUCUAACAUUUUUCCAAUAUUUUUUCCUGGGCCCUUCAGUUUCAAAUGCCCAGUUUGCAGCUGGCUUAUUUGAGGUCGGGCGUACAUGGAGUUGAGGCAUAGUCAGAUACAGCUUCCGUUUAUUUUUUUAAUCGUUGUUUUUCUUUCCUUAUUAGAUAUGCUCUGAUAACCCAGUUAGUAAAUUAUUAAAUGUCAUUGUUGUUUUGGUUGUGGGAUUUGAAUAUCAUGGGGAGCACGGAGGCUCCAGGUUUUGAUGUUGGGUUGUGAUUUUAUAAGUGUUUGCAGAUGUUGAUUAGGAAGGGUUGUUCAUUUUCAAUGGAGGUUAUGUCGAAUUUUCGGUAGCGCCUCUUUUGGAGGUGAUCCUUAUAGGGUUCAUUCCGGAUUUCAGGGUGAAAUCCGGGAUGGGUCUUGACACAAGCAGGUGGACUGGCUUUUGGGUCUUUUUUGUCGGGCUGGGCCAAUUUCAUGCAGCUGGUUUGUUGAUCCAGUAAUGUGUGGUAACGACUAACGAGUUUUCAAAGGUUACAAAAGGUUUAUUGGUUUCCUCAUGCAUAUUGGUGUUCUUGAAUAUGCCUUGACUCUGGUCCACAUGAACGUAACGCAUAUUGGUGUUCUUGACUAUGCCUUGACUCUGGUCCGCAUGAACGAAAUGGUUUAGUGCUAGCUUUUGGAUUAACUUAAUUUUUGUUUUGCUUGUAUAGGCUUGUUUUCAGACUUGUAUCUACGUUUUUCUUUUCUUAUCGGGUUUCGUCUAUGAAACUAAAGGAACCGGCUUUUUUGAUUAUCCGGAGCGGAUUAUACGCACCAAAGUGCAUUUGCACCAUUAAUGUAUAAGUCAUUAAAUCGUUGUAUGCGAAGAUUGAAUGAAGAAAGACUAGAGACCCUAAAUUCCUUCAUUUCAUUUUCAUUUUUGAUCCGAUCAAAUUAAGCGCCUAUAACAAGAGUACCUCUUCUUCGACCUCGGGUUCUUACCUCUUGUGUUGGAAACACUUAGGACUAUUUUUUUUUGGGUUUCAGUUUUGUUGUAUUAGUAUAUUCGUACGUGGAUGAUCAGAUCAAAAUAAUGCAUAUUAGUUGCUCAGUUCACUUGCACCUUGGUGCGUAAAAGAAUUUUCGGACAAAUAAACCAAAAAAAACAAAAUGCAAGACCUAGGAACUCCCAAUAAUAUGCACAAAACCAUAACAAUACACACAAAACCAUAACUUCUAUAAAACACAAAUAGACAUGCAAUUCAUAAUCAAGCUCACGUAGAGAUGCAAACUGUAAUCUACAUCGAUUCAUUGCCUAAGCCCUCAACUUCAAUUGAACCCUAUAGUUUAAUGCCUUCAGCCCUAAGCAUUUAUCAAUUUACUUCCUGCCGGCCAAAUCCAUCUCGUUAAGUCCAGCACAUUUAUCAGUGUGAUCCAUCAGAUACUCGAGGGUAGCAAGUAGGACAUGCAGAUUCUACAAUAUCAGUACUCAUUAGCGGAAUUUGGGUUUGUAAUGAUGGUACCAGCGAUAUUCAGUUUCAAUCAUCACUCAUUGUGCAUAAUUACAUCUUUCAUGACUCAGCUCAAUCUGGUCUUCUACAAAGAUAGUGUAAAAGAAACUAUACUACAGAUAUAAACAAUUUUUACAUGACUGCUAGUGAAAAAUCACGCCUUAUUCUUAGAUGGGGGAACACAUUACAAUCUGGCUUUGCAGCUGUACGGAAAUGGAUUCAUAUCCAAAAAUGGUUCUUCUAUGCAGAUGAUGUAGAAUUGAGAUUCAACUCAGGUCUGACUGUAUAAGGGAUGCAGUUGCCUUCUCCAUUUUUCUAACCUGUUCAGAAGGCGACGCUCCUGAAAUUUGAAAUGAUGAAAUUGAGGAGGGAGCUACAAGACUAGUGCUGGUUCCACAUACAGGCCCUUCGAUUAUAGCCCUUGGGGAUGGGGGUUUCCCUAUCUCCGUAAUUCCUUCCAGCAUUUGUACAACUUUUCCCAUCAUUGGCCUAUGAGAUGGCUGCUCUUGUAUGCACCAGAAUGUUACCUGAAUUGCUCUCAUCACUUGAUCCAUAUCAACAUCUUGGUCAGCUAGCCUUUUAUCGAUGAUUCCCCUGAUAUUACCCUUCUCAAAUUCGUCAAAGACCCAUAUGGAGAACUUUUUCCUCUCUGUCUCUUCAGAAACUUCAAAAUUCCUUCUCCCACUAACAAUCUCUAGCAGAACCAUACCAUAACUAUAAAUAUCAGAUUUGGAAGUUAUUGGCAGAUUUGCUAACCAUUCUGGUGCCAAAUAACCUCUAGUCCCUCUAACACUGGUCAAAGUUCGGUACCUGUGGUCCUUUGGAUUAACAAGCUUUGCGAGGCCAAAAUCAGAUACUUUGGAAUUGUAAUUCUCAUCCAAAAGAAUGUUCUCAGGCUUUAUAUCACAAUGCACAAUGCAAUCUCGGCACUCCUCGUGAAGGUAUGUGAUUCCCCUUGCAGUGCCAAGGGCAAUCUUGAAUCGAUUCUCCCAACUUAAGAAUUUUCCUGACUGCUCUUCUUUGGCAAAAAGGAAAUCAUCAAGGGACCCAUUUUUCAUGAACUCAUAUACUAAAAGCCUAUGACGGCCCUCUGAGCAGAAACCAAUCAGCCUCACUAGAUUCAAAUGAUGGGUGCUACUAAUUGUUGCAACCUCCAUCCUAAACUGCUUUUCUCCUUGCUCAAUCCCCUCGAGUUGCUUUACUGCAACAACAGUUCUAUUAGCAAGAAUUCCCUUAUAUACAGCUCCAAAUCCUCCGGCUCCAAGCUUCUCCUUAAAUCCUUUGGUUGAGCGCUGGAGUUCUUUGUAUGAAAACUGAACUGGCGCGCCAGAGGCAUACUCAAGAAGAGCAUAUUGAGCAGACAAUGCACCAAAGCUUGGACUGUUUCUGCAAAACCACCACCAAAGACCACCCUCCAAUGCCAUCAAACCCAAAAGGGAAGCGACAACCACAAGAACCACUAUCCAUGCCCCCAUCUUCCAACCCUUUUUCUUGCCAGAACUAUCCAUUGAAGAGGGCGGAUUUAGAACCACCGGUCCACAAACCUUGAUAUAGGAACUGCUAGUCAAAGCUGGACUGUGAUACCCGCUGAGAUAACCUGGUGUCUUGUAGUAACAUAACCCUGUGCCAUCAGACAAAGAUGUUGAAGCAUCACAAGGAUUAUUAACAAGGCAGUUUAAUCUACAGGCUGAUAUACCCACAAAGAAAAUCUGUGAAUCCGUCUCGGGAGGGUAAGUCAAGAACCGAGUAUGAUCCAAAUCCAGCAUAGUCACACUCUGAGGACAGUCCUCAAUCUCCAUCUUCCUCCUACACCCUUGCCUGCUAUCCUUGGGAUCCACCGGCUCGAAAUUAAGAGAAGGGCAGCCACAAACAGGAUUGGAAUCAUUAUAACUGCAAAUUCCCAUAUUCCCACAAUAGCCAAACACCUGACACUGAUCAGUAACAGCUGCCCAUCUCUCGGUUUUAGUCCCGCUACCUUUAGCAGAGCUAUAAAUCCUUACAUUCCCAUCACUCUCAAGCUUCAAGAACCUCAGAAUAUCACCAGCCUCAGCAUAAUCAUUACUAUAAGCAACAAUAGCAGCAGUGGGCAGCUUGGGAUCAGAAAUGGUCAAAAUCCCAAUAGGCUGCAAUUCUAAAUUAGGAGAAGUCAAGUUGGGGGUAUUGCUAGUAACAGAGGAGUUCAACCCUUGAUUCCAAUACACAAUAGUAUCGUUCCACAACAGAGUCAGAUUCCCAUUCUUAAUGAGCUUGAACGAAUACAUACCCGAUCGCAAAACCUUACCCACAGUGAAGUUCUGGGACGGCACGAUCGUAUCCGUCGGGUUGUCGAAGCUGGACCAGACAUCAUCGGUGCCGUUACGGAGGAUAAGGUUGCCGGAGUCGUCGAGCAGGGCGGAGGAGACGCCGCGGCCGGCGGUGUUGGAGUCCCAGACGGUGCGGUUGGAGCCGUCCACGAGGCGGAGGGAGCCGGAGGAGAGGAAGUGGAGGGCGCCGGCGGAGUCAACGGAGCCGGCGGACCAGAUGGGAAGGGCGCCGGAGUAGGAGAUGGCGGCGAGGAGAGAAGGGGGUGAGGUGGGCGGGUCAGCGGGGAAGAAGCCGAAAGAGAAGGUGGAGUCUGGGGAGGACCAGGUUUGGUUGGGAUUGGAAGCAAAGAGAGAAGAGCCGGGUGGGAUUGUGGCGGCCCAGAUGGGUUUGGUUUGGAAUAGAAGAAGACAGAAGAGAGGGAAGAGCAGAAGGUGGGAUUUCUUGAUCGCCAUUUUGGGUGGGUGCUCUGUUGAGGAAGGAAGCUCCAGUUUAGUUAGUUCAAGGAGGAAGAGAGGGAAAGGAAGACUUUGACUCAGAAUUCAGAAAUGGGAGGGUGGGACUGACUAGUCCUUCCACUUCUUCUUCCGACUUCCUAUGUUUGAAUGUGUGUUUCUUCUUUGUCUCUGUUUUCUCUCAGACUUUUAACUCUUCUAGAAGACUAGAACAUCACCAAGAACAAGUCCCUGUUCGGGCUUGCCGUGCUGCACUGAGAAGACUCGCUUAUGAAAUCGUUGUAAGAAGUGUUAGAAAAUAUUGAGACAAAUAACACUUGGAUUUAAUUUGAGAUGAAUAACAAGAAAUACAUUAUGAUAUCUGUGUCUUGUUACCUAUUGAGAAUGUAACAUUUUUACCUUCAUAGUCCUAUGAUGUUGAUCUUAACUAUCUAAUUACAGAGGUGGUUUGCAAGAAUUAACAUCAACAUUAUAUAUUGUACAACUCAGUAAUAUUUACUUCAGAUUGCUUCUUAUUUGAUCAGAAGUUCAGCACCUCAAACCCGACCAAUACCGGUCUUUGAACCUCUCCAACGACUUGAGUAGCAAAUACACCAAGAAAGCUACAAAACUAUUGGGGAAGACUCUUAUUUAAACAUGCACGUUGCAAAACUAGAGGGGAAUAGGAAUUAGCAUAUGAUUAAAUUUGAAGCCGGACGAGUUGGCUGACAUUGAUGGGGUAAGCAUCGCCCUGGAGAGUAGAAGCAUACGCCUUGGUUGCUAUUUCAACAUUUACAGCUUCUGUCGGAUGCAACCCAUCAAAAUACAUAUAAGUCGUCCUAUCUACACAUGUCUUCCCACCUCUAUCGCAUGAUAUUCCAUUUCCACCUGCACAUUAUGCAUAUAUAACGAUUCAAUGAUCACCACGACGACGAUGGAGAUGCCAUUGUUUAAGCUAAGGAAAAAAGAAAAGGAAAGGUUAGCACCUUGAGAGACCAGGGAAACUGCACAACAAGGGUUGUGUGUGUCUUUAAAGCCUGUAAUGAACAUAAGGCAACACAAGACAUAAAUUAGAAUAUACAAUAUGUAAUGUUGCAUCAAAAUUUGAAAGCACGUACCGAUACUGAUGAAAUUAAAAGUACCUGUUCUGGAAGGAGGAGACUGUGUUAGAUUAGAUAUAAUGUUAUAUUGGUUAACUAAAACGAAAUUGAAGUCAGAUAAGUGAGCUUUGAGAGAGUCAAGCAAUGUCUUCAAGCGAGCGUUGUAGAGCUCGGCUGCGUAGUUGAGACCUGAAGGAGUGCCAAUAAUAUUUGGCCUGGUAAUCACAGGACUAUUGCCUAGUGGCAUUAGCGACGUUACAACAAAUUUACGACCUCCCAGACUGUACAAUUUCUGCAACAACAACAAGAUAACAAAGUCUAAACAUCAAACAAUGUCAAUAUUUGAUAUAUGUCUGCAUGUUUCUCAACGCACGUCCUUACCUGGAGUUUCUGAUCAAGAGAGGCUAUGAGAUUUGCAGUGAAGGUUUCAAUACUGAUAAGGAGGUACAAUUUCCUAAGGAAAUAGUUGAGCAUGUAAUCAUUUCCACCAACUCCUACAACAAUCAAGUAGCUCGGUAGCGAUUGAGAGCUAUUGCACCCUAGCUGUGCUUCUAACUCUGCCAGUGUCACCACCUCAAAGUCCAUAAUUUGUUGACUCAAGCUCGUUGCAUUACCCUGAAAUUUAUUUCAAGAAAUUAAAACUAACCAGCAGUUUAAAUAUCUAUGCUAGUGAGACAUGAUACUCUUAUGCAUGCUAUGUAUCUGCUAGCUCACCAUGCAUGCAACUGAUGGUUUAUACAAACUAGCUAGCAAGCACAGGCUUCAUGUGAAAACUUUUAAUGUUCGUCUACAUAUGAACGUAUGGUUGUGGAUAGUUUACAAAUCAUGAAAAACUUUUAAGUUAUUUAUCAACAAGAAGAAAUUAAGCUAGAUUAGGAGGAAGCGCAUGAUAGGAGAUGAGAAAUCAAAACUAAGAUUGAGUCAUGAGCUGAUGAUUAAUUGAAAGGAGAUGUUAUGAAAUACGCACCGCAACUGAUCCUGUAUCAUUAAGGAUACCAGAAGAGCCGGAGGCAUGGUUGACACCAUGAAGAAUUUUACUUCCUUUAGCGGAGGGGUCUUGAAAUGGUGGGAUUAAGGGAAGCUUAACCUGAUCACAAAGGAGAUCAAUCACAUUUUUACUGUUUGUGAAUCUCCCAGAAGUCCCAUAUGGGAAGUCGAUUCCAUAUGGCAAGUAAUUGGCUUUGGACGUGGUUUCCAAGUAGUUAUUGUUGCCAUUGUCCACCAGAGAGCUUCCGAACACAAACAUCCCUCGAAUCGUAUUGUCACUAACAUCUUGUAUGAAGUGACAAUCAACAGUAGUGCCUGCGAAAGCUGAAGAUACAGAAGCAAAUAUCAGAGAAAGAUACAAACACACCAGUUUUGAAACUUUUUUUGGCAUAUUGACCCAGAAGAAUCAAGCAACUUCUUGAGAGAAGUAAUAAUGGAAAUAUAUGGAUGUAUGAUGAAAAACAUGAUAUAUAUAUAUAUAUAUAGGAUCCCUCCCGAUCUCUAGAAAUAGUAAAAAUAAGAGAUCGCUUAAUAGAAAGGUGUAUAUAUAUAUAUAUAGGAACAAGGUCUAGAACAAUAAAGUCCAUAAUGCAACCCAAUCAAGAAUAAAAGUCAAAUGCAUCUUGCCUUCGACUGCCUAACUGUUUUUAUUCUUAUUGUUAUUAAUUCUGGGGAUAUGCGAUGAAGAUGAAAGACGCGAGAGGGGAUAUGGGAUGCAGCUUAUUUUCGGGUUAAACCGGUAUGUAGUAGAGGGAAGCAAAUCUGCUGUGCCCAAAAACCCUGUGCCAAACAUGUGCCACCUACCAAAUUCUGACACAUGUCUCUACCCAAAACAGAGCUUAACUCUGUUAACCACAUCGUUAGUUUUAAUAAAAAAUGGAUAAAAGCAAACUUAAUUAAAGAUUACAAGAAUCAAUAUUCGACUCUACCUCUUCCUCUUUCCCUCUUUGUUCUUACGCUUCUUUGUUCCUUCUUUCUCUGCUUCUCUGGAAAAAAAAAAAAACCCAGUAUAUUUCUCCUUCUCUCUUACGACAUAGCUGCCGUGGUUUUAGUUUUUCUUCUUGUUCGUCAUCUUUAUGGCUGGUUUUGGUCGACAUUUGAGUGAUUGACUGACGAACUCUGUUUUCAAAGGCAGACAUAUCUUCUGUUCUUGUUUGUAAACCCAUCCUAGUUUCGAAUCUAUGUUCGUCUAUCUCUUUUGGCCUCACGAAGGAGAGACAUGAUUGCGAUGAGAAGAACUGAAAAGGUAUUACGACGAAGAGGAGGAAGCACUACAAAGAUGCGGAGGAGAGACAUGAUUGAACCUGUUGUGUUUAACUCCCGUAAUGAGCUACUGGGCUUUUCUUUUUAUAGGUUAAAGUUUGAUUUUGACGAGUUAUGAUUGGAAUUGUUGGGAUGCUGAAGUGCACAUUAGGUAUUCAAGAAGUGAUGUGAGAUAUUGCUGGAGGUGAUAUCUAUGUGAUUGGGAGAAAGCUAGGUGUGCCUUGGCUUUGGUUUAUUCUUAUGAUGCUGAUUGUUUCCUUGGCUGAAAAUGAUGACAAAACUGGACUCUUCUCAAUUUCAUAUGACAAACCAGAUGGUCCCUUGUCUUUGAUUAGGCAAAUCAGAUCAUGAACUUACAUAGUUACAUACUUGCCUCCCUUAUAUCCUAAAUACAUGAGUCAUGCAUUCCAAAAUGGACAAUUAGCAUUCAGUACCCUGAAAACAAUCAGUUUUUAGUUUCCUGUAGCUAGAGCAAUGAGUCAUCACCAUAUGCAUCUAUAAUUCCUUGCCCUUUAAAUAACAUGGUUAUUUGGGUUUAGCUCAAUCAAACUUCUCAUCAGUUUUGAUCCCAUAAGAAAUAAAGCAUUCCAUUCUCAAAUUCCGGUUUACAAAAUUGAUGGGAAAAUGGUACAUGUCCACUAAAUGACAUUUACACUGACAAAAUGGUGCAUCUUCUACAAGGAACAAACAACACUUGUUCAACAUGCUCCAUUCCAAUGACUGGAAUCAACUCUUUUCUAACCUUGGAAUGUACAUAAUCUACUUUUUCAUUACCUUCAACAGGUUCGAACUCCUUUUCUUCCGCACUAUCAUCUUCAGCCGAAGUGUUCAAGUCAAUUCCAUCUAAAAAAUCCAACUUUCGACGUGAGUUUGCUUGAAUAUGAACCUCUUCGCAACUAUUUUCUGUGUCCAUAAGCUUCAGCAUUAAACCAAACAAGAAUAAAAUGAAUAUCAGUACAUAAAGAAUGAUAUGCAUUCCAGAGAGUAAGAUGACGAACAAGAAUAAUAUUUGUCAUCCACAAAUAUGAAAACAGAAGAUAUGUCUACCUAUGAAAACAGAGUUCGUCAGUCAAUCACUCAAAUGUCGACCAAAACCAGCCAUAAAGAUGACGAACAAGAAUAAAAACUAAAACCACGGCAGCUAUGUCGUUGGAGAGAAGGAGAAAUAUACUGGGUUUUUUUUUUUCAGAGAAGCAGAGAAAGAAGAAUAAAGAAGCAUGAGAACAAAGAGGGGAAGAGGAAGAGGUAGAGUCGAACAUCGAUUCUUGAAAUCUUUAAUUAAGUUUUUUUUUUUAUCUAUUUUUUAUUAAAACUAACGAUGUGGUUAACAGAGUUAAGCUUGUUUUGGGUAGAGACAGGUGUCAGAAUUUGGUAGGAGGCACAGGUUUGGCACAGGGUUUUUGGGCACAGCAGAUUUGUUUCCGUAGUAGAGAGAGAGGGAAUGAUUCUCUCUUCUUCACGGAUUCAUGUUUAUUUUAAUUUAUUUAUGACUUCUUUUUUCAUACAGUUCAUGGGAUUUGGCACCGUGUUGAUUCUUUAGCCAAAUACUAGACUACUAGACAACAACCAAAUUUUGCAAUACGAAGACAUAAAACAUUAAUUAUAAGGGUUCGUCUACUUGAUGUAUUAAUUGGUACAUUAAUGUAUCUCCAAAACAAAGUAAGAAAUGAUAUAAUUUUUAGAAACCAUAUUAUCCAACCUGAAAAUGUUAUUUACUCUGCAGAGAAACAUUUCUGUUAUCAUUCUAAUGUUAGUGCUAGUUACCCUAAAAAAUUUUGCAGGUUUGUUAAGCCUAUUCGUUGGCUUGCUCUUCCUUCUCAGACACUUAAGCUCAAUUUUGAUAGAUCUAUUCAGAAUCACUCUGCCUCUUCAGGCUUUGUUUUUAGAGAUGCAGAUCGUCAACCUGUUUUAGUUUCUACAAAAAAUAUUGGUCCUAAUGAUGUACUCACGGCUGGAGCUUAUAUGUUACAUGCGGGUCUAUUAGCAGCCUGGAUCCAUGGUUUUUAGAAAAUUUUGGUUGAAGGAGAUUCGCAAAUUCUUAUCAAUUCAAUGAAUGGUACAUGUCUUAGCCCUUGGAAGAUUCAAGUUUUUCUCAAAGACAUUCUCUUCCUUACCUCUCAAAUUGGUCGAGAAGUGAAUUUUGUGGCGAAUGCAAUAGCAAAGCUGGGACAUCAAAUUGGAACACAAGCCGGCCUGGAACAUAUAUAUCCCUUCCUCUUGCAUGCAGCUAGUCAGGUUUUCUAUUUUGACUCUCUAGGUGGUAGUUGUAAUAAAGGUUUUGUACUUUGAGGUUAUUUUUUUUUAUCUUGUCGAAAAAAAAAUGUAUCUCCAAAAGACUAGUUAUGUUUAACUAAUGAAUAAUAGAUGGUUAAUUUUUUGAAAAACUCUAGUGCUUCUCUAAUUUUUUUUUUUUUUUUUGUAAAAAUGAUAUAAAUUUAGGCCUCGUUUAGUUCACGGAAAAUAAGCAUGAAGAAAUAAAAGUUGUUCCUUUUUAACGUUUGAGAAUGUUGAAGAAAAUGAAAUACUUUCUUGAAUGAAGUGAAAAUACAAGGGAAAAUAGGAACCAUAGGAACCACUUUCCUCCAUUAAUUACUUGCAUUUAUUACUUACAAUACAUUAUUUUAUUGCUUUAUUUAACAACUUUUCGAUUGAUUUUCCUUAUGUUACCAAACAUCGGAAUGCAAAAUUAUCGAAAAAAUUUAUUUUCCUUCUCUUUUCUAUUCCGUGGAAAAACAAAAAAUUAUUUUUCUUUCCGUGAACCAAACGAGACAUUAAUGGUAGGACGCUCGAUCCAUCCAAGCCCACCCCCGCCAGUCCUGAAAUCACCGCGCCUCCUCCACUCUCUUCGACCACCUCUUUCUCAAUCUUCUCUUCUCGAUCCAUUUAAUUUCAUUUCAAGAGUAUGACUCGAGUUGAUAUUACCAUCAUAAGCAUCAACCCCAGAUGAAACUACUGGUGUUGCAACUGUUGAUUCAAUUUAUGAGAGUUCUUGGGAAUUCCUGCUCAACAAGUUCUUGAAAAUCGACAUGCGCUAUGAGUCAAGUAGUAGCGGGGCUCUUUAUUUGGCUCCGCAAAGUUUCAUCCAAAUUGAUGAUAUAUAUAGAAAGCUGUAAAUACCAUACCAGUCAACUGAACACAUAUUACAAACCGGUCUGCUGGACUUUUUCAUUCCCUACCAAACUUAUAAAUAUUACCAAGCUAUAAAGUCUUACCCAACUUAGCUAAAUCCUACAUAUUAGUACCUCUCUAGGUGACCACGAAAAGAACCAUGAAACUUAUUAUUGGUAUUGGUAGUGCAGCCAAAUAUAGAAGGAAAACAAUUAAAGAUGAUCACUGCCAUAUAUGCACCAGCCUAUAUUUGGAUUUGGAUCAACUGUUGGAUAUUGGUUGGAUAAACUUCAGUUUUGAGAGUGGAGACGAAUGCCUUGGUUGCUAUUUGAACGUUCACUGCUUCAGUUGGAUGCAAGCCAUCAAAGAAGACAUAACUGCUUCUAUUCAGGCACACUUGCCCUCCCCUUUUGCAUAGGAUUCCAUUUCCUCCGUUACUUAUUGUUGCCACUUCACAACACGUCCCUCUCAAAUCUCUGAAUCCUGUAACAGUAACCCCAUCAAAUUUGGACGAUACUUAAGCAUAGAUUAUAAAUAUAUAAAUAUGAUUUUUCUCAGCUGCGGACGUCCGCACCAAUGGUUUGGUGCGGAUUUUCAUUUUUUCACAACUUUUCGAUCGAAUUUCCUCAUCUCCACCGUUUAGUAUCUAGAUAAUAUUGUGUAGAUCAUCUCUGCAAAAUUUCAGCCAAUUUGGUAAUCGUUAAGGCCCUCAAACUCAAAAACAAAUAGGACGGAUGGAAUUCUGUCCAGUUCAUGUUNNNNNNNNNNNNNNNNNNNNNNNNNNNNNNNNNNNNNNNNNNNNNNNNNNNNNNNNNNNNNNNNNNNNNNNNNNNNNNNNNNNNNNNNNNNNNNNNNNNNNNNNNNNNNNNNNNNNNNNNNNNNNNNNNNNNNNNNNNNNNNNNNNNNNNNNNNNNNNNNNNNNNNNNNNNNNNNNNNNNNNNNNNNNNNNNNNNNNNNNNNNNNNNNNNNNNNNNNNNNNNNNNNNNNNNNNNNNNNNNNNNNNNNNNNNNNNNNNNNNNNNNNNNNNNNNNNNNNNNNNNNNNNNNNNNNNNNNNNNNNNNNNNNNNNNNNNNNNNNNNNNNNNNNNNNNNNNNNNNNNNNNNNNNNNNNNNNNNNNNNNNNNNNNNNNNNNNNNNNNNNNNNNNNNNNNNNNNNNNNNNNNNNNNNNNNNNNNNNNNNNNNNNNNNNNNNNNNNNNGAGAGAGAGAGAGGUACAAUUUACAUGUACAUAUCUCCAUAUAUGAGAUAAAAGCUUUUCAUGCAGGGAGAGCUGCAGAUGCAGGUGGCAAAAUUAAUCAAAACAGUCUCUGCUCCCGACAUCGUAACAGAGAUACCGAUCUUAUAUGGCCAUAAAUACGAACUGUAUCUGGCUAUCUGCCAUAGUUAUCCUGUCAUUCAAUUCAAUCCAACACUGCAUGAACUAUAAAUAUCUAUGAAGAAAACGAAACCCCGCCCGUUCGAUCUGUACGUUUGGAACUUGGACCAACUUUACUACUAGAUGGGGUAGAUAUAUAUAUAUAUAUUUUGAAUACAUGUAUGUAUGUUGUUUCAUUGAUCAGUCAUAUUGGUAGAGAUGGAAUACGCAACGAUGAUAAAAAUAUCGCGUGUGCAGCUAGCUAGCACGUACCUUUAGUUGUGUGGAGAGAGAUGAAGUGAGAUUGGCGGUGAAGACUUGAAGACUGACAUUAUUGGGGUUGGCCAGGAAGUAGUUGAAAGAGUAAUCGUUACCACCAGUUCCCACCACAAACAAGUAGUUACCAACUGAUGAUCCCAAGCUUUUACUGCACCCCAUCCCAAACCCUAACUGGGUUUUCAACUCUGGCAAAGUUACCUCCUCGAAAUUUCUUAUUUGCUCGUUCAGACUCAUUACAUGUCCCUGUAAUUGAUUAAGUAAUAAUGUGAAUAACCCAACAUCAGAAUCCAGGGUACAAAAUAAUUUAACCUAAUCUAGCUAGCUCUGAUUCAUGCCAAAAGCUGCAUAAAAGCUUACUCUAAUUGUGCCAUCCAUUACCUUUGGCCUAAUUAUUAAGCAUUUUGAGUACCGUAGCUACUACAGAAAGUAUUAUGCAAUAUAAAUUUUGUCUUUUAUUUUGUUUGCUAAAAAGAUGACAAUUGAGUUUCAGGGAGUACUACAUGUUUGGUGGAUAGUUAGCUUAAUCAGUAACAAAUUUGGUCGCUGGUGAUGAAGGAAUUAUCUUAGUUUCUUUUGAAAGUUUCGAAUGAGGACUAUAGUAGCUUUUGAAACUAAUAUAUGCCUCCGUAAUUCUAGAUUAUAUAUGAGCAUCAUUUCGAAUGAGGACUAUACUAAUCUUAUUCUACAUUUUCACAGUAAAAAAUACAAGAAUAUAUGAUUCAACAAAGUUAAUGGCUAGCACAUUCAAAUGAUGAAAGUAUGUAUAACGAAGAAAUUAAUGAAGCAAGUAGGUGUUGGUAUGUUACCGCUAAGGAGCCAGUAUCAUCGAGUAUACCAGAAGCACCAGAAGCGAAGUUGACACCAUGAACAAUUUUGCUUCCUUUAGUUUGGGGAUCAGCGAAUACUGGAAUCAAGGAAGGUAUCUUAAGCUGCUCUCCAAGAAGAUCGAUGACAUUCUUUCCAUUUGUGAAUCUCCCAGAAGGCCCAAGAGGAAAAUCAACGCCAUAUGGCCAGUAAUCAGCUCUGGCCAGUGAGUUUUGUAGGAAGUUGUUGUUGCCAUUGUCAACCAGAGAGCUUCCGAACACAAACAUCCCUUUGAUCCCAGCAGUAGUGCUUCUAGUUUCACCUUUUCUGUUUACAUUACAAAGACAGAAGCAUUGGAACGAGCAAGAGAGGAGGGAGACACCUAAGAUGAAAAGCCUCAGACAUGAUGAGUUUCCAGCCAUUUUUUGAGUUGUGGUGAUGGUGGUGUACGUGGUAUGUCAUGUUUGUCACUGGAGCUGGGUAUAUAUACUAGAAACCAGUAGUAUGACAAUAAUGCUAGCUAGAGUUGUCAACGUCAGAACUUGUUGACCAAAUUAUAUCAGUAAGUGCACAUGCGAUGGUAAGGUUAAGGCCAGUAUAUAUCAGUGGUAAACAAUUCGUUAUAUAUGUUAAGAAGUUAAGGAGUUAUCUCUUAUGGCAUGACUAAUUUGGAAUGAAAACGAGAAUGAUGGAAUUGAUUUUGAAAUAAGAAAAUUUCGACAUUUAUUAACAUAUCAAGAAAUUAGAAUGGGUGUGGGUCACAUCUACUUAUCACAAAUUAAUUCAUAACAAAUCUCUAACUCGAUACCCAAGGGAAAAGAUGAGUUUAAGAAUCAAAGUCUCUAAAAUCAAAUUUUUCUACAUCCAAUCCCUUCAUGUAAUUUCAAUAUCUCCAAAUUAUAACCUUAGAUACACACACAAUUUUUAACAUUAGAAAACAAAACGACAAAAAGAAAAUAAAAAAUGUUGGUUACCGAUCUUUCCCCUCUCUUCCAUGGUGAUCUUCUACAUUUUUUUUUCACUCUUAAUUUAUAUAUACGUGCUUGGUUGUUGACUCAACCUACUUGGUUCUUCGUAUCGAUUUAUAAUAUGAGAUGGUUAUUUAUAGGGGUAAAUUAGUGAUCAAAUUAGUUUUAAUUAUGAUGUCAUAUGGCAAGUAAGCAACAUCAACUGUUUUUAGUCUCAUUCUUUUUUUUUUUUUUUUAACUCAAAGACAAUUUUGUCAUUAGUACUAAAGUGGAGGGUACAAUACAAAUCGAUCUGUUGCCAGGCGUACAGAGGACAAACAAGAUCAUUUGAUCCGUAUGAGGGUUGCAUCCUCAUCACAAAUUUUGGCUCACAAGGAGCCUAUAAUCUAAUAGCAAAUAGAUUAUAGGCUAAGAUCCCACCUAGAAAACUAGAAAAAGACAAAAAGAAAGAUAGACUCAUAACUCCAAGACGUCAUGAGACACAAAAAGUGCGUAGGCACAAAAGUGCUUAGAGUCCUAAUGAAAGAAACUUAUUGUACUAGAAAACAAUAAACUAAAAAGCAUCCUAAAACCAAAAAGAAUUAAACCUAAACCCAAAACAGUUGAUCUAGCCCAAACUUAGGAAGGACAUGGAAGAGGAACACCGUAGCCGUCGCCGCCAUGAGAUGAAGUUGCAUUCGUGAGAUGUCACCGUCGUGAGACGCCGCCUCCUUGUUCCGUGCAGCCAUAAGCACCCACAAGCACACCCCAGGGAGAAGAAACUCUAUCGUUGCCACGAACUUAAAGACCAAACAACAUCUCCACCAAACCAAAACUCCUCCCAAGAAUAGACAAGGACGGAGAUGAAAUUGGGAAGAUGAAACCAGAUCUGCUCCUUGAGUCCAUGGUGUUAUACCUCCACCCUGAUCUGAAAAGCCACGCAGAUCAAAAGCUGUUAAGAACCUCUGGUCAAUUACCUCUCAAAGCAUUUGGUUGCUGAUAUAUCCUUCAUCUGGCAACAAAGUCAUACGGCUUCAGCAGAUCUAGAGACCUGUAACAUCCUGGAAUUUCAUUUUUCUAUUUUUAAAAGGAAAAUUAUUUUUCGAGCUAUUUUUAUUUCGAUUUCUAUUAUUCUUCAAUUCUUUGUGGUUUUCGAAAAUUAUUCAAAUUUGCAGUUUGUCGAUUUUUGUCUUUCGAGCCCGUAGGAUUAACCUAGACAUCGUUACGAGUUCGUAAGAUUUUUCAGAACAUCGUUUGGACAUCAGAGCUAUUUUUAAUGAGUUUUAGAAGUUUGGUAUUAUCCAAAAAUUUAAUUAAAAAUAGAAUUUUCGGUGGCUUGAUCUGGACUAUUGGAUUUUAAGGAACAGUUUAAUCUUGGCCGUUGAGUGAGAGUAUAUAUAUUUUGGAUCAGUCCAGACGACAGCCCAGACCGACCCCGUCUCGACUGCGACGGAGCUCGAUCGCUCCUCCGUCUUCCGGCCGUCUCCCGGUGCAAGGCCGGUGUCCACAGGUCCGUCUAGACGUCGCCGACCUCACUAUGUUCUUCGUGUUCGAAGAGGAGUUCUGGCGAGAGAGAAAAGAAGGAGAGAAGGAAUUCUGGGUUCGCCGGUGAGAUUCUGAUUCCGGCGACGGCGGCGAGCGUGAAUGAUACUGGAAGCUUCCUCUCAUCCUCGUGGUCUUCCCUAUGUCCUCAGUUUCUUCAGAAGAGGUCGGGAGAGAGAGAUUCGAAGUGGAGAAGGAGAGGCUGGGUUCGCCGGCGAGUUUCCGAUUCCAGCCAAGUCGAGGUCUCUCACUGGUAUGGAUAGCUUCAUCUCGAUCUCAGGAACCUUUCCAUUUUCUUGGUUUUCCCAGACGAGCUCUGAGGAGGGAGAAUCGAAGAGGAGAAGUUCUGGAAUUUUCCGGCGAGGGCUCGGUGUUUUCCGGCCACCGGUGAAGGCAAGUGAGGUAUGAAACUUGAUCUUCUCGUCGAGAUCUUCCCCUCUAUAUAAUUGAAAUUGAGUUUGGUUAAGAGAUGAAGAAUUUGGGAUUUAGGCAGUCGGUGACCACCGUGUGUGGCCACUGUGUACGGCGGCGACGGUGGUUCUAGGAGUUGGUUUCCAACUUUAUUAGUAUGUUGAAUUGUGGAGUGAUUGUAGAUGCUUUGAUUUUGAUAUUGGUGGAGUUUUGAGAAAUCUGGGUUUUGGCAGUGUUUGUGAUCGCAGAGAGUGCCGCUGUUGGCGGCGGCGGUGAUGGUGCUUUUGUCUGUGUUGCUGAUUUCCAGUGGUUAUGAAUCUCUACGCAUGCUUUUGAUUGUUAUAUGUAUUAGAAAUUUAGAAGCAUGGGAAGUGGAUGAUCGAAUGAUCGUACUGUGUUGUUUGGACAGUAAGAACAGUGGUUGUGCAUCUCAGAUUUUGGGGUUACUAUAUGUCUAUUUGGUGAUGUUGGCUUGAUAAAUAGAUCAAGGAGAUUUGAUUUCAGAAACUGGAAAAGAUGGUAACUCGUUGGAUUGGACGGUGAUGAAGUUGCAAUAGAAAUGUAGGCAGAGACUAUAAGGCUGAAUAUAUGGAUACAUUAUGGGUGUAUGGUACUUUGGGUGUCCAAAGUAAAUUCUGAAAUUGGAUUAGUGCUUGGAGCACAGCUGGGAUCUGAUGACGGAAAGGUGUGGAUAAAGUGAAAUAAGUACGUGUGAUAUUGCGUUUGGAGAUUAUAUCAGAAGGUGAGAGGACAUAAGGCACAAGGAUUUGGGUGUCCUUAGCGAAUUUUGAGGACUUUGAUUCGUAUUGGUUUGAAGUGAUUCGCCGAUAUUCUCAGAUUAAGGAUUUGGUACGAGGAUCGAAUGCAAGUAGCUGUAUUCCAGAAGCAGAAGGAUAAGGAUUUCAGAAAGCGUGUCGCUGAGUUACUAAUAUCGUUUAGCAUCAAGGAUUAACGCUUGGAUUUCAUGUAGGGUCUCUAUCGGGGAACCUUUCUUUAAUUUGAUAAUUAGAGUAAUAAUUGAAAUGUGUGAUUUGUGUGCCAUUGAGUAAUUAACUCUUGGUUGUUAUUGUUUUUGUUCAAAGCAUGUGUAAUCGCUGAUUUAUAUGAAAUUGAUGUUAUUGCUUUUCAUUAAAAGCAUGUGUUAAAUAUUGUAAUGCAAGUGUUGUUACUCAUUGACAUGCAUAAUGUAUUGUGAGGAAUUGUGAGAGGUGAGAAUGAUGAUUCUAGAGAGGAGAAUGAGAUUAUU
Molecule: long non-coding RNA, 242677 nt
Filed under: Fragaria vesca (wild strawberry)
Lineage: Eukaryota; Viridiplantae; Streptophyta; Magnoliopsida; Rosales; Rosaceae
Description: long non-coding RNA (FVES_LNC000692)
Source: RNAcentral